RNAcentral lists this long non-coding RNA (270976 nucleotides) under Triticum aestivum (bread wheat). RNAcentral's name for it is "long non-coding RNA (TAES_LNC026008)". The stretch from base 154354 to 154409 matches the Rfam family "tRNA", at positions 10 to 63 of the family's 71-position model. The record is from RNAcentral. Lineage: Eukaryota; Viridiplantae; Streptophyta; Magnoliopsida; Poales; Poaceae.
CCCCAUUCAAAUCAAUUAUAUUAAAGCAGCAACAAUUAAUUUGAAUCGGAGGAGCGAGUACAUAACCAUUUUGAAGAUAAAUACGAUGUGUAUUAAUUCAUAGUAUGUAGCUGUGUACCAAAGCGCAGUACGCGCGUCAACCGGUCAGAACAUAACCCGUACAUGGCACGUCAUCAGCUAAUUAAAAUAGUGACCAUUGCCCGCAAAAAAUAAAAAUAAAAUAAUUAAAAUAGUGACCAAGGCGGGAACACGAGUACACGACUGCCGAGGGCCGGUCCAGCCAGCAGACGCGCGCGCGCAGCUCAGCAGAAGAGGUACCCAACGGCGGCGGCGACGAGCGUCCCGAAGGCGAAGGCGGGGGUGGUCGCGGCGGCUCCGGUGGCCGGGCUGGGAGCUGGCGCCUCAGCAGCCAUGGCCAUGCCCACCACGGACGAGGCCACGACGGCGGCGGCGAGGAUCCUGAGCUUGAGGGUGGCCGCCAUUUCUGCUAGGUAGCUAGCUUCUCGGUCGACCGAUACUAAUUGGGAAUUAGUCGAAGAUGUAUAAGUACUGAGCAAAGAACAGGAAGCUGGCGAGCUGAAUGGUUUGAGAUGGGAAGGAAGAGCGGAGCACGUCGGGUAUAUAUAGCGCCCAUUGGUACUUGGUAGGGCUUUGGCGUGCUGUGUUGUGGAAGGCUAGCCAUGAAAAUGAGGAUCAUUGGCUGGAGCUGCUGCUUUCGGUCUGCCCACCUUUCACAGGCUGUGCGAGUGGGCAGUUGUUUAGGCUUUGCUGUGAUCGCCGAAUGGGUGAUUGAGGGUGCACAAUGAUUAGUCGUUGUGGUUUGGUGCUUCUGAUUUGUUAUUUUGUUGGGUUGAGCACUGGCGCACUGCCAUGUGCAACUGCCAACUGGUACCUAUAGUUAUCAUCGAUGUAUUUUUUAACUUAGUUAUCAUCGAUGGUCUAUAUUUCAGCUCUCUGUUAAAAAAGAAGAAGAAUGACCCCCUGCCUUGCAUAUGGGCAAUGCAUCCACGCACUUUAUUAAUUAUUCACAAAGACCUUAUAAAGUAAUACAUCAGUAAUUCUGAAGCCAUCAUCUCAUCAAGGAGUUGUGCCAUCGCCUAGCAUGUCCAUCCAACACUCAAGUAAGAGGGGAAAUUAUCCAUGACAUAUUUUUUUUAAAAAACUUAAAUUUGAAAAAAAAUGUGUGCGUAGUGUUGAAAAUGUGGGUGCAACUUUUACAAAUGUUGAUAGCAUUUGAAAAAAAAGUUCCAAGACGUAUUUGGAAAAACUGUUCAACACAUAUUCAAACAACAAUGUUCAAACAAAUGUGAUUGAAAAAUUGUUAAUCAUGAAUUUAAAAAAUGUAAAAUGCGUAUGAAUUCUAAUGUAUAUUUUUAUCGUAUAUUUACCAAAUGUUAAACGUGUAUAGAAAAAUAUUCCUGAUGACGUAGGGGCUCACGCAGUCGCUUCUCCCCUAAAAAUUUAGGGUUCCUCCCGCGUGUGUUACUUUUUCUCCAAUUGCAACGCAUGGUCUCCUAUGCUAGUUACACAAAUAUAAUCUUUACUGUUAUGCUAAAUUUGAUAUUUGUUAGCAGAAUCCUAAAUUCAAUUUUUCGGAACGGAUUUCCUUCCAAGUCAAUUUUUAAAACUACAACUCUAUUUAAGUGUACAAUUAGGUGAAAUGUCAAAUAUAAAAACAUAAGAUCUAUAAGCAGCGACAGAUAAAAACAUCUUUUUAAAUUACAAACUUGAUUUUUUCAAAUUUCUUGAAAAUUAUGAUUUUGAAAAAUGUUCUAAACAUUUAUUAAAAAUGCAAAUAAGAUUUUAAAUUCAAAAAAUUAAACAUGUGACAUUUUGUUACCAAAUUAGUGUUUUUAUAAUUCAAAAAAUUAUUUGGAAAUGGGAACAAACUUUGGAAAACAAUUUUUUUAAAAUAAUUAAACAUUUUUGAAAAUUGAAUAUCUUUCCGAACAUUUAUUGGAAAUGUGGUUUUUGAAAAUUGUGAACAAAUUUUGUAAAAUGAAUUUUUUUUUCUGAAAAUCUUUUUUCUUAUUUGCAAACAAUUUUGAAGUUACAAUUUUUUAAAAUGUGAGCGCAAUUUUUUUUUAAAUAAGAUUUUUGUAAAACAUGAGCAGUUUUUUAAUGUCCCCAAAAAUUAUAUGAUAAUAUGUGUGUUUUUAAACAAGAUUUUUUUAAUUUAUGAGUUUUGAGAAAAGAAGGAAAGGGUAAAAGAAACACAUAAAACAAAAAAAGAGAAAAACAAUAGAAAAAUGAAACAACAAAACCAAAAAAACAAAGCUUCUAGAAUGUUCCUAAAACCAGUGAAAACCAAACAUGUAAACUUAAAAUACCCUGCACUACGCUGGAUACACAGGGGCCGGCUCAUCCCCGAGCACUCCUACACAAAUGUCCGGCUAUUUGCCGCGACCCGCACCAAAUAGGGACCCCCUCCUCCUUACUCAUUUUGGGGCUAUAGUUACGCAUGUCAUCUCGCAUACAACAGUUGGGUAAGCCUCCCAUGCCACAUUGCAGCCCAAGUCAUAAGUAGUUGUACACAAAAACACAUGUGCUUUUGUCUUAUUGUUCCUUGAUGAACAUCGGGAUAAUCCAUGGCUAAAGCAUGCUCUUAGGGCCUGUUCGGAUCUUCUCCAGCUCUCAAAUUCGUGAACUCAAUGCACUAAACUGCUCCAAAUGUGGGAGUUCCACAAAUUCGAGAAGCCGAGCCCUCCCCUCGUGUAAAAAGGAGAAGACAGAAAUGUUGGGAAACGUUGCAAGGAAAACAAAAAAAAUUCUAUGCACACGCAAGAUCUAUAAAGGAGAUGCAUAGCAACGAGAGGGGAGAGUGUAUCUACGUACCCUCGUAGACCGUAAGCGGAAGCGUAUGAGAACGCGGUUGAUGUAGUCGAACUUUUUCACGUUCCAACCGAUCGAGCACCGAACGUACGACACCUCCGAGUUCAGCACACAUUCAGCUCGAUUACGUCCUCCGCCUUCUUGAUCCAGCAAUACGGCGAGGUAGUGGAUGAGUUCCGGCAGCACGACGGCAUGNNNNNNNNNNNNNNNNNNNNNNNNNNNNNNNNNNNNNNNNNNNNNNNNNNNNNNNNNNNNNNNNNNNNNNNNNNNNNNNNNNNNNNNNNNNNNNNNNNNNNNNNNNNNNNNNNNNNNNNNNNNNNNNNNNNNNNNNNNNNNNNNNNNNNNNNNNNNNNNNNNNNNNNNNNNNNNNNNNNNNNNNNNNNNNNNNNNNNNNNNNNNNNNNNNNNNNNNNNNNNNNNNNNNNNNNNNNNNNNNNNNNNNNNNNNNNNNNNNNNNNNNNNNNNNNNNNNNNNNNNNNNNNNNNNNNNNNNNNNNNNNNNNNNNNNNNNNNNNNNNNNNNNNNNNNNNNNNNNNNNNNNNNNNNNNNNNGGGCACCGCACAUGGCUAAGCAAUUGUCCACAUAUAUAUAGGUGGGAGGGAAUGGGGAGAGGCCAAGGGGCACCCCAGGUAGGUCUGAAUCCUACUUGGGCUCCUGCCCUUGGCCGCGCCCCCCACUGCCAUGAUUUUUUGAGGGUCAAACCCCCACUGCCAUGAUUGUUGGAGGGAGGAAGGAAAGGGGGGAGAGGAAGGAAGGGGGAGGCCGAAUUCCCCCCACCUUUCCUUUCCCACUAGGGCGGCUGCCAUUGGGGGUGCGCCAGCCCCUUGUGGGCUGGUGUGCUCCCCUCUUAUGGCCCAAUAGGCCCACUAACCUCCCGGGGGUGUCCGGUACUCCGUUGAUCACCCGGUACACUUCGAAACACUUCGGGUGUCCGAAUACCAUCGUCCUAUAUAUCAAUCUUUACCUCUCGACCAUUUAGAGACUCUCGUCAUGCCCCUGAUCACAUCAGUGACUUCGAACAACAUUCGGUCACCAUAUCAUAUAACUCAUAUAACACUAUAUUGUCAACGAACGUUAAGCGUGCGGACCCUGCGGGUUCGAGAACUAUGUAGAAAUGACAGAGAAACCUCUCCGGUCAAUAACCAAUUGUGGAACCUGUAUGCCCAUAUUGGCUCCUACAUAUUCUACGGAGAUCUUUAUCGGUUGAACCGCUAUGACAACAUACGUAAUUCCCUUUGUCCAUCGGUAUGUUACUUGCCCGAGAUUCGAUCGUGGUAUCUUCAUACCUAGUUCAAUAUCGUUACCGGCAAGUCUCUUUACUCGUUCUGUAAUACAUCAUCUUGCAACUAACUCAUUAGUCACUUUGCUUGCAAGGCUUCUUAUGAUGUGUAUUAUCGAGAGGGCCCAAAGACACCUCUCCGAUACUCGGAGUGACAAAUCCUAAUCUCGAUCUAUGCCAACUCAACAAACACCUUUGGAGAUACCUGUAGAGCAUCUUUAUGAUCACCCAGUUACAUUGUGACGUUUGAUAGCACACAAGGUAUUCCUUCAGUAUUCGGGAGUUGCAUAAUCUCAUAGUCGGAGGAAUAUGUAUUUCACAUGAAGAAAGCAAUAGCAAUAAACUGAACGAUCAAUAUUCGAUGCUAACAGAUGGGUCUUGUCCAUCACAUCAUUCUCCUAAUGAUGUGAUCCCGUUAUCAAAUGGCAAAGCAUGUCUAUGGUUAGGAAACCUUAACCAUCUUUGAUCAACGAGCUAGUCUAGUAGAGGCUUACUGGGGACACGGUAUUUGUUUAUGUAUUCACACAUGUACUUAAGUUUCUGAUCAAUACAAUUCUGGCAUGAAUAAUAAACCUUUAUCAUGAAUAAGAAAAUAUAAAAUAACAACUUUAUUAUUGCCUAUAGGGCAUAUUUCCUUUAGUCUCUCACUUGCACUAGAGUCAAUAAUCUAGAUUACAUUGUGAUCAAUCUAACACCCAUGGAGUCUUGGUGCUGAUCAUGUUUUGCUCACGGAAGAGGCUUAGUCAAUGGGUAUUCCACAUUCAGAUCCGCAUGUACUUUGCAAAUUUCUAUGUCUCCAUCCUUGACCUAUUCACGAAUGGAGUUGAAGCAUCUCUUGAUGUGUUUGGUUCUCUUGUGAAACCUAGAUUCCUUCGCCAAGGCAAUUGCUCCAGUGUUGUCACAAAAGAUUUUCAUUGGACCCGAUGCACUAUGUAUUACACCUAGAUCAGAUAUGAACUUCUUCAUCCAGACUCCUUCAUGUGCUGCUUUCGAAGCAGCUCUAUACUCUGCUUCACACGUAGAUCCCGCCAUGACGCUCUGCUUGGAACUGCACCAACUGACAGCUCCACCAUUCAAUAUAAACACGUAUCCGGUUUGUGACCUAGAGUGAUCCGGAUUAGUGUCGAAGCUUGCGUAGACUUAACCAUUUACGACGAGCUCUUUGUCACCUCCAUAAACGAGAAACAUAUCCUUGGUCCUUUUCAGGUACUUCAGGAUGUUCUUGACCGCUUUCCAGUGAUCCACUCAUAGAUUACUUUGGUACCUCCCUGCCAAACUUAUGGCAAGGCACACAUCAGGUCUGGUACACAUCAUAACAUACAUGAUAGAACCUAUGGUUGAGGCAUAGGGAAUGACUUUCAUUUUCUCUCUAUCUUUUGCAGUGGUCGGGCUUUGAGUCUGACUUAACUUCACACCUUGUAACACAGGCAAGAACCCUUUCUUUGACUGAUCCAUUUUGAACUUCUUCAAAACCUUAUCAAGGUAUGUGCUUUGUGAAAGUCCUAUUAAGCGUCUCGAUCUAUCUCUAUAGAUCUUGAUGCCCAAUAUAUAAGCAGCUUCACCGAGGUCUUUCAUUGAAAAAAUAUCAUUCAAGUAUCCGUUUAUGCUAUCUAGAAAUUCUAUAUCAUUUCCAAUCAAUAAUAUGUUAUCCACAUAUAAUAUCAGAAAUGCUAUAGAGCUCCCACUCACUUUUUUGUAAAUACAGGCUUCACCGUAAGUCUUUAUAAAACCAUAUGCUUUGAUCACUUCAUCAAAGCAUAUAUUCCAACUCGAAGAUGCUUGCACCAGUCCAUAGAUGGAUCGGUGGAGCUUGCACACUUUGUUAGCACCUUUAGGAUCGACAAAACCUUCUGGUUGCAUCACAUACAACUCUUCUUUAUGAUAUCCAUUGAGGAAUGCUGUUUUGACGACCAUUUGCCAGAUUUCAUAAUUAUAAAAUAGGACAAUUGCUAACAUGAUUCGUACAGACUUAAGCAUCGCUACGGGUGAGAAAGUCUCAUCAUAGUCACUCCUUGAACUUGUGGAAAACCUUUUGCGACAAGUCAAGCUUUGUAGAUAGUAACAUUACCAUCAUCGUCAGUCUUCUUCUUGAAGAUCCAUUUAUUCUCAAUGGCUUGCCGAUCAUCGGGCAAGUCCACCAAAGUCCACACUUUGUUCUCAUACAUGGAUCCUAUCUCAGAUUUCAUGGCCUCAAGCCAUUUAUUGGAAUCUGGGCUCAUCAUAGCUUCUUCAUAGUUCGUUGGUUCGCCUUGGUCUAGUAACAUGACUUCCAGGACAGGAUUACCAUACUACCCUGGUGCGGAUCAUUCUCUGGUUGACCUACGAGGUUCAGUAGCAACUUGAUCUGAAGUUUCAUGAUCAUUAUCAUUUGCUUCCUCUCUAAUUGGUGUAGGCAUCAUGGGAAUAGUUUUCUGUGAUGUGCUACUCUCCAAUUCGAGAGAAGGUACAAUUACCUCAUCAAGGUCUACUUUCUUCCCACUCACUUCUUUCGAGAGAAACUCAUUCUCUAGAAAGGUUCCAUUCUUGGCAACAAAGAUCUUGCUUCAGAUCUGUGGUAGAAGGUGUACCCAAUUGUUUCCUUAGGGUAUCCUAUGAAGACGCACUUCUCUGAUUUGGGUUCGAGCUUAUCACGCUGAAGCCUUUUGAUAUAAGUGUCGCAACCCCAAACUUUAAGAAAUGAUAGCUUAGGUUUCUUGACAAACCACAGUUCAUAUGGUGUCGUCUUAACAGAUUUAGACGGUGCCCUAUUUAACGUGAAUGCGGUUGUCUCUAAUGCAUAACCCCAAAACGAUAGUGGUAAAUCGAUAAGAGACAUCAUAGAUCACAUCAUAUCUAAUAAAGUAUGGUUAUGACGUUCGGACACACCAUUACGCUGUGGUGUUUCAGGUGGUGUGAGUUGUGAAACUAUUCCACAUUGUUUUAAAUGAAGGCCAAACUCGUAAGGACCGGCUGUUAAAGAAUCAAGAAGGAGAAACAGACAAAUUUGAUUCAUCAAGUUUGCUGUUUUAACCUUCUUCAAGGACCGGCUGUAGUCAAAUUUGAUUCAACUAAAGUAGGAGAAACAGACACCCGCCAGCCACCUUUAUGCAAAACUACUUGCAUGUUUGUCGGUGGAACCGGUCUCAUGUGUGUGGACAUGUAAAGUUGGUCCGGGCUGAUUCAUCCCACAAUACUGAAGGAAAUAUGCCCUAGAGGCAAUAACAAAGUUGUUAUUUAUAUUUCCUUAUAUCAUGAUAAAUGUUUAUUAUUCAUGCUAGAAUUGUAUUAACCGGAAACUUAGUACAUGUGUGAAUACAUAGACAAAACAGAGUGUCCCUAGUAUGCCUCUACUUGACUAGCUCAUUGAUCAAAGAUGGUUAUGUUUCCUGACCAUAGACAUGUGUUGUUAUUUGAUGAACGGGAUCACAUCAUUAGAGAAUGAUGUGAUGGACAAGACCCAUUCGUUAGCUUAGCAUAAUGAUUGUUUAGUUUUAUUGCUAUUGCUUUCUUCAUAACUUAUACAUGUUUCUUUGACUAUGAGAUUAUGCAACUCCCGAAUACCGGAAGAACACAUUGUGUGCUAUCGAACAUCACAAUGUAACUGGGUGAUUAUAAAGAUGCUCUACAGGUGUCUCCGAAGGUGUUUGUUGGGUUGGCAUAGAUCAAGAUUAGGAUUUGUCACUCCGUGUAUCGGAGAGGUAUCUCUGGGCCCUCUCGGUAAUGCACAUCACUAUAAGCCUGGCAAGAAAUGUGACUAAUGAGUUAGUUGCGAGAUGAUGAAUUACAGAAUGAGUAAAGAGACUUGCCGGUAACGAGAUUGAACUAGGUAUGAUGAUACCCACGAUCGAAUCUCGGUCAAGUAACAUACCGAUGACAAAGGGAACAACGUAUCUUGUUAUGCGGUUUGACCGAUAAAGAUCUUCAUAGAAUAUGUAGGAGCCAAUAUGAGCAUCCAGGUUCCGCUAUUGGUUAUUGACCAGAGAUGUGUCCCAUUCAUGUCUACAUAGCUCUCGAACCCGUAGGGUCCGCAUGCUUAACGUUCGAUGACGAUUUGUAUUAUGAGUUAUGUGAUUUGAUGACCAAAGAUUGUUCGGAGUCCCAGAUGAGAUCACAGACAUGACGAGGAGUCUCAAAAUGGUCGAGAGGUAAAGAUUGAUAUAUUGGAAGGUUAUAUACGGACAUCGGAAUGGUUCCGAUAAGGUUUGGGGAUUUAUUGGAGUACCGGGAGGCCAUCGAAACCCCCCAAGAAUUUAAUGGGCCAUAUUGGGCUUUAGUAGAGAGAGGGAAGAAGGGUCACGAGGUGGCACACGCCUCCCCCUUGCCCAAACCGAAUUGGACAAGGGGUGGGGGUGCGGCCCCCCUUUCCUUCUUCCUCUCCCUCCUUUCCCCUUUCUCCUUUCCGUAAGAUGGAAGGAGGGGGGCCGAAUCCUACUAGGAAGGGAGUCCUAGUAGGACUCCCCCCUCAUGGCGCCCCCCUUGGGCCGGCCUCCCCCUCCCCCUCCUUUAUAUAUGUGGGCAGGGAGGCACCCCAAAGCAUAACAGACAAUCUCUUAGCCGUGUGCGGUGCCCCCCCUCCAUUGUUUAGCACCUCGGUCAUAUCGUCGUAGUGCUUAGGCGAAGCCCUACUCCGGUAACUUCAUCAUCACCGUCACCACGCCGUCAUGCCGAGAAACUCUCCCUCAUCCUGAACUGAAUCAAGAGCUCGAGGGACGUCAUCGUGUUGAACAUGUGCUGAACACGGAGGUGCCGUACGUUCUGUACUUGGAUCGGUUGGAUCGUGAAGAUGUUCGACUACAUAAACCGCGUUACUAAAAGCUUUCGCUUUCGGUCUACGAGGGUAUGUGGACACACUCUCCCGUCUCGUUUCUAUGCAUCUCCUAGAUAGAUCUUGCGUGAUCGUAGGAAAAUUUUGAAAUACCGCGUUCCCAACAGUGGCAUCCGAGCCAGGUCUAUGCGUAGAUGUUAUAUGCACGAGUAGAACACAAAGAGUUGUGGGCGAUAAUAGUCAUACUUCUUACCACCAACAAAUAUAGGGGAUCACAACAGUUUUCGAGGGUAGAGUAUUCAACCCAAAUUUAUAGAUUCGACACAAGGGGAGCCAAAGAAUAUUUGAAGGUAUUAGCAGCUGAGUUGUCAAUUCAACCACACCCGAAGAUUAAUUAUUUGCAGCAAAGUGAUCAGUAGCAAAGCAGUUUGAUAGUUUUGAUAGUAGUGACAGCAGCAACGAUAAUAGUAACAGUGAUAGCAGUAAUUUGUAGCAAGUGUAAAAGUAAUGAUAGCAAUAGUAACGCAACAAUAUCAAUAAGGAUAAAUUCGUAGGCAUUGGAUCGGUGAUUUGUUGGAUGAUAUUCAUCAUGUGACAGUUAUAACCUAGGGCGAUAUGGCACUAGCUCCAGUUCAUCAAUAUAAUGUAGGCAUGUAUUCCGUAAAUAGGCAUACAUGCUUUAUUAAAAGAACUUGCAUGACAUCUUUUGUCCUACCCUCCCGUGGCAGCGGGGUCCAUAUUGGAAACUAAGGGAUAUUAAGGCCUCCUUUUAAUAGAGAAUCGGAACAAAGCAUUAACACAUAGUGAAUACAUGAACUCCUCAAACUACGGUCGUCACUGGGAGUGGGCCCGGUUGUUGUCACUCUGGGGUUGCCGGAUUAUGACAUGUAGUAGGUGAUUAUAACUUGCAAGGUCGGAUGUAAAACAUGGAAUAAUGAUGAAUUCAUAAACAGUUCAGAUUUGAGUUCAUGGCACCCGGGCCCAAAGUGACAAGCAUUAAGCAUAGCAAAGUCAUAGCAACAUCAAUCUAAGAACAUAGUGGAUACUAGGGAUCGGGCCCUAACAAAACUAACUCGAUUACAUGAUGAAUCUCAUCCAACUCCUCACCGACCAGCGAGCCUAUGAAGGAAUUACUCACUCCUGGUGGGAAGCAUCAUGGAAUUGGCAAUGGAGAUUGGUUGGUGAUGAUGAAGAACAAAGAUCCCCCUCUCCGGAGCCCCAAACGGACUCCAGAUCUGCCCUCUUGAGGAAGAACAGUGCUUGGCGGCGGCUCUGUCUCGUGAAACGCGAUAAUUCUUUCUCCCUGAUUUUUUCUGGAAUAGUGUGAAUUUAUAGUAUCAGGGGGUCGUCAGCGGGGCCACCAGGUGGGUACAACCCACUAACCUAGGCGCGCCAGGAGAGGGGGCGCGCCCUAGUGGGUUGUGCCCAACCAGGGGCCCCUCUCUAGUGGGUCUUGGCUCCAGAAAUUCUUUUUAUUGAUAUAAAAAUCCUCGCAAAGUUUUGUUCCAUUCUGAGAGGUUGGAGAUGUAUCAACUCCCCCAAGCCUAAACCUUUGCUUGUCCUCAAGCAAUUCAGUCGAUAAACUGAAAGUGAGAAAGAAAAACUUUUAUGAACUCUUUUGCUCUUGUUUGCAUGAAUAAGCUUAAACAACACCCAGGUUUUCAGCCAACAUUAUAAGUAACUAUGUCAACAAUAACAUUUAAAGAUUAUAAUGAUUCAUAUCAAUGACAUAAUCAGCUAGCGAGCAAUAAUAAAAUAUCUCAAACAACAACAUGUCAAAACAACCAUGAUAUAACAUGACAAUAAUGGUAUCUCGCUACCCCUUUCUGAGACCGCAAAACAUAAAUGCAGAGCACCUCCAAAGUUCAAGCAGUGACACAUUGUAAUUCAUGGUAGAAAAUAUCCAGUCAUGAUGCACCCAACAUUAGCUAUACACAAUGCAUAAAUCAUGACAGCUGUGCUCUACUCAAUUUUUGGCGCUUGUUUAUAGAAGGUGAUGACACAACAUAAAAGUAAAUAGAAAGUCCCUUUGUAGAGGGAAGCAGUGAUUUGUAGACGUGCCAAAGCUCAUUUUUUAAAAUAGAGAUACAUGAUUAUUUUGAGACAUGCCCCCUUCUCAUUCACUUCAUGACUAUCAGUUAUGAACAUCUUCCAUGCUAAGCACGCUAGUGGUGGUUCCCAAGCGGUAAAAGUAAAGGUUUACUCCCCCUCCACCAUCAAUCACACUCCACGGCUUGUCCGGAUCAACAGGUGCCGUCCAUACCAACAUCAGUCCCGGGGGAGUUUUGUUUAAUUAUUUGCAUUUUUGAGUUCGGGACUGGGAAUCCCUAUUACUGCCCAUUUCCUCGUGCGAUGGCGAGUGAAUAAACACUCGACUUGAGGAUAACAUGCUUAGCACGGAAGAUAUCGACCACCUCAUGUCAUUCCACGAACGAUCCAAGCACACAAAAAGGAUAAUUUAUUUAGAAGUUUUUAGAGGUGGCACAUGCAAAUUUACCUAGGAAGGCAGUGUAAUACCGUAUAUAGGUAGGUAUGGUGGACUCAUCUGGAAUAACUUUGGAUGCAGGUUUAUGAUGUACAAACAGAAUUCCCACUUAGUACAGGCGAAGGCUAGCAAUUAAGAUUGAGAAGCGGCCAGCUAGAGAGCAACAACGGUCAUAACCAGGCAUUAUGCAUAAGUAACAUUGGACACUAGCAUGACUAGGAUAUGAACACCAUGAGCAUAAAUAUUAUAGAGGCUAUGUUGGUUUUGAUUCAACUACAUGCAUGAACUUGUACCAAGUCAAGCCACUCGAACAUUCAGAGGAGGAUACCAUAUCAUCAUACUACAUCACAAUCAUUUUAACGCUAUGUUGAUAUCCAAGAUAAAUCAUUAUCAACUCCCAGCUACUUAUGCAUGGCAUGAGAAACUAUAAUCUCUAAUUGUCAUUGCAAACAUGUUUAAUCAUAAUGGGCUGAAUCAUGGGCACUAGGUUAAACAUAUUUACACAACAAGAACAAGUCGAGUUCAUACCAGUUUCUCUUUGCCACGGCCAGCUCAUCGAAUAUCGUCAUCAUUGCCUUUCACUUGCAUGAUCGAAUGAUAUGAAAAUAAUAAUAGUGCAAGAGUGCCAUGGACUAAGUUGGAAUCUGCAAAACAUUUUAUUCAACAGGGGAAGACAAGGUAAAAUGGGAUAUUAUUAGUUCAACAGUUAUUCAUAUGAGAGCUGUCGGUGUCAAAGCCGGCGGAUCUCGGGUAGGGGGUCCCGAACUGUGCGUCUAGGCGGAUGGUAACAGGAGACAAGGGACACGAUGUUUUUACCCAGGUUCGGGCCCUUUGGAUGGAUGUAAAACCCUACUCCUGCUUGAUUGAUAUUGAUGAUAUGGGUAGUACAAGAGUAGAUCUACCACGAGAUCAAGGAGGCUAAACCCUAGAAGCUAGCCUAUGGUAUGGUUGUUCUGUUGGUCCUACGGACUAAACCCCUCUGGUUUAUAUAGACACCGGAGAGGGCUAGGGUUACACAGAGUCAGUUACAAUGGUAGGAGAUCUAUAUAUCCGUAUCGCCAAGCUUGCCUUCCACGCCAAGGAAAGUCCCUUCCGGACACGGGAAGAAGUCUUCAAUCUUGUAUCUUCAUAGUCCAGGAGUCCGGCUGAAGGUAUAGUCCGGCUAUCCGAACACCCCCUAAUCCAGGACUCCCUCAGUAGCCCAUGAACCAGGCUUCAAUGACGACGAGUCCGGCACGCAGAUUGUCUUCGGCAUUGCAAGGCGGGUUCCUCUUCCAAGUACUUCAUAGAAGAUUUUGAACACCAGGAUAGUGUCCGGCUCUGCAAAAUAAGUUUCCACAUAUUGCCAUAGAGAGAAUAAUAUUUACACAAAUCUAAUCUGCUGACGUAUUCCGUAGCGUGACAUCACACCACAGCCAAGCCUUUAUUCGAAUCAUUUUUACUGUCCUGCCUUAGUGCGUUUAGCGAGGCGGUUUCCUUGGCACAUCUUGUCAAAGCAGAGAUCGUCUCCCCUUUAUUUACGGGAUUCUCAUCAAUACGGAUGUGGGUAACCCAAUCGUGCCCGUUGGCAUGUUUUCUCGAUUAAAGGCGAGUCCCAAAUGGUUACGGGGAAGGCCCUUGGUAUUCAACCUCUUAUAAAGAGACCAAGGCCUUACUCCUUUCUUUCAAUCUCAAACGAGUUCGCCUUUCGCCUCGAGUUCCAACACCCAAGGCUCUAGAUUUCAGGCACUUCGGAUCUUCGACAAUGUCCAGUUCCGACCUUCGAGGCCGAUGGAUGUCCUCCUCCGUUACAGAGGAGGACGUGCUAAAGCUGAGAGAGGCCAGGUUCUUGACCGGCGAAAUCUCGCAUAGGCUACCUGCUCAAGGGCAGGUCAUUCCUACUCCCAAGCCUGGUGAGAGUGUGGUGUUCAUGUCUCACUUCCGUCGGGGGCUAGGCUUCCAGAUGGAUCCCUUCGUGAGGGGGCUCAUGUUUUAUUAUGGGCUGGAAUUUCACGACUUAGCUCCGGAGUCCAUCCUCCAUAUUUCCUCAUUCAUCGUCGUGUGUGAAGCCUUCCUCCGUGUUACUCCUCACUUUGGACUAUGGCUCAAGACCUUCAAAGUAGAGCCGAAGAUGAUCGAGGGACGGCACGCGGAGUGCGGAGGCGCUGUUAUAAGCAGGAAUGCCGAUGCUCCAUGGCCCGAGGGCUCUUUUCAAGAGGAGCUCGGCUUAUGGCAACGAGAGUGGUUCUAUAUCACUGCUCCCAGGGGCACCAAGUGGGUGGCGCCACCUGCCUUUCGGUCGGGUCCCCCACCACAGCUGGCGUCAUGGGUCAAUAAAGGACUAGACUGGGGGCCAUCCAAGGACGUGCCCUUGUUGCAGGGCCGCAUCAAGGAUCUCUUAGAAAGAGACCUCAGUCUGGUCGAAGUGACGCAUGUCAUGCUGAUCCAUCGAAUCCUUCCCGGCAAACGUCGCCCCCUUCGCCUGUGGGAGUUCAAUCCGGAGGGACCGCGAGCUCUCCAACAUUUCAUGGGCGCAACGCCCGUGGAGAUGUAUUAAUUGUUAUUUGGAUCACAAGCAAUGUGUCCGGACUUGACCGAGGACGCAGGUCUGAGCUGCAACCGCCCGGAUACUCAAGUAAGUAGCCUUGUGCCCGGACUCGCUAUCCGUAUAUUUUGUCAUAAACUUGCCCCUAAAAGAGUUGUCCUUUAAACAUGAGUGGAUGGCGAAAGCAAAGUUGAUUAGGUGUCCGGCUCCCCUCCCCGAGACCAUGCUGGAUCCUAUGCUAGUCAGGAUGUUGAAGAUUGUGCCUUUGGAGGAAAGCAAGGGAGGCGACAAGGAAACUACGGCCUCCUCGAAGGAGGCUGUUCGGAAGGGAGGAACCUAAAAUUCCUCUCUUCAGGGUAAGAAGAGGACCGCCUCUGAAGACCCAGAGACCAUGGCCUCAAAGCGGGGGGAAAAUCCUCGUUAGAGGGUCCUGCGCAGGGGGAUACCUCGGACGAAUUAUGCCCUCAAGGGGAUCAGCCCUCCACCGAGCCGUAAGUAGAGAGAGGUUUUCUUUUUAAGAGAUGAGAGAAAUCCUUGCUUUAUACCUGAGGAAAGUAACCGAAAAUUCACCUUGUAGCUCGGACCUCAGCCCUUCUCAGCAGAGCUCGUCUUCGGGGGACCUUCUUCCGGAGAUGAUGGAGAGCGGAACACCUCCCCCUGCCGUACCGCCUAGCGAGGCGGGCGACCCUGAGGUAUCGUCGCAGAGGGUUUCUCGGAAUCCGGCAGGGCCGGAAGGUAGUCGUAUGGGCCCCCAAAGUCCUCCGCGCCCGGCCUUCGAAAAGGGCCAUCAGACAAGUCCGGCACCGUCUGGUGCACGGUCGGAGGAGCUGAAGGAUCUGCUAGGGCGAGCGUCUAUCUCAGAGGAGCACCAUGCAUUGAUGGGUACGGUGAUUGAGAGGAUUUCAUCCGCGGAGAGCGGAUUGCACGAGGCCGUCAGGAGUUUACUGACAAGUUUUGAGGUACGUGAAAUAAUGUACCCUUUCUUGACAGUUGCGCAUAAAGAAGAUGCGCCCUGUGUAGAUAGUAGCCCCUGAGACUCUGUGCGUUGUCAAAAGUGAUGGCGCGCAGAGGAUCAUAAUCCCAGGUCUAAUAUGCCGCCUUCAUACGUAGGUGGCGAAGUGUCCGGAGGCCAGCCGGACUGAUGAAUUUGCCGAGCUAAAGCGGCAACUUGACGUGGGAGAUGCCGACAUCGCACUUGUCAACAAGCGGCUUGAUGAGGCACAAGGUAUUUAAUUCCUCCGGUGGCACCUGGUAAAAGGAGCUUUAUGCCAGUAUCUUACAAUGUGUGUGCUUUGAUGCAGAUGGUGCUGCUGCCAUGGAGAAUCUUCGGGCGGAACUUGCCCGAGCCAAGGAGCAAGCCAGAAAAAGUGAUGCGGCUGCCGGAAAGGCAAUUGAAGAGCUGAAAGCCGAACAGGCCGCUCACUGCCGAAGCAAGAAGGAAAUGGCCGAGAUGGCCGUGAAGUUGAAGAGCGCUGCUGACCGUUGCAAGCUUCUUGAAAGAGAAGACCGGGUGGAACAAACGGACCUGGAGAAGGCCAUUGCCGAUGCCAAGGAUGCUCGCUCUGUGAUGAGAGCUAUGAAGGAGGAGCUGCGUCAGGCCGGAGAGAUCGCGGCUGGAAAGCCCUUUAUGCUGCGGAGGAAGUUUUGCGAUCCUAAACAUGCUCCGUUAGACCGGAUGUGGAGUGCGGUGGAUACCUAUCUGGAUUUGGCAGCAAGUGCUGCAGAUGCGACCAAACACUUUCGAGAUCAAGAAGAUCGCAAAGUGGAAAAGCUCUUCUGGUCGCAGUUCCACAAUCCAGAGCGUCCACUGUCAGUAGCCGUUCGUCUGGCCGAAUGGGCCGAGCUGAAUAGGUUGUCCGGACUCGCCAUGAAGUGUGUCAUGAGUCAUCUGUGGCCGGGGAGGCCAGAGCCGAAAAGUUAUUUCAACUUGGUGCAAUAGUUCCUUGGUGCGGUACCGCAUAUUAAUGCGAUGAAGAGGUCAGCAUGCAUAGAGGGUGCACGGAUGGAUCUUGCCCGUGUCAAGACAUACUGGGCGGAGAUGGAGACCACCGCUGUUGCAUCCCGAGAUUCGGACGAAAGCCGAGUACCUGCUGAGCACUAUUUUCAGGAAGUUCUUCAAGGCACUCGUGUAAUAGAGACGCAGUGCUCGAAGGAUGCUAUGUUCGAAUAGCAUAUGUUAUUGUAAAACAAUGUUUUGAUAAAUUGUAGAAGCUUUUUAUACUUGUGCCUUCAAGUAUUAUAACACCUCCUGUGCGGCCGUUUAAGAUAUAUGUAUAUAUAAUCUGAAAGAUGGCAGUCGUCGGCUUCAGCCCCCACGCAAAUAAUGCGGGGGUGUUCACAGAAGGCGCAUUUUCACACUUAAUCCAACGUCUUGGUCCUACAAAGGAGGUGAUAGCGCAGCGAACUAGGCAAUCAGACUAUGAUUCUUUAUCACUUUCACUUAGCCAUAGGAGUUUGACAGUGAGGCUACUUAUAUAGCCCCUGGUGGCGUCUGCGCUUGCCCGAACUUGGGGCGCGUAUGUGCCUGGCCGGGAAAUGGCCCUUCGUUAAUGUGGAGGAAUCCUAAAGAUUCCGAUAAGUCAUCGAGUGGUUGACCAGUCUCAUGCUAUAUCAUGACAGUCAGUUUUCGGCUUUCUCUACUGAGGUGCUCGCCUGGCCGAACUGGGGCACAAUCGCAGUAGUUCUCCUGGUGCCGCCUUAGCCGAUAGAGCGGAACAUAAGGCAGCAAAACACAGGAGCCGGGCAACCCAACAUUUGACCAAAGACAUGAUUCGGAGCUGAUGCAUAUAAGGCCAAACUCGCGACGCCGAACACUCCCUAAGCUAUUCGGUCUUUAUGAGGGCGGGCGGGACAACGCCCUUAGUUAUAAGCCCCUAGUGUCUAGGUACGCGCAAAAUUCUGACAUGGCCACAUGCCAAGACGCCAGCCUCCUCCUUGGUUAUACCAAAAAACCAGGGGAUGUGUAUCAACAAGAGACAGUAAAAAAGGUUUACGCGGGGUCUUAAUCUGAAAAGAAUCCUUGGAACGGGUCCCUGCUGCAUGUCUGCGCCUGUGUCUUCGUUGUGCCGUAUCCUGGACGGGCGCAGCACGGUGUUCAUCUUUAAAAGUGAAGAACUUAGUUGAAGAAGGGUCGUGCCGAACAGAAGUUAUACAAAAUAAACAAAGUAUAAAUUGAAAUGGGUAAGAUUGAGCUUGAUUGUCUCUUGUUUUAUAUGCGCGGAGCCCCUAGUACAGGGGUAUACGGCUAUUAAGCCUUUAUCAAUUAUAUGUUUGUGCCGAACUCGUCUAGCCGCAUCCGUGGUCUUAAUGACCUGUUUAGAUGUUUUGGCUGGUGAAGCCGUUUUAUUGUGGGGCUAUUAAGACAGCCGCACAGUCUUCCGCGCAGGAGGCGCACUCAAUGUUUUCCCUUUAAUGAGAUGAUGCCUCGUGGACCGGGCAUCUUAAGCGUAAGAGACGCAUAAUGCGGUAUUGCGUUAAAGCGGGUGAAAGCCUCGCAUCCCAGUAGUGCUUGAUAGCUGCUUGAGAAUGGGGCGAUGUGGAAGGUUAGCCUUUCACGAUGGAAGUUGUCGGGGGAGCCGAACAUAACUUCUAGCCGGAGAGAGCCCGUGCAGUGGGCAACUGGGCCUGGCGUUACUCCUUGAAAGGAAGUGUUGCCAUGGCGAAUUCUUGUUGGGUCUAUCCCCAUGUGGCAGGUUGUGUCUUAAUAUAACAGGUUUAGACCACUGCCGCCAUCCAUCAGGACAUUUGUAAAGUGAAGUCCGCCGAUUAUUGGAUCUAAUACCAAGGCAGACUAGCCUGCGUUUCGUAUACUUCUAGAGUAAUCCUGAUGGUCGAAGGUGAUCGGUUUUAACAACCAGUGGCGAGACUCCUUUGGGAUAGGCCAUAUGGCGUGCAUCUCUAUGGGCGCCGCUCAUUUUGUCACGUGAAGUAAGUUUACUGUUUUGACUCCUUGUGGAAAAUUCUUUUGUUUCCUGGUGCUCUGCUUGUGGGGUUCGUCAUCGUCCUCACUUGGUGUGUCAAGCCCCUUGUGUUCGGUGUUGAUUUUGCCGGAUUGCUUGAAGACCCAACAAUCUCUGUGGGUAUGGUUUGUAGGCUUCCCGGGAGUACUAUGUAUUUGACAUAUCCUGUCCAAGAUUUUGUUUAGGUUGGAUAGCUCGUCCCUGUUAUCCUGGAGGGGCGGCUUUUUCUGACUCUGCCGUGAGCUUUUGAAUCCGGCAUUGACUGCCGUGCUCUUUGGGCUGCUUCCCUUAUUCCGACGCUGGUCCUUGCUGCGUUGGGGUUUUCCAUUUCCAUCUCUAACUUCGGAUGUACUUGGGUCGCUGGUGCUACAUCUUGCCAACCAGCUGUCCUCUCCUGUGCAAAAGCGGGUCAUGAGGCUUGUUAAUGCGGCCAUUGUUCUUGGCUUUUCUUGGCCGAGGUGUCUGGCGAGCCAUUCGUCUCGAACGUUAUGUUUAAAAGCUGCUAAGGCUUCGGCGUCUGGACAGUCGACUAUCUGAUUCUUUUUAGUAAGGAAUCUGUUCCAGAAUUUCUGGGCUGACUCUCCGGGCUGUUGAGUUAUGUGACUUAGAUCAUCUGCAUCCGGAGGGCGGACAUAGGUCCCUUGAAAAUUUGCCCGGAAAGCAUCCUCGAGCUCUUCCCAACUUCCAAUGGUGUUUUCAGGAAGGCUCUUGAGCCAGUGCCGAGCUAGCCCUUUAAGCUUAAGGGGUAAGUAUUUUAUGGCGUGGAGGUCAUCUCCUCUGGCCAUGUGUAUGUGGAGGAUAUAAUCCUCAAUCCAGACUCCAGGGUCUGUUGUUCCGUCGUAUGCCUCUAUGUUUAUGGGCUUGAAUCCCGCUGGAAAUUCAUGGUCUAGAACCUCAUCGGUGAAACAUAGGGGGUGUGCGACUCAUCCUGCUCUAUGGAUGGGUCUGUGUGGCUGUUGUUUCUGUCCAGGCGGGACUUGGGGCGGCGCUUACGUCGCCGCUUUGAUUGCUUUUCAAGUGAAUGAUCUCUCGUUGCAUCCCUGUGUUCCUCGUCGUCGCUUCCUUUAGGUGUAUCCACCAUGUAUACGUCAUGAGAUGAGGUGGCUGUCCAGUGCCCUAUAGGCGUUGGUUCAUGUUUGUCUCCUACAUCGUCGUCCAUACCGUCGAUGUCUUCAGAGUCGAAGUUGAGCACGUCGGUUAAAUCAUCGACAGUGGCUACAAAGUGGGUGGUGGGUGGGCUUUGAAUUUCUUCAUCGUUCGUACCUUGCUGUACGCAGUCCGGCCAGGGCUCUCCUGAUAAAGAGAGAGACUUUAGUGAUUUCAGAAUAUCGCCGAAGGGCGAGUGUUGAAAGAUGUCCGCGGUGGUGAACUCCAUGAUCGGCGCCCAAUCAGAUUCGAUUGGCAGGGGCGCAGAGGGCUUGGAGUCCGGAGAGGAGUCCGGCUCCUUGGAGUCACAGGCUUCGCAAAGGACAGGGCUGGUGUUCGGCUCGAUCGCCAUAGAGAUUGCAGCCCCCGAGGCGGUGUCCAACCACCCAUCCUAGAUCGGCGCAGUUGGUUCCGAAUUAAGGGUCGGAGGCGAUGCGGGUGCGGCCUCCAGGGCACUGUUCGGCGGCAGAGCUAGAUCAUGCCCAUCAUGACAGCGCGGCGUGCUUGGCUGUGGCUCGAAUCCGUCGAAGAUCAAGUCCCGGUGGAUGUCAGCCACGUAGUUUAAGCUUCCAAAUCUGACCUGAUGGCUUGGGGCGUAGCUUUCGAUCUGCUCCAGAUGGCCGCCGAAGACGAAGAUCUGUCCGGGGAGAAAAGACUCACCUUGGACAGCGUCGUUGUUGAUGAUUGGAGGAGCCAUCGGGCCUAAAAGUGACGACACAGAGGAACUCUCAAUGAAAGCACCAAUGUCGGUGUCAAAACCGGCAGAUCUCGGGUAGGGGGUCCCGAACUGUGCGUCUAGGCGGAUGGUAACAGGAGACAAGGGACAUGAUGUUUUUACCCAGGUUCGGGCCCUCUCGAUGGAGGUAAAACCCUACUCCUGUUUGAUUGAUAUUGAUGAUAUGGGUAGUACAAGAGUAGAUCUACCACGAGAUCAAGGAGGCUAAACCCUUGAAGCUAGCCUAUGGUAUGGUUGUUCUGUUGGUCCUACGGACUAAACCCCUCCGGUUUAUAUAGACACCGGAGAGGGCUAGGGUUACACAGAGUCGGUUACAAUGGUAGGAGAUCUAUAUAUCCGUAUCGCCAAGCUUGCCUUCCACGCCAAGGAAAUUCCCUUCCGGACACGGGACGAAGUCUUCAAUCUUGUAUCUUCAUAGUCCAGGAGUCCGGCUGAAGGUAUAGUCCGGCUAUCCGAAUACCCCCUAAUCCAGGACUCCCUCAAGAGCCACUCAACAUUUUCAUCGUGGUCUUCUCCUCGGUAAGACUCGAAUGAAAAUAAAAGAAAUUCAGAGAAACACACUGAAAUAUUUUUGGAGUUUUGGGUUUUCUUGAACAAGCAAAUAAAAACCAAAAAACCAAAAAAACUAUUUACACGGGAAAGCUCCCAACAAGCAAAAGAAGAACAAGGAAAUCUUUUUGGGUUUUCUUUUUAGUACUGCUACUAAGCAUGCAUAGAAAGUAAAUUACUACAACUAUUUUUUUUGGUUUUUCUAAAGUUUUUCAAACACACAAGAAGAAAGCAAGAAAAUAAAUCUAAGCAUGGGUGAUACAAUGAAAAAGUGUGAACACCGACAAAUAGAAUGAUAUGUGAACAUGAAUAUAAUGUCGUUGAGAAACACGUACUCCCCCAACACUACAAAAAAAGACACAUCCGUGACAUUUUGGGCCGAACGAAAUUUUUUUCUAUCAUACAUAUGACACUUCUAUGACGAUAAUUGUGACAAAACCCGGUAUCAUCAUAGGUGUGGUGGGCUCCUACUUCUAUGACAAAAAAUCAUGACAGAAAAUGGGCUUUUCGUCCUGGGCGGGCCGGAGACGCAGCUGCAUGACAUUCUUUGGGCCGUCCACGAUGGAAAAAACCAUGGUAGAAGCGAGGGCGAGGAAAAUUUCGGGGAGUUCCCGGUUACGGUGGGAGGUCAGGGGCCGAGCGACGCACGUUUCUCUCAUACCCGUACGUGCGUGUGUGCAAGGCAUUGGCUCUAAUUGAACCCGAGAGAGGCGUUGGGAUCUAACUGAACCCGAGCGAUUGCAUUGCAGGCUACGCGUUACUGAACCCGAGCUAUCGAUUGAUGGCUGUUAACUGAACCCGAUCGAGCGAUUCCUUCGCUACUGCUGCUAACUGAAGCCGAUCGAUGGUGCCUCUGGGAUGAACAGUGAGCGUUGCGGGGUGUUUUAGAUGAACAGUGAGCGGUGGCAUUGCCUCUGGAUGAACAGGACCCCGUGGUGUGGUGGAGGGCUGGAUGAAUAGUAGACGGUGGAGGGGUGCCCGUGGAGGGGUGGUUGAACGGGACCCCGUGGUGUGGAGGGCUGGAUGAACANNNNNNNNNNNNNNNNNNNNNNNNNNNNNNNNNNNNNNNNNNNNNNNNNNNNNNNNNNNNNNNNNNNNNNNNNNNNNNNNNNNNNNNNNNNNNNNNNNNNNNNNNNNNNNNNNNNNNNNNNNNNNNNNNNNNNNNNNNNNNNNNNNNNNNNNNNNNNNNNNNNNNNNNNNNNNNNNNNNNNNNNNNNNNNNNNNNNNNNNNNNNNNNNNNNNNNNNNNNNNNNNNNNNNNNNNNNNNNNNNNNNNAGUAGACGGUGGAGGGGUGCCCGUGGAGGGGUGGUUGAACGGGACCCCGUGGUGUGGAGGGAUGGAUGAACAGUAGACGGUGGAGGGGUGGUUGAACAGGACCCCGUGGUGUGGAGGGCUGGAUGAAUAGUAGACGGUGGAGGGGUGGUUGAACAGUAGCUGGUGGAGUAGCGCGUGAUGGAGGCUGGAUGAACAGGAGCCCGUGGAGGCUGGAUGAACAGGAGCCCGUGGAGGCUGGAGGAGGUCGACGGUGGAGAUGAACAGUAUCCCGUGGAGUCCCAUUUUGCGGUACUCCACACCCCUCCCGAUCAAUAGGACCCCCGUUUCGACCGUAGCGCUCCAACACAAGUCCGUUUCCUCCGUUUUGCGGUACGCCACACCCCCGAUCAACGGGACCCCCGUUUCGACCGUAGGAGGUCCGUUUCCUCCGUUUUGCGGUACGCCAGACCCCUCCCGAUGAAUAGGAUCCCGUUUCAAACAUGGCCGGUCAAACACAAGGCCGUUUCCUCCAUUCUGCGGUAUGCCAGACCCCUCCCGAUGAACAGGAUCCCGUUUCGAACAUGGCCGGUCGAACACAAGGCCCUUUCCUCCGUUCUGCGGUACGCCAGGCCUCGUUUCCAUCGCCUGUUCCGCCCAAGCCCUCCCGAUGAACACGACCAUGCAUUUCAUUCCGACCCAGCCGGUUGGCUCCCAUGCGUUCCGUUGCCUCCUGAUGAACACGACGCAUUCCGUUGCCUCCCCAUGAACACGACACAUUCCGUUGCCUCCCCAUGAACACGACUACGACGCAGUUUCUCCGUUCCGACCCAGCCAUGUCAACGAGCCCUCGCCGUACGUAUGUGCGAGUAGGCGUUCGAGACCUCGCCCGUAUGUACACACACAUGGUUGUAUUUUCUUUCUUGCACCCUGGCCGCUGUACGUACGUGUACAUGCUACGUGCGCGCCUCUACAUCGACCAGUAUAUAUGUACGUACACGUUCGUGAUCAGAAUGACAAUGCUACGUACGCUUCGACCAGGUGGGUCCCGACUGUCAGACACUUCCUUGCGUGCGAAGAUGUAGCUGGUGGGUCCCAGCAGUCAGGGGGCGAAUCGUUUUGUUUUUUUGCCCAGACGCACUUCCUUGCGUGCGAAGGUGUAGCUGGUGGGUCCCAGCAGUCAGGGGGGAAACGUUUUUUUGCGAAAUAUGGUGGCCCGUCCGGUGGGUCCCCGCUGUCAGGUGGAGGAAUAAUUAUUUUGCGCAUAAUAAGGAGGCACUUCCUUGCUGUGGCCGUGGACCUAGCUGUCAGCAUCUCCACGCACAGUACUCUUCUGAUGGAAGUCGGUCGUUGACCAGAUUGACCACGCCGCGCCGAGAGCACCACAACGGUGGACGACGGCGAGGCCUAGGAAGGGGACGACACGGAGGCAGGGAAGACUCGGCAGUUGUUUCCCACGCGGAGGGGAGUACGACUGUAUGAGGGUUUACUGGUUCGUCUGCCGUCGCCGGAGAAUAACAGCAGGUGUGGGUGAGUAGAGGGAUGGCUAGGCUAGCGAUGGGAGUACGGUGGGGCAGUGAGGCCUGCGCGGCAGCACAGCUGGCCGCGGGGAGGAGGGAGCAGGUAGUCCCGCCGGCGCUUGUUUGAGCGGCUGGAGCAGGAAGAGCAGAUAUUGAAGAAGCACGACGGCCAUUGGAUGGACAUCCAACAGUCAGUGCUUGUGCGUCAACCUUUUUUUAGGAAAGUCUCAAAUCUAUGGAAAAUAGCAUACAACCCAUCUGCCAUUAUUUCUAAUAAUUUACAGCCCAUUUCCUAAUUCUUAAGGUUUUUUUGGAGCCCAUAUUCUUUAUGUUAGCAUUAUAGCCCAUAUUGUGGCCACGGUUAAAAACUUAUACGAAAUUUUGCAUAUUUCGGUGCGGUCCGAACUGUUUUUAAUCCUGAAAUUUUGACUCACAUCCAAACUGAUUUUAAAAAUAAAUGUAUAUCGAUAUAAAAUCCAACAAAUUCUCCAUGCAUAAAAAUUAAUGUAAUUUAAAAUCUUGAAAUGAAAAAAAGAUUUUUGAAACUAAUUGCCGGUUUGAUGUGAUUUAAAAAUGUACAACCCAUUUCUCAUUACUGAUGGGCCAUUUUCUCGGCCAGCCGAAUGAAAGCUCUCCUCGUCUUGAAAGAUUUGCAGCCUAACAUGCCUGAUAAAGUGACUUACUUGGCAAAUCACAAAAAAACUAGGCUGUGGCCAUGGAGCCAGCUGUCAGCCUCUCCACGUACAGUACUCUUCCAAUGGAAGUUGUUCCUUGACCACGUUAACCACGCUGCGCGGAGAGCACCACGGCGGUGGACGACGGCGAGGCCUAGGAAGGGGACGACGCGCAGCCGGGGAAGAUGCGACAGUGGAAGCCCGUGCGGAGAGGAGUAUGAGGGUUCACUGGUUCGGCUGCGGUGUGAGGCUACCGUCGCUGCAGGGCCUGGCCAGCGGUGGGAAUUGUAGGGGGCGGUGAGGCCUCUGCGGUAGCACAGCCGGCCACGGGAGGCAGGAGCAUGCGGCACGACCGGCCCUGCUUUGGGCGGCUGGAGCAAGAAGACCAGAGGUUGAAGAAGCACUAUGGCCGUUGGAUGGACAUCGUACGGUCACUGGAGCUAGAAUCGUUCAUAUUGACUAAGUUGACAAAGCCCUUCGUCCCCGUCAACUUAGUAGGCCCACAAGUCAACCUCCCACCAAGGUGGGUCCCAGCUAGCCGGGGGAGUAUUCAUUUUUUGUGUGUAAUAAGGAGGCACUUCCGAUAGGUCCGAGCUGACAGCGGGGGGACCGUUUUUUUUGCGAAAUACGGUGGCCCGUCCGUGGGUCCCAACAGUCAGGGGAAACGAUUUUUUUCGCAAAAUACUAGUGGCCCGUCUGGUGGGUCCCCGCUGUCAGGUGGAGGAAUAAUUAUUUUUCGCGUAAUAAGGAGGCACUUCCUUGCGGCUGCCGUGGACCCAACUGUCAGCCUCUCCACAUACAGUACCCUUCCGAUGGAAGUCGGUCAUUGACCACAAUGACCAUGCCACGCCGAGAGCACCACGGUGGUGGACGACGGCGAGGCCUAGGAAGGGGACGACGCGGAGCCGGGCAAGAUGCGGCAGUGGAUGCCCACCCGGAGAGGAGUACGAGCAUUCACUGGUUCGGCUACGGUGUGAGGCUGCCGUCGCCGCAGAAUAACAGGAUGUGUGGGUGAGUGGAGGGAUGGCCUGGCCAGUGGUGGGAGUAGUAUGGGGGCGGUGAGGCCUCUGCGGUAGCACAACCGGCCACGGGAGGCAGGAGCAGGCGGCACGACCGUCGCUGCUUUGGGCGGCUGGAGCAAGAAGACCAGAGGUUGAAGAAGCACUAUGGCCGUUGGAUGGACAACAUACGGUCACUGGAGUAUUGACUAAGUUGACAAAGCCCUCCGUCCCCGUCAACUUAGUAGGCUCACAAGUCAGCCCAACAAUAUGGUGGGUCCCAGCUAGCAGGGGGUAUUCAUUUUUUUGGGCGUAAUAAGGAGGCACUUCCUUGCGUGCAAAGAUAUAGCUGGUGGGUCCGACCUGUCAGUGGGGGGAACGUUUUUUCGCGAAAUACAGAGGCCCUUCCUGUGGGUCCUAGAUGUCAGGUGGAGGAAUCAUUAUUUUGCGCGUAAUAAGGAGGCAUUUCCUUGCGUGCGGCCAUGGACCCAGCUGUCAGCCUCUCCACGUAUAGUCCACUUCCGAUGGAUGUUGUUCAUUGGCCACGUUGACCAGGCCGCGCCGAGAGCACCAGGGUGGUGGAUGACGGCGAGGCCUAGGAAGGGAACGACAUGGAGACAGGGAAUACUCGACAGUUGUUUCUCACGCGGAGGAGUAUACGAGGGUUUACUGGUUUGUCUGCCGUCGCCGAAGAAUAACAACAUGUGUUGGUGAGUUGAGGGAUGGCUAGGCCAGUGAUGGGAGUACGAUGGGGCCGUGAGGCCUGCGUGGCAGCAUAGCCGGCCGCGGGAGGAGGGAGCAGGCAGUCCUGCGGGCGCUUGUUUGAGCGGCUGGAGCAUGAAGAGCAGAGAUUGAAGAACCACGACAACCGUUGGAUGGACAUCCAACAGUCACUACUCUCGUGUGUUGACUAAGUUGACAGGGCAUUGCGUGUGCGUCAACCUUUUUUAUGAAAGCAUACACGUCAACCUAUAGUAGGCGCACAAGUCAGCCUCAAAUCUAUGGAAAACAGCAUGCAGCCCAUCUACCAUUAUUUCUAAUAAUGUACAACCCAUUUGCUAAUUCUUAAGAAUUUUUUUGGAGCCCAUCUUCUUUUUGUUAGCAUUACACCCCAUAUUGUGGCCACAGUUAAAAAGUAUACGAAAUUUUGCAUAUUUCGAUGCGGUCAACUGUUUUUAAUCCAGAAAUAUCGGUUCACAUUUAAACUAUUUUGAAAAAUAAUUUAUAUAAAUAUAAAAUCCAAAUAAUUGUCCACGCAUAAAAAUCAAUGGAAUUUAAGAUCUUGUAAUGAAAAAAAAUUGAAACUAAUUCCCGGUUUGAUGUGUUUUAAAAAUGUACAACCCAUUUCUGGGCAAACCGAAUGAAACUCUCCUCGUCUUGAAAGAUUUGCAGCCCAGCAGGGCCGAUAAAGCAAGUAGGCCUUGUUUGGGUAUUUCUUUAAAAAAAAUAGAACUAGGCUAGCCAUUUUCAGCAAGAAAAAAACACAGGGCUCAUGAUGUGGUAAACAUAAAUAAUACCCUGGCUAGACGGGCCAUAGCCCCCGCACAGCCCCGUUGUUACCCUGAUCCGUCGCUAAAACUAGUAUAAAUAACAACUGCUUGUUCCUAAAAAAACUGCGUGACUUGCUGGGUCCCUAGUGUCAGCCGCUCGUAGUGUAAUUCUCUCUAUUAUUGACUACGUUGACAAUGCCGUGAGCCCCAGAUGUCCAAACAUUAGGAGGAACCAUAUUUUUGGGCUUGUACCAUAGAGGCACUUGCUUGUGUACUGCCAUGAAGCUGGUGGGUCCCUACUAUCAUCCUCUCCACGUACAGUCAUCUCCUUGUUCCUCUCGGUUGUUGACGACGUUGACAACGCAAGAGGGCGGCGCACCGCGCACGGCGAGCGAACCAAGGCCGCAAGGCGGAGGACGACGAGGAGGCCUUAGACGGAACGAGGCGCUGCAAAUCCACUUUGCCGCCUCCAAUAACGUCGCUGAAUACGAGGCGCUCAUUCACGGGCUUCGGCUUGCCAAAGAACUCGGCAUUCGCCGGAUCCUGUGUUAUGGUGACUCCGACCUGGUGGUCCAGCAGUCGUCCGGCGACUGGGAUGCCAAAGAUGCAAACAUGGCGAGCUACCGCUUCCUCGUGCAGCAACUCGGUGGAUAUUUCGAGGGGUGCGAGUUCCUCCAUGUGCCAAGAAACGAUAACGACCAAGCAGACACCCUAGCACGAAUCGGCUCCACUCGUCAAGCAAUACCGUCUGGUGUCGCCCUCCAACGCCUCCUCAAGCCGUCUGUCAAGCCUUCACCAGAAUCAGACUCCAUCUUUGUGCCAGCUCCUCCCGAAGAAGUCGGAUCCGACUCAAGAGCCCCAUCAGACGUCACGAGAAUUUUGGCGGGCGGCUCCAGGAUCGCGGUAGUCGAAACUGGCCCGGGGACUUCAGAACCUGGCCCGGGUACUACGGUGGCCAGCCCGGAGACUUCAGGACUCGGCCCGGGGACUGCGCCAAUCAGCCCGGGGACUUCAUCGAUCCAGCAAGCGGCUGCCGACUCCAACCCGCUGCCUCCCGGCCCAGUCGCCCUUGUCCAAGUCGCAGUUCUGAUAGUCGAAGAAAUAACAGCACCCUCAUGGGCCCAGCCCAUCCUCAAAUUCCUGGUGAGCAAAGAGCUGCCAACGGACGAGAUCCUAGCUCGGCAAGUGCAACGCCGAGCAGCAGCCUAUACCAUAGUCAACAGAGAGCUGGUUAGGCGCAGUGUCACUGGCGUCUACCAGCGCUGUGUGGAGCCAGAGCAAGGCCAGGCAAUUCUCAAAGACAUCCAUCAAGGCGAGUGCGGCCACCAUGCAGCUUCAAGAGCACUCGUCGCAAAAGCCUUCCGACACGGUUUCUUCUGGCCGACUGCCUUGGAAGAAGCCAAGGACUUGGUUCAAAAAUGCAAAGGAUGCCAGAAGUUCCGCUCCAAGCCGCAUCAGCCGGCUUCUGCACUCAAGACUAUUCCCAUUGCCUGGCCCUUUGCUGUCUGGGGCUUGGACAUGGUGGGACCAUUCAAGAUGGCAUGAGGCGGCCUGACUCAUUUACUUGUCGUGGUGGACAAGUUCACCAAGUGGAUAGAAGCAAAGCCGAUCAAGAAGUUGAACGGUCUGACUGCCGUGACUUUCAUCUUCGACAUUACAAUCCGGUACGACAUACCACACAGCAUCAUCACCGACAACGGCACAAAUUUUGCCAAAGGUGCCUUGGCCCGUUUCUGCGCGACGCAGGGCAUCCGACUGGACUUAGCGUCCGUUGCCCAUCCGCAGUCAAACGGCCAAGUAGAGCGAGCAAAUGGCCUCAUCCUAUCCGGCAUCAAGCCUCGACUUGUCGAGCCUCUGGAAUGCUCGGCUGGCUACUGGCUCGAUGAGUUGCCAGCCGUCCUCUGGAGUCUGCGCACAACGCCAAACAAGUCAACCGGCUUCACGCCUUUCUUCCUCGUCUACGGCGCCGAAGCCAUCGUCCCAACGGACAUAGAGUUCGACUCCCCACGAGUCACCAUGUACACCAAGGAGGAAGCAUAAGAAGCACGUCAAGACGGUGUCGACCUGCUGGAAGAGGGCCGACUGUUGGCACUCAGCUGGUCCAGCAUCUACCAGCAGAGCCUGCGCCGAGACUACAACCGGAAGGUCAAACCAAGAUCUUUCCAAGAAGGAGACCUUGUGCUCCUGCUGAUCCAGCGAACAGCCGACCAGCACAAGCUCUCAUCACCUUGGGAAGGCCCUUUCAUCAUCAGCAAAGUGUUGGGAAACGAAUCCUACUACCUGAUCGACGCUCAGAAGCCCCGAGCAUGCAAGAGGGACGACUCCGGCAAAGAGAUGAAGCGGCCAUGGAAUGCAAAUCUCCUCCGGAGAUUUUACAGUUAAUGCAGUAUGUACCACACUACCUUUUGUAUUAAAGUACCAAGACUCCGGGCCCCCCGAGAAGAGCUCGGGGACUGCCCUCUUUUAUCUAUAUGAUAAGAAUUAUGCCUACAAGUAUGUUACUCUUUGACAUGCCGCUUGGCACCGGGGUCGACUAGUCUGCCCGGGGACUCGCCGUCUUGCACUAUGAAAUGCUUCCUGCAGCCGGACAAGUAGUGUCACUACUAGGAAAAGGGCUAUAGAUGGAAUUGACACUAAUGGCGCACCAGACAUGUGAUGCGCCAUUACUAUAUACUAAUGGCGCACCAUGUGUUGGUGCGCCAUUAGUGUGCAAAUACUAAUGGCACACCACGUCCAUAGUGUGCCAUUAGUAAUUUUUUUUAAUUUUUUCAAAACUACUAAUGGCGCACCGUGGGAGUGGUGCGCCAUUAGUAAGAAAGAAUUUUUUUUCAAAACUACUAAUGGCGCACUGUGGGAGUGGUGCGCCAUUACUAGUUGAACUAGUAAUGGAGCACCAUGCCACGGUGCGCCAUUAGUAACUUGGCCCAAACAUUCGCCCGAAUGCACCCCCCCUCGGUGGACCGCCUUUUCAGUUUCAAAAAAUAAAUAAAAGAAAAUGAUAGAAAUGUCAAAAAAAUAAAAGAAAAUAAAAUUCCCAUGUGAUAUGUGGUCUAGUUGUUAGCAAAAUUUACAUACAUGAAUUUUCGACUUUUUUGCAAAUUCUCUCGAGAAUUUGUAAAAAUGGGCAUAACUUUUGCGUACGAACUCAGAUUAAAAAGUUUUUUAUAUGAAAAAUCAUCUACUCGAAAAGUUACAUCCGAAUUUAACUGGGGGGGGAUCCCCGUUAAAAUUUUUCAAAAUCCUCAAAAACCUAACAGAAAAAAAGAUACGGGGCUUUUAAGAUCUGGAGAGGCAAAAAAAAUCAGAAAAAUUCAAACUUACUAAUGGCGCACCUACCCAUGGUGCGCCAUUAGUAUCUUCCCGCCUUAAAAAUUCAAAAUAAGUCAAAAAAAUAAAAAAGUUACUAAUGGCGCACCUGCCCAUGGUGCGCCAUUAGUAUCUUCCCGCCUUCAAAAUUCAAAAUAAAUCAAAAAAUAAAAAAAAGUUAGUAAUGGUGCACCUGCCCACGGUGCGCCAUUACUAUGUCGUAUAUAUGACUGGGCGCACCUCCUCCACUCCACCUCUCCUCCACUCCAUCUCCUCCUCUCCUCCACUCCAUCUCCUCCUCUCCUCCACUCCAUCUUCCCUUCUCUCCUCCACCAUACUACCCUCCUCCUCUCCGACGACCUCCUCCUCCUCCUCUCCGGCGACCUCCUCCUCCNNNNNNNNNNNNNNNNNNNNNNNNNNNNNNNNNNNNNNNNNNNNNNNNNNNNNNNNNNNNNNNNNNNNNNNNNNNNNNNNNNNNNNNNNNNNNNNNNNNNNNNNNNNNNNNNNNNNNNNNNNNNNNNNNNNNNNNNNNNNNNNNNNNNNNNNNNNNNNNNNNNNNNNNNNNNNNNNNNNNNNNNNNNNNNNNNNNNNNNNNNNNNNNNNNNNNNNNNNNNNNNNNNNNNNNNNNNNNNNNNNNNNNNNNNNNNNNNNNNNNNNNNNNNNNNNNNNNNNNNNNNNNNNNNNNNNNNNNNNNNNNNNNNNNNNNNNNNNNNNNNNNNNNNNNNNNNNNNNNNNNNNNNNNNNNNNNNNNNNNNNNNNNNNNNNNNNNNNNNNNNNNNNNNNNNNNNNNNNNNNNNNNNNNNNNNNNNNNNNNNNNNNNNNNNNNNNNCCUCCUCCUCCUCUCCGACAACCUCCUCCUCCCUCCUCUCCUCUCCUCCCCUCCCCUCACGGUUUCUCCUACCUCCUCUCCGGUGAGCUCCUCCUCCCUCCUCUCCUCCCAUUCCCUCAUGGUUUCUCCUUCCUCCUCUCUGAUGCUUCGGUGAACUCCUCUCCGGCGACCUCCUCCUCCUUUCCAGCGAUGUAGGCGAGCGCCUCUCCGGUGACCUCCUCCUCCUCCUCUCCGGCGAACUCCUCUCCGGCAAAAGAACACGACAAAAGAACGUACAAGAUCCAAAAACAGGAACACAAUUUGAAAUAAUAUCGUGCCAAAAAGCGAGCAAAAAAACGAGCAAAAAAUGGGCAAAAAAUCACGAUCCAGAUCCAAAUUCAAAAUUCAAAAAUAGCAAUGGCGCAUGGUGGGGGUUAGACGGCGCCACUACUAUUUUCCCGCCUUCAAAAUUCAAAAAUACUAAUGGUGCACCGUGGCCUAUACUAAUGGCGCACCGUGGCCUAUACUAAUGGCGCACUAGUGGUGCACCAUUAGUAAAAAAUACUAGUGGCGUGAUACUAAUGGCGCACCAGUGAUGCGCCAUUAGUAGGCAAAACUGGUGCGCCAUUAGUAGCCCUUUUCCUAGUAGUGUGUGUGGCACCUAAGCCGUCUCCUGUCAGAAGCCGCAGCUUGCAGAGCGACUGUCUGGUGAGCAGGAGUAAGGUAGAAUGGGCAUCCACAUGAAAAAUGGCUAAGGACUCAAAGCAUAAACAUAGCUUAAGCCGGCUUCUAGCCUUCUUUCGCAAACCGUCUCUUGAGCAGUCGGCUCGUCGCCUUCUAUUCAACUUGCUAAAAAAACUCUAAACGGCUAAGUACUUGCCUUCCCAAAGUAGCCAAGUACUUGACCCAGCAGCAAUCCGCAGAGCGGCUGUUCGGCUGACAAGUCGGCAAUUAAGCGAAGGCAGCAAAGGAAAAAGCCAAAAGAGCAAUAAGCAAGAAGAGAUAGAACUCGGAUGAAUAUUUACAUAACAAAGGCCCUUGGCCGAAUCUUCGAACAGAAGUUCAAAAUACACCCUGCGGGUGGAAUUGUGCGAAUUAACAAGUUCUUCAAAGACUAUUAAGAAGAUAAAACAAAGAUAAGGUGGCAGCCUAGGAAGCAGCAGACGGGUUCGGAGGAUCGGAGGAUAUGGCGGUGCCAGUUGUUGGGGCGGCCGGCUGGUCGGUCUCAGCUUGAUCACCUCCGGUGGCAGCCGGCUUGGUCGGGUGCGGCUCGUUGCUGGAGGCGUGGUCGAGCUGAGGCUGGCUGUCCGCUCCGUCUUAUGGUGCCUCCAUCUCGCCUUCCUCCUUGACGCUGGAGCCGAUCACCUCCGCCGAGUCCUCGCCAUAGUCUGGGUUCAUCCCGAACCACUCCGGCGGCGCCUCCUUGCCGUCUUCAGCCCGCUCAGGGACGAAGAUGCUGGUGUCAGUGUACUCGACGAUCGACGCCGCACACUUGACGAGGGCGUCUUCCAGGACAGCCAGCUCCACCUGGGCCUCUAGCCGGAGUGUGGUGAGCCGGUCUAGAUCCAGCCCAGGAUACCAUGCCUUGACGAACUCCAAGGCCCGGCGCACUCCAGCCCAGGCCGAGGAGCCCUUCCAGGCCUCAAGACGGCCAGCCACGACCUCUAGCCAGUCGGCAGUCCGACUGGGAGUGCGCGGAGCCUGCAUGUCCGGCCAUAGGGCAGUGAUUGCCUAGACGCCGACAUGUUGAAGCCAGCGCAGCAUCCGGUGGGCCGGCCGAAGGCGGGCCUUAAUGCUGAGGAUCUGCUCAUCGAGAGUUCGGGGGGCGUCGGCGGCGAUCUCCGCGCCAUCCAGCCUCCGUCCCUCGCGAUCAACCUCGAUGGCUUGAUUGGCGGCCUGCGAGUGGCCGGGGAAGAAGUCUGCCAAGACGAAAGAACGAAGAACAAGUAAAAAACUAGAAGUCGGCUCAACCUAUAGUCGGCAACUCAAAGAAGAAAAAUGAGGAAACUCACCAUCGACGAGAUCCUCGAUCUCAUGGAAGCCGGAGGUCAGCAGCGCCUCCUUGUCAGUUCAAGAGGAGCGCUCGCUUGCAAACUUAGCCAGGAGGGCAGUCUCCUUCUGCUCCGCCUCAUCCUGGGUCUUCUUGAGCAGCUCCUUCUGCUCUACCAAUUGCGCGACCAGCAGGUCGCGCUCUGCGGCCAGCUUGCUGCACUCCUCCCCCUUGACACGCAGCGCGGUGUUGGCCUCGCCCAAUUGCUGCUGCAGAGUGGCGUUGGCCUCUGAAGGAAAGAAGAAAGAGGGCAUUAGUCGUCAACAAAGAAGGUCGCCGGGGAGAUCCGUCCCGACUGCUCAGCAGUCGGCCCGAAUCUCGGGGACUACAGCCCGCGGGUGCGCCAGUGCGCCCCCGCAGAAAAGAAAGAAGACUUACUCUGGCUCUCCGACAAGUCGGCGGUCCGCUUGCCCAGCUCUUCGACGUUGCGAUUGAAGGCGGUCACACGAAGAUUGUGAUAGUACUGUGACAAGCGUUUCAGACAAACGUUAGUACUUGGAACUCGGCAAUUAGAGUUCCGACCCGCCUGCUCAGCAGCCGGCCCGAAACUCGGGGACUACACCCAGUGGGUGUGCUGGCGCGCCCCCACAGAGAUGAAAAAGAAAAACAAACAACACAAGAAGGAGGAGACGUACCCGGAUGGCCGUCCGCGACGCCAGAUGCGCCUUGGUACAGUUCUGGAUGGCGUCGCCCUUAGCUCGGAGCUUGGUUUGGACAUCUAGAAGCGCCUGAUUCAGCGGACCCGUCCCGCCUCCUCACACCCACCCAGUGGGCGUGGCGCUCGUCGCCUCGGCGUCUGGGAUCGUCGAGCUCGCGACGCCGGUCUCCAAAGGGCGCGGCGCCGAAGUCGCCUUCGCAAGUCGGCGACGCGUCGGCGUGCCGACCUGAAGAAGCAGGCCCGCCACGACCUCGUCUUCAGUCGGUGGCACUGGCGGGACAGCCGGCAGCUCGCCUAGCGCGCUUCCAGACGGCGGCGGCGGCACAACCACGUCCGGUAUAAGGUCGUCGCCACCUUCCCCCUCCAUGAUCGGGUACUCGCCGCCGGCUUCCCCUGACUGCCCCAUGAACUCCGGAGGUGGCGGCGCAGAGUUCCGUGGGGUGACAAACACCACCGAUUGGCGGUGCACGGCUUCCUCAGCCUGCCGCCUUGACGCGACGGCGGUCUCGGCCUCUUCCAGUUUCUUCUUGGCGGAGGCCUCCGCCUUCUCGGCCUCCGCCUUCUCGGCCUCCGCCUUCUCCAGGCGGGAGGCCUCCUCCUCUUCGCGCUUCUCUUGCACGUUCCACUCCGUCGCCUCCUGGAGGUCGGCGGCGGGGUCAACCCGCUGAGUGGUGGCGGACGUCUCCGCCGACCCCAUGACGGAGGGGGCGGCGCCCCUCUCAAGAGUGAGGGGAGCCCUGAAGCAAGGGAAGCAAGUAAAGACUCUGGCAAAAGCUACAAGGAAAGAAUAAAAGUAGAAAGAUGGAGUACUCACGCGGAGACCAGCGGCGGCUUCUUCACUUCCUUGCGGAAGCGGAUGGCCUUCGCGGUCGCCUCGUCCCGCUUGGUUGCCGCGGCCGAGCUCUUGGGUUUCUUCGGUCGACUGCCGAACAAGCUCGGCACGGCCCUGCGUUUCCUCGCGCCUCCUUGAGCGUUCGGCGUGGCAUAAGAGCUCGCGCCGGGCUGGCCGGCUCUUGGCUGGUGGCGGGGGACGACUUCCUCAUCAUCAUCAGGCCAGUCCUCUAGACUGGCCCCGAGCCGCGGGCCGCCUCCUUCCUCGGCGUCGUCUUCCAAAGCCGCCGCCCCCAGAUUGGGGUCAUCUAUGUUGCUUUCCGCCCGGUCGGCGAGGAACUCGCGGGCUGGCCCUGCGGUGCCGGCUGACGGAUGGAGGAGGGGAUUCUGACCAAAGCCGACUGGUCAGGUCGGACAAGAUGAACUUGGCAAGAAAGAAGACAAGUUAAAGAAAGAAAGAAAGGGGCAACUCACUAUAGGCGGGGGGUUAGCGCGAGAGUAUGGCUCCUUGCCGAACUGCCAAUCUUCUAGGAUCUUACUGUCCGAGAGGUAGUUCACCAUGUAGACCACCUCCUCGUGAGGCAUGUCCUUGGUGCACAUCCGGCUCGGGUCUCGGUGCCCGCUCAUUUGGCAUAUCAUGUGGAGGCGACCUUGGAGUGGGAGGACUCGGCGUGCCACGAAGGCGGCCAGCAGAUCCGGACCGGUCAGGCCCUCCGUCUGCGUCAGCACUCGGAGUCGCGUGAUGGCGCCGGCUCCUGCAGGCGUCAGUGACUUGGCCCGGUACGACCAGUUGGGCAGCCUCCCAGCCGGCGGGCCAGCUACGAAAGCCGGCAGAUUGACCCAAUCACCCUCCGUGAAGACGCUCUUCACAUAGAAGUACGAUCGCUGCCACAUCUGCACCGACUUUAUCAGCUUGAUGGUAGGGAAGGGGUUGUCGGCCCCCGGCCUCCACACGAUGAUGAACGCGUCGCACUGAGCCGGCACGCCUGCGGCCUGGGUGCCGAGCUUGGAGAAGAAGAACUCCCCCCAGAGCUCGAUGGCGGGGAGGACUCCGAGGAUGCCCUCGCACAGGGCGACAAAGGCGGACAACAGCACCACCGUGUUGGGCGUGAGGUGGUGGGGCUGGAGGCCAUAGAACUCGAGGAAGGAGAGAAAGAAGCGGCACGUCGGCAGGCCCAGGACGCGCAGGCAGUGCGAGCGGAAGAUGACCCGCUCGCCCUCCUCCAGCGCCGGCGAGAUUUCCCCCUCGUUGCAAGGCGCACCCGCACGUAAUCCUUGCCGGGGAGCCGACGUAUCUUGCGGAGGAAAUCGAUGUGGUCAUCGUGGACCUCUGAGCCAUCCCAGGUGCCGGAGUGCACUGAGGGGGCACGGCGGCGGAGGAAGAGCUCAUUGUGAGUGGAUCACCGUGGCACUCGGGAAACCUCGGGGCGCGGCGGUGCGAGGAAGAAGAAGAAGAGCGAGGAGUAGCAUGGGGGAGGGGCGCGCGUGCUCAGCCGCUCUCCCCUCUUCCCCUACUUAUAGCCUCAUGGGCUGCGAAGCCGAGGGGUCGGUCGUGGGAUUUGCUGCGCCACGACACCAUGACCCCCCACGUUUAUCGCACGGAGUUACUGCGCGCAGUAACUCCGUGGGAACCCCAACCGUCCGCUACGGCCGCAACGGAUCCGCUCGUGCGUCGAGGCACGGUAGUGGCGGGCCCCGCCUGAAGACUUGUCCCGUCACGUGCGUGGGCAGGCAGACUGGCCUGCCCGCGCGCUGCCACGUGACAGGCCCAAAUCGGGCGGCGGCCUGGAGGCUUAGCCAUCACGCCACUUGGAUCACGCCAGGGCGUUCGAAAUAUUGGACAAAUCAGAGAUGGGCGAGUCCGACUCCUUUUAGUCGGCCCGGCAGAAGUCAAGCAAGAUACAUGUCUCGAGCACCUGGAGAGAGAAACUGCUGAGGCUCCCCAGCCGAUCGUCCGCGGCGCCUCACCAGCUUCGAGGACUACUGUCGGAGUAAUGGGCCAUGGGUAGGCUAACCCGAAGCCCAGAACCUUUAAAGACAUCAGGGCAGGGUGCGCCCCUCGAAGAUGCCACGACGAAUAGCCGCCUUCUAGAAGUCGACCGGAGGAACGGCUGACUCCCCCCGCAGCCGAGUCCUGGAGGCGAGUUCAAGUCACGCCGACUCCGAUCUGGCGGCUUCCAGAGAGGCCGGCCACCAGGAGUCAGCCCCUGGCACCAACAAAUACCCGUGCCCUCAUCAAGAGGGACGGGACGGGGAGUGGCUACAGUGAAGCCCACUCCCUCCCCUUUCCAAGGGCAGGCGUGGCCACAGUGCGCCGUACCCGCAGAGAUCUCUGUCUGGCACGACACUGUUGCCAUGCUGGCCCUGACAUUAGCACUAGUGGGCAGGGUCCUGCACCCACGACGGCCUGUCUGUACGACCCAGGGAUGACGGGUCCCGCCAAUCAGCGGGAGUCCAGAAGACGGCGAGAGCACCACCAGUCGGACCCGUUGGGAGUCGGCCCGCCCCUCCCACGGGCCCCACACACCAUUAACCAGACGAGACGGGGAGUGGCAACAAUGAUCGCUCGCCAAGCGGCAGUGCUGUUGCCACGACCCCAUGACCAAGCCCACAUCGUUAGAAGCACGGCUACAGUAAUUAGCAGCCUUGCCCUCUCCUACCUCCAGGAAGCAGCUCGAGGAGCAACCUUGUACUCACUUUGCCAUAGUGAUCAUGCAGAGACCCCGCAGAGCAGGACUAGGGGUGUUAUCUCCUAGGAGAGCCCCGAACCUGGGUAAAGUACGCCGGCGUUUGUGUCUACGCCUCAACCCGCUUCCAGGCACCGACGACGUUCUACUUGCUCCCACCAUGAUAAGCCAUCCUUUGGCAUAUGUCGCACCCAACCCCCGACACAAAGCAAGUAUGUGGAGAAGAAGUACCUUUUACUAACCCAGGUUCGGAGUUGCCCAGGGGCCUUUGCAGAUCUACCAUGCAGCGUGUCCGAUGCUACAGAGUUUUUCCGAGAUGGAGAAGGGAAUUCCACAGAGAACCUGUUCUAGUCGCAGUAUGAUGUGCCAGAACAUCCGGUGCCCUUUGCCGAUCAGCUAAAACAGUUGGUCGAGCUGCACAGGGUGGCCGAACUGGCCAUGAAGGAUUUAAUAAUCUGGCUUUGGCCAGCCGAAGCUAUACCUAGUAGUCAUUUUGGCCUCGUGAAGCGGAUGAUGGAGGCUUGUCCGCGGCUAGACAUUGUCAAGCGAUCAGUCUGCAUCGAAGGUGCCCGCAUGGCCUUCACUUGUUGCAAGUUGUGGCGGGCGAAGAUGGACGCCAUCGAGGUGGCCAAGGGGCCGCCGGAGGGCAAGGAGCACCGCACACCCGAGCGAUAUUUUGCGGAUUUCCUGGAAGGGUCUAGACUUGCAGCAACGCAGUGCGGGCAGGACAUUAUUUUCGAAUGAAGACAUUUGUUUUUGUCUUUGCCUUGUAUGAUGAAAACAAAUCCAGUUUGUAAUAUAAUGUUUGUUAUGUUUUGAUUGUUUCCUCCUGUGCGGCCGUGUUGUAUGGAAUUUGAGGGUUGACCAGUCGUUGGCUUCUUCCCUCACGUAGGUAGUACGGAGGUGUUCGGGAUGGAAUCUGAACAAUCUUGAUCCAAUUAUAUGGUCCUUGAAGGAGUUGUUUAGCACAACGAACCAGGCAAUCAGACUAUGCGGCUUAAACGCCCUCACUUAGCCAUAGGAGUUUUAUAAUAAAACAUAGGCGCAGCCCCUAGUAUACGAACCAGAGUGCUGUCAGCGUCUGAUCGGGAAGUACCGAUCCUUCGCGAAAUGCGGAAAAACUGACCUCCGAACAGCUGACCGGCUCUCGCCGCAUCAUGACAGUCAGUUUUCGGCUUUCUCUACUAAGGUGCUCAUCCGGUUUAGACCAGGGCACAAUCGCAGUAGUUCUCCCUUUACUACCCUAGCCGAUGUAGCGGAACAUAGGGUAGCAAGCACAGGAGCUGGGCAACCCAACUAUUGACCAAAGACAUGAUUCGGAGCCAAUGCAUAUAAUGCUAAAUUCGGGGUGCCGAACUUAUCUAUAAGAAGUGUUUGGACUUUGUUGCCAUAUUAUGGGGCGAUGAGAAGCCCCUGGCAAAUAUGAGACGUGCCAAAGUGCACGUGUGCGAGUAUAUAAGUGACUAAUAGCAACGGGAAACAGAAAAAGAGCAGAGGUAGUAUCUGGGGCCCCUUGACAUGGGCCGUAAAAUGUUUCCAUUAUAAUUGGGUUAAUGCGUCAAAGCACAUUUAUAAAAUAAUGCAAUAAGCGACCGACUAUUUAACAUGCCAGAACCAGAGGAGAGCUGCAUUUGGGUACUGAAAAACAGGUAGAGUAGUCAUUGGAUUGUCCUUUAGGGCUUCCCCUAUAUGCAUGUGCUCUGCGCCAAUCUAGUGUACUUGUCCUUUGACAGGACCGGUAAGCAGGCCGUCGAAGGGGGCUAGUGAGUCCGGGAUUGGUGUAGCCGAACUACGAGCUAACUGUGCCUCCGUCGAUGCCCAUAGGAUUUUGAGUGCGUAAUUAUGUAUGCGUGGUGCGGAUGCCGCUACCUCAUCAGGACUGGGACGGAGGCCGAAUUGCUAAUCGAGCUCUUGACGAGCCGUGUUGUCCUGUUGUAGUGUGGUCCGGACUCUCUUUGUGAUGUCCAGGGGCUCGGCGGCCGGAUUACGGUUCUGCUUGAGAAGGCCGCUCUAUACCUCUGCUGCUAGGGCGGCUGUGUGCUCCUCUGUUCAGAGGGAGCGUUGCAUGUUUCCAUUGACUGUUAUGACGCCGCGUGGACCGGGCAUCUUGAGCUUGAGAUAAGCAUAGUGUGGCACUGCAUUGAAUCUAGCAAAUGCAGUUCGUCCAAGCAGUGUGUGGUAGCCGCUGCCGAAGGGGACGAUAUUGAAGAUUAACUCUUUGCUUUGGAAGUUGACCGGAGAACCGAAGACCACUUCCAGCGUGAUUGAGCCCGUAUAAUGGGCCUCUACAUCUGGUAUGACUCCUUUAAAGAUAGUCUUUGUGGGCUUGAUUCGUGAGGGAUUAAUGCCCAUUUUGCACACUGUAUCAUGAUAGAGCAGGUUGAGGCUGCUACCACCAUCCAUUAGGACUCAUGUUAGGUGAAAUCCAUCGAUGAUUGGGUCGAGGACCAGUGCGGCCGAACCGCCAUGGCGGAUACUAGUGGGAUGAUCUCGAUGAUCGAAGGUGAUCGGGAAUGAUGACCAUAGAUUUAAUUUUGGGGCGACUGGCUCUACCGCGUAGACGUCCCUGAGUGCUCGCUUGCGCUCCCUUUUGGGGAUGUGUGUAGCGUAUAUAAUGUUCACUGUUUUGACUUGAGGGGGAAAUUUCUUCUGCCCCCCAGUGUUCGGCUGCCGGACCUCUUCAUCCUCAUCCUCACUUUGUGAUCCCUUUUCUUUGCUCUCGGCAUUUAACUUGCCAGCCUGUUUGAAAACCCAACAAUCUCUGUUUGUAUGAUUGGCUUAUUUGUCUGGGGUGCCAUGUAUCUGGCACGGACGGUCGAGUAAGCGGUCUAAGCUGGAUGGUCCCUCAUUGUUCCUUUUGUAGGGCUUCUUCCGUUGACCGGACUUGGAGCCGCUGAAUCCGGCGUUAACUGUGGUGUCAUCGAUGUUAUCGCCAUUGCUUCGGCAUUUGUGUCUAUUGCGCCGGAGCUUGCCGGUGCUGUUCUUGGCCUCGGAGGGGCCUUCGCUGGCUGUGUUUUUACUACGAGCUAGCCAGUUGUCCUCACCCGCGCAAAAGCGGGUCAUGAGUGCUGGGAGGGCUGCCAUGGAUUUCGGCUUUUCUUGGCCUAGGUGGCGGGCGAGCCAUUCGUCACGGAUGCUGUGUUUGAAGGCUGCUAGGGCUUCGGCAUCCGGACAGUCAACGAUGUGGUUCUUUUUGGUUAGGAACAUAGUCCAGAAUUUUCUGCCUGAUUCUCCAGGUUGUUGGACUAUAUGACUUAAGUCAUCGGCAUCUGGUGGCCGGACAUAAGUACCUUGGAAGUUGUCAAGAAAAGCUUCUUCCAAGUCCUCCCAGCUGUCGAUGGAAUAUUUGGGCAGGCUAUUUAGCCAGUGUCUAGAUGGCCCUUUUAAUUUUAGUGGGAGGUAUUUGAUGGCGUGGAGGUCAUCUCCUCGAGCCAUAUGGAUGUCGAGAAUAAAAUCUUCGAUCCACACUACGGGAUCGGUUGUUCCGUCGUAUGAUUCAAUAUUGACGGGCUUGAACCCCUCGGGGAAUUCGUGAUCGAGUACUCUGUCUGUGAAGCAGAGAGGGUGUGCAACGCCUCUAUAUCGGGCCACGUCAUGGUGCACCUUCGGUGAAGUCCGUCUGCAGUUAUCGUCCCGGGCGUAUGUAGGUUUGUCACGUCCAAAUAGGUAGCCGUCAUCCCGAGUCGGGAAGCGUCCUCGCGAUCCAUAGAUUGAUCUGCUGUGUCCUGCUCUGCUGUCCAGGUCCUUCCGAAGGUCAUAUGUAUGGUCCCGAGUUGUUCUGUCUCUGUUUUUAUGAGGCAGUGGGGCGGGCUGUUGUUCGGCCUGAGUUGUCAGUUUAUCCCGACCACGGGGUAGCCGGUCUGCCGCACUAUCCCGACCACGUGGUGGUCGUUCUGCAUUGCGUGAGGGAGGUACGGGAUCUGGUGCCUCCUCGUCGAACUGAGGUAGCAGUCUACGCUUCGGGUAACUCUUGGCUGGGCGCUUGAGGCCAUAUUCUUCGGCUGCUUGGACAUCGGUCCGUCUGUCAAUGAGUACGUCUUGAUCGGCUUGGAGCUGCUGCUGCUUUUUCUUCAGGCUUCUAGCAGUAGCUAUUAGCUGGCGCUUGAAGCACUCUUGCUCGAGGGGUGCCUCAGGCACGAUGAAAUCCUCGCUGCCGAGGCUCUCCUCAUCUUCGGAGACUGGACGAUAACUAUCGUCAUCCGGGUCGUUGGGCAUGGCUUGUUUAUCAGGGUUAACUUGACCGUUGUCUUGUUCCUCCUGUUCGGAUGCUGCUUCAACAGGGUCUUCAUUGUUUUCGGCGUCGCCCAAAGUACUAUUUUCUCCGGUGCCAGUGUUGCCAUCUUUUGAGCGACGAGGCUUAGAACGGCGUUUAGGACGCCGGUGCUUGGACUAUGUCUUAGAAGGUUUAUUCACAACUGGAUCUUCAGUGUCAUCGUUGCUAGCCUUUUUAGGUGUGUCAACCAUGUACACAUCGUACGAAGAGGUGGCCGUCCAACGUCCAGUGAAUGGCGGGUCUUAGCCUUGCUCCUUGUCGGCAUCGUCGUCCAUACCGUCGAUGUCUUCGGAGCCAUAAUCGAGCAUGUCGGUUAAGUCAUCGACAGUGGCUAUGAAGUGGAUGGCGGGUGGGAAGCAAAAUUCCCAUCGUCAGCCUCUAGUUCGAACCGAACAUAGUUCGGCUGUGAGUCUUUCUCCAAGGACAAAUUCUUUAAAGAGUUUAGCACGUCACCCAAAGGUGAGUGCUGGAAGAUGUCUGCGACGCUGAAUUCAAAAAUCGAUAACCGAUCUAGCUCGGUGCCCGCAGGCGUACAUGGUCCGGAACUUAUAACCGGAGACGAGUCCGGAGUUCCAUUGACGCAAGUAUUGUAGGGUGCCGAGUCUGUGUGCGGCUCCAACGCCGUGGACUCUGUGGCCUUGGAUGGCAUGAUCUUCUUCGGUUCUAAGGCCGUUGCAGCAACAGGAACCAUCUCCCGGAUGUGAUCCGAUGACAGGUUUAAGUCACGUUCAUCGGAGCGUGGGGGAGCGAUCGUCGCGGUCUCAAAUCCAUCGAGGCUCAGGUCUCCGCGGACGUUCGUGAUGUAGUUCAAGCUUCCAAAUCUGACCUGAUGGCUAGGGGCGUAGCUAUCGAUCUGCUCCAGAUGGCCAAGCGAGUUGGCCCGCAGUACGAAGCCACCGAACACGAAGAUCUGUCUAGGGAGGAAGGUUUCUCCUUGGACGGCGCACUAUUGACGAUUGAAGGGGCCAUCGAACCUUUCAUCGACGACACAUUGGAACUCUGAAUGAAAGCACCAAUGUCGGUGUUAAAACCGGCGGAUCUUGGAUAGGGGGUCCCGAACUGUGCAUCUAAGGUCGAUGGUUGCAGGAGACGGGGGACUUGAUGUUUACCCAGGUUCGGGCCCUCUCUAUAGAGGUAAUACCCUACUUCCUGCUUGAUUGAUCUUGAUGAAUAUGAGUAUUACAAGAGUUAAUCUACCACGAGAUCGUAAUGGCUAAACCCUAUAAGUCUAGCCUGUAUGACUAUGGUAAUGAAUAUCCUUUUCGGACUACACCCUUCGGUUUAUAUAGAGACCGGGGGGGUCUAGGGUUACAUAGAGUCGGUUACAUAGGAAGGAAUCUUCAUAGUUGAUCGCCAAGGUUGCCUUCCACGCCAAGGAUAGUCCAAUCCAGACACGGGUGCAGUCUUCGGCCUUCGUGCCUUCACAGCCCAUCAGUCCGGCCCAUGGAUAAUAGGCCGGACGCCCGAGGACCCCUUAGUCCAGGACUCCCUCACCCAAGACAUCAUUUACCACAAGGUAUGGGCUAUAUGAGUACACGGUCAUGUCAUUUGGUUUGACUAACGCCCCUGCCUACUUUAUGAGUAUGAUGAAUAAGGUGUUCAUGGAGUUCUUGGAUAAGUUUGUCGUGGUGUUCAUUGAUGAUAUAUUGGUGUACUCAAAGAAUGAAGAAGAACACAAGGAACAUUUGCGCUUGGUUCUCGAGAUGCUCCGGGAACAUCAGCUAUAUGCCAAGUUCAGCAAAUGUGAGUUUUGGUUGAAGGAAGUCGGAUUUCUCGGACAUUUUAUAUCCGGAGAAGGUAUAGCAGUAGAUCCUUCAAAGGUUUAGUCUGUUACCGAGUGGUUGGCACCCACCUCAGUUGGAGAGAUACACAGUUUUCUUGGACUCACAGGAUAUUAUCGGAGAUUCAUUGAGAAUUUUUCCAAGAUUGCAAAGUCCAUGACGGAGUUAUUGAAGGACACCAAGUUCAUAUGAGUUGAAGAAACGUUUAGUUACAACCCCAGUGCUAAUUCUUCCGGCUAUACACAAGGAUUUCCAUGUAUAUUGUGAAGCUUCACGACAGGGACUUGGAGGCAUUCUUAUGCAAUAAGGAAGAGUUGUUUCAUAUGCCUCACGACAGCUUCGACCUCAUGAGUUGAAUUAUGCCGCGCAUGACUUGGAGUUAGCAGUCGUAGUGCAUGCGCUCAAGACCUGGAGACAUUUUCUUAUUGGAAAUCGUUGUGAUGUUUACACAGACCAUAAGAGUUUGAAGUACAUUUUCACGCAGAAGGAUUUGAACCUCAGGCAGAGGAGAUGGUUGGAGCUCAUAAAGGAUUAUGACAUGAAACUGCAUUAUCAUCCAGGAAAGGCCAAUGUUGUAGCAGAUGCGUUGAGCCGCAAGAGUUAUGUUAACACCCUCAUAACCAGAGGAUUACCCCAUGAGUUAGGCGAAGAUCUCAGAGAACUUCGAAUGGAGAUAGUUCCGAGAGGUUUUGUUGCACCGUUGGAAGUUCAGUCCAUGUUGUUGGGAAAGAUUUGAGAAGCACAGAAGACAGAUAAGGAGAUUGCGGAGAUAAAAGAAAAGAUGAGUAAAGGAAAGGCCAAAGGAUUUCGUGAGGAUGAACACGAAACUUCAUAGUUUGAGGAUCACAUCUAUGUGCCCAACGACCCAGAGAUUGGGAAGUUAAUUCUUUAGGAGGCUCGUGAUUCGCCAUACUCAAUUCACCCAGGCAACACCAAGAUGUAUUUGGAUUUGAAGGAACCUUUCUGGUGGACAGGUAUGAAGAAGGAUAUUGCCGAGUAUGUAGCAAUAUGUGACGUAUGUUAGAGAGUUAAGGCAGAGAAUCAGAAGCCAGCAGGAUUACUUCAGCCUUUGCUGAUACCCAAAUGGAAGUGGGAUAAGCUUGGCAUGGAUUUCAUCACCGGAUUACCCAGGACACGCUCUGACUCCAUCUGGGUUGUAGUUGAUCGCUUGACCAAAGUGGCACACUUUAUCCCCGUGAAAACUACUUAUACGAGUGUGAAGUUAGCCAAGAUAUAUAUGACCAGGAUCGUAUGUCUGCAUGGAGUUCAGAUAGAGGAACACAGUUUACUUCGAAGUUUUGGAAUCAGUUAUACCAGACUUUGGGUACCAGGCUAGAGUUCAGUACAACCUUUCAUCCAUAGACAGAUGCGAUCCAGAUUCUAGAGGACAUGUUGAGAGCUUGUGCGCUAGAUUAUGGAUCUAGUUGGGAUGAUAAUUUUCCUUACAUAGAGUUCUCGUACAACAACAACUACCAAGCUAGUUUGAAGAAGGCCCCUUUUGAAGCUUUGUAUGGAAGGAGGUGCAGGACACCAUUGAUGUGGGAUGAAGUUGGAGACCGACAAUUAUUUGGGCCAGACUUAAUUAGAGGGUCUGAGGAGAAGGUCAAGUUGAUUCGUGAUAGACUCAAGGUAGCCCAGUCCAGGCAGAAGAGUUAUAUCGAUACUAAAUGCAAGGAGGUAACAUAUGAAGUAGGAGACAGAGCAUAUCUUCAUGUGUCACCACUUUGAGGAGUUAAACGAUUUGGAGUUAAAGGAAAGUUAGCCCCACGAUUUGUAGGACCAUACCGAGUUUUGGAACGUAUGGGUGAAGUUGCCUACAAGUUGGAGUUACCCGAAGGUUUGUCAGGAGUUCAUGAUGUGUUUCAGGUUUCCCAGUUGAAGAAAUGCCAUGCAAAGAUGGCCUAUAAUCCUCUGAGAGAUACAGUGUGCCUGGAAGCAAUUCAGUUGGAGAGUGGCCUGACCUAUGAGGAGAAACCCGUCAGGAUUCUCGAGUUCGCCAACCGAGUUACACGCAACAAGGUCAUCAGGUUUUGCAAGGUUCAGUGGAGCCACCAUACCGAGGAGGAAGCCACCUGGGAGCGAGAAGAAGACCUCCGGGAAGACCACCCACACCUUUUUGCUAGCCAACCCGAAUCUCAAGGGUGAGAUUCAUCUUAAGGGGGGUAGGUUUGUAACAUCCCAAUUUUCAAUUUGGAUGUUAUUCAUUAGGUCAUCAUAUGCAUCCAUAAUUUGUGUAUCUUUGAAUUUGUUUUAUUUGGAAUUUUGAUCCUCGAAGCCUUAAGCAACUCAAGGACCAAUUGAGAGAGAGUUGGAGGUUUUCACGAAAACCCAUUUUUGAAUUUUCAAAAUUAUUUAUCCAAUUAUUUCAAAAUAAAUAAAAUAAUGAGAGAAGAUAAUAUGACUUCUUCAAAACAGCAAGGAAAUAUUGGAAAUUUAAUUUUGAAUAAAAAUAUUUUUUAUUUGAGUUUUAUUUGCAAUUUUAUUCGGUUGCAUUUUAUGAGUUUUUCAGGAGCUUCAGCACCAGCCGAAGAAGAAGAAGCCUCGUUGCAAGCCUCUCAUUGUUCCCCCCUCUGAUGAAUCGCCCCAUCCAGGUUCUUCUUCUGAUGUGCCCCCUCAAACUCCGAUCAGGGUGAUCCAAGAUAUUGGCCGAGACUUGCAGAUUCCGGAUUACCAACUCUCAGUGGAUAAGCUUAUGGCUAAUCCUGCAGCUGACAGCAUGUCUGGUGGAGAUGUUUAGUUCUCUUUGGAACUAUGGGGUCUGCCAUGCCCUUAUGAUGGCCCUGCUGUUGGGUCUUUUGGUCAUUUUUAAUGACUGUAAUAACUUAGGCCUGAAACUUUCUUGCUUGUUGGGAUUCUAUGUGCUGUGGUACUACUAUGUAGUGCUCUUUUGCUACCAUCUUUUAUAUGGUUAUUAUGAAUAAUUAUAAUUGCAAGAAUUGGAGUGUGCUCUGCUGGAAUGUGAGAGGGCUUAAUGCACCUGCUCGAAAGCGUGCUGUUAAACAGAAAAUUGAGGAAAGCCAGUGUGUUGUUGCUUGUUUCUAGGAAACUAAAUGUGAAACCUUUGAUAUAAGGGAAAUUAGGGCCUUUUGCCCUAGGCAAUUUGAUACUUUUGCAUUCGCACCAUCUGUAGGUGCUUCUGGUGGGAUUCUGGCGGUCUGGAAUUCGGUUGUGUUGUCUGGUGUGCUGGUGGAAAUCCAAUCCUUUGCUGUUGUGGUGCGUUUUACCUCUAAACAAAAUAAUGAGUAGUGGUCUUUAGUUUCUGUCUAUGGGCCAUGUCAGGGAGAAGCCAGGGAUAACUUUGUGUCCUGGUUAUAUAAUUUGCAUAUUCCAAUUGAUGAUAAUUGGUUAAUCAUUGGAGAUUUUAAUUUCAUCAGGUCCUCUGACAACAGAAAUUUACUAGGGGGGAUGUUAAUGAUAUUUUUAUCUUCAGUGAAAUUAUUGGUCAUCUGGGUUUGCUUGAAUUUCCACUUAAAGGAAGGUCUUAUACUUGGUCUAACAUGCAAUAUUCCCCAUUGCUUGAGCAACUAGAUUGGUUUUUUACAUCCACUAACUGGAUAUCUAUUUAUCCUUUUACUGAAGCACUACCUUUAGCUAGAACUGCUUCAGACCAUGUGCCUUGUGUUGUGGUUAUUAAAACCUCCAUUCCUAAGUGUAACAUCUUCAGAUUUGAGAAUUACUAGGUGCACAUGGAGGGGUUUUUGGAAUGUGUGCAGAAAUCUUGGAGCAAACCAUCUAAUAAAUCACACUCCUCUGCAAUCAUUGCUGAUAAGUUGAAAUCCCUCAGGCAGGAUCUAAAGAGGUGGAAAACUAAUUUUUCCAAAAUGAAGUUGCUCAUCUCUAACUGCAAAAAUGUCAUUUUACUGCUUGAUAACUUGGAGGAAAUCAGGCCUCUUUUUAGGCAGGAAUUUAACUUCAGGAAAAUUGUUAAACUGCAUUUGGAAAAAUUGUUGCAUCUUCAGUUUUUGUACUGGAAGAAGAGAUGUACUAUUAGAUCCAUCAAAGUGGGUGAGGAGAACACCAAAUUUUUCCAUGCAAUGGCUACUGAGAGGUUUAGAAGAAACUCUAUUGCUAGUCUGCAGUAGCCUGAUGGUGAUGUUAUUUCUGAUCACUCUCAAAUGGAAGGUAUGACUUGGAGUGCUUUUAAAGGAAGGAUGAGAGUUUCAAGAGGUAUUGUUAUGGGUUUUGAUCUGGCUGUCCUGCUUCAACAUGUACCUGGCCUUGAGGAUUUGACAAAACCAUUUACAAUUGAGGAAAUGGACAUGGUGGUCAAACAUAUGCCCAUUGAUAAAGCCCCUGGGCCAGAUGGGUUCAAUGGCCUUUUCUUCAAGAAGUGCUGGCAUAUUAUUAAGCAAGAGUUUUAUGCUUUAGCUCAGGAGUUUUAUGAUGGCAAAGCCACUUUGGAGAACAUCAAUGAGUCUUUCAUCACCUUGAUUCCUAAGAAACUUUCACCUGAAGAGGUUGGAGAUUACAGGCCUAUUUCUUUGACUCGCAUGGGCAUUAAGUUUUUGUCCAAAAUGAUUGCCAAUAGAUUUCAGGAAUUGAUAAUGAUGUGCAUCCAUAAAAAACAGUAUGGUUUCAUUAAGUCUAGGACUAUACAAGAUUGCAUUGGGUGGACUUUGGAAUAUUUGCAUCAGUGUCACCAGUCCAAAAGGCCAAUUUUAAUUCUCAAACUUGAUUUUGAGAAAGCUUUUGAUUCCAUUGAACAUGAAGCUAUCUUUCAAAUCAUGAGACACAAGGGUUUUAAUGACAAAUGGAUUGGUUGGGUGAAAUCUCUUUUGUCUUCUAGGACUUCCUCUAUUCUGCUCAACGGGGUGCCUGGGAAAAAAGUUGUAUGUAAAAAAGGUGUCAGGCAAGGAGACCCAGUAUCUCCCCUUCUUUUUGUUCUUGCUGCAGAUCUCUUGCAAUCUGUGGUUAAUGACAUGCACAUCAGAGGGGAAAUUAAACUGCCUAUUCCCUGUCAUGACAAGGACUAUCCAAUUGUGCAGUAUGCUGAUGACACCUUGAUUGUGGUACCUGCUGAUGAAGCUCAGCUCUUGUCUCUUAAGAAAAUGUUGCUGGUUUUUUCUCAGUCCACUGGCCUGGAGGUUAAUUACCAUAAGUCCUCCAUGAUCCCAAUAAAUGUUUACCAAGAGGAAAUCCACAGAUUGGCAUCCCUCUUUGGUUGUCAAGUGGGAAAGAUGCCAUUUACCUAUCUUGGUCUGCUUGUUGGAACUACCAAACCUGCAAUGUCUGAUGUGUUGCCUCUGGUUACUUGUAUGGAGAGGAGAAUGUCUGCUAGUUCAUCUUUUCUUGCUCAGGGAGGAAGACUGUAGUACUUAAAUUCUGCUUUGUCCUCAUUGCCAAUUUUCUUCCUUUGUAGUUUGCUUAUUGCUCCUGGUAUUUUAAAGGAACUACAGAGAAUUCAAAGACAGUGCUUGUGGAGGAAAAAUAGGCAAGAACCAGCUCCUUCUCUAGCUGCUUGGGAUUUGAUUUGUAGAUCCAAAAACAAAGGAGGGCUGGGCAUUCUAGACCUUGGCCUUCAAAAUGUGGACCUUCUACUGAAACAUGUGAAUAAGUUCCUCAACAAGGCUGAUGUUCCUUGGGUUCAUCUCAUUUGGAACUCAUAUUAUCAUGAACUUGUCCCACAAGGAACAGCACCAUGUGGAUCUUUUUGGUGGAAGGAUGUCCUUAAACUCUUGGAUCAAUUCAGAGAAGUCAAAUGGGUCAAGGUUAAUGAAGGGGACACUGCUCUUUUCUGGCAGGAUAAAUGGCAGCUUGGAAAUUCUGUUUUGCCUUUGCAGCACAGGUUUCCCAGGUUAUUUUCUUUUGUCAAAGAUGCUCUGGUCACAGUCAAGGAUGGAUUUUCUGCCCUGGAUCUGAUCUCUUGGUUCCAUCUUCCACUUUCAGAGCAGGCUCACAAUGAGCUCUUGGUUUUGAAAUCUCUUAUGCUGAACCAUGAGAGGGAUUCUGAUUUGAAGGAUGUUUGGUCUUGGCAUGGCUCUGACAAACCCUAUACUCCUAAACAGUUUUAUGUAUCCGGGUUCACUAAUCAUACUUUUAAUCCCGUAUUGACUUGGAUUUGGAGGAGUUGUUCUACCAUGAAGAUUAAGGUUUUUGCCUGGAUGUUAAUAAUGGAUAGGCUCAACACCAAGGAUAUGGUGGAAAGAAGGCAUUGGCAUAUAGAUGAUGGAGUUAAUUAUGUGCUUUGUCCCACUCACACCAGGGAAAAUAGAGAUCACCUCUUCUUUAACUGUAAUUUCAGUCAGAGGGUUUUGAACUUUCUCCAGAUUGAUUGGGAAGCUGGGAGUGACAUGAGUCAGAUUGUGCUCAAUGCUAAGAGGAACUUUGCUCAUCCUUUCUUUGCUGAAGUGGUCUUUACUGCUUGUUGGAACAUCUGGAUCAUCAGGAAUGGAAAGGUUUUUCGAAAGGAAAGGCCAAGUUUUAAUAGGUGGAGAGGAGCUUUUGUGAAUGAUAUGCUUUUACUUUCUCAUAGAAUCAAGGUGAGAUACAAGGAAGGCCUGAUUAGAUGGGUCUCCUUUCUCCCUCCUUAAAUGUAGUUGUUUUAUUAGUUUUUUCCUUUUUCUUUUGCUACUCCUGGUAGCAUUUGUAAUCAUUGAAAUUAUGUUUGUUAAGUCAAUAAAAGGCUGUGGGGGCUUUCCCUACAGUGCUCAGUCAAAAAAAUUAGGGAAAAGAUGCAUUUUUAAAAAUUGCACUUAGUCCAGAAAAAUGUUCACAUUGUCCCAAAUAUUAGGAGGGGAUGGCGAAAAUUGUUUCUCGAAUUUUUAAGAUUUUAUUUUUAUUUUUGGAUUUUUUCUCCGUGGCGCUAUUUAAAAAAAACUUCUUCAGACUGACUGGGCCGAAACCCAGCCGGCCCAGCGCCCUACCUUCCCCGAGCCGCCGCCGGAAUCCGCCUCCCGCACGCCGCGCCACCGCCGCCGUGUCCGAGUGGGACACCGCUCGAUGCCCCCUCCUCCAAGCCGAGUCGCCACCCCACGGCCUUUAAAUAGCGCCCGGACCCCCCGCCUCUCCACAAGUUGCCGCCGCCUCAAGCCGGAGCCGCCGCCGUCAUAGAUCGCCGCCGCCGCCGCUGCCGCCCCACCCCGCGCCGCUGAAGCUUCGCCGCCUCGCCGCACAACCCCGCCGCCUCGCCGGAGCCGCCGCCACCACCAACCGCCGCCGUCGAUUUUUCUCGCCGAACCAACGAACCGCCAUGGACCAGUAUAAACUGGCCCGAUCCGUUUUUUUUUUGGUUUUUGGUUUUUCUUCUAAGCCCGGUUUAUUAUUUUAGGUUAGUCUAUUUAGCGGACGAUCGUCCGUUAGCCUUCGGUAGCGAACAAUUUUCGUUUGUUAGGUUUCUGUAGCGAACGUUCGUUCGUUAGUUUUUUCUUUUUUUGUUUAUUUCGGCCAGGGACCCAUACAUAAUUAUUUUUUUGUAGAUUAGUCCCUGAACUUUAAACCCUCAUAACUUUUUACUCGUUUAUCCAAAUCCAUCGAAACCAAUGCCAAAUUCUUUGUUAUGCCCUCUAUCCAGAUAAUCAACUUGAACAUGCUUUUGGAAGUUUAAAAAUAUGGUUUCAAACAGAUUUGAAUUUGAACUUCUUUUGAUUGUAAUUUGAGUUUCGUAGUUCUGAUUUGACCGAUACUUUUUGCAAAUCAAAGCUCAUCGCUUGAACUUUCUAUUUAGAUCUUUUAUUUGGCUUACCUUUGCAUCUUAUGCUUGAAUGCUUAUGUAUGCCAUUGUUUGUCCGCGAUAAAGUAUCUGGAGUGCGAAGCUUGAUACUAUGAAUCUCUAGGGUUUUCCGAUUGUCAACAAGGCAAGUUACACUUUGAUCAUAUCCCUUUAUUACCCAGUUUUUAUGCAUUAGUUUCAACCCUCAAAUAUUUGCAUGAGUAGGAUUGGGAACAUGUGGUUGCUGUUAAGUAGUUGAUGAGGUAGGAACCUAAUACCUUUGAUCACCCCGGGAAUAUACGCUUUGUUACUUAUUGCUUAGCCAUGCUCGUAGACGUGGAUUGGUAUGUGUGAUUCAUGAAAGUUCCUGAUAUGUCUCCGUGGUAUCUAUAAUUUUUUAUUGUUACAUGCCAAUAUUCUACAACUUCCAUAUACUUUUUGGCAACUUUUUAUACUAUUUUUGGGACUAACAUAUUGAUCCAGUGCCCAGUGCCAGUUCUUGUCUGUUGCAUGUUUUUGGUUUCACAGAAUAUCCAUAUCAAACGGAGUCCAAACGGGAUAAAAACGGACGGAGCUUAUUUUUGGAAUAUUUGGGAGAAAGAUCAAUGAGAAACGGUGUCCGAGGUGGCCACGAGGCAGGGGCCCAUGCCCGUACUAGGAGGGCGCGCCCCCCACCCUCGUGGGCCACCCGUAAGGCAGUUGAUGCCCUUCUUCGGCCGCAAGAAAGCUAAUUUUUGGAAAAAAUCACGGCGAAGGUUUCAGUCCAAUCGGAGUUACGGAUCUCUGGAUAUAAAAGAAACGGUGAAAGGGCAGCAGAACAGAACGCAGAAACAGAGAGAGACGGAGAGACAGAUCCAAUCUCGGAGGGGCUCUCGCCCCUCCCACGCCAUGGAGGCCAAGGACCAGAGGGGAAACCCUUCUCCCAUCUAGGGAGGAGGUCAAGGAAGAAGAAGACGAAGGGCCCCCCUCUCCCCUUCUCUUCCGGUGGCACCAGAACACCGCCGUGGCCAUCAUCAUCACCACAAUCUUCACCAACAACUUCACUGCCAUCAUCACCAACUCUUCCCCCCUUUAUGCAGCGGUGUUACCUCUCUCUUACCCGCUGUAAUCUCUACUUAAACAUGGUGCUCAAUGCUAUAUAUUAUUUCCCAAUGAUGUAUGGCUAUCCUAUGAUGUUUCAGUAGAUCUGUUUUGUCCUUUGGGUUAUUUGAUGAUCAAGAUUGGUUUGAGUUGCAUGCUUUAUUAUUGGUGCUGUCCUAUGGUGCUCUCCGUGUCGCGCAAGCGUGAGGGAUUCCCGCUGUAGGGUUUUCAAUAUGUUCAUGAUUUGCUUAUGGUGGGUGGCGUGAGUGACAGAAGCACAGACCCGAGUAAGUAGGUUGUUUGCGUAUGGGAUAAAGGGGACUUGAUACUUUAAUGCUAUGGUUGGGUUUUACCUUAAUGAUCUUUAGUAGUUGCGGAUGCUUGCUAGAGUUCCAAUCAUAAGUGCAUAUGAUCCAAGUAGAGAAAGUAUGUUAGCUUAUGCCUCUCCCUCAAAUAAAAUUGCAAUAAUGAUUACUGGUCUAGUUAUCGAUUGCCUAGGGACAAAUAACUUUCUCCUGACAAAAAGCUCUCUACUAAAACUAAUUUAGUUGUGUCUUUAUCUAAGCAGCCCCUAGCUUUUAUUUCCUCGCUCUUUACUUUCUUGCAAACCUAUCCAAAAACACCUACAAAGUACUUCUAGUUUCAUACUUGUUCUAGGUAAAGCGAACAUCAAGCAUGCGUAGAGUUGUAUCGCUGGUCGAUAGAACUUGAGGGAAUAUUUGUUCUACCUUUAGCUCCUCGUUGGGUUCGUCACUCUUACUUAUCGAAAGAGGCUACAAUUGAUCCCCCAUACUUGUGGGUUAUCAAGACCUUUUUCUGGCACUGUUGCCGGGGAGCAAUAGCGUGGGGUGAAUAUUCUUGUGUGUGCUUGUUUGCUUUAUCACUAAGUAAUUUUUAUUUUCUAUUCUUAGUUGUUCUUUAUCUUUAGUUAUGGAUAUGGAACACAAAAUACCAAAAAAAUUAGGUGUACUUGCUACUCAUGGAGAUGGGGAACCUCCUAAAACCCUCGAUGCUGGUUAUGUGAAAGAUAUUAUGUACUACUUUGAUAAUCCUGAGAAAACCCCAUUCAACUAUGUAAUUGGAGUAACGUUGGAUCAACGUGAAUACUUUAGGGAUUAUCGCUUGACUCAAAAAGGGAAACUAUUAUGGGAUCAAAUUCAUAUAUUGAAGUGGUAUGCUAGGCAACUAUGCUUGAGUUAUGAUUAUACUUGUUGCUCUAGGAUGAAGGCUCCACAGCUUCCCUUCUCAUGCAAAUUUAAUGAUAAUAAAACCUUAGCUUCUUAUGCUAAUGGUAUAUAUGAUUACUAUGAUGUGGAACAAAUAGAAGAAUUUGUUGCUUUUAUGGGUGCUUAUGAGAUUGAAUCUAUGUUUAAAGAGUUUAAAGAUUUUGAUGAUGCUGCUUCUAGACCUGAAAAUUUAGCAAUCCUGAAAUAUUGUUAUGAGAAUUAUGAAUACAAUUACGAAUUAAUGCACUUAUUGAGAAAGUCUCCGCUGUCCAAGAAGAGACUAAUAUUUUGCAGGAAUCUAUGGAAGAAGAAGUUGAUAAAACUGUGAGCUCAUUGGAUGAAAAAGAUGCGGAGGAGAGCGAAGAACAAAAGGAGGAAGAGCAGAUUGAUCACCUGUGCCCACCUUUCAAUGAGAGUAACUCUUCAACUCAUACAUUGUUUAAUUCCCCUUCGUGCUUACCGAAGGAUGAUUGCUAUGAUGAUUGUUAUGAUCCCAUUGAUUCUCUUGAAAUAUCCCUUUUUGAUGAUGCUUGCUAUGCUUGUGGCCAAGAUGCCAAUAUGAAUUAUGCUUAUGGAGAUGAACUUGCUAGAGUUCAUUAUGUUAAACAUGAAAUUGUUGCUAUUGCACCCACGCAUGAUAGUCCUAUUAUCUUUUUGAAUUCUCCCGACUACACUAUAUCGGAGAAGUUUGCACUUAUUAAGGAUUAUAUUGAUGGGUUGCCUUUUACCGUUGCACAUGAUGAUUUUGAUAGAUAUAAUAUGCAUGUGCUUGCUGCUCCUACUUGCAAUUAUUAUGAGAGAGGAACUAUAUCUCCGCCUCUCUAUGUUUCCAAUACGAUAAAAUUGCAAGAAACUGUUUAUACUAUGCAUUGGCCUUUACUAUGUGUGCAUGAAUUGUUCUUUUAUGACAUGCUGAUGCAUAGGAAGAGAGUUAUACUUUGUCAUUGCUUGAUAUAUCUUACCUUGUGCUCACUACUAAAUUACAAAUCAUUGCUAAUUAAAAUUGGCUUCGAUAUACCUUGGGAUCCAGGUGGAUUCACUACUUGAGCACUAUAUGCCUAGCUUAAUGGCUUUAGACAAAGCGCUGCCAGGGAGACAACCCGGAAGUUUUAGAGAGUUGUCUAUUUCUGUUGAGUGCUUUCAUAUAGUUUAAAAACAACAAAAAAUAAAGAUGAGAACCCAAAUUUUUUUUCAAAAAGAAAAGCGAAAGUGAGUAAGACAAGCAUUGUUGAAGUGGGAGCUAGCCUUGAACUUUGUUCAUGCUCACGGAAACUUUGUGAAUCUUGAUUACAGAAGCUUUUCAACAAAAAUAAUUAUCCCCUUAUACAAUUCCAUUGUAUUAUAAAAAUAAUGUGCUAAGGUUUGCCUUUAGGAUGUUUGCAAUGCUUGUUGGUUUGUGCGGUGCAGGACAUAAACUUUGGCUGUAGUGCAUGAUUUUUAAUUGUUUACUGGAACGUCAAAUGGUUCUGAUUCAUUUUGUACUGUCUUUAUGUACAAAUUUUUUAUUUUUCCUAAUUUUUGCAGAAUUUUUCAAGUAUCAGAAGUAUGGUGAAUGUUCAGAUUGCUACAGACUGUUCUGUUUUAGACAGAUCCUGUUUUUGAUGCAUAGUUUACUUGUUUUGAUGAAACUAUCAAUUUAUAUCAGUGGAUUAAGCCAUGAAAAGUUAUAUUAAAGUAGACACAAUGCAAAAACAAAAUAUGAAUUGGUUUGAAACAAUACUUAGAGUAGUGAUUUGCUUUAUUAUACUAACAGAUCUUACCGAGUUUUCUGUUGAAGUUUUGUGUGGAUGAAGUGUUUGAUGAUCGAGAAGGUUUUGAUGUGAGAAGAAGGAAGAGAGGCAAGAGCUCAUGCUUGGGGAUGCCUGAGGCACCCCAAGUAAAUAUUCAAGGAGACUCAAGCGGCUAAGCUUGGGGAUGCCCCGGAAGGCAUCCCCUCUUUCUUCAACAAGUAUCAGUAUGUUUUCGGAUUCGUUUCGUUCAUGUGAUACGUGCAAAUCUUGGAGCGUCUUUUGCAUUUAGUUUUCAUUUUUCUUUUAUGCACCAUGCUGGUAUGAGAUGGUCCUUGGUUGAUUUAUAGAAUGCUCUUUGCACUUCACUUAUAUCUUUUGAGUAUGGCUUUAUAGAAUGCUUCAUGUGCUUCACUUAUAUCAUUUGAAGUUCGGAUUGCAUGUUUCUCUUUACAUAGACAACCACCAUUUGUAGAAUGCUGUUUUGCUUCACUUAUAUUUGUUAUAGCGUGGGCAUAUCUUUUGUAGAAAGAACUAAAACUCUCUUGCUUCACUUAUAUAUAUUUUGAGAGAUGACAGGAACUGGUCAUUCACAUGGUUAGUCAUAAAAUCCUACAUAAAACUUGUAGAUCACUGAAUAUAAUAUGUUUGAUUCCUUGCAAUAGUUUUGCGAUAUAAAGAAGGUAAUAUUAGAGUCAUUCUAGUGGGUAGUUGUGGAUUAGUAGAAAUACUUGUGUUGAGGUUUGUGAUUCCCGUAGCAUGCACAUAUGGUGAACCGUUAUGUGAUGAAGUCGGAGCAUGAUUUAUUUAUUGAUUGUCUUCCUUAUGAGUGGCGGUUGGGGACGAGCGAUGGUCUUUUCCUACCAAUAUAUCCCCCUAGGAGCAUGCGCGUAGUACUUUGUUUCGAUGACUAAUAGAUUUUUGCAAUAAGUAUGUGAGUUCUUUAUGACUAAUGUUAAGUCCAUGGAUUAUACGCACUCUCACCCUUCCACCAUUGCUAGCCUCUCUAGUACCGCACAACUUUCACCGGUACCAUAAACCCACCAUAUACCUUCCCCAAAACAGCCACCAUACCUACCUAUCAUGGCAUUUCCAUAGCCAUUCCGAGAUAUAUUGCCAUGCAACUUCCAUCAUCAUCAUAUACAUGACUUGAGCAUUUAUUGUCAUGUUGCUUUGCAUGAUCCUAAGAUAGCUAGCAUGAUGUUUUCAUGGCUUGUCCGUUUUUUUAUGUCAUUGCUAUGCUAGAUCAUUGCACAUCCCGGUACACCACUGGAGGCAUUCAUAUAGAGUCAUAUCUUUGUUCUAGAUAUCGAGUUGUAAUAUUGAGUUGUAAGUAAAUAAAAGUGUGAUGAUCAUCAUUAUUAGAGCAUUGCCCCACUGAGGAAAGGAUGAUGGAGACUAUGAUUCCCCCACAAGUCGGGACGAGACUCCGGACUUUAUGAAAAAUAGAAGAGGCCAAAGAAGCCCAAAUAAAAAAAGAGGCCAAAGAAUCCCACCAAAAAAAAUAAAAAAAAUAUAUAUAAAAUUGAAAAAAAAUGAGAGAAAAAGAGAGAAGGGGAAAUGUUACUAUCCUUUUACCACACUUGUGCUUCAGAGUAGCACCAUGUUCUUCAUAGAGAGAGUAUCCUAUGCUUUCACUUUCAUAUACUAGUGGGAAUUUUCAUUAUAGAACUUGGCUUGUAUAUUCCGAUGAUGGGCUUCCUCAAAUGCCCGAGGUCUUCAUGAGCAAGCAAGUUGGAUGCACACCCACUUAGUUUCAGUUUGAGCUUUCAUACACUUAUAGCUCUUAGUGCAUCCGUUGCAUGGCAAUCCCUACUCACUCACAUUGAUAUCUAUUGAUGGGCAUCUCCAUAGCCCGUUGAUACGCCUAGUUGAUGUGAGACUAUCUUCUCCUUUUUGUCUCCUCCACCAUCAUAUUCCAUUCCACCUAUAGUGCUAUGUCCAUGGCUCAUGCUCAUGUAUUGCGUGAAAGUUGAAAAUGUUUGAGAACGUCAAAAGUAUGAAACAAUUGCUUGGCUUGUCAUCGGGGUUGUGCAUGAUUUGAAUAUUUUGUGUGGUGAAGAUGGAGCAUAGCCAGACUAUAUGAUUUUGUAGGGAUAACUUUCUUCGGCCAUGUUAUUUUGAAAAGAAAUGAUUGCUUUAUUAGUAGGCUUGAAGUAUUAUUGUCUUAAUGUCAAAUGAUAGACUAUUGCUUUGAAUCGCUCGUGUCUUAAUAUUCAUGCCAUGAUUAGACAUAUGAUCAAGAUUAUGCUAGGUAGCAUUCCACAUCAAAAAUUAUCUUUUUUAUCAUUUACCUACUCGAGGACGAGUAGGAAUUAAGCUUGGGGAUUCUGAUACAUCUCUGUCGUAUCUAUAAUUUUUGAUUGUUCCAUGCCAAUAUUCUACAACUUCCAUAUACUUUUUGGCUACUUUUUAUACUAUUUUUGGGACUAACAUAUUGAUCUAGUGCCCAGUGCCAGUUCCUGUCUGUUGCAUGUUUUUGGUUUCGCAGAAUAUCCAUAUCAAACGGAGUCCAAACGGGAUAAAAACGUACGGAGCUUAUUUUUGGAAUAUUUGGAAAAUUUGGGAGAAAGAUCAACGCGAAACGGUGUCCGAGGUGGCCACGAGGUAGGGGCCCACGCCCGUACCAGGAGGGCGCGCCCCCACCCUCGUGGGCCACCCGUAAGGCGGUUGAUGCCCUUCUUCGGCCGCAAGAAAGCUAAUUUUUGGAAAAAAAUCACGGCCAAGGUUUCAGUACAAUCGGAGUUACGGAUCUUCGGAUAUAAAAGAAACAGUGAAAGGGCAGCAGAACAGAACACAAAAAUAAAGAGAGACAGAGAGACAGAUCCAAUCUCGGAGGGGCUCUCGCCCCUCCCACGCCAUGGAGGCCAAGGACCAGAGGGGAAACCCUUCUCCCAUCUAGGGAGGAGGUCAAGGAAUAAGAAGACGAAGGGGCCCUCUCUCCCCUUCUCUUCCGGUGGCGCCGAAACGCCGCCGUGGCCAUCAUCAUCACCACAAUCUUCACCAACAACUUCACCGCAUCAUCACCAACUCUUCCCCCCUCUAUGCAGCGGUGUAACCUCUCUCUUACCCGCUGUAAUCUCUACUUAAACAUGGUGCUCAACGCUAUAUAUUAUUUCCCAAUGAUGUGUGGCUAUCCUAUGAUGUUUGAGUAGAUUUGUUUUGUCCUUUGGGUUAUUUGAUGAUCAAGAUUGGUUUGAGUUGCAUGUUUUAUUAUUGGUGCUGUCCUAUGGUGCUCUCUGUGUCGCGCAAGCGUGAGGGAUUCCCGCUGUAGGGUUUGCAAUAUGUUCAUGAUUUGCUUAUGGUGGGUGGCGUGAGUGACAGAAGCACAGACCCGAGUAAGUAGGUUGUUUGCGUAUGGGAUAAAGGGGACUUGAUACUUUAAUGCUAUGGUUGGGUUUUACCUUAAUGAUCUUUAGUAGUUGCGGAUGCUUGCUAGAGUUCCAAUCAUAAGUGCAUAUGAUCCAAGUAGAGAAAGUAUGUUAGCUUAUGCCUCUCCCUCAAAUAAAAUUGCAAUAAUGAUUACCGGUCAAGUUAUCGAUUGCCUAGGGACGAAUAACUUUCUCGUGACAAAAAGCUCUCUACUAAAACUAAUUUAGUUGUGUCUUUAUCUAAGCAGCCCCUAGCUUUUAUUUACUCGCUCUUUACUUUCUUGCAAACCUAUCCAAAAACACCUACAAAGUACUUCUAGUUUCAUACUUGUUCUAGGUAAAGCGAACAUCAAGCAUGCGUAGAGUUGUAUCGCUGGUCGAUAGAACUUGAGGGAAUAUUUGUUCUACCUUUAGCUCCUCGUUGGGUUUGACACUCUUACUUAUCAAAAGAGGAUACAAUUGAUCCCCUAUACUUGUGGGUUAUCAGUUGCGAGAGUAAUAACUAAGGGAAACUUAAGGUGGCUACUUUAAUACACAUCUGGGUGGAUUGGUUGCGGGCACCUGGAGAAUCCAGUGUUGUCUUAGGAUAUCCCGGAGUACCCAUGUGAUCAUCCUAUGGAAUGCCACCCAGGCUCAAAGGGAUCAUAAUAUUGUUCAUGCUAGAAACUUCCGUGUGCAGCCACAAGCCAUUAUGGGCUCUGGCAUAGUUGAGUAUGUUGUGUGACCUCUUUCAGUGGUAGGCUAGCAGAUGUAGGAGAAAGUAGGUGGUACUGUCUACCUAGAGUAAAGAGUUAAUGCUUCAGAAAGACCGUGUCUCGAUCAUCCGUUUCUCAAACAUCAAGUAGUGCGAGAAAUCCAACAGAGGAGAUCGAGUCUUGUGGGGAAAAGUGCGCAAACCUCUGGAGAGUGUACAAACUAAUCAUGAUUAGCCAUGUCCCCGGUUAUGGACAUCUUGAGUAUCUGGUAUUUGAAUUAUUGAUUGAUCUCAUCACUCUACUUAAUAAAUUUGUUGGGUUAUUAAUAUUCUUUUGGGAUUGAGUUGGGGAAACCUUCUCAAUAAUGGCAUAAACUUUGUAGUCAAAUAAAAUCUAUUCCUUUGUUGUAGGAAAAAAUUAGCUUUAUGCAAAUGUUAAACUUACAACCUCCACCAGCCAUAUAUUGCAUGUAGUGAUAGUUGUUGUUCAUUCAUUGCUCUAUAGUGUUAUCUUGCCAGCAUAUUCCAUGUGCUGACCUACACGGCUGCAACGUAUCAUGUUGCAUAAUUUUUCAGACGAAGAUUAAGGUGCGCUAGGUCGUUGUCAUGCACUCAGUUUUGCCGUGGAGUUGGAUGGACUCAUUUAUCUUUGAAGCUUCCGCAGUUAUUUAGAUAGCCUUCAGCCAUAUUAUUGUAAUAAGUACUCUUUAUGAGACUCUCGAUGUAAUAAGGGUGUGAUUGAACUCUGCUAUAAAUCCUCGAGUACUGUGUGUGUCAGCAAUACCAAUCCAGGGAUGACACUUAAGCACAGAGACUUCGGUCCAUUGGGAUCGGGUCGCUACACUUUUAUGGUCAUGCACCCUUAAAGAGUGGUCUAUUUUUGUUGAAUCUCGAUUGUAGUGUGAUAACCCACAAGUAUAGGGGAUAAAUUGUAGCCUCUUUUGAUAAGUAAGAGUGUCGAACCCAACGAGGAGCUAAAGCUAGAACAAAUAUUCCCUCAAGUUCUAUCGACCACCGAUACAACUCUACGCACGCUUAACGUUCGCUUUACCUUGAACAAGUAUGAAACUUGGAGUACUUUGUAGGUGUUGUUGGAUAGGUUUGCAAGAAUAUAAAGAGCACGUAAGUAAAAAGUAGGGGCUGUUUAGAUAAAGACACAACUAAAUUAGGUUUAGUAAAGAGCUUUUUGUCAUGAGAAAGUUAUUUGUCCCUAGGACAUCGAUAACUAAACCGGCAAUCAUAAUUGCAAUUUUAUUUGAGGGAGAGGCACAAGGUAACAUACUUUCUCUUCUUGGAUCAUAUGAUGAAGGAAAUAUGCCCUAGAGGCAAUAAUAAAGUAAUUAUUUAUUUCUUCAUAUCAUUAUAAAUCUUUAUUAUUCAUGCUAGAAUUGUAUUAACCGGAAACUUAAUACAUGUGUGAAUACAUAGACAAACAUAGUGUCACUAGUAUGCCUCUACUUGACUAGCUCGUUGAUCAAAGAUGGAUGGGUUUCCUAGCCAUAGACAUGAGUUGUCAUUUGAUUAACGGGAUCACAUCAUUAAGAGAAUGAUGUGAUUGACUUGACCCAUUCCGUUAGCUUAGCACUUGAUCGUUUAGUUUACUGCUAUUGCUUUCUUCAUGACUUAUACAUGUUCCUAUGACUAUGAGAUUAUGCAACUCCCGAUUAUCGGAGGAACACUUUGUGUGCUACCAAACGUCACAACGUAACUGGGUGAUUAUAAAGGUGAUCUAUAGGUGUCUCUGAUGAUACUUGUUGAGUUGGCAUAGAUCGAGAUUAGAAUUUGUCACUCCGAUUGUCGGAGAGGUAUCUCUGGGCUCUCUCGGUAAUGCACAUCACUAUAAGCCUUUCAAGCAAUGUGACUAAUGAGUUAGUUGCGGGAUUAUGCACUACGGAAUGAGUAAACAGACUUGCCAGUAACAAGAUUGAGCUAGGUAUUGAGAUACCGACGAUCGAAUCUUGGGCAAGUAACAUACCGAUGACAAAGGGAACAACAUAUGUUGUUAUGCGGUUUGACCGAUAAAGAUCUUCAUAGAAUAUGUAGGAACCAAUAUGAGCAUCCAGGUUCCUCUAUUGGUUAUUGACCGAAGACGUGUCUCGGUCAUGUCUACAUAGUUCUCGAACCCGUAGGGUCCGCACGCUUAAAGUUCUGUGAUGAUCGGUAUUAUGAGUUUAUAUGUUUUGAUGUACCGAAGGUAGUUCGGAGUCCCGGAUAUGAUCAUAGACACGAUGAGGAGUCUCGAAAUGGUCAAGACAUAAAGAUUGAUAUAUUGGAAGCCUAUAUUUGGACGCCGGAAGAGUUCCGGGUGAAAUCGGGAUUUUACCGGAGUGCCGGAGGGGUUACCAGAACCCCCCGGGGGUUAAUGGGCCUAGUUGGGCCCUAGUGGAGAGAGAGAGGCGCCAGCCAGGGUAGGCCACAUGCCCCUCCCCCUUUGGUCCAAAUUGGACUAGGAAGGGGGGCACCCCCCCUUUCCUUCUCCUUCUCCCCUUCCUUUCCCCCUCCUAGUAGGAGUAGGAAAGAGCGGAGUCCUACUCCUACUAGGAGGAGGACUCCUCCUCCUGGCGCACCCUACAGGGACGGCCGGCCUCCCCCCUUGCUCCUUUAUAUACGGGGGCAAGGGGCACCCUAGAACACACAAGUUGAUCAUUGAUCUCUCCCAGCCGUGUGCGGUGCCCCCUUCCACCAUAAUCCACCUCGGCCAUAUCGUAGAAGUGCUUAGGCGAAGCCCUGCGGCGGUAGCUUUAUCAACAUCGUCACCACACCGUCGUGCUGAUGAAACUCUCCCUCGAGCUCUGCUGGAUCGUGAGUUUGCGAGACGUGACCGAGCUGAACGCAGAGGUGCCGUACGUUCGGUACUGAGGAUCGGUCGAUCGUGAAGACGUACGACUACAUCAACGUGUUGUCAUAACGCUUAUGCUUAACGGUCUACAAGGGUAUGUGGAUGACACUCUCCCCUCUUGUUGCUAUGCAUCACCAUGAUCUUGCGUGUGCGUAGGAUUUUUUUAAAUUACUACGUUCCCCAACAGUGGUAUCAGAGCCAGGUUUAUGCGUAGAUGUUAUAUGCACGAGUUGAACACAAAUGAGUUGUGGGCGAUACAAGUCAUACUGCUUACCAGCAUGUCAUACUUUGGUUCGGCGGUAUUGUUGGAUGAAGCGGCCCAGACCGACAUUACGUGUACGCUUACAUGAGACUGGUUCUACCGACGUGCUUUGCACACAGGUGGCUGGCGGGUGUCAGUUUCUCCAAUUUUAGUUGAACCGAGUGUAGCUACGCCCGGUCCUUGAGAAGGUUAAAACAGCACUAACUUGAUGAACUAUCGUUGUGGUUUUGAUGCGUAGGAAAGAACGGUUCUUGCUCAGCCCGUAGCAGCCAUGUAAAACUUGGAACAACAAAUUAGAGGACGUCUAACUUGUUUUUGCAGGGCAUGUUGUGAUGUGAUAUGGUCAAGACAUGAUGCUAUAUUUUAUUGUAUGAGAUGAUCAUGUUUUGUAAUGGAGUUAUCGGCAACUGGCAGGAGCCAUAUGGUUGUCGCUUUAUUGUAUGCAAUGCAACCGCCCUGUAAUUGCUUUACUUUAUCACUAAGUGGUAGCGAUAGUCGUAGAAGCAAUAGUUGGUGAGACGGCAAUGAUGCUACAAUGGAGAUCAAGGUGUCGCGCCGGUGACGAUGGUGAUCAUGACGGUGCUUUGGAGAUGGAGAUCAAUGGCACAAGAUGAUGAUGGACAUAUCAUAUCACUUAUAUUGGUUGCAUGCAAUGUUUAUCCUUUAUGCAUCUUAUUCUGCUUUGAUUGACGGUAGCAUUAUAAGAUGAUCUCUCACUAAAUUUCAUGGUAUAAGUGUUCUCCCUGAGUAUGCACUGUUGCGAAAGUUCGUCGUGCCGAGACACCACGUGAUGAUCGGGUGUGAUAAGCUCUACAUUCAAAUACAACGGGUGUAAGCUAGUUUUGCACACGCAGAAAACUCGGGUUAAACUUGACGAGCCUAGCAUAUGCAGAUAUGGCCUCGGAACACUGAGACCGAAAGGUCGAGCGUGAAUCAUAUAGUAGAUAUGAUCAACAUAGUGAUGUUCACAAUUGAAAACUACUCCAUCUCACGUGAUGAUCGGACAUGGUUUAGUCGAGAUGGAUCACGUGACCACUUAGAUGAUUCGAGGGAUGUCUAUCUAAGUUGGAGUUCUUAAGUAAUAUGAUUAAUUGAACUUUAAUUUAUCAUGAACUUAGUACCUGAUAGUAUUUUGCUUGCCUAUGUUGUUGUAGAUAGAUGGCCCGUGUUGUUGUUCUGUUGAAUUUUAAUGCGUUCCUUGAGAAAGCAAACUUGAAAGAUGAUGGUAGCAAUUACACGGUCUGGGUCCGUAACUUGAGGAUUAUCCUCAUUGCUGCAUAGAAGAAUUACGUCCUGGAAGCACCGCUGGGUGCCAGGCCUGCUGCAGAUGCAACUGACGACGUUAAGAACGUCUGGCAGAGCAAAGCUGAUGACUACUCGAUAGUUCAGUGUGCCAUGCUUUACGGCUUAGAACCGGGACUUCAAGGACGUUUUGAACAACAUGUAGCAUAUGAGAUGUUCCAGGAAUUGAAGUUAAUAUUUCAAGCAAAUGUCCGGAUUGAGAGAUAUGAAGUCUCCAAUAAGUUCUACAGCUGCAAGAUGGAGGAGAAUAGUUCUGUCAGUGAACAUAUACUCAAAAUGUCUGGGUAUAAUAAUCACUUGAUUCAACUGGGAGUUAAUCUUCCGGAUGAUAGUGUCAUUGACAGAAUUCUUCAAUCACUGCCACCAAGCUACAAGAGCUUUGUGAUGAACUAUAACAUGCAAGGGAUGGAUAAGAGAAUUCCCGAGCUCUUCGCAAUGCUAAAGGUUGCGGAGGUAGAAAUCAAGAAGGAGCAUCAAGUGUUGAUGGUCAACAAGACCACCAGUUUCAAGAAAAAGGGUAAAGGGAAGAAGAAGGCUUUGUGUGUUAUUGCUUUCUUCAUGACUUAUACAUGUUCCUAUGACUAUGAGAUUAUGCAACCCCCGAUUACUGGAGGAACACUUUGUGUGCUACCAAACGUCACAACGUAACUGGCUGAUUAUAAAGGUGCUCUACAGGUGUCUCCGAUGAUACUUGUUGAGUUGGCAUAGAUCGAGAUUAGAAUUUGUCACUCGGAUUGUCGGAGAGGUAUCUCUGGGCCCUCCCGGUAAUGCACAUCACUAUAAGCCUUGCAAGCAAUGUGACUAAUGAGUUAGUUGCGGGAUGAUGCAUUACGGAACGAGUAAAGAGACUUGCCAGUAACGAGAUUGAGCUAGGUCUUGAGAUACCGAUUGUCGGUGUACAAAAGUAGGGGCUCUCCUUUUGACCCCUUUACUUGUGCACGGGCAGUCAGAGCCACGCACCGCGGCCACACGUAGCAGGGCCAAGGAGGGAAGCUGGAGAGAAGCCGAAGCCCAACACAAGAUGAUCAAGGCAAUGCCAAGACCAGAAACACAAUACAGCAAAGGGGCGAGGUGGAAUCCCCCGGCAAGGCCCUUGUUGGGGCGGCCUCCGCGGCCCCGGCAAGAGCCUUGCCGGGGCAACUUGCCCAAACACCAACAGAGCGAGCCACCCUUGAGCCCACAGGUUCCGACCCAACCAAUCACAAUUGGGCCAGGGCUCGGGAGGCACCUCUGUGGUGGCAUGCAGAUUUUAGUCAAGACCACGGACAUAUGAGAUCAGAUGAGGACCAGAAGAUGGUGACCCUCGGCGGGAUCCUCGCCGAGGGAAGCCACAAGACCCCCAGCAAGAUCCUUGCCGGGGACGACUGCGCGCCACGGCAAGACCCUUGCCGGGCCCCCGGCAAGGCCUUCGCCGAGGACAUCAGCAGGGCCACUGCCAGGCCCGCACCAACCAAGUUUCCACCGCCGUUCGCAUGCAGCUGCCAGCCCAACCAGCUGGGCUGGCACCUGCGUGGCAACAUGUAGCUUCCAAGCUAGGUCAGCAAGCGCCUGCGUGGCGGCAUGCAGAUCUUCGUGAAGACCCUACCACCGCGCCACCUUAGCUACCUGCCUGCCUACAUGGCGUCGCAUGCAUCGCUGGCCAGGGCGCGUGUCGAAGCAAGGAGGAGCGGCGAUGGACGGGAAGAGCCUCGCUCCCGUCCCCGAUAAAGCUAGGGGACACCUCACCGGCGCAUUAAAUGCGUCUUGUCCUGUAAUACGGGCGAUAAGCUCGCAGUACUGUGUGUCACGCCCAAGAUGGGACCCUAUAACUCAAAGGUCCCACCAAGGAUAGAAGCGCAUCUUGAAGACACUUUUGCAAGGUGGAUAUCAUUACAUCAACAUUACAUAAUAGUGGGGAUACAACCAAGACAUACAAUGUCACAAGAAUACAACAACACAUCAUAUACAAGAUCAACAUCCGACUACGGAUGAAACAUAAAAAGAAACUCAAACAAUAUCCACCCUGCUAGCCCAGGCUGCCGACCCAGAACCUAACCCAAGAUCGACGGAGAAGAAGAACUCCAACACAAGUAAACAUCACUCUCACGUCAUGAUCAUCGCACAACCUGUACCUGCAACUGUUGGUGUAGUAAUCUGUGAGCCACGAGGACUUAGCAAUCCCAUUACCAUGGGUAUCAAGACUAGCAAAGCUUAAUGGGUAAAGAAGGGGUAAAGUGGUGAGGUUGCAGCAGCGACUAAGUAAUGUAUGGUGGCUAACUUACGCAAAUAAGAGUGAGAAGAGAAGCAAAGCAAGCGGUCGUCAACUAGUAAUGAUCAGAAAGUGAUCCUGAACUCCUACUUACGUCAAACAUAACCCAAAAACCGUGUUCUCCUCUCGAACAACCCCGAAAAGAGACAAUCACGGUUACGCACACGGUUGGUGUAUUCUAGAAGAGUUUACUUCAAGUUUACUACAAACGGACAUUAACAAAUUCCCAUCUGCCACAUAACCGCGGGCAGGGCUUUCAAAAGUUCAAACCCUGCAGAGGUGUCCCAACUUAGCCCAUUAUGAGCUCUCACGAUCAAUGAAGGAUAUUCCUUCUCCCGGGAAGACCCGAUCAGUCUCGGAAUCUCGGUUACAAGACAUUUCGACAAUGGUAAAACAAGACCAGCAAAGCCGCCCGAUGUGCCGACAAUCCCGAUAGGAGCUGCACAUAUCUCAUUCUCAGGGCAACACCGGAUGAGACAUCCUACGAGUAAAACCAGCCCUCAAGUUUCCGCAAGGUGGCCCCGCAGUCUACUCGUUUCGGGCCAACACUUAGAGAAGCAUUACCCCGGGGGGGGGGCUAAAAUAAAGAUGACCCUCGAGAGUGCAACUCCCGAGGGAAAAGUAGGUGGUGGUGAGGCAAAUGGUAAAACCAAGGUUGGGCCUUGCUGGAGGAAUUUUAUUCAAAGCGAACUGUCAAGGAGGUCCCAUAAAUCACCCAACCGCGUUAGGGAUGCAAAAUCCAUGAACAUAAUACCGAUAUGACGGAAACUAGGGUGGCAAGAGUGGAACAAAACACUAGGCAUAAGGCCGAGCCUUCCACCCUUUACCAAGUAUAUAGAUGCAUUAAUAAUAUAAGAGAUAUUGUGAUAUCCCAACAUAAACAUAAACCAACAUGGAUCAAUCUUCAUCUUCACCUGCAACUAGCAACGCUAUAAGAGGGGCUGAGAAAAAGCGGUAACAUAGCCAAACAACGGUUUGCUAGGAAGGGUGACAAAGGUUAGAGGUUCGUGGCAAUUUGGGGAGGCUUGAUAAGCAAGUGGUAGGUAAUGCGGCAAAGCAAUAGAAUGAAGCAACUAGCAUAGCAAUGAUAGUAGUGAGAUCCAAGGUGACAGUCAUCUUGCCUGAAAUCCCGCUAGGAAGAAGAACGAGUCCAUGAAGAAGAUGAAGCCACGAAGACGAACCAAGCGUAGUCGAACGAAUCCUCACGGUCGCAACGAAACGGGAACUAUCGAGAGAAGCACACAACAUGGUAAACACACCACACAUGAAUAAGGCAUGAUGCUCAACCAAGUAUGAUGCAUUACAAGGCUACAUGAAGCUACUCAUGGCAAGAGAUGAUGCAUACAAGAACAACACAUCAAAGCAAGUUUAAAUGAGGCCGGAAACAACUUAUAACAAUUCUGGUAAGUCCCCAUAUGCAAAUUCUAAAUUGGUCCAGAUCUGAAUAAACCUUAUGUUCAAGUUUUUAAACAACAAGUUAAGAUGCACCACAAUGAUCUACACGAAAUUCUAGUCAAGUUACAUAUAAAGUUCAUUUAAUUUGGAGCUACGGCCUAGAAGAUAUGAGUAAAACAAGUCAAACAUGGCAUUGAUGCAAAAUGCAUUCAAACAUCAAGCAAACACCUCAAAACGUGGAUGCAACAAGGUAUCAUGAUGCUACAUGCAAAACUAAGCAAGUUUCAUAUAGAGCACACUCAAAACGGAGCAACGGUUCAACACAUACACAUGGAACAAGUUUAAAUGACAAGCUGUCCAAAACAGCAACUAGGCAUCUUGCAAGCACCAAAACAACAUGCUACAACACCACAACAUGAAAAACAAAAGGCAUGGACAUGAUGUACAGGUAAAGCAUAACAAAACAUGAACACUGAGCUAUCUCGAGAAAUAACUAGAACAUGCUCAAAAGGACAUGCCAAGAUUGCAAAUAAUAACAGUUCACAGACUUAGUGGAAAUCACUGGACAUGACAGAAAUAACAUCAGGUUGCAAAGUUUAGAGCUAUCAAACAACAUGCUACAUGAACUUAUCAUGGCAACCAAAGGCAUGGAAUGAAUCUACUAAUUGCAUAUAGCAAAUGUCCCUUACUGAUCAUGAGCCAAAAAGGCACAGAAGAUAUGAUAGCACCCAUGUAAACAUAGCAAGUUUCGUUACAGAUUCAGACUUGGUGAAAAUAACAGUACAUGGCAUAAACAGAAUUAUGAAGGCAUCUUUGUGAUCUUGAAUCACUCAUCACAAAGCAUUGCAUGACAAUAUAAGCAUAUCAUCAGCAAGAAGGCAUGUUCAUGAAGCUAAAAAUGGCAAGAGCAAGCUCAUAGCAUGCUUGGAUCACUAACAACAACCAUGGCAAAAUUGCUUAACAUGUAAACAAUCUGCCAGGAACAUCUUAUAGCAAAAGUAGAGCAAUAUUAAGACAUGCUAGAGCACUCUAUAAUUGCAACCAGGAGCAUUAAUGGAUAGAGCACAUCCAUAUGUCCAAAACAUCCUUACUGAACAUACUCAAAAGAGGCAUGGAUCUCACUUUAGCAACAUGAAUACAUGGCAUAAAAAUAACAGCAGAACAAAGACUUGCCAAAAUCCUAAGUCACUGAAAUCAGCAACAUCACGGAGCCUAGUUUGCAAGCUUGUGCUAGUCACCACAUAGAUCACAAAAAUACAUGGAAAGCACCCCUGUAAAGAUGGCAUGGCAUAGAUCAAAACACAUGUAGAGCUCAUAACCAUAUGAUGCACACAACAAAUGUGACAAAAAUGACAAAUCAACAUAAUCUGAUAAGUACCAGCAGUAAACAUUAUAUAGCACUAUUGCAUCAGAGAUUUGGGAAUCAAUACAGACUCAAAAAAGCAUGUCACAAUGGAACAAAGUAAAGAGCAUCUUAUGAUGAACAUUUUGAUAUAUCAUAUGCACAAAUCGGAGUAAUGAGCAGUAAGUUACGGACGGUCAAACAAGUGCACAUAUCAUCACAAAUCUGGGGACUUGGAAGAAAUUUACCAGGCAAGAUCUAGGCUUGACCUCGCGGCACGCGAACCGAGGUCAACGGAAAAAUCGCCGGCGUUGGAGGCGGUCGCCGGAGAAGGACGAGGGCAGCCGGAUCCAUGCGGCAGGGCGCCGGAUCUGGCCGGGAGGAGAUCGGGGACGCGACCCCGGGCGGCGGGGUACGGNNNNNNNNNNNNNNNNNNNNNNNNNNNNNNNNNNNNNNNNNNNNNNNNNNNNNNNNNNNNNNNNNNNNNNNNNNNNNNNNNNNNNNNNNNNNNNNNNNNNNNNNNNNNNNNNNNNNNNNNNNNNNNNNNNNNNNNNNNNNNNNNNNNNNNNNNNNNNNNNNNNNNNNNNNNNNNNNNNNNNNNNNNNNNNNNNNNNNNNNNNNNNNNNNNNNNNNNNNNNNNNNNNNNNNNNNNNNNNNCGUUGACCCGCGGGUGGCGCGCGGGAGGAGAUGGGCCCGAUCCGAGCCUCGCCGGGCCGGCAGCGCGGGGCGGCGGAGGGAGACAUAUGUCAGCCCUGAAGUGGCUGGGCGGUGGCGGCGGACAUGUCCGUCGGUGGGAUAUUUGUCCGGCGGCGCGAGGGGAGCGAGGUUAGGGUUUCAUCUGCGGAAAUUUCGGGGAGGGGCACAUAUUUAUAGGUAGGAGGAGGUAGGAGUGUCCAAAUGGAGUGCGGUUUUCGCCCACACGAUCGUGAUCGAACGACCGAGAGCAUGGAGGGGGUUUGGAUGGGAUAUUGGGCCACUUUGGAGGGGUGUUGGGCUGCACACAAAAGAGGCCUUUGCGGCUACCCGGUUAACAGUUGGAGUAUCAAACAGACUCCAAAUGGCACGAAACUUGAUAGGCGGUCUACCGGUGGUGUACCUAGGCCGCUUGGCAAACCUCGGUCCAUUACGAGAACGUUUAACGCCCGCUCACAACAAGAGACAAAAGGGGGACGCCGCAGGACAUAGGAGUGUCGGAUUGCAAAAACGGACAACAGGGAAAAUGCUCAGAUUCAUGAGACGAACACGUAUGCAAUGCAAUGGACAUGAUGACAUGGCAAAAUGCAACACACAAGCACAUGACAUGGCAACGACGGCGAAUAACUGGCGAACACCUGGCGCAUCAAAUUCGGGGCGCUACAGUGUGCCUUUCCACCUCCUGUGUGCCACUAUGGCAGCCCCUUUCAACUAUAAAAGGAGGCCCAUGGCAUACUGGAGGGGGAUUCAGCUCCUUUGAACGACGCAGCCACCAUAGCUAGUUGGAGUGCUCAAGAGCACUCAAUACUUCCACCAAAGCAGGACUAGGGUUUUACGCAUCCUCACGGCCCGAACCUGGGUAAACGAUCCUUGUGCUGACUAUUAUCCCUGCUCUUCUCACAACCCUGCGCCCCGGCAACCGUAGGAGGGAUUCUCGUGAUCCCAUAGGUGUCAUUUCCCACUGACAUCUUUGGCGCGCCAGGUAGGGGGCGCGAAUUGUGAGAAUCUGGUCUGGCAAUUAGCCUAGCAGUUCUUCAUCACCAUGGCUCCCAAGAAGAAGACGAUCGCGGCGGUCGGCUCAUCGGGAGCCGAACGGCCCGUGCAAGUGCGGGCGAGCAGCGGGCCGAUUGCGGACAGGACCCGUGCCGCAGUCCGCGAGCACCAGCAUUGCUCUAGCAGUCAGAGCCUGGCGGGCGGCGUCGUUCGUGCGCUAGGCGACGGGCCGCACGCCACUAAAUCCAAAGACGGACCUGGGCCCCCUGCAGGCGGCACGGGGCCCUCCAGGAGUGUCGUUGUGCCACCCACGGGCGGCACAGCAACCUCCAAGAUGCCCAUGUCGGCGCCCACAUCGCGCUCUUCCCAGGGUGCACGCGGCGAGCAGCGCCGCCAUGCUAGAGACCCCGGGCACCGCCGUGGGAAGAGCCAUGUGCAUCGUCCGCGGGACGAAGGAGUCCAGCAUGCUCGCCGAAGCGCUGGUGAAAAUGGCACGCAGCCGCUAGGCCGUGGUAGAGCUCCUUCUCACGUAGUUAGAAGUCGAAGCACGCCAUGGUCCAUGCAGCUGUCGCCACCACCCACGCCAGCAGAAGCUUUGGCGCACGCGCAGCUGCUUCUCGACUUCCCUCCUGCUGCGGAGAAGCUCGACAAGUGGAGAGCCACCAUCCGGAGCCUCAUCGCCGUCACCAAUAAAGAUGAUCCACGACCGGCGGGGCCUUCGGGCCGGCGCUCCAUUGAACCACCGCAUGCCAGCGGUGGAGGGGCCGGGGGUGCAGCGGCCAUGGUGCACUCUCCUCCUCCACGCCAGCCUCCGUGGGUGUCGGUCCGUCGCGAUGACGCUUGUGAUAAUAUUUCCAUAGCGUCGUCUGACCCACGGACCCUCCGCGACCAGCGUCGCGAUGACGUAUCAAUGAGCUCACGAAGAUGCUUGGACCACUAUUGAGCGCCGGCGUGAUACACGCCACCAGUCGGACAAGCGGGCGGGACCGGCUAUGGACCACCCAACACCGAGGGGCUCCGGUGACCUACCUUACGAGGUGGGCUGCCCAGCCUUUACCCGUGAGCUGCGGCAGUUCCAGUGGCCGUCCCACCGCAUGUUCAAGCCUGACGUCGGCGAGAAGUACACUGGCAAGGCCCAUCCUUCAGAGUUCCUUAGCAUCUACACCAUCGCGAUGCAGGCUGCCGGAGCUCGUGACAACAAGGUGCUUGCCAAUUACUUCCCAUUGGCACUGAAGCCCAAUGUCAUGUAUUGGUUUAUGCACUUGUUGAUACGUCUCCAUCGUAUCUAUAAUUUUUUAUUGUUCCAUGCCAAUAUUAUUCAACUUUCAUAUACUUUUGACAACUUUUUAUAAUAUAUUUGGGACUAACAUAUUGAUCCAGUGCCCAGUUCCAGUUCCUGUUUGUUGCAUGUUUUAUGUUUCACAGAAACCCCAUAUCAAACAGAGUCCAAAUGGGAUAAAAACGGAGAGAGAAUUAUUUUGGAAUAUUUGUGAUUUUUGGGAAGUAAAAUCAAUGCGAGACGGUGCCCGAGGUGGCCACGAGGGUGGGGCCCAUGCCCACUCCAAGUGGGCGCGCCCCCCACCCUCGUGGGCCCCUCAUAAGGCGGUUGAUGCUCUACUUUGGCCACAAGAAAGCUAAUUCUUGGAAAAAGAUCUGGGCGAAAGAUUCAACCCAAUCAGAGUUACGGAUCUCCGGAUAUAAAAGAAAUGGUGAAAGGGCGGCAGAACAGGAACGCAGAAACAGAGAGAGACAGAGAAACAGAUCCAAUCUCGGAGGGGCUCUAGCCCCUCCCAUGCCAUGGAGACCAAGGACCAGAGGGGAAACCCUUCUCCCAUCUAGGGAGGAGGACAAGGAAGAAGAAAACUAAGGGGCCCCCUCUCCCCUUCUCUUCCAGUGGCGCCGGAACGUCGCCGUGGCCAUUAUCAUCACCGCAAUCUUCACCAACAACUUCACCGCCAUCAUCACCAACUCUGCCCCCCUCUAUGCAGCGGUGUAACCUCUCUCUUACCCGCUGUAAUCUCUACUUAAACAUGGUGCUCAACGCUAUAUAUUAUUUCCCAGUGAUGUAUGGCUAUCCUAUGAUGUUUGAGUAGAUCUGUUUUGUCCUAUGGGUUAUUUGAUGAUCAAGAUUGGUUUGAGUUGCAUGUUUUAUUAUUGGUGCUGUCCUAUGGUGCUCUCCAUGUCGCGCAAGCGUGAGGGAUCCCCACUUUAGGGUGUUGCAAUACGUUCAUGAUUUGCUUAUAGUGGGUUGCGUGAGUGACUGAAACACAAACCCGAGUAAGGGGGUUGUUGCGUAUGGGAUAAAGAGGACUUGAUGCUUUAAUGCUAUGGUUGGGUUUUACCUUAAUGAUCUUUAGUAGUUGCGGAUGCUUGAUAGAGUUCCAAUCAUAAGUGCAUAUGAUCCAAGUAGAGAAAGUAUGUUAGCUUAUGCCUCUCCCUCAAAUAAAAUUGCAAUAAUGAUUACCGGUCUAGUUGUCGAUUGCCUAGGGACAAAUAACUUUCUCGUGACAAAAAGCUCUCUAAUAAAACUAACUUAGUUGUGUCUUCAUCUAAACAGCCCCUAGCUUAUAUUUUCGUGCUCUUUACUUUCUUGCAAGCCUAUCCAAAAACACCUACAAAGUACUUCUAGUUUCAUACUUGUUCUAGGUAAAGCGAAUGCUAAGCUUGUGUAGAGUUGUAUCAGUGGUCGAUAGAACUUGAGGGAAUAUUUGUUCUACCUUUAGCUCCUCGUUGGGUUCGACACUCUUACUUAUCAAAAGAGGCUACAAUUGAUCCCCUAUACUUGUGGGUUAUCAAGACCUUUUUCUGGCGCCGUUGCCGGGGAGCAAUAGCAUGGGGUGACUAUUCUCGUGUGUGCUUUUUUGCUUUAUCAUUAAUUAAUUUUUAUUUGCUGUUCUUAGUUGUUUUCUAUCUUUAGUUAUGGGUAGGAAACACAAAAUACCAAAAAAAUUAGUUGUACCUACUGAACCAAUGGUUGAAGAACCACUCAAAAUCUAUCACACUCCUGAAGCUUAUUACUUGGAUCAUCUACGAUCCCUAUGUGCUCGUGAUGAAACCCCAACUAGCUUAGUUGAGGGCAAAUCCUUAGAUGAGCAUGCUUGUUAUGUGCGACACCGUAUAUCUGAAAAAGGGAAACUUUUACUGGAUCAAAUUCAUCGUUUGCAAUGCUAUGCCUGGAGUUUAUGUUAUAUUUAUGAUGUUACUUGUUGUUCUGAAGACCCUAAGAAACACCUUCCCUACCAAUGUGAGUUUAUUGAUAUUGGAAUCUUAUCUUCGUAUGCUAAAGGUGUUUAUAGUUACUAUGAUGUUCAACAAAUUGAAGAAUUUGUUGCUUUUAAGGGUGCUUAUGAAAUUUCUUCUUUGAUUGAAGAGUACGAUGCUACUCUUUACAAAUCUGAAAAUUUUGCCAUACUUAAAUAUUGCUAUGAUAAUUAUGCUUCUAAUGCCUAUGUUGAACCAUAUAUUGAGGACUACUCCGCUGUCCAAGAAGAGACUAAUAUUUUGCAGGAGUCUAUGGAAGAAGAAAUUGAUGAAACUGUGAGCUCAUUGGAUGAAAAAGAUGAGGAGGAGAGCGAAGAACAAAAGGAGGAAGAGCGGAUUAGCUAACCGUGCCCACCUUCUAAUGAGAGUAACUCUUCAACUCAUACAUUGUUUAAUUUCCCUUCGUGCUUACCGAAGGAUGAAUGCUAUGAUGAUUGUUAUGAUCCCGUUGAUUCUCUUGAAAUAUCCCUUUUUGAUGAUGCUUGCUAUGCUUGUGGACAAGAUGCCGAUAUGAACUAUGCUUAUGGAGAUGAACUUGCUAUAGUUCCUUAUGUUAAACAUGAAAUUGUUGCUAUUGCACCCACGCAUGAUAGUCCUAUUAUCUUUUUGAACUCUCCCGACUACUCGAUAUUGAUGGGUUGCCUUUUACCGUUGCACAUGAUGAUUUUGAUGAAUCUAAUAUGCAUGUGCUUGCUGCUCCUACUUGCAAUUAUUAUGAGAGAGGAACUAUAUCUUCACCUCUCUAUGUUUCCCACAUGACAAAAUUACAAGAAACUGUUUAUACUAUGCAUUGGCCUUUACUUUGUGUGCAUUAAUUGUUCUUUUAUGACAUGCCGAUGCAUAGGAAGAGAGUUAGACUUCGUCAUUACAUGAUAUAUUUUCUUUGUGCUCACUACUAAAUUACAAAUCAUUGCUAAUUAAAAUUGGCUUUGAUAUACCUUGGGAUCCGGGUGGAUCCAUUACUUGAGCACUAUAUGCCUAGCUUAAUGGCUUUAAAGAAAGAGUUGCCAGGGAGACAACCCGGAAGUUUUAGAGUGUCAUUUAUUUCUGUUGUGUGCUUUCAUAUAGUUUAAAAACAACAAAAAUAAAGAGGGGAACCCAAAACUUUUUCAAAAAGAAAAGCGAAAGUGAGAAAGACAAGCAUUGUUGAAGUGGGAGCUAGCCUUGAACUUUGUUCAAGCUCACAGAAACUUUGUGAAUCUUGAUUACAGAAACUUUUCAAAAAAAAUAAUUAACCCCUUGUACAAUUCCAUUUUAUUAUAAAAAUAAUGUGCCAAGGUUUUCCUUUAGGAUGUUUACAAUGCUUGUUGGUUUGUACGGUGCAUGACAGAAACUUUGGGUGUAGUGCGUGAAUUUACAUUUUUACUGCAACAUCAAAUGGUUCUGAUUAUUUUUGCACUAUCUUUCUAAACAAUUUUUUUAUUUUUCAUAAUUUUGGCAGAAUUUUUAAAGUACCAGAAGUAUGGUGAAUGUUCAGAUUAUUACUGACCGUUUUGUUUUAGAAAGAUUCUGUUUUUUAUGCAUAGUUUGCUUGUUUUGAUGAAACUAUAAAUUUAUAUCAGUGGAUUAAGCCAUGAAAAAGCUAUAUUAUAGUAGACACAAUGCAAAAACAAAAUAUGAAUUGGUUUUCAACUAUACUUAGAGUAGUGAUUUGCUUUAUUAUACUAACAGAUCUUACCGAGUUUUCUGUUGAAAUUUUGUGUGGAUGAAGUGUUCGAUGAUCGAGAAGGUCUCGAUGUGAGGAGAAGGAAGAGAGGCAAGAGCUCAAGCUUGGGGAUGCCCAAGGCAACCCAAGUAAAUAUUCAAGGAGACUCAAGCGUCUAAGAUUGGGGAUGCCCCGGAAGGCAUCCCCUCUUUAUUCAACAAGUAUCGGUAUGUUUUCGGAUUCGUUUCGUUCAUGCGAUAUGUGCAAUCUUGGAGCGUCUUUUGCAUUUAGUUUUCAUUUUUCUUUUAUGCACCAUGCUGUUAUGAGAUAGUCCUUGGAUGAUUUAUAGAAUGCUUUAUGCACUUCACUUAUAUCUUUUGAGUACGGCUUUAUAGAAUGCUUCAUGUGCUUCACUUAUAUCAUUUGAAGUUUAGAUUGCCUGUUUCUCUUCACUUAGACAACCGCCAUUUGUAGAAUGCUCUUUUGCUUUACUUAUAUUUGUUAGAGCGUGGGCAUAUCUUUUGUAGAAAGAAUUAAACUCUCUUGCUUCACUUAUAUAUAUUUAGAGAGAUAACAUUAAUUGGUCAUUCACAUGGUUAGUCAUAAAAUCCUACAUAAAACUUGUAGAUCACUGAAUAUGAUAUGUUUGAUUCCUUGCAAUGGUUUUGCGAUAUAAAGAUGGUGAUAUUAGAGUCAUGCUAGUGGGUAGUUGUGGAUUAGUAGAAAUACUUGUGUUGAGGUUUUUGAUUCCCGUAGCAUGCACGUAUGGUGAACCGUUAUGUGAUGAAGUCGGAGCAUGAUUUAUUUAUUGAUUGUCUUCCUUAUGAGUGACGGUCGGGGACGAGCGAUGGUGUUUUCCAACCAAUCUAUCCCCCUAGGAGCAUGCGCAUAGUACUUUGUUUCGAUGACUAAUAAAUUUUUGCAAUAAGUAUGUGAGUUCUUUAUGACUAAUGUUGAGUCCAUGGAUUAUACGCACUCUCACCCUUCCAUCAUUGCUAGACUCUUCGGUACCGCGCAUUGCCCUUUCUCACCUAGAGAGUGGUUGCAAACUUCGCCGAUGCAUCCAAGCCCCGUGAUACAAUACGCUCUGUCACACAUAAGCCUCAUUAUAUCUUCAUGUUAUCCCGGAUUGGACGGUUCCUUAUCUGGCGUAUAUGAACCGGGGCGAGUUACCAAAGGAUGAGACCUUGGCCAGGCAGAUAAUCCGGCAAUCCAAAUCCAUGACUAUCAUCAAUGGAGAGUUACAUCAUUGCGGUGUGACAGGGGCAUUUCAGCACUGUGUAUCUCCUGAAGAAGGCUGUGAAAUUCUACGCGAGAUCCACGAAGGAGAUUGUGGUCACCACGUCGGAUCAAAAUCUUUGGUGGCUAAGGCGUUUUGUCACGGUUUCUAUUGGUUAACAGCUCAUGCUGAUGCUGAGGACUUGGUCAGAACAUGUGAUGGCUGCCAGAAAUUCUCAAGACGCGCUCAUGUGCCGUCUCAAGAAUUGAGGAUGAUUCCAAUCACUUGGCCAUUUGCAACUUGGGGGAUGGAUAUGGUUGGGCCUUUCAAGAGGUCCAAGGACAAGAAGACCCACCUUUUGGUGGCGGUUGAUAAGUUCACGAAGUGGGUAGAGGCAGAGCCCGUUAGCAAGUGUGACGCAGCCACGGCGGUUCAAUUCAUCAAAAAAGUGAUCUACCAGUUUGGCUUUCCACAUAGCAUUAUCACUGACAAUGGUACCAAUGUGUCAAAGGGUGCAGGAGUUCUGUCAACGUGAGCACAUCUGGCUUGAUGUAUCAUCAGUGGCUCACCCCUAGUCCAAUGGUCAAGCAAAGAGGGCUAAUUAAGAGAUCUUGUGAGGCAUCAAACCCCGGCUUAUGGUUCCUUUGCAACAGACGCCGGGUUGUUGGGGUGAGGAGCUACCUUCAGUAUUAUGGAGCAUCAAUACCACACCCAACAGAUCGACAAGAUACACACCGUUCUUCAUGGUUUACGGAGCGGAAGUGGUUCUUCCUAGUGACAUCCGUCAUGACUCACCUCGUGUAGCGGCGUAUGUUGAAGCUGACAACGAGAAGGCACGACAGGAAGCUCUUGACCUGUUAGAUGAGGAAUGUGACAUAGCGGCAGCCCUCUCAGCGAUUUAUCAGCAAGAUUUGCAUCGUUAUCACAGCCGCCGGGUUAGAACCAGAACCUUUCAAGAAGGAGAUUUGGUACUUCGGCUCAUCCAGGAUCAGACGGAUAUGCACAAGUUAUCCCCCCCUUGGGAAGGACCUUUUGUGGUCAGCAAGAAUCUACACAACGGGUCGUACUACCUAAUCGAUGUUCGAGAGCACAAAGACUCACGUAAAGCGGAGGAGGAGACCAACCGGCCGUGUAAUAUUGCUCAUCUUCGGCCUUACUAUACUUGAGCUUUAGGCUCUGCUUAUGUACAUAUUAUGACAAUGUAUAUAUUAUGAUCAAUAUAAUAAACCAGAACCUCAGCUAAAGCGGGGUAUCUGUUGUUUUCUUACAUCAUGUGUGGUUACAUGGAGCUUCUGUUUCUAAAGCGGCGUCCGGUUUACCCCUUGAUUUAGCUUCUCAAAGCUUUAUAUUAUAUCACUUGGGGGCUUGGUCAUAUCCGCACCAUAGCUACACCUUUUGAUAGGCGCAAUGCCAUAGCAUCACUUGGGGGCUUGGUCGUAUUCGAACCAUAGUCACACCUCUUGAUCGGCUCAAAGCCAAAAUAAUCUCGGGCCAAAGAGAGUAUUGUAAAACAACAACUCAAACAUGGGUACCCACUAAGCACAGCUCAAAACGUUACUUGGGGAUUCUUUGCUAUUGCAAUGAACCUAGAAUCUACAAUUGUAAUGGGCUAUCAAGCCAUGGCUUGGAAGCCUGGUGUAUACACCUCAAACCCCGGGUUAACCUACCUCUUUAAGUAAGUCACGCUACCCAGGUAAACCUGGUAUGACCCUUCGAACUUUGACAAGUUACUCUAAAAUACAGACCCUGAACUUGUCAAGUUAAAACGAUGAUUGUUUAAGGAUUGCGGACCAUCUUAAAAGGCUUUGCAAAAAUGGUUUAACUCAGUGUCCUAGCAGCCCAUGAAAAGCCUCGAAUUUGGGGCCUGGCAGCCCGUGAAAAGCCUCGACUACAACGGCUUUAUUUGCCUUUGAUAGCCUCGACUACAAUGGUUUUAUUUGCCUUUGAUUGAGUUUUGCUUUCUUUUUGAUAAUAUUUAUGAUGUUUUUAAACCGGUGUUAUUAACCCGGUUAGACUGCCAAUUACAAAUUGACAGUACACGAUCAAAUCAUAAUCCGGAUACUAUCAGCCCGGUCUGGUUUUGAAUCAAAGUCCCAGUAUGGAGUAAACCGGUGUUCAUCAUAACCCGGAACGGUUUUUAUUAUAGACCAGCCUCAUAUAACAUGAUUUACUACUCCUCCAAGAGUUGUGUUAUGACCCUCACUACAAUGUUGGUUAGCCCACCUUAUGCCUAAAAGGUCACAGGUAUUACAUAUAUUUAUGUGUUUGGUUAUCUUUUACAACCUUGGUUACACACCUUGGUCAUAUACAUAUUGGAUAUCAUAAUUAACCCGCCCGGGGGUAAAUCGCCAGGGAUCUUUGAGCUUUUAUCUGCAGGAACAACUUGAAUAAAUGGCUAUGGAUUAUGAAUAUCAUAUCUUAAACAUGUCGGAUUAAGCAAGCAUCAGUCGCAGAUAAAUAUGCACGAAGGCAUACCAGACCAAGUAUUUUAACUAGCCUAUUGCAAGGUGUUCCAGUGCCCAAAAGGAUAAUUUUUUUCUCAAAUACAUGUUGCAGCAUGUAGAAGAUUAAACCAGCCUCCGGUUCAUGAUUGGUCACCAGCUUGGCCUAAUGGUUGUGGAUCAUCUCGCGCCGGUUCAGCUUCUUCUUCUCUACCCAGUGGCUGGAAAUCAGCAGUUGCCCAGUUGAUCCCAGUUAGGGUUGGAAUAUAGCUCCAUCACUUAUCAUCAUGGACGGUUCAAUGUCAGGGGCAUAAGUGUGCUUACGGAUUGGCGGGAUAAGAUUUUGAGCUUCUAGAAUCAGUGCAGCAACCCACUUGUUCUUGUCAUCAUAGCUUGCUUGAUAGUAUGAAAGGUCUGCUUCUUCAACCAGUUGACAAGCCAAUGGGCGUACUUCCUGGUUUAUGAUCCGGAGAUCAUCUUCGCCAAACUCUGUUCCGUCUUCUUUCAAACUGGGAUAACCUUGGGCCGCUUCAACUGGAUCAAAGUUAGGUACCCAUGCUUUUGCCCGGGUCAGGGCGGCUAAAGCGCCCGUUCUAGCAGCAGACUUUUUUAGCUCGUCUACCCGGGCAGGAAGCAUAGAUAACCGUUUUAAGGUAUCCUUGAUCAAGGUGGGAGGCAGAUUGUUGUGAGACACAGUAUAUAUGAUCCGCCGUGCGCUGGUAUACAACUGCUCUAUCAGAGUAUAGGCUGCUUUCAGUUUCUUCUGAACAUCAGAUCCCAAGUGGCUAAUACGAGUUCCUGUAUCAUUACAAUGAUUAGUAAACUGGAAAAUACAUGCAAGGAUAUAUGGAAAGCCUAAGUCAAGGAUGUUUACCGAAAACAACAACAGUCAUGGCAUGAAUUUGCCGCUUCACACCGGUCAGUUCGUCAACCACCGGUUUAAGUGUCGCUUCUGCGUUCUCAGCUCUUUUUAUCAAAGCGGAUUUUUCAGUUUCCCAAUCCGUCCGCUCUUUGUUGAAGCCUUCUUUCAAUUUUUCCAUAGCGCCUAGAGCGUUGGUCAAUUCUUCUUUUGCCUUGGAAGUUUCAGCCUAUUGGGACUUGAGGUUCUCUCGCAGAUCAGCGGUUUGGCUUUCAUUCUUGCUCAGUUCACCCUAUAAAGAGACAAAUAUAUAAUGAAUUGGCAGUGCAUAUUUGAAGUACCAAGCACAUAACAAGUUAUGCCCUUAGUACUUGGGGGAUAAUGCAUAUUUGCUCUUCAUCAGAAAUUUUUUACAAGUCCCAAGCACAAUACAAGUAUUAAGCUUGGCACUUGGGGGCUAAUGUGCAUUUGAUCAUAAAUUGCGGAGAUGAGAUUUCUUCUACAAAGUCCCGGUUCAUCUUUAUGAAGUUAAACCGGCCAUUGGGGGCUACUUCAGUGAAGUUAAGAUGCCUUGUUGCAAAAAUAGAAUUUUUACUAAGUCCCGGUUCAGAUUGGUAUCUUAAACCGUCACUUGGGGGCUACUGGAGUUGAUAAGCUGCAAUUAAAAAUAAGGGGGAAACACUUAUGAAAUUACCUCAUAUCGUUCCUUCAUCGCAUUUACCAAGCCGGCUUCAUAGUCACGACUGGUGUAUAGACGGUUCAGAUAGCCGGAAUGGAGGUCUUGAGCAUUCAGAUGGGCAUAAGUGGACAGAUCGGCAUUCCAUUUGCCUUGGCCAAUUGCAGAGAAUUCCUCUUUGGCAGUAUGCUUCGACAAAGCGACAGGAUUGCCCGGAGUGGUAUGGCCAGUGCCAGUGAUCAUAACGUCAUCAUCCUUUUCCUCAGCAGCUCAUACUGGAGUUGCCAAUUUAUCAAUAAUUUUCACCGGACUGACCGGUUUGUCAGUCCGGAUAGGGCUGGUUGGCUGGUUACCAUGGCCUGUGGUGUCAAUUUCUACUUGAUCAAUAGCAAAGACAUGAUCUUGAGGCGGCGGGUCAUUCAACAUGUCAUCAAUAUUGGUUUCUUUAGGAUCAGGAGUUUUCUUCGAUUCAACUGCCGCAUCCUCCUCUAUUGGUUUAUUCAGACGAGCCUUCUUGCUUGGUUAGGGCUUGGCACUGAGAAAAAUAAGCAUAAGGAUCAUUACAGUAUAUAUUAAAUAACAUAUCAAGGAUAUAAAUAAGAGUAUGGCUCACCCAAGCACUGUUUUGAGCGGUGGAAGCUUUGUGGCAGACGAUUCACCAGAUGAUGAGUGAGAAGUACCCUGAUAAUUUGAAUCGGAUGGGUUAAGAGGUUGACGAAAACAACCCGCUUUGGGGCGUGAAGAGUCAAGGGAAUAAGAGACCUCUAAACGGCAUUUCUGAACCGAAGUGUUCGAUAAACCGGCGGAGGUAACUACCUGGCCGCUAUGCCGGGUUGUGCAGUGAGCCUCGUGCUAUUGUGUCUUCACAAGAAAGUUCGGAUCCAAGUAAGCAAGAGGAUGAGAAAAUUUAACUUUCCAGUUUGCCCGACGGAUUUUUAGUGUUGGCAAAGGAUUUGAAUCGGAGGAAAGAACGAUUACCUCUACAACAUCGGCUUGGCUGCCUUCAGCGUCGUCCUGACAAUAAUCAUCAUCAAUAAGGCGUAUGAAAAAUGAACCAAGUGAGUCAAGUUCUACAUCUGGUUUCGGAUUACCCACAUCAUCAUCAGCUGGUGGAUCGGAAGAUGUAGUGGUCCUUCUCUUGGCAGGUUUUUUCACAAUUUUAUUUUUUUGACGAGUUGGCUUGACCAGUUUGUCUUGAGGGGGUUUCUUGUUCCAAAAUGGGUCAUCGCCCUGUCAGAAAAUAAUCACACUUUCAGAGAAUAUUUGGACAAAAGCAAUUUCAGAUAAACAGAUUAUGUGAUUCUUACAGCUAGUGGUUUGUUGAUGGUGCGGAAAGGGAGAAGUCCGGUUUGAGCGUAGACAACCUCCGGUUUGUGCAACAUCUUUUUUACAGCUUCAGUGACUUCUUCAUCUGUAAGCUGAAUAUCAAUGUGCCGUUGAGAAUCCUUCAAGCUUCCAGUAUACUCACACAUUAAACUGGGGCGCCGGCUUAAAGGCAGAAUGCUCCAGCUUAUCCAACAACGGGCAAGAUCAACUCCUAUCAAACCGUUCUCUAUGAAAGCUCUAAGCUUUGGUAAUUGUGGAGCAUAGUUAGCCCUUUCUUUUGUAGUCAACCUUUGAGGGAAAGGUUGUGUGUUGCUCAGGUGUUCAGGGCGGUAACCCGGCAGCUGGUUUUCAUCAGGUGGAGAGGUGUCUCUACAAUAAAAUCAAGUGGCGUUCCACUCCUUGGGGUGGCUGUGAAGUUUAGGAUGAGGAGAAGUAACUUCCUUCCUCUUCUGAACCGCCAUCCCGCCCAAUUCAAUGUUGGGUCCAUCUGUGAAUUAUGUACGGCGGUUUAGGUGAAAGAAAUCUCUGAACAUCUCUACUAUAGGUUCCUCUUGAAGGUAAACCUCACAAAAGACUUGGAAGUGGCAGAUGUUGGUCACAGAAUUAGGACCGAUGUCUUGAGGGCGCAGUUGAAAGCUGGCCAGUACAUCCCGGAAAAACUUUGAACCGGGAGGACUGAAACCCCGGCCUAAGUGAUCAGAAAACACAACAACCUCUCCAUCCUUGGGUAUUGGAGGACAAUCCGGGCCAGGGACCCUCCAAUGGAUGACAUCCUUCUUGGCUAAAGCGCCCGUUUUGACAAGAUUGUCUAGCUGCUCUUCGGUUACUCGCGAACGAGCCCAAUUGCAUUCAUAAACUUGCUUGGCCAUGGCAAUGAAAGAUCUACAACAGGAUAAUUGCCGGUUUAAGAUUUACAGUGGACAACUACAUAGCGGUAUAAGGGUGUAAGCAUGCUGUUAAACCAGAGUUGGCUAAUCAUAAACCGGAGUUUGCUAAACGUAGAAUAUAAAUGUGAAGUACAUUGGCGAUUCAACAAGGGGACUAAUGGUAUAUACUGGGUUGUCGUUUUUCUAAAAGUUAAACUGCCUAGUCUGACAUUGAAGAUACAAGCUUACAGAUGUAUAAGUGAAGGAAAAACAAAUUUCACAAGUUGGCAUUAUAAUUUUGGAUCUACCGCAUAUCAGAAAAGGAAAAUAUAUUCAAACCUAAGAAGUAGUACCGAAACAGUGGAUGAAGGUUCAGAUGGGAUCUUCUAUUUAAAUGGGAUGCAUAGAUGGAAAGAGAGACUAAGGCUAUCACUAUACAGAGCAGAUAUUCAAGGUUCUAUCAAGAGCCAUUAUGUGAACAAAGAACACCGACGAACACCGAAGAACACCGAAACCCUAGAAACAGAUCUAUGGUGGAAGAAUGGAAAGCUUACCGAUGCUAAUGGAAGAACGGAGAAGUGCAGCAGUUCUCUGGUACGCUCAGGGUGAUGCAGAGGCCGGAGUUGAGGCAGUGGCGACGGUCGAUGGUGGCGGCGGAGUGCCAGAGGUUGAGCAGCGCGAGGAAGACGACGACGCAAAGAGGCACGAGGGAAAAAAAGGAAAAUGACCCCUCAGCCCUAUUUAUAAGAGAAGUGGACAAAAUGGCAGACACGAGAAUCGAGGAGCCCAAAAAUGGGUGUCUGACAGCUUUGUUGCCUCGAUUGUCGGAGGCCCAUUAAUGAAGAUGAGUAUAUGCAGUUAAAAAUAACAAAUGAUGUCAUGGCGGUUUACCAUGGUCUUGGAAGAUGACGUCCUGGCGGUUUACAAAUUGUGUGAAGAUGUUGAAGAAGAAAUCUUAUUAAGUGCUUAGGACUGACAUGAACCAGUUCAAAUCAGUCUGGGGCCUAAUGUUGAGGAUGUUACCACUAGGCGUGAACCGGCCAGGAGAGACCGGGUUAACUCCAUUGGUAGUUCAUUAUAUCUGAAGCCCAUGAAGAUAGACGAUGACGCUAUAUGAAGGCCCAGGGCCCAGAGCGGAUUUAAGGCCUGUAGACAUAAACCGGCAUUGACAAUAUAACUUGUACUAUAAGGUAGAAAGAACGGAGACCGAGCCGGACACGUUUAUGAGCCGGCCUCGGAACUCUGUAAACCGACGGGCGUCAACCCAUGUAUAUAAGGGGACGACCCGGCGGCGGUUCAGGACAAUAGACAACAACUCGAGACUCAGGCAAAGCGUAUUCGCUCCCUGGUCAUCGAAACCCCAUAAAUUCCAUCACAACUAGACGUAGGCUUUUACCUUCAUUGUAAGGGGCCGAACUAGUAUAAAACUCUCUUGCGUCCCUUGUCCGCUUAAACCCCUUUAAGCUAACCCGUAGUGAUGGCUCCACGAUGAAGUCCUUUCAUGAGGACAUCUGCCGUGACAAAACCAUGACACUACCUAUCAUGGCAUUUCCAUAGCCAUUCUGAGAUAUAUUGCCAUGCAACUUCCAUCAUCAUCAUAUACAUGACUUGAGCAUUUAUUGUCAUAUUGCUUUGCAUGAUCGUAAGAUAGCUAGCAUGAUGUUUUCAUGGCUUGUCUGUUUUUUGAUGCCAUUGCUACGCUAGAUCAUUGCACAUCCCGGUACACCGCCGGAGGCAUUCAUAUAGAGUCAUAUCUUUGUUCUAGAUAUCGAGUUGUAAUAUUGAGUUGUAAGUAAAUAAAAGUGUGAUGAUCAUCAUUAUUAGUGCAUUGCCCCAGUGAGGAAAGGAUGAUGGAGACUAUGAUUCCCCCACAAGUCAGAAUGAGACUCCGGACUUUAUAAAAAUCAAAGAGGCCAAAGAAGCCCACCAAAAAAAGGAAAAAAAUGAGAGAAAAAGAGAGAAGGGACAAUGUUACUAUCCUUUUACCACACUUGUGCUUCAGAGUAGCACCAUGUUCUUCAUAUAGAGAGUCUCUUGAGUUAUCACUUUCAUAUACUAGUGGGAAUUUUCAUUAUAGAACUUGGCUUGUAUAUUCCAAUGAUGGGCUUCCUCAAAUGCCCUAGGUCUUCAUGAGCAAGCAAGUUGGAUGCACACCCACUUAGUUUUAGUUUGAGCUUUCAUACACUUAUAGCUAUUAGUGCAUCCGUUGCAAGGCAAUCCCUACUCACUCACAUUGAUAUCUAUUAUUGGGCAUCUCCAUAGCCUGUUGGUACGCCUAGUUGAUGUGAGACUUUCUCUUUUUUUGUCUUCUCCACAUAACCCCCACCAUCAUAUUCUAUUCCACCUAUAGUGCUAUGUCCAUGGCUCACGCUCAUGUAUUGCGUGAAAAUUGAAAAAGUUUGAGAUUACUAAAGUAUGAAACAAUUGCUUGGCUUGUCAUCGGGGUUGUGCAUGAUGUGAAUAUUUUGUGUGGUGAAGAUGGAGCAUAGCCAGACUAUAUGAUUUUGUAGGGAUAACUUUCUUUGGCCAAGUUAUUUUGAAAAGACAUGAUUGCUUUAUUAGUAGGCUUGAAGUAUUAUUGUUUUUAUGUCAAAUGAUAGACUAUUGCUUUCAAUCACUCGUGUCUUAAUAUUCAUGCCAUGAUUAGAUACAUGAUGAAGAUUAUGCUAGGUAGCAUUCCACAUCACGAAUUAUCUUUUUUUGUCUUUUACCUACUCGAGGACGAGCAGGAAUUAAGACCUAGGAUGCUGAUACAUCACCAUCGUAUCUAUAAUUUUUUAUUGUUCCAUGCCAAUAUUAUUCAACUUUCAUAUACUUUUGGCAACUUUUUAUACUAUUUUUGGGACUAACAUAUUGAUCCAGUGCCCAGUGCCAGUUCCUGUUUGUUGCAUGUUUUAUGUUUCGCAGAAACCCCAUAUCAAACGGAGUCCAAACGGGAUAAAAACGAAAGGAGAAUUAUUUUGGAAUAUUUGUGAUUUUUGGGAAGUAAAAUCAACACAAGACGGUGCCCGAGCUGGCCACGAGGGUGGGGCCCAUGCCCACUCUAGGUGGGUGCGCCCCCCAACCUCAUAGGCCCCUCGUAAGGCGGUUGAUGCUCUACUUUGGCCGCUAGAAAGCUAAUUUUUGGAAAAAGAUCUGGGUGAAAGAUUCAACCCAAUCGGAGUUACGGAUCUCCGGAUAUAAAAGAAACGGUGAAAGGGCAGCAGAACAGGAACGCAGAAACAGAGAGAGACAGAGAGACAGAUCCAAUCUCGGAGGGGCUCUCGCCCCUCCCACGCCAUGGAGGCCAAGGAUCAGAGGGGAAACCCUUCUCCCAUCUAGGGAGGAGGUCAAGGAAGAAGAAGAUGAAGGGGCCCCCUCUCCCCUUCUCUUUCGGUGGCGCCAGAACGCCGCCGUGGCCAUCGUCAUCACCGCAAUCUUCACCGACAACUUCACCGCCAUCAUCACCAACUCUCCCCCCUCUAUGCAGCGGUGUAACCUCUAUCUUACGCGCUGUAAUCUCUACUUAAAUAUGGUGCUCAACACCAUAUAUUAUUUCCCAAUGAUGUUUGGCUAUCCUAUGAUGUUUGAGUAGAUCUGUUUUGUCCUAUGGGUUAUUUGAUGAUCAAGAUUGGUUUGAGUUGCAUGUUUUAUUAUUGGUGUUGUCCUAUGCUGCUCUCCGUGUCGCGCAAGCAUGAGGGAUCCCCGCUGUAGGGUGUUGCAAUACAUUCAUGAUUCACUUAUAGUGGGUUGCGUGAGUGACUGAAACACAAACCCGAGUAAGGGGGUUGUUGCGUAUGGGAUAAAGAGGACUUGAUGCUUUAAUGCUAUGGUUGGGUUUUACCUUAAUGAUCUUUAGUAGUUGCGGAUGCUUGCUAGAGUUCCAAUCAUAAGUGCAUAUGAUCCAAGUAGAGAAAGUAUGUUAGCUUAUGCCUCUCCCUCAAAUAAAAUUGCAAUAAUGAUUACCGGUCUAAUUAUCGAUUGCCUAGGGACAAAUAACUUUCUCGUGACAAAAAGCUCUCUACUAAAACUAACUUAGUUGUGUCUUCAUCUAAACAGCCCCCAGCUUUUAUUUUUGUGCUCUUUACUUUCUUGCAAGCCUAUCCAAAAACACCUACAAAGUACUUCUAGUUUCAUACUUGUUCUAGGUAAAGCGAACAUUAAGCGUGCGUAGAGUUGUAUCGGUGGUCGAUAGAGCUUGAAGGAAUAUUUGUUCUACCUUUAGCUCCUCGUUUUGUUCGACACUCUUACUUAUCGAAAGAGGCUACAAUUGAUCCCCUAUACUUGUGGGUUAUCACUUGCCGGCGGAUUCCAUUUAUUCUUGGUCAGAUAUGUGCCAUGAGUUCGUUGGCGCCUUCACCAGGGGCCACCAAGCUCAUUGCCAGGCCAGUGAUCUGCAUAUCAUUCCCCAGAAGGAAGGGGAAACCCUGUGCAAGUACAUCCAGAGAUUCAGCGGGGUGGAGUACAACAUCCCCGACGUUCAUCCCGCAGCCGUGAUCAGUGCGUUCCAUCAGAAUGUGCGCAACCGCAAGAUGCGCGAAGAGCUGGCGAUGACCAAGUUUAAGGAUGUGGUCGAACUCUAUGUUCUGGCCGAUAAGUGCGUCCGGGCUGAAGAGGGAAGGAAGUACCCCAGCGAGUACGCCGACGCGGAAACCGACUCUACUAAUGAAGACACCGCCGCCCCGACAAAGAAGGGCUGGCGUCGCAAUAGGAGACGCAAGGGCAAGACAGUGCUUGCCGUCGAGGGAUCCGACAGCACCGGCACUACCAAGAAGGCCAAGGCAGACGACCCCAGCAAGGAGAUUGCCGGGUGCGCCGCCUGCUGGGCCUUGGCGGCUGCCGACAAGCCAGGAAGCUCCGACAAGCAGUACUGCGGGAUCCACCGCACCAAGGGCCACGACCUCCAGAACUGCCGACAAGUCGAGCUGCUUGCUGAGAAGCAAAAAGAUGAGUACGAGAGGCCAGGAUGGUGCCAAGGGAUCCGGCAAGAAGCGUGGCGGCCAAGGAGGCCGCCGCGGCAAGGACAACCAGUAAGAGAGGCCCGCCCAGGGCCGUGACAAGAAGCAUGUAGAUGAUGAUCAUGAUGAGGACGACGGGUCCGGCGAGCAAGAGUUCCAGAAGGCUACGAAGGCCAUGUGCAUCGAUGGCGGCGCCUCGCUGCAUACUUCUCACCGCCACCUCAAGCAGUGGGCACGUGAGAUUACAGCAGCGGAGCUGUCGUUCAACGCUCAGAAGCCGCUGAAGUGGUCCAACACACCCCUCAUCUUUGAUGCCGAGGACCACGCUGACCGCACAACCGCGGUCGGGUGUUUGCCGUUGUGGGUUUCGCCAACAAUACGCAACCUCAAGGUGAACAUGAUGUUGGUUGACGGCGGGGCCGGCCUGAACUUGAUCUCGCUCGGCAUGAUCAAAAGGCUGCAAAUUCCCGAUGGAGACCUCUAGGAAAUGGGCACGUUUCAAUGGGUCAAUCCGGGGAGGAGCCACCCGAAGGGAAAGGUCACACUGCCCGUGACGUUUGGAGGAGAGUUGAACUAUAGGACGGAGAGUAUCAUGUUCGAUGUGGCCGAGAUCCCCUUGCCCUACAACGGGAUCCUCGGCCACCCAGCACUAGCCAAGUUCAUGGCGGUGUCGCACUACGCCUACAACACGCUGAAGAUGCCUGGGCCGUUGACCAUCAUCUCCGUCCCCUCCGACAAGAAGGACACACUAAUUUGCACCGACCAACUCUAUCGGGAAGCAGUUGCAGCAGCUGCCGCCAAGGCACUUGCUCCUGCCGCUGAAGCCCCGGGAGGGAAGAAGAAGCCAGGCAAGACCUCUCGCACCCACUCCGGCAAGCACACCUCUUCGGAGUGUUGUGCUACCGUCAAGGACGUGCCAGAAAGCUCCACCGGCAAGAGCAAGAAAUCCAGAGCUGAGCCACCGCAGACCAAGAAGGUGUCCGUUAGGGAGGAUGGUACGGGAGGAGCUUUCACCAUAAGCUCCACCCUCGACAGCAAAUAGGAAGGCGCGCUCGUCACCUUCCUAUGGGCGAAUGUCUACGUGUUUGCAUGGCUAGCAUCCGACAUCCCCGGUGUUCCCAGGGAGGUGAUUGAGCACCACCUAGCUGUCUGUCCUCAUGCGCGGCCCGUCAAGCAGAAGGUCAGGAAGAAGGCUCUGGAAAGGCAGGAGUUCAUCACAGAGGAGAUCAGGAAGUUGGAAGCGGCAGGUUUGGUGAGAGGAGUGCUCCAUCCGACGUGGUUGGCCAAUCCGGUGGUGGUGCGCAAGGCAAAUGGGAAGUGGAGGUUGUGUAUUGACUACACAGAUAUCAAUAAGGCUUGUCCCGAAGAUCCCAUCCCGUUGUUGCGCAUCGACCAGAUUGUUGACUCCAUGGCCGGGUGUGAUCUGUUGUCAUUCCUCGAUGCCUACUCAGGCUACCACCAGAUCUUCAUGACAAGAGAAGACGAAGAGAAGACAUCAUUCAUCACUCCAUGUGGUAUGUAUUGCUUUUUACGGAUGCCUUUCGGGUUGAAGAGUGCUGGCUCGACAUUCGCAAGAGCAGUCCAAAUUAGUUUUGAACCCCAGCUCCAUAGAAAUAUGGAAGCGUAAAUGGAUGACAUAGUGGUCAAAACCAAGGACAGGGCCACUCUUGUACAAGACCUGGAAGAUACGUUUGCCAACCUGCGCAAGAUCAACCUCAAGCUGAACCCUGAGAAGUGCGUCUUCUGCAUUCCGUCCGGAAAGCUUCUCAGGUUCUUUGUGUCGCAGCGCGGGUGUCGGUGUCAAUACCGGAGGAUCUCGGGUAGGGGGUCUCGAACUGUGCGUCUAAGGCGGAUGGUAACAGGAGGCGGAGGACAUGAUGUUUACCCAGGUUCGGGCCCUCUCUAUGGAGGUAAUAACCUACUUCCUGCUUGAUUGAUCUUGAUGAUAUGACUAUUACAAGAGUUGAUCCACCACGAGAUUGUAGAGGCUAAACCCUAGAAGCUAGCCUAUGGUAUGAUUUUUCUCGUCCUACGGACUAAACCCUCUGGUUUAUAUAGACACCGGAGGGGGCUAGGGUUACACAGAGUCGGUUACAAUGGGAGGAGAUCUACAUAUUCGUAUCGCCAAGCUUGCCUUCCACGCCAACAAGAGUCCCAUCCAGAUACGAGACAAAGUCUUCUUGUAUCUUCAUAGUCCAACAAUCCGGCUUUCUGGAUACCCCCUAAUCCAGGACUCCCUCAGUAGCCCCUGAACCAGGCUUCAAUGACGACGAGUCCGGCGCGCAGAUUGUCUUCGGCAUUGCAAGGCGGGUUCCUUCUCUGAAUACUUCGUAGAAGAUUUUGAACACAAGGAUAGUGUCCGGCUCUGUAAAACAAGUUCCACAUACCACCGUAGAGAGAAUAACAUUUCCGAUCUGCUAACAUAUUUGAUAUCAUGACAUCACGCCAUGGCCUGGUUAUUAUCGAACCAUUUUUCUCAACCAGCCUUGGUGCAUAUCACGAGGCGGUUUCCUUGGCACGUCUUGUCGAAGCAGAGAUCGUGUCCCCUUAUCACGGGAUUCCCAUCAAUACGGGCGUGGGUAACCCAACCGCGCCAUCAAUCGUGGCGCUUGGGGAAUAAGCGAGUUAACCAGGCUAGUGGGGGCGUAUAGUUUCAUCCGCCCUUAUAAAGGGAUAAGAGUUCGCCUUUUUCACCCAUGCCUUCUUCCUCUUCGCCUAUCCAUUCUCGCGCACUCGAGGUCCAACGCCCAAGUUCGCACCUUUCUCCUCACACCGCCCCAAUCAUGUCCGGAGCGGGAGGAAAGUGGAUGAGAUCCUCCGUUACGGAGGAGAAUAUCAAGAAGCUGCAUGGAGCCGGAUACUUAGACGCGGACAUCGCGCACCGGCUGCCAAACGCGGGGCAGAUCGUCCCUACUCCAGAACCCCACGAGAGGGUAGUUUUUCUAACGCACUUCGUCCGCGGACUGGGAUUUCCCCUCCACCCGUUCGUCCGCGGCCUCAUGUUCUACUACAGGCUGGACUUUCAUGAUCUAGCCCCGAACUUUAUCCUCAACAUCUCGGCGUUGAUCGUCGUGUGUGAGGCCUUCCUCCGCAUCUGGCCCCACUUUAGCCUGUGGCUGAAGACCUUCAAUGUGAAGCCGAAGGUUGUAGGCGGCCAGCAGGCGGAAUGUGGAGGUGCCAUGGUGGGCAAAAUGCCCAAUGUCACAUGGAUCGAGGGCUCCUACGUGGAGACCAUAAAGGGGUGGCAAUCGGGGUGGUUCUACAUCACCGAGUCGCGUGACCCCAAAUGGGUGGCGACCCCCGAGUUCCGAUCCAGAAUCCCUAUGCGGCUCACCUCCUGGAAAGAGAAGGGCCUGCCCUGGGGUAACCCGGUAGAGCUGACCGGACUCCAAACCUGCAUCAAGAACAUGAUGGACAGGAAAAUCAAGUUUGUCAACGUGGUCCAGGUCAUGCUCUUCCGCCGGAUCCUCCCGUGUCAACAACGGGCGUUCAAUCUACGAGAGUUCGACCUGGCCCGUCACGAAACUCUGCGCGAGCUCUUCGACACGACGCACAAGGAUGUCUGGAAGGUGCUGUUCAAGAGCGCCGAGGUUCCCCCCUCCCUAACCGAGGACCGUGGACUUAGCACAAAGCGCCUCGCGAAACCGAUAAGUUCUUUAUAGGGUAUUUGUCCUCCCUAGUUUAAUCAUGUGCGGGAUCUCAGCUACCCCUGCAUUUGACAGGACUGGGUGGAGAUGGAAGAGCAGAUCGACUGCCCAGCUCCUUUGCCUGAAGAUCUAGCGGACGCUCUCCUGACGGAGAUGUUGACUCCGGCACCUUAUGAGGUGCCCGAGAAGAAGGCCAAGAAGAAGGCCAAGGGGACACGAAAGAGUUCCUGACGUCAGGUGGUAUCGGACCCAUCGCCCGACGACUCUGAGACGCACUCCUCUUGCAAAAGCGAGGAGGAGGAAGAUGAGGGUUCUCCCCUGCAGCCGGGGGAGACAAGAAAAGGAAAGCCGCCCCAGCCAGGGGGGCCGAAGGGUCCAAGAAGGGGAGAACUCUCCUUCCAGACUGCUCCACGACGGCCGCCGACAGCGGCGACGAGUGGCUGCUUAGGGACAAGCCCUUGGAAAAGUCGUAAGUAUCCGGAUAUCAUAACGAUUAUUGGUCUACUUUGUUAAACUGCUUCUUCUCAUGCCGAACACGAUUAUGCAGUCCGCCCAGAGCCCGAAUCGACGUAUCUUCGUUAGGUGAUUCUUUGGGCUCGUCGGAUAUGAAGAGCGAUUCACUUCCGACCGCUUCUACCCCCCGCCCUAUGAACAAUGCCGAAGUGUUGUCCGUGAGAGCACCGAGCCGAGGGGAGGUGGUCCUAGAGGAGCCUCGAGGCAACUUUCCGGGUCCUAGGCGCAAAGGGAGCAAGACUCCCACAGGCUCCAAGUCCGGCCGUCGGCCGGACACCACGCCGGAGCCUUCAGUGAUUCCAGAUUCCGGCAGGCAACUCCCUUUGAAGGGAGACAAGCCGCCCGCGUCGGUGGCCUCUGUCCAUCCAAAGGCACCGGACAAUUUGUUGGAAACACUUCGAGGCACUUCCAUCGAUGAAGAUCACCGCACUAUUAUGAGUGCGGUGAUCGAGAAGAUUUGGUCUGCCAAAAGCGGACUAACCGAAGCUUGUGCCAGCCUCCUAACAGGCUUUGAGGUAAAUAGUGGAAGUAUAUAAAAAUAUUACCGUAUAGACAGUAGCCCCUGAUGCUCUGUUAGGUGUUCACGAAGAAAAGCCAAAUAGAGGAUCAAAUAAUAACUGCAGGAGUCUAAUCCAAAUAUUUCUAUAUACGUAUGCAGGCUUCAAUGCUGGCCGCUGCCGCAAAUACUGAGGAGAUCGCCGCACUGAAGCGGAACCUCGAGCGGUCUUAGGAAGAACUCAGCCUUGCCAAAAAGUAGCUCGAGGAGAACAAAGGUAAGCAAUACCGUGUCUUCAUAAAAAGGUUUUGGUUGCAAGAUAACAAGAUCAUCAUGGAUGUACCAGGGUCCACAACCGAAGUGGCAACCCUGAAGUAGUUGCUCACCGAGGCCGAAAACAAAGCGGCCAAGGAGCGCACUGAGAGAGAAAAACAAGAGGCCCGAGCAGGCGAGGUGCAGCAAGAGCUUCAAGAACUCAUGAAGAAGCACGAGUCCUUGGAGCACGACUCAAAGACGCGAGAGUCCGAGCUUGCCAAGGCCCUCGAAAGCGCAAAAAAUGCCAAGGCCGAAGCCCAAAAGGCCCUCCAGGAGGCGGUGAAGAAGAUAGCGGCGGGUAAGGCAUUCAUUAUGCAAAGUAGGCAUGCGAAAGAAAAUUUCCUUUUACUUACCCGAGUUCGGAGCUCUCCAGGAGCGUUCGCAGAUCUGCCCCGCAGUGUGUCUAAGGCCGCGGAGUUCUACCGGGCCAAGGAGGGAAGCUCGACGGAGAAGUUGUUCUGGUCUCAGUACACUAGGACCGAACACCCGAUGCCCGUGACCGACCAGCUGAAGCAACUGGUCGAGCUCCACAAGACGGCCGAACAGGCCAUGAGGGGCCUUAUAGGCCGGAUGUGGCCUAGCGAUUCCCUUCCCAACAACUACUUCGGCCUGGUGAGGCGACUUGUGGAUGCCUGCCCAUGGCUGGAAGUCAUAAAGUGGUCUGUCUGCAUCGAGGGUGCCCGCAGGGCUUUUGCCCGUGCGAAGGUGCACUGGGCCAAGAUGGACGCCGAGAAGCUGGUGAAGGAUGGGCCGCCGCAAGGCAAGGAGCAUCGCCACCCUGAAAUGUAUUAUGAGGGUGUCCUGAAGGGUGCCCGUAUUGUGGCGGACGUGUGCGAAGGAUGUAAUUUUUGAAUGAACUUGCUCGUGUUAUCAUGUAUUAUGAAAACUAGUUCAUUUGCGCAAUCCAACGCUUUUCGAAUUUAAAAUAUUACCCUCUAUGAGGCCGUUUAUAAAAUUAGAGAGUUGCUAGUCGUCGACUUCAGCCCCCAUGCAACUAGUGCUGGGGUGUUCGGGAUAAAUCUGGGCACUCUUUUUCCCAUUUAUGGGUCCUUCGAGGGAGGUGCUCAGCGCAGCGAACCAGGCAAUCGGACUAUAAUGCUUUACCGCUCUCACUUAGCCACAGAAGUCUACAAUUUUAAAUUUUGGCGAAGCCCCUAGUGUUCGGAAAGCCGAAGUUGGGGCACUAUACACGCCUAAGCCAGACAAGGCCGACUCCUCGCCCAAAGCAGAAAAAAUCUUUAGGGACUUGAGACCUCUCGACCAGUGACCAGCUCUCACCUCAUCAUGACAGUCAGUUUUAGCUUUCUCUACUGAGGUGCUCAGCCAGAAGAACCGGGGCACAAUCGCAGUAGUUCUCCCAGUGCUACCUUAGCCGAUAUAGUGGAACGUAAGGUACCAAAACAUGGGAGCCAGGCAAACCCAACUAUUGACCCAAGACAUGAUUCAGAGCUAAUGCAUAUAAUGCUAUAAGUUCGGGGUGCCGCACUGUCAAAAGUGUUCGAACUUCUCACGCCAAAUUAUGGGGUAUACGGAAGCCCCUGGCAUAUUGGCCAUACCAGAGUGUAUGGGUGCUGAUUGUCACAGAUGAACAUAUAUAUAAAAGAAUAUAAAAUGCAAUAAGAGACUAAUGCUAUGCAUUGUUUAUUUAAGAAAUGUGUUGAUGCAUACUGAUACAAGCAGUGCGUUAAGCAAAAAAUGGGAAUAUUUGACAUGUCCCAUCCAAGGACAAGCUGCGAGCUGGUAUUUAAAACAGGUAUUUCACUCGUUAUUAGAGACCACCUGGGGAUUCCAUUGCACGACGUAGCCUCCUGCCUCCUUGGGUGUUGUCUCAUGUGUCCGGCUAUCGUACUGCCGGAUUGGACUUCCAGAGAGUAGAGUCCUGGAAGGGAGAGAAUGAUAGAGGUGGUAAGCCCCUAGUGCGGUUGAGCCGCAUUCUGGGACGUGCCAUGAUCGUGCCCCCGCCGACACCCAUGGUAUUUUCAAUGCGUAAUUAUGUACGCGCGGGACGCAUUUUGCCGUUGUACUAAGACUAGGGCGGGGGCCGAAUUGCUAGGCGAGCUCUGAGCGUGCCAAGCGAUCCUGUUGCAGGUUACUCCGGACGCGCUUGACGGUGUCCGAGGGCUUGAUCGCCGAACUGGUGGAUUGCCUCAAAAGGCUGCUUUGUGCUUCUGCUGCGAGGGCCACAGUGUGCUCCUCCGUACGGAGCGAGCGCUCUGUGUUUCCAUUGACUGUGAUGACCCCCCUAGGUCCUGGCAUCUUGAGCUUGAGGUGUGCCUAAUGCGGUACCGCAUUGAAUCUUGCAAAUGCAUUGCGCCCAAGCAGUGCGUGAUAGCCGCUGCGGAACUGGAUGAUAUCGAAGAUUAGCUCCUUGCUUCAGAAGUUGUCCGGAGAUCCGAAGACCACUUCCAGUGUGAUUGAGCCCAUACAAUGGGCCUCUACACCUGGGAUGACGCCUUUAAAGGUCCUUUUGGUGGGUUUGAUCCUCGAGGGGUCUAUACCCAUUUUGCGCACUGUAUCCUGAUAAAGCAGGUGCAGGCUGCUGCCGCCGUCCAUAAGGACUCGAGUGAGGCGAAUUCCGUCGAUGAUUGGGUCUAAGACCAAUGCGGCAGAUCCGCCAUGACGGAUACUCGUGGGGUGGUCCCUGCGGUCGAAGGUGAUCGGACAAGAGGACCAUGGGUUGAACUUUGGGGCGACGGGCUCCAUCGCAUAUACGUCCCUUAGUGCUUGCUUCCGCUCUCUCUUGGGGAUGUUGGUUGCGUAUAUCAUGUUCACCAUCCUUACUUGUGGGGGGAACCUCUUUUGUCCUCCCGUGUUCGGCGGCCGGGGCUCCUCCUCGUCAUCGUUGUGCAGCCCCUUGUCCUUAUUUUUGGCGUUUAACUUGCCGGCCUGCUUGAACACCCAGCAUUCUCAAUUGGUGUGAUUGGCUAGUUUUUCGGGGGUGCCGUGUAUUUGGCACGAGCGAUCGAGUAUGCGGUCCAGACUGGACGGGCCUGGAGUGCUUCUUCUGAAUGGCUUUUUCCGCUGACCAGGUUUUGAGCCUCUGAAUCCGGCAUUGACUGCCGUAUCCUCGGUGUUAUCGCCAUUAUUGCGGCAUUUUUGUUUGUUGUGACGUAGCCUGCCGCUACUAUCCUUGGUAUCCAAAGUGCCAAGGUUCCUUGAUAUGUUGUUGCUGCGAGCCAGCCAGCUAUCCUCUCCCGUGCAAAAGCGGGUCAUGAGUUUUGUGAGGGCUGCCAUUGAUUUCGGCUUUUCUUGGCCGAGGUGCCGGGCGAGCCACUCGACACGGAUGUUGUGCUUAAAUGCCGCUAAGGCCUCUACAUCCGGACAUUUGACAAUUUUAUUCUUCUUGGUUAAAAACCGAGUUCAGAAUUGCUUGGCCGAUUCCCCUGGCUGCUGAAUUAUGUGGCUUAGGUCAUUUGCAUCUGGUGGUCGCACAUAAGUGCCCUGGAUGUUGUCGAGGAAUGCGUCUUCCAGAUCCUCCCAACAGCCGACGGAGUCUACUGGCAAGCUAUUCAACUAAUGCCGAUCUGGUCCUCUAAGUUUUAACUGGAGGUACUUGAUGGCAUGUAGAUCGUCGCCGCGAGCCAUGUGGAUGUGGAGGAGGAAGUCCUCGAUCCAUACCGUGGGAUCUGUUGUACCAUCGUAUGAUUCGAUAUUUACGGGUUUAAAACCCUCUGGGAAUUCAUAAUCCAUUACUUUAUCUGUGAAGCAUAGGGGGUGUGCGGCGCCUCUGUGCUGGGCUAUAUCGCGGUGCAGCUUGUAUGAGUCUUGCCUAUUGUAUUCGGCCCGGCCGGAUUUACUUUUACUGUAUCCAGCGUGACAGUCACCGUCCUGUGUAGGGGCACACCCUCGUGAUCCAUAGAUUGAUCUUGCGUGUUUUGCCCUGUCUUCCAAUACAUCUCGCAGGUCUCGCGUGUUUCCCGUUGCCUUUGUAUGUUUGUUUGAGUGGCGGCGGGGUGCGGGCUGAACUUCUGGCUGAAAUGCCUCUCUGUCUCGGCCACGAGGUGGCCGAUCAGCUGCGUCGUACGCUGGUGAUGUAUGUUUUAAUGCUUCCUCCUCAAGUCGGGGUAGCAACCUGCGCUUUGGGUGACCCUUGGAGGGGCGUUAGAGUUCGUAUUCCUCGGCCGCAAGGACUUCAGUCCAUCUAUCUGCUAGCAAGUCCUGAUCAGCUCGAAGCUGUUGUUGUUUUUUCUUCAGGCUAUUUGAUGUGGCUAUAAGCUGGCGCUUGAAGCGCUCCUGCUCGACGGGAUCCUCAGGUACGAAAAAUUCUUCGUCUUCGAGGCUCACUUCAUCUUCGGAGAGAGGCAUGUAAUUGUCCUCCUCUCCCUCUGCCGCUCGCUCUGGAGGGCUGGCUUCUUCAUCCUCUGGCUCUGGAUCCUGCUGGAGGGGAUUGUCAUCGACUUCGGCACUGUCCGGAGUACUGUUAUCUCUUAUGCCGGUAUCACCACUUUUGCUUUGGCGAGACUUAGAGCGGCGCCGUUGACGUCGGUGCUUAGGUUGCUUCUUGGAGGGGUCAUCCUCCGCUGUCUUGUCACCAUUGCCUUCUUUGGGUGUAUCCACCAUGUAUAUAUCAUAUGAUGAGGUGGUGGUCCAGUGCCCCGUGGGCAGUGGUUCCUGUUUGUCUCCAUCGUUGUCCAUACCAUCGAUGUCUUCGAAGUCGAAGUCAAGCAUGUCGGUUAGAUCAUCGACAGUGGCUACUAAGUGGGUGGUGGGUGGGGCGUGAAUUUCUUCAUCGUCUGCAUCCCAUUCUAGCCGGACCUAGUUCGACCAAGGUUCUCCUGCCAAAGAGAGAGACCUUAAUGAGUUUAGUACAUCGCCGAAGGGCGAGUGCUGAAAGAUAUCCGCGGAGGUGAACUCCAUGACCGGCGCCGGGUCGGAUUCGACAGGCAUGGGCACAGGCGGUUCAGAGUCUGUGGCUGGAGACGAGUCUAUAGAUCCAGCAUCACGGCUCUCAUGAGGGGUAGGGUCAGUAUCCGGCUCUAUUGCCGCUGAGAGUGCGGCCUCCAUGGCGGGUUCUAUCCGCCCGUCCUCGGAUGGCGCAAUCUGUUCUGGAUUGAAGGCCGGAGUUGUUGCUGGUGCAAUCUCCUGAACACCGUCUGACGGUAGAGCUAAAUCAUGCUCGUCGUGAUCAUGCGGCACACCUGGCAUGGGCUCGAGUCCGUCGAAGAACAAGUCCCCGCGGAUGUCGGCCGUGUAGUUUACGUUUCCGAUCCUGACCUGGUGGCGAGGGGGUAGCUUUCGAUCUGCUCCAGAUGGCCAAGCCAGUUGGCUCGCAGUGCAAAGCCGCCGAAUACGAAGAUCCGUCCGGGAAGGAAAACCUCACCCUGGACCGCAUCGCUACCGAUGAUCGAAGGAGCCACCAGGCCUUAUGGUGACGACACAGCGGAACUCUCAAUGAAAGCACCAAUGUCGGUGUCAAACCCGGCGGAUCUCGGGUAGGGGGUCUCGAACUGUGCGUCUAAGGCGGAUGGUAAGGGGAGGCGGGGGACACGAUGUUUACGCAGGUUCGGGCCCUCUCUAUGGAGGUAAUACCCUACUUCCUGCUUGAUUGAUCUUGAUGAUAUGAGUAUUACAAGAGUUGAUCUACCACGAGAUCAUAGAGGCUAAACCCUAGAAGCUAGCCUAUGGUAUGAUUGUUCUCGUCCUACGGACUAAACCCUCCGGUUUGUAUAGACACCGGAGUGGGCUAGGGUUACACGGAGUCGGUUACAAUGGGAGGAGAUCUACAUAUCCUUAUCACCAAGCUUGCCUUCCACUCCAAGGAGAGUCCCAUCCGGACAUGAGACGAAGUCUUCAAUCUUGUAUCUUCAUAGUCCAACAGUCCGGCCAAAGGAUAUAGUCCGGCUAUCCGGAUACCCCCUAAUCCAGGACUUCCUCAGCGGGAUUGAGGCAAACCCAGACAAGAUCAAGGCUAUCGAGCAGAUUGAGGCGCCCAAGCGGAUCAAGGAUGUGCGUCGGCUCACUGGCUGCAUUGCCGCCAUGAGCUGAUUCAUCUCCAAGUCUGCCGAGCGCGCCCUUCCUUUUUUCCAAAUCUUGAAGAAGGUAGGCCCAAUGGAGUGGACCCCAGAAGCCGAGGCAGCGUUGCAAGAUGUCACACCCUAGCUAGUUCAAGCAUUAGAGUGUGCAUCAUGUAUAAUUUUCUCUUAAAUUUGAAAUGGGGAUGACAGAACCGCCAGCACCCCCCUGGAACAACUAGGGUUUACUAAAAACUUUUUCAAUGAACCUGAAAUGCCCUUCUAAAAAGCCCACCCUUUUUGUUUUGGGUUAAAACCUUUGACAAAAAUGGUGCACAUUUUUCUAGGACAUCUAAGGUCAUUGGAUUAAUCCUUAUAGUAUUUGCAUUUGGGAAUUUAAAUGCUAUACAAUAUUUUAAAUGCUCAAAUAAUCAUAAACUAAAAUGUUUGUUGUUGGAUAUAUUCUAAGCAGUGGCCAUGAUUAAUUUUAUGAUUUAUGGUAAUGCCCUGACAUUUUCAAUAAAGCCCUGAAGUUACAGAAAUAAUAAAUAAAUAAAUAAUAGAAAGGAGAGAAAGAACAGGGACUUACCUGGCGCAGCCCACCAGCCCACCCGGCUCGUCCCAAUCGACUGGCUCUUGUCAGUCGUCCUCCUCCUCUCGCCAGGAGGACAAGGAGCACGUGGCCGGUGCCCGGGUCACACGCCGGCCACCUCCUGCUUCCGCCGACGCCCUGGAGGCGUCUACGAGUGCCACGCCGACCCCCACGUCUCCCUCUCUUUCUUCCCACUCUCCCUGUGGCCUCUCCCUCUCUCUGGCUCUCUCCCCAUCUCCCUGCUGAGCGCAGCUGUCGCCGCCGACAAGCUCCACCGCAGCCACCGCCGUCCAUUCGUUGCCUUGUCAUGCCAGGAAGCUCUACCAUCGUCGACUACAUCGAGUAGGCCGAGCCCCGAGCGCUCGCUCGCCCUGGAGACGUUGCACCGAGCUCGUCCUCAACUCCGGCCACCGGAGAUCCCCUUCGCUGUCCCCUCCGCAUCAGCUCAUCCCCGACCUCUCCGACUGCCUCGAUGAGACCCCCGUGACCUCAGCCACCUCCCCACCCUCUCCGUUCUCUCUCUCGAGCCCCGUAGCGACAGCAUGAAGCUCACCUGCACGCACCGCCGCGGAGCUCGUUGCCGACGAGGCUCCGGCCACCCAAUGGCCGCCACCCUGUCCACUAGUCCUACCGCACCUCCAGGAGCUCAGCGCACCAAACCACGCGCCUCCCCGUGCCCCCUAGCAACUAUUUCAACCUUACCGGAGCUCCGGCCGCCGCAAAACUCAUCGCCGGCGACGUUUCCGGCCACCCAGCUCCACCCACAGCCACCACUCGACGCGGCUUCCUCCCCGCAUCACGUAGAUAGUCUUCGCCGUCCUUCUGGUCACCAGAGUGCAAAUUCCGCGCUGCUCCGCCGCGUCUGGCCUCGCCGGUGGCUAGACGCCGGCGAGUUGACCCUGUUUGCCCCCGUGUGGGCCCAGGUUGACCCCCCUGAGUCUAUGACAGGUGGGUCCGGCCUGCUAAUUAGUUUAGGAUUAGUUUUAACUAAAUUUAAUUAGUUUAGUCACUGACAUGUGGGCCCAGGCCCCACUGACAGUUAAUUAGCACUAACAUAAUUAUGUUAAUUAGUCGUGACACUGAAAGACAGGGCCCACCAGUCAGGUUUAACUUGGCCGACCUAGUUGACCGCUGGCGUCACAACUAUGUCAUGCUGAUGCAUUAAUUCAAUUAUUGGAAUUAUUCUUAUAUAGGAAAUUCCAGAAAAUAGCCAAAACUUCUAAAAAUCAUAGAAAAUCAACCAUAGCUCCAAAUCAAACAAGUUAUAUAUGAAAAAUGAUCAGAAAAAUUCAAUCUAUCCAUCUGUAAUGGUUUCAUGCAUGAAAAAACAAGUUAACCUUGCUGUUUAAGCAGAAUAAGAUAAUGCACUAAUAAGGUUAUGUUAAAUGAGCUAACAUUUGAGUCUUUGAUUCAAAUAUGUUCAUCCCCUUCUGUUUUAGCUUGCAUUAGGCCAAGACACUUUCAUCUUGCCAUGUCAUAGCAUGCAUCAUAUUGUUGCAUAUUGUCAUGUGUUGAUUAUGUUUGGUGUGCUUUCGUGGUAGGUUCUGCCUCCGUGGAUAACCCCGAGUAUUCGUCUGAAGGGCAGUACCCUACUACCACUACAUCAGGCAAGCAACCUUUGAUCAUUCCGAUACAAACCCAUGUUCUUGCUUCUACUCUUGUUUACUGCAUUAAGACAAUGCGAUUCAAACUGCUGUGUGCUAUGGUAGUUGAACCCUUAUCCUCUGCAUGACCUGUCAUUGCCACAGUAACUAGAUGAAAACCACUAGCAUGUGUAGGAGUUGAUUGAGCCAUGUAUGUGUUUCCUACCUUGCUAUGCCUGCUAUGCUUAGAGUUGUGUCAGGUCUGGUCCAUCUGGGUGAUGGGCUAGAGUGAAAUGGUUAUAUCGGUAAUGUGAGGGAUGUGAUGAACAUGAUUUGGUAAAGGUAUUGAUGAGAGGCCAUGUAGGAGUACAUGGUGGGUUGUUUCAUUGAGGCUGUCCAUAAGAACUGAGAUCUGUAUGUGUGAUUUAAGAUGCAGUUACUACCAUACAUUGGGCCCGAAACCAAUGGACCCUCUCGGCUUCUUAUUCACCCUAGUACUCUGUCCAGGAGUUGCAAAUAGUUUCUGGUGUUUGUAGGUUAUGUGUUGGCGGCCGUGCGUAGCACUGACCCUAGGGGUGGGCUAUGUUGCGGUAGAUACACCGUGGCACGGUGUACCGAGUCACCCGUUUGGUGUCUCAGGAACCCUGUUCACAUCGUUCGGAGCCGUAUGUGGAAACCUCGGCCGGACUCCCUGCGGAUGGAAUCUGGAUAGGCGAUACACCUGGACUAGAGACUUGAGUGUUUGGGUUAGCCGUGGCCGACACCCUCGUUGGGCUUCCGCUUGAAGGUUGCCGAGUACAUGUCGUGUAAACGGCGGUAAGUGGUGAAAGUGUGUAUGAAGAAGUACACCCCUGCAGGGUAUAAAACUAUUGAAUAGUCGCGUCUGCUAUAAAGGACUACUUGGUUGCCUAUACAGUUCAUAGACAAGUUAAUGGAUACUACGAAAAGACUCAAGAUAAGUGUGAGUACCGAGGAUGGCCCUCUCGUAGGAUGACGAGGGAGGAUCCCUGGUGGAGUAUUGUGUUGGUGAGUAGUGGACUCGUGUGCGAAAACUAUUUUUACUAAUGGAGUCUCCUAGGAUAGCUUAGCCAAGAGUCAAAGCUGGCUUGCUGCAAUAACUCCACCACCUUCUUGAGAAUGAGCAUGUAUAGUAGGUUCUGUUGUAAGACUUGCUGACUACCUUUGUACUCAUGUUUGCUUAAUUACUGUUUUCAGACAACAACACCGCCCCCUCGAUGGGUUCUACGUAGACCUUGAUGUCGACGAGUGACUAGCCACCCAGGUGGUGAUCCUGGCCAUGGAGGGCCCUAUGUAGAUAGACAGGCUUCGGAAGCCUUCUUGCUUUCUAGUGUUUGUACUCAGACUAUUUACUUCCGCUUAUGCUUGUAUGCUUGUAUGACUUGAGUGUCGAGUCAUGUGACCCCUACCUGUAUGAACAUGUUAUGUAUGGCUCUCUGGAGCCUUUAAAUAAAGUACUUGAGUUGUAGAGUUUUGUUGUGAUGCCAUGUUGUAUGUACUCAUAUCGGGCAUAUUGUGUGUAUGAUUGAAAUGCUUGGUAUGAGUGGGAUCCGACAAUCUAGUUGUUUAUCCUUGACAGCCUUUCUUAUGGGGAAAUGUAGUCUAGUGUUCCUCGAGCCAUAGUAGUCCGCUAUAGCCUGGUUCACCGGAGUCUUGCUAGCCCAACACUACUGCUCUGGAAACUUGACUGACCGGCAUGUGUUUCACUUCGUUCCUAUGUCUGUCCCUUCGGGGAAAUGUCACGCGGUGACAUCCGGAGUCCUACCUAGCCUGCUACAGCCCGGGUUCCCCAGAGUCCUGUUAGCCCAGUGCUACAGCCCGGAUUCACUCGCUGAUGACCGACAUGCUCGAUGUGAUUCAUGUAUGCCUGUCUCCAUAGGUCUGCGCUGCUUUGGGUUCACGACUAGCCAUGUCGGCUCGGGUUCUCUAUCAUAUGGAUGCUAGCGACACUAUCAUAUACGUGAGCCAAAAGGCGCAAACAGUCCCGGGCCAUGGUAAGGCGACACCCGUGGGGAUACCAUGCGUGUGGCCGCAAUGUGAUAUGAGGUGUUACCGGCUAGAUCGAUGUGACUUAGAAUCGGGGUCCUGACAACGUUGGCAUCAUAGCCGGACUGCCUGUAGGUUCAUUGAGCCAAAUUGGUCGAUGUUGAGUCUAGAAAUGCUUUAGUUAUAUGUAGAGGAAUUGAUUGUGGGAGGGAACGUAAGGCUCUUUUACUCCUUUACCUUAUGCGCUCUGAUCUGAGUCAUUCUCUUCUUAUUCAACGUGGGUUAAGGACUAGGCUCUCUCCUUCUAUCAGGUUCACGUGUUACUAAUCCGUAGUAGCUUAUAGGAUUGUUGUUACAAGCCUCAAUACAGUUUCUACUACUUUUAGUAUGUUGCCAGUUGAAUCAGAACCUUGAUAUGAAGUUGUUGAGUGGUAUUGCAAACUAUUGUGGAUGUCUCAAAUCUUUUUCUGAGCAUUUAUAGCUGUUAUGCUGUCCAAUUUUCCCUAGAAAUUCUAAUGUCUUUGCAUUGUGGUUGUGCUUUCAGAUGGCCACUCGUGCUCAAAACCAAGUGGUUCGCCUGACCCAGUGCCUUGAUGUGCCUGGUCAUACUGCUAUAUUAGCCCGGGUAAUGAUCGAGACGGGUUACCGUUGGUAUCCCGAAUACACUGUCGAAGAAUAGUUCCGAGACUUUAAUCAAAGCCAAUAUUUCUGCACCGUCAGGACAUUUCCUUCUUAUCCUGGAUCUACCGAGCCCCUCCACUGUUCCUAUGGACUCGGGGUUACAGUUGAGAUGGCUGUGCAGGAUGCUGCCUAUUCCAUGAUGACCAUCAUGCGAGUCCGGACUGGCCUGCUUCAGAACACCGACUUCCGUUACAUGCCAGCUUCACUUCCGGGAGCGCAAGGGUAUCUUCAGGCUAUCUAUGCUGACUCCACUCAGGAGGACUCAUUAACUCGUACCACUGCCGAGAUGCUCGAGGAUAAGGACCGAGAGAAUCGGGCCUUGAGACUGGAGCUUUUCAACACCCUUGCUGAUCAUUGGGCCACAUUGACUCGGUUUGCACCUGCGGUGCAAGCAGGAUGUAUGGAUACAAGGGAUCUGUAUCCUGUGAGAUUUGCUAUGCCAGACAUGGUGGAUUGGCAUGAUGUGGGAGGCAUCACCCCUCUCCGUGGUCCCCGUAGGCCACCGUUUGUUGGUCCAAGACCUCAUCCUAGCCCCUUUGGUCCACAAGCUCCUCAGGACCGUCUAUUCCCAGAUGAUCACGUUGAACUUCCAGGCUAUGGAGGUGACUUCUAUGAGGACUACUACGGAGCUGUCUGAGUUAGUAGUAGUAUCACUAGUAUUGUAAUAGUUGUAUCUCCACUGUCCUGCGUGACUUGUGGAAUAUGACUUUGUGUGUAAUCAAUUCCGGAGGUGUAGACAAAUAAUGUAUAGGAGCUUGGAAUGCCUCCGAUGAGAUGAAACGUCUUUCAUCAUAGUUGUACUGUAGCCUGGGCUUGUACUAAACUAUGUAUGGUGUGUAUGACUGUUGGUAUAUAUAUGGCAGUUUUAUAUUACCAUGACAUACGGAUGAACAUCUCUGCAUUCCGUGUUAUCCAUUACAUUCUGCACUUCCUUGCUAAGUUUGAGCCAUCCUUAUCUAAACCAUUGUCAUGUUUUCUCCUAGGAUGGUCAACACCCGCAGCAACCCUGCUGCCCCAGAGAAGAGGGAAGCCAGUGCAGCUAGGGGUGAAAAUUUGCCUCACCCGCCUUCUCUGGCCGAAGUGAUGCUGGAGGCGGAAAGAAACAAGCGUGAGACUAACCGCCUGCUAGAACGGAUUGAGCAAAACACUACACGCCAUCAGCGAAAUGACUUGGUGUCAAUCAAUGACUUUAUCAAGCUGUACCCACCAAAGUUUAACCAUUCUGUCGAGCCCCUCAACGCGGAUGACUGGCUUCGCAGCAUCACCCACAAGCUACGUUCUGCCAACGUAGCCGAAGCUGACAAGGUUACUUAUGCUGCCUAUCACCUCGAAGGCCCUGCUAGCCUUUGGUGGGAAAACUUCGAAGCUAUGCGCCCGGUCGGCCAAAUCACUACUUGGGCUGAAUUUAGUGAGGCUUUCCAUGAGCAUCACAUUCCGGAAGGUCUCAUGGAUCGCAAGAGGGAAGAGUUCUGCAAUUUCACCCAAGGAAGACUGACUGUGGAUGCAUAUAGUCGUGAAUUUGGGAAUCUGGCACGAUAUGCUCCUGAAGAAGUAUCUACCGACGCUGAAGCAGGCAAGGUUCUGCAAGGGACUUAGCCCUGAGCUUCGCCGCGAUCUUCGUCUGCACGAGUGCACCUCCUUUCAGAAGUUGGUCAAUAAAGCCAUAAGUGCCGAGUCAGGUCAGUCUGACUAUGACGCUUCACGCAAGCACUCACGUGAUUUUGGUUCUUCAUCCGGCUCUGGAGCUCAGAAGCGCUGGGUGUGGAUUCCAAGCACGGCACUGCCACCCAGGUUCAUUCCGAGGCCAUCUUUGAGGCGCCUCGUCCCAACCAGCAGUUUGCACCGCCCAAGCCCUAUGGUGGCCCCGCUGCUAAUGCUGCUCCACGUCCCAGUGUGGUGACGUGUUUCAAGUGUGGAGAGACGGGUUACUAUAGCCGAGAGUGUCCCCAGAACAACAACCCCAAUCAAUUUGGAAAGUCCGUUGGCCGUGGUAAGCCAGCGGGAAAGACAUUCUAUGCCAAGCCGGUCACCACUGCACGUGGCUAUGUCAACUAUGUCUCAGCCGAGGAGGCUCAUGAGGAUCCUAACGUCGUCCUUGGUACGCUCCUUGUUAACUGCCAUCCGGCAUCUGUUCUUUUCGAUACUGGAGCAUCUCAUUCAUUCUUAUCCGAGAACUAUGCUCGAUUGCAUAACACGACAUUCUCUGACAUGCCCACUUCCAUGGUAAUUCAAACUCCGGGUUCCAAAUGGCAAACUUCUAGAGUAAGCCAUGGGCACGAAAUUCUUGUCGAUAGACUUGUCUUCCUUGCAUCCUUAAUAGCUCUCAAGUCCUCGGACAUAAACAUCAUCUUGGGUAUGGACUGGAUGUUAGCUCAUUAUGCUAAGAUUGAUUGUGCCACUAGAACCGUUCAACUUACUCAUCCAUCGGGCAAGACAGUCAAUGUCUUAACUCGAGUGGCCAAGUGCCAGCUUUACUCCCUAAAUGCCAACCCCCUUCCAGACCUUGAGGAUAUUCCGGUAGUCCGGGACUUCCCGGAUGUCUUUCCCGAAGAACUGCCAGGUAUUCCACCUGACAGGGAUGUCGAGUUCGUGAUAGACCUUGUUCCAGGAACCGUUCCAAUUUCUAGGAGACCCUAUAAUAUGGCACCCCUAGAACUAGCCGAGCUUAAGAAUCAACUCGAUGAGUCCUUGAAAAAGGGUUUCAUCCGUCCUAGUUCCUCUCCUUGGGCUUGCCCCGUCCUCUUUGUCAAGUAGAAGGAUGGAACGGAUCGGAUGAUUGUAGAUUACCGACCUGUCAACUUGGUCACCAUCAAGAACAAGUAUCCGCUUCCCAGGAUCAACGAUCUGUAUGAUCAGCUCGCUGGAUCCUCAGUCUUUUCCAAGAUGGAUUUGAGGUUAGGCUACCAUCAGAUCAAAAUCAGAAACGGGGACAUUCCCAAAAUGGCCCUUGUUACCCAUUAUGGCCAAUACGAGUACACCGUUAUGUCCUUCGGUUUAACCAAUGCCCCAGCCACCUUCUCCCGGUUAAUGAACUCGGUCUUCAUGGAGUAUUUGGAUAAAUUCAUCAUAGUUUAUCUUGAUGACAUACUCAUCUACUCCAAGAAUGAAGAGGAACAUGCCGAACAUCUAAGGCUGGUAUUGAUGAAACUUUGAGACCAUCGCCUUUAUGCCAAAUUCUCCAAGUGUGAAUUUUGGUUGCCAGAAGUGACCUAUCUAGGCCAUGUAAUCUCUAGUAAGGGUAUUGCUGUCAAUCCCGGGCGAGUUCAAGCCGUCCUUGAUUGGACUCCACCUGAGACGGUCAAGCAAGUCUGGAGCUUCCUUGGCUUAGCGAGCUAUUGCCGCCGCUUCGUCGAGAAUUUCUCCAAGGUUGCUAAACCUCUAACUGAACUCCUCAAGAAAGAUAAAAAGUUCGAGUGGACCCCACAGUGUGAGUUCAGCUUUUAGGAACUGAAAAGACGCCUAACAUCUUCUCCCGUACUGGUACCACCAGAUUUCUCCAAGGACUUUGUUAUCUAUUGCGACGCCUCGCGACAAGGACUAGGUUGCAUACUCAUGCAGGAUCGUCAGGUAAUUGCCUAUGCUUCACGGCAAUUACACCCACAUGAGGAAAACUAUCCCACACAUGAUCUAGAGCUUGCAGCUGUAGUCCAUGCACUCAAAACUUGGCGACAUUACCUCCUUGGUAAUCGUUGCGAGAUCUUCACCGAUCACCAAAGUUUGAAAUAUAUCUUCACCCAACCGGAUUUGAAUCUCAGGCAACGAUGUUGGGUCGAGUUGAUCUCGGAUUACGACUUAGGAAUAACUUACACCCCGGGCAAAGCCAAUGUCAUGGCUGAUGCACUAAGUCAUAAAUCUUAUUGUAACAACCUGAUGUUACACCAAAGUCAACCACUUCUCCACGAGGAAUUUCGUAAGCUCAAUCUUCAUAUUGUUCCUCGAGGAUUCCUAUCCACACUGGUGGCGAAACCUACCCUUACGGAUCAGAUCAUCAAGGCACAGAAGGUAGAUCCAGGAAUCUCCCGUAUUAAGAGAAGCAUUAAGAAAGGAGUCACAAAUUGUUUCUCCGUUGAUGAUCAAGGUGUCGUAUACUUUGGAAACCACUUAGUGGUUCCAAAGGCACGAAACCUGAGGCGGCUGAUCCUUAAGGAAGCUCAUGAAUCCCCUCUCACCAUUCAUCCCGGUAGUACUAAAAUGUAUCAAGACCUACGUCAGAGGUUUUGGUGGACUAGGAUGAAGAGAGAAAUCGCUCAAUACAUUGUUAAUUGUGACGUUUGUCGUCGUGUUAAAGCAGAGCAUCAAUGGCCUGCUGGCACCCUUCAACCUUUGGCUAUUCCCGAGUGGAAAUGGGAUAAAAUCAGUAUGGAUUUCAUCACUGGGUUUCCCAGGACCAAGAGAGGGAAUAAUGCCAUCUUCGUCGUGAUCGACCGUCUUUCCAAGGUAGCCCAUUUCCUACCUGUUCGUGAGAGUAUCACCGCUAGCCGACUAGCUGACUUGUACAUCUCCCGAAUAGUGUCUCUUCAUGGUGUCCCACUGGAAAUUAACUCAGACCGUGGGAGUCUCUUCACCUCUCGAUUUUGGGGAAGUUUACAAAAUGCUAUGGGAACUCGUCUCUCCUUUAGCACCGCUUUCCACCCUCAAUCAAGUGGUCAAGUAGAGCGAGUUAACCAAAUUCUGGAAGAUAUGCUCCGAGCUUCUGUCAUCUCAUUCGGAAUGGGUUGGGAGAAAAGCCUUCCAUUUGCGGAGUUUGCUUAUAACAAUAGUUAUCAAGCUAGUUUGGGCAAAGCUCCUUUCGAAGCUCUCUAUGGACGAAAAUGUCGAACGCCUCUUAACUGGUCAGAAACCGGGGAAAGACAACUCUUUGGCCCGGAUAUGAUUCAGGAAGCAGAAGAGCAGGUUCGCGUUAUUCGUGAGAAAUUGAAAAUAGCCCAAUCUCGUCAAAAGAGCCAAUAUGAUCGUAAACAUAAGCUCAUGACUUAUCAAGUCGGCGAGAAGGCUUACAUUCGGGUUACUCUGUUAAAGGGAACCCAUCAUUUCAGUAAAAGGCAAAUUGGCUCCUCGUUACAUCGGACCCUUUCGCAUUCUUGCCAAACGAGGAGAAGUUGCCUACCAAUUGGAACUACCUUCGCAUCUUUCCAGAGUUCACGAUGUCUUCCACAUUUCUCAACUCAGGCGUUGCUUCGCGGAUCCUAUCCGUGGAGUGGACCACGAAACGCUUGAUCUACAAGAUAACCUCUCAUAUCAGGAAUAUCCCGUUCGUAUCCUUUAUCAAGCUAAGCAUACACUCGACGUCAUAAUAUCAAGUUUCUCAAGGUUCAAUGGUCACACCAUUCCGAGAAAGAAGCCACUUGGGAAAGGGAGGAUCGUCUUCAACCCGAGUACCCCACCUUCUUCCCGGAGGAUCCUAAAUCUCAGGACGAGAUUCUUUUGAGUGGGGGUGAGUUGUCACACCCUAGCUAGUUCAAGCAUUAGAGUGUGCAUCAUGUAUAAUUUUCUCUUAUAUUUGAAAUGGGGAUGACAGAACCCCCAGCACCCCCUGGAACAACUAGGGUUUACUAAAAACUUUUUCAAUGAACCUGAAAUGCCCUUCUAAAAAGCCCACCCUUUUUGUUUUGGGUUAAAACUUUGACAAAAAUGGUGCACAUUUUUCUAGGACAUCUAAGGUCAUUGGAUUAAUCCUUAUAGUAUUUGCAUUUGGGCAUUUAAAUGCUAUAAAAUAUUUUAAAUGCUGAAAUAAUCAUAAACUAAAAUGUUUGCUAUUGGAUAUAUUCUAAGCAGUGGCCAUGAUUAAUUUUAUGAUUUAUGGUAAUGCCCUGGCAUUUUUAAUAAAGCCCUGAAGUUACAGAAAUAAUAAAUAAAUAAAAAAACAGAAAGGAGAGAAAGAACAGGGACUUACCUGGCGCAGCCCACCAGCCCACCCGGCUCGGCCCAGUCGACUGGCUCUUGCCAGUCGUCCUCCUCCUCUCGCUAGGAGAACGAGGAGCGCGUGGCCGGCGCCCGCGGCCACACGCCGGCCACCUCCGGCUUCCGCCGAUGCACUGGAGGCGUCUACGAGUGCCACGCCGACCCCCACAUCUCCCUCUCUUUCUUCCCACUCUCCCCGUGGACUCUCCCUCUCUCUGGCUCUCUCCCCAUCUCCCUGCCGAGCGCAGCCGUCGCCGCCGGCAAGCUCCACCGCAGCCACCGCCGUCCAUUCGUUGCCUCAUCAUGCCAGGAAGCUCCGCCGUCGUCGACUACAUCGAGUAGGUCGAGCCCCGAGUGCUCACUCGCCCCGGAGACGCUGCACCAAGCUCGUCCUCAACUCCGGCCAUCGGAGAUCCCCUUCGCCGUCCCCACCGCAUCAACUCAUCCCCGACCUCUCCGACUGCCUCGAUGAGACCCCCGUGAGCUCAGCCACCUCCCCACCCUCUCCGUUCUCUCUCUCGAGCCCUGUAGCGACUGCACGAAGCUCACCCGCACGCACCGCCGUGGAGCUCAUCGCCGACGAGGCUCCGGUCACCCAAUGGCCGCGCCACCCUGUCCACUAGUCAUACCGCACCUCCAGGAGCUCAACGCACCAAACCACGCGCCUCCCCGUGCCCCCUAGCGACUAGUUCAACCUUACCCGAGCUCCGGCCGCCGCCAAACUCGUCGCCGACGACGUUUCUGGCCACCCCAGCUCCACCCACUGCCACCACUCGACGCGGCUUCCUCCCUGCAUCACGUAGAUAGUCUCUGCCGUCCUUUUAGUCGCCGGAGUGCAAAUUCCGCGCUGCUCCGCCGCGUCUGGCCUCGCCGGUGGCUAGACACCGGCGAGUUGACCCUGUUUGACCCCGUGUGGGCCCAAGUUGACCCCCCUGAGUCUAUGACAAGUGGGGCCGGCCUGCUAAUUAGUUUAGGAUUAGUUUUAACUAAAUUUAAUUAGUUUAGUCACUGACAUGUGGGCCUAGGCCCCACUAACAGUUAAUUAGCACUAACAUAAUUCCGUUAAUUAGUUGUGACACUGACAAACAGAGCCCACCAGUCAGGUUUGACCUGGCUGACCCAGUUGACCGCUGACGUCACACCUAUGUCAUGCUGACGCGUUAAUUCAAUUACUGGAAUUAUUCUUAUAUAGGAAAUUCCAGAAAAUAGCCAAAACUUCUAAAAAUCAUAGAAAAUCAACCAUAGCUCCAAAUCAAACAAGUUAUCUAUGAAAAAUGAUCAGAAAAAAUCAAUCUAUCCAUCUGUAAUGGUUUCAUGCAUGACAAAACAAGUUAACCUUGCUGUUUAAGCAGAAUAAGAUAAUGCACUAGUAAGGCUAUGUUAAAUGAGCUAACAUUUGAAUCUUUGAUUCAAAUGAGUUCAUCCCCUUAUGUUUUAGCUUGCAUUAGGCCAAGACACUUUCAUCUUGCCAUGUCAUAGCAUGCAUCAUAUUGUUGCAUAUUGUCAUGUGUUGAUUAUGUUCGGUGUGCCUUUCGUGGUAGGUUCUGCCUCCAUGGAUAACCCCGAGAAUCCGUCUGAAGGGCAGUACCCUACUACCACUACAUCAGGCAAGCAACCAUUGAUCAUUCUGAUACAAACCCAUGUUCUCACUUCUGCUCUUGUUUACUGCAUUAAGACAACGCGAUUCAAACUGCUGUGUGCUACGGUAGUUGAACCCUUAUCCUCUGCAUGACCUGUCAUAGCCACAAUAACUAGAUGAAAACCACUAUCAUGUGUAGGAGUUGAUUGAGCCAUGUAUGUAUUUCCUACCUUGCUAUGCCUGCUAUGAUUAGAGUUGUGUCAGGUCUGGUCCAUCUGGGUGAUGGGCUAGAGUGAAAUGGUUAUAUCGGUAAUGUGAGGGAUGUGAUGAACAUGAUUUGGUAAAGGUAUUGAUGAGAGGCCAUUUAGGAGUACAUGGUGGGUUGUUUCAUUGAGGCCGUCCAUAAGAACUGAGAUAUGUAUGUGUGAUUUAAGAUGCAGUUACUACCAUACAUUGGGCCCGAAACCAAUGGACCCUCUCGGCUUCUUAUUCACCCUAGUACUCUGUCCAGGAGUUGCAAGUAGUUUCUGGUGUUUGUAGGUUAUGUGUUGGUGGCCGUGCGUAGCGCUGACCCUAGGGGUGGGCUAUGUUGCGGUAGAUACAUCAUGGCACGGUGUACCAAGUCACCCGUUUGGUGUCUCAGGAACCCUGUUCACAUCGUUCGGGGCCGUAUGUGGAAACCUCGGCCGGACUCCCUAUGGAUGGAACCGUGAUAAGCGAUACAUCUAGACUAGAGACUUGAGUGUUUGGGUAGGCCGUGGCCGACACCCUCGCUGGGAUUCCGCUUGAAGGUUGCCGAGUACAUGUCAUGUAAACGGCGGUAAGUGGUGAAAGCGUGUAUGAAGAAGUACACCCCUGCAGGGUAUAAAACUAUUCAAAUAGCCGCGUCCACGGUAAAGUACUACUUGGUUGCCUAUACAGUUCAUAGACAAGUUAAUGGAUUCUACUAAAAGACUCAAGAUAAGUGUGAGUACCGAGGAUGGCCCUCUCGUAGGAUGACGAGGGAGGAUCCUCAGUGGAGUAUUGUGUUGGUGUCAUGUGCGAAAACUAUUUUUACUAGUGGAGUCUCCUAGGAUAGCUUAGCCAAGAGUCAAAGCUGGCUUGCUGCAAUAACUUCACCACCUUCUUGAGAAUGAGCAUGUGUAGUAGGUUCUGUUGUAAGACUUGGUGAGUACAUUUGUACUCAUGUUAGCUUAAUUACUGUUUUCAGACGACAACACCGCCCCCUCCGAUGGGUUCUACAUAUACCUUGAUGUCGACAAGUGACUAGCCACCCAGGUGGUGAUCCUGGCCAUGGAGGGCCCUAUGUAGAUAGACAGGCUUUGGAAGCCUUCUUGCUUUCUAGUGUCUGUACUCAAACUAUUUACUUCCGCUUGUGCUUGUACGCUUGUAUGACUUGAGUGUCGGGUCAUGUGACCCCUACCUGUAUGAACAUGUUAUGUAUGGCUCUCUGUAGCCUUUAAAUAAAGUACUUGAGUUGUAGAGUUUUAUUGUGAUGCCAUGUUGUAUGUACUCAUAUCGGGCAUAUUGUGUGUAUGAUUGAAAUGCUUGGUAUCAGUGGGAUCCGACAAUCUAGUUGUUUAUCCUUGACAGCCUUUCUUAUGGGGAAAUGUAGUCUAGUGUUCCUCGAGCCAUAGUAGUCCGCUACAGCCUGGUUCACCGGAGUCCUGCUAGCCCAGCACUACUACUGUGGAAACUUGACUGGCCGGCAUGUGUUUCACUUCGUUCCUAUGUCUGUCCCUUCAGGGAAAUGUCACGCGGUGACAUCCGGAGUCCUGCCUAGCCUGCUACAGCACGGGUUCCCCGGAGUCCUGUUAGCCCGGUGCUACAGCCUGGAUUCACUCGCUGAUGACCGACAUGCUCGAUGUGAUUCAUGUAUGCCUGUCUCCAUAGGUCUGCGCCGCUUUGGGUUCAGGACUAGCCAUGUCGGCCCGGGUUCUCUGUCAUAUGGAUGCUAGCGACACUAUCAUAUACGUGAGCCAAAAGGCGCAAACGGUCCCGAGCCAUGGUAAGGCGACACCCGUGGGGAUAUCGUGCGUGAGGCCGCAAUGUGAUAUGAGGUGUUACCGACUAGAUCGAUGUGACUCAGAAUUGGGGUCCUGACACAAGAUAUGAAGAAAUACCUUUCCUCCAUGCCAACACCGGUUGCGCCUAAACCACAAGAGUCGUUGCUGUUGUAUCUAGUGGCAAAGAAUCAAGUGGUCAGCGCCGCACUGGUGGCAUAGAGGGAGGUUGACGAGGAGGUAGUGGCGAUGGAGGGACCGGCGGAUGGCAAGCCAGAGAUUCCCCCGGCAGGUCCUGGUGCCGGCAAGGCAAGGCCCCCGGCAGAGUCUGACGACAUCGGGGCGAUGCCCCCAUAGUCAAGUGAAGUGGUGCAGAAGAAGAAGAUGAUGCAGCACCCGGUUUACUUUGUCAGCUCCCUCUUGCAGGGGGCUAGGUCGAGGUAUGAUACGUCUCCGUCGUAUCUACUUUUCCAAACACCGUUGCCCAUGUUUUGGACUCUAACUUGUAUGAUUUGAAUGGAACUAACCCAGACUAACGCUGUUUUCAGCAGAAUUGCCAUGAUGUUGUUUUAUGUGCAGAAAACAAAAGUUCUCGGAAUGACCUGAAACUCCACGGUAUGUCUUAUAAAAAAUAAUAAAAAAUCCUCGCCGAAGAUGAAGACCAGGGGGCCCACACCCUGUCCACGAGGGUGGGGGGUGCCCCCCUACCUCAUGGGCCCCCUAGAAACCUUCCGACGCCAACUCCAACUCUAUAUAUUGGCUUUCGGGGAGAAAAAAUAGGAGAGAAGAAAUCAUCGCGUUUUAUGAUAUGGAGCCGCCGCCAAGCCCUAAAACCUCUCGGGAGGGAUGAUCUCGAGUCUGUUCGGGGCUCCCGAGAGGGGGAUUCGUCACCGUCGUUGAGGGAGUCCUGGAUUAGGUGGUGUUCGGAUAGCCGAACUAUACCUUCAGCCGGACUCCUGGACUAUGAAGAUACAAGAUUGAAGACUUCGUCCCGUGUCCGGAAGGGACUUUCCUUGGCGUGGAAGGCAAGCUUGGCGAUAUGGAUAUGUAGAUCUCCUACCAUUGUAACCGACUCUGUGUAACCCUAGCCCUCUCCGGUGUCUAUAUAAACCGGAGGGUUUUAGUCCGUAGGACGAACAACAGAACAACAAUCAUACCAUAGGCUAGCUUCUAGGGUUUAGCCUCCUUGAUCUCGUGGUAGAUCUACUCUUGUACUACCCAUAUCAUCAAUAUUAAUCAAGCAGGAGUAGGGUUUUACCUCCAUCGAGAGGGCCCGAACCUGGAUAAAAACAUCGUGUCCCUUGUCUCCUGUUACCAUCCACCUAGAUGCAUAGUUCGGGACCCCCUACCUGAGAUCCGCCGGUUUUGACACCGACAUUGGUGCUUUCAUUGAGAGUUCCUCUGUGUCGUCACUUUUAGGCCCGAUGGCUUCUCCUAUCAUCAGCAGUGAUGCGGUCCAGGGUGAGACCUUCCUCCCCGGAUAGAUCUUCGUAUUCGGCGGCUUUGCACUGCGGGCCAAUUCGCUCGGCCAUCUGGAGCAGAUCGAAAGCUACGCCCUUGGCCAUCAGGUCAGAUUUGGAAGUCUGAAUUACACGGCUGAUAUCCGCGGAGACUUGAUCUUCGACGGAUUUGAACCACAGCCGAGCGUGCCGCACUGUCACGAAGGGCAUGAUUUAGCUCUGCCGCCGAACAGUGCUUUGGAGGCCGCGCCCACAUCAGCCCCGACCCUUAAUUCGGAGCCGAUCGCACCGAUCGAGGACGAGUGGUUGGACACCGCCUCGGAGGCCGAAAUCUCUGCGGUGAUCGAUCCGAACACCAGCUUUGUCCUUCGCGAAGCCUGUGACUCCAAGGUGCCGGACUCCCCUCCGGACUCCGAGCCCCCGCGCCCCUACCGAUCGAAUCUGAUUGGGCACCAAUUACGGAGUUCACCGCCGCGGACAUCUUUCAGCACUCGCCUUUUGGCGAUAUUCUGAAUUCACUAAAAUCUCUCUCUUUAUCAGGAGAGCCCUGGCCGGACUACGGUCGGCAAGGUUGGGAUGCGGAUGAUGAAGAAAUUCAAAACCCACCCACCACCCACUUUGUAGCCACUAUCGAUGAUUUAACCGACGUGCUCGACUACGACUCCGAAGACAUCAAUGGUAUGGACGCUGAUGCAGGAGACCAUCAGGAAUCAGCGCCUAUAGGGCACUGGAAAGCCACCUCGUCAUAUGACAUAUAUAUGGUGGAUACCCCAAAAGAGGGCGAUGGCGAUGGAACAGCGGAGGAUGACCCCUCCAAGAAACAACCUAAGCGCCGACGUCAGCGGCGCCGCUCUAAAUCCCGCCAAAGCAAAAACAGUGAUUCUGGCACAGGAGAUAAUAACACUCCGGACAGUGCCGAAGAAAACCCCCUCCAGCAAAACUCAGCACAGGAGGAUGGAGAAGCCAACCCUCAUGAGAGAGCGGCAGACAGAGAGGUCGAGGAUGAUAACUACAUGCCUCCCUCCGAAGACGAGGCAAGCCUCGACGACAAGGAAUUUGUCGUGCCUGAGGAUCCCGUCGAACAAGAGCGCUUCAAACGCAGGCUUAUAGCAACGGCGAGCAGCCUCAAGAAAAAAUGGCUACAGCUUAGAGCUGAUCAAGACUUGCUAGCUGACAAAUGGACGGAAGUCCUAGCGGCCGAAGAGUAUGAACUCGAACACCCCUCCAAGAGCUACCCAAAGCACAGGUUGCUACCCCGAUUAGAGGAAUAAGCACCUACAUCACCAGCGCAUGACGCGGCAGAUCGGCCACCACGUGGCUGUGACAAAGAAGCCUUUUGGCGCUCCACUCAAGCCGCACCCCGGCGCCGCUUUAAAAAUACCAAGGCACGGGGGAAUGUGCCAGACCUGUGAGAUAUAUUGGAGGACAAGGCGAAGCAAACAAGGUCAAUCUAUGGAUCGCGUGGGCACCCCACGACACGUGACGGUGAUCGUCACUCCGGAUAUAGUAAAUCCGGUCGGGCCGAACACAAUAGACAAAGCUCGUUUGAGCUGCGUCGUGAUAUAGCCCAAUACAGAGGCGCCGAACACCCACUAUGCUUCACAAAUGAAGUAAUGGAUCAUCAAAUCCCAGAGGGUUUCAAACCCGUAAACAUCGAAUCAUAUGAUGGCACAACAGACCCUGUGGUAUGGAUCGAGGACUAUCUCCUCCAUAUCCACAUGGCCCGCGGCGACGAUCUACACGCCAUCAAAUACCUCCCACUCAAACUUAAAGGACCAGCUCGGCAUUGGCUUAAUAGCUUGCCAGCAGAAUCAAUUGGUUGUUGGGAGGACCUGGAAGCCGCAUUCCUCGACAAUUUCCAGGGAACUUAUGUGCGACCACCAGACGCUGAUGACCUAAUCCACAUAAUUCAGCAGCCAGAGGAGUCGGCCAGGCAAUUCUGAACACGGUUCCUAAGAAAGAAAAAUCAAAUCGUCGACUGUUCAGACGCAUAGGCCCUAGCAGCCUUCAAGCAUAACAUCUGUGACGAGUGGCUUGCCCGGCACCUUGGACAGGAAAAGCCGAAAUCUAUGGCAGCACUCACGACGCUCAUGACCCGCUUUUGCGCGGGAGAAGACAGCUGGCUGGCUCGUAGCAAUAACUUGACCAAGAACCCUGGUAAUUCAGAUACCAAGGACAACAGUGGCAGGUCGCGUCGCAACAAGCAAAAGCGCCGCAUUAACAGCGACAACACUGAGUAUACGGCAGUUAAUGCCAGAUUCAGAGGCUCUAAAUCCGGUCAGCGAAAAAAGCCAUUCAAAAGAAAUACUCCGGGCCCGUCUAGUUUGGACCGAAUACUCGACCGCUUGUGCCAGAUACAUGGCACCCCCGAAAAGCCAGCCAAUCACACCAACAGGGAUUGUUGGGUGUUCAAGCAGGCAGGCAAGUUAAAUGCCGAAAAUAGAGACAAGGGGCUGCAUAGCGAUGACGAGGAGGAGCCCCGGCCGUCGAACAACAGUGGAUAGAAGAGUUUUCCCCCACAAGUGCGGACGGUGAACAUGAUAUACGCAACCCACAUCCCCAAGAGGGAGAGGAAGCGUGCGUUAAGGGACGUAUACGCGAUGGAGCCAGUCGCCCCAAAGUUCAACCCAUGGUCCUCCUGCCCGAUCACUUUUGAUCGAAGGGACCACCCCACUAGCAUCCGUCACGGUGGAUUCGCCGCAUUGGUUCUAGACCCAAUUAUUGACGGAUUUCACCUCACUAGAGUCCUUAUGGACGGCGGCAGUAGCCUGAACCUGCUCUAUCGGGAUAGUGCGAAAAAUGGGCAUCGAUCCUUCGAGGAUUAAACCCACUGAAACGACCUUUAAAGGCGUCAUACCAGGUGUAGAGGCCAACUGUACAAGCUCAGUUACACUUGAAGUGGUCUUUGGAUCGCCGGAUAAUUUCCGAAGCAAGGAGUUAAUCUUCGACAUAGUCCCGUUCCGCAGUGGCUAUCACGCACUGCUCGGGCGAACCACAUUUGCCAAGUUCAAUGCGGUACCGCACUACGCAUGCCUUAAGCUCAAGAUGCCAGGCCCUCGAGGAGUCAUUAUGGUCAAUGGAAACACCGAACGCUCUUUCCGAACGGAGGAGCAUACGGCGGCCCUCGCAGCGGAAGUACAAAGCAGCCUCUCAAGGCAAUUUUCCAGUCUGGCCAUUAAACGACCGGACACCGUCAAGCGCACCCGGAGUAACCUACAACAAGACCGCCUGGCACGUUCUGAGCAGGCGUAACAAUGCGGCCCCAACCCCAGCCCUCGCGAAAUUGCAAAACCAGUGCUUCGCGUACAUAACUACGCUCUGGAAAUACCAUGGGCACAAGGGGAGGGGCACCAUCAUGGCACGCCCAAAACACGGCUUAAACCGCACUAGGGGCUGCCGAUUUUUUUAAUUUUCUCUUACUUUCAGGACUCCAUUCUUCGGAAGGCCUGUCCGGCAGUACAAUUGCCGCACAAACGAUGCAAGAACUAGGGAAGUAGAAAGCUACGCCGCAUUAUGGAACUCCCAGGUGGUCUCUAUCACAAGAAGUAUACCUGUUUCGCAUACCAUUCUGCAGCCUGCCCCUGGAAAGGACAUGUUAAAUAGUCCAACCUUUUGCUUAUCGCACUAUUUGUAUCGUUCGUCUUUGAUCGCAGCCUUUUUUUUAAAAACAAUGCAUAGCUUUUGUCUAUUAUUCCAUUAAUAUCUCUUAUAUGUUCAUUAAUGACAUGUUGCACCCGUACACUUUGGUACGGCCAAUACGCCAGGGGCUUAAGUACCCCUCAAUAUGGUGUGAGAAGUCCGAACACUUUCACAAGUGCGGCACCCCGAACUUAUAGCAUUAUAUGCAUCGGCUCCGAAUCAUGUCUUGGGUCAAUAGUUGGGUUUGCCCGGCUCCUAUGUUUUGGUGCCUUACGUUCCGCUAUAUCGGCUAAGGUAGCACUAGGAGAACUACUGCAAUUGUGCCCCAGUUGAGCUGGGCUAAGCACCUCAGUAGAGAAAGCUAAAACUGACUGUCAUGAUGAAGCGAGAGUUGGUCGCUGUUCGAGAGGUUUUUCGAGUCCCUAAAGACUUAUGCUGCUUAGAGCGAAGAGUCGGCUUUGUCUGGCCCAGGCGUGGAUAGCGCCCUGAACUCGGUCUUCCGAACACUAGGGCUUUGCCGAAAUUUAAAAUUAUAGAAUUCUAUGGCUAAGUGAGAGUGUCCAAGCAUUAUAGUCCGAUUGCCUUGUUCGUUGUGUUGAGCGCCUCCCUCGAAGGACCCAAGAAUGGGAAAAAGAGCGCUCAAGUUUAUCCCGAACACCCCAGCACUCGUGGCAUGGGGGCAGAAGCCGACGACUUGCCAUCUCUCAAAAUUUGAUAAAUGGCCGCACAGAAGGUAAUAUUUAAAUUCAGAAAGCAUUGCUUAGCACACAUGAACAAGUUUUCAGCGCACAGGACAAAAUAAACAAGUUUUAUUCAAAAAAUACAUCUUUCGAGCACUCGUCCGCCAUAAGGCGAGUGCCUUCCAGAACGCCCUUAUAAUACAUCUCGGGGUGGCGAUGCUCCUUGCCCGGCGGCGCCCGUCCUUCACAAGCUUCUCCGCAUCCAGCUUGCCCCAGUGCACCUUAGCACGGGCAAGCGCCCUACGGGCACCUUUGAUGUAGACGGAGCGCUUGAUGACUUCGAGCCUUGGACAGGCCUCCACCAGCCGCCUCACCAACCCGAAGUAGCUCCCAGGUAGAGCCUCUCCAGGCCACAGCCGAACUAUGAGGCCCUUCAUGGCCUGUUCGGCCACCUUGUGGAGCUCGACCAGUUGCUUCAGCUGGUCGCUCAAGGGCACAGGGAGUCCGGCCUCAGCAUACUGAGACCAGAACACCUUCUCUGUCGAGCUACCCUCCUCGGCUCGGUAGAAUGCGGUGGCAUCGGACACGCUACGGGGCAAAUCUGCGAAUGCUCCUGGAGAGCUUCGGAUUCGGGUAAGUAACAAGUAACUCACUUUUACAUGUUUGCUUUGCAUAAAGAAUUCCUUACCCGCCGCUAUCUUUUUCAUCGCAUCCACCUCCUGGAGGGCCUUCUGGGCUUCGGCCUUGGCAGACUUGGCAUUUUCAAUGGCCGCCGCGAGCUCGGACACUUGCGUCUUUGAGUCAAGCUCCAAACUCUCAUGUUUUUUCAUAAGAGCCUGGAGCUCUUGCCGCACCUCGCCAACCUGGGACUCAUACUUCUACCGCUCGGUGUGCUUCGUGGCCGCCCUCUUCUCGGCCUCGGACAGCGCUUGCCUAAGGGUCGCCACCUCAGUCGUGGCCCCUACAAUAGCUACGUUAGUCCUGUCAUUUUUUGCAAUUGCACCUUUUAUAUAUAUUUCAAUAAGGUAUCUCUUACCUUCCUUCUCCUCGAGCUGCCGCUUGGCAAGGCCGAGCUCUUGCUUGGACCGCUCGAGGUUGUGCUUCAGCGUGCCCACCUUCGCAGUCAGUGCGGCGGACGAUAGCAGCGAAGCCUGCACACGCAUAUUGACUCCUUUUUGUUAGACUCCUGCGAAUUUUAUUAGAUCCUCUAUUCGGCUUUUCUUUCCGAACGCCAAACAGAGCAUCAGGGACUACUGUCUAUGUGGUAAUACUUUUACACAUUCUUUACUUACCUCAAAGCCUGUUAAAAGGCUGGCACAUGCUUCAGUCAGUCCGCUCUUGGCGGACUGAACCUUCUGGACCACCGCACUCAUAAUGGUGCGGUGCUCCUCGUCGAUGGAGGCGCCAUUAAGCACCUCCAGCAAGUUGUCCGGUGCCUCCGGUUGGACGGAGGUCACCGGCUCGGUAGGGUUGCUCCUCUUAGAAGGAGGCUGCCUACCGGAGUCCGGAACCAUUGAAGGUUCCGGCGUGGUGUCCGGCUCAAAGCCGAACUCGGAGCCCUGGGGGGAUCUAUCCCCUUUACUCCUGGAGUCCGGGAGGUCGCCUUGCGGCUCCUCCAGAACCACCCUCUCCUGGCUUGGAACCUGUUGGGACGCCACCUCGGUGUCGUCCGUAGGGCGGGGGGAGGUAGCGGGCGGAAGUGAAUUCACAUCCGACGAAUCCAGGGAGCCGCUCGACGACUCGUCGAGCCCGUCCUUGGGCGGACUGCAUAGUCAUAUUCGACAUAAGGAAAAGUUGUGCAAUAAAGGAAUACUAUGAGUUACUCUGGUAUCUGGAUACUUACGAUUUUGCCGGGCGCUUGUCCCUAUGCGGCCACUCCUCUUCGCUGUCGUCGGCGUCGGUGGAGUAGUCUGGAGGAAGGGUCUUCCCCUUCUUGGACCCUUCGGCCUCCCCGGUCGGGGCGGCCUUCCUUUACGUUCCUCCCCCUGCUGGAGGGGGAGAGGUUUCUUCUUCCUCCUCCUCGUCUUCACAGGAGGAAUGCGUCUCGAAGUUGUCGGAUAAUGAAUCCGACACCUCCAGGCGCCGGGCACUCUUUCGAGUCCCUGUGGCCUUCUUCUUGGCCUUCUUCUCUAGCACCACAUAGAGUGCCGGAACCAGCAGCUUCGCCAAGCGAGCAUCCGCUGGGUCUUCGUGCAAAGGAGCCAGAUAGCUGAUCUGUCCGGACUUCGCCUGCCAAUCCUAUCAAAGUUAAGGGAGCUUAGAUCCCACAUAGAGUCAAACUAUGAAAAACUAAUGCCCUGUAAAAGGUAAAAAUAGCUUACCGCACUAGCGUGACGCUGCGUGCUGAAUCCGCGAUCCUCGGUAGCGGAUGCGGGAGCCUCGGCGCCUUUGAAUAGUGCCUUCCAGGCAUCUUCGUACGUCGUGUCGAAGAGCCUGCUCAGAGUUCGGUGCUGCGCCGGGUCGAACUCCCAUAGGUUGAAAGCCCGUUGUUGACACGGGAGGAUCCGACGGAUGAGCAUAACCUGGACUAUGUUGACAAGCUUGAGCUGCUUGUGCGCCAGAGUUUGGAUGCAUGUUUGCAGUCCAGUCACCUCUCCUUUGUUACCCCAUGACAGGCCCAUCUCUUUCCAGGACAUGAGCCGCGUAGGGGGUCCAGAUCGGAACUCGAGGGCUGCGACCCAUUCAGGGUCGCACGGCUCAGUGAUGUAAAACCACCACGAUCGCCACCCCUUUAGGGUCUCCACAAAGGAGCCCUCGAGCCAUAGGACAUUGGGCAUCUUGCCCGCCAUGGCACCUCCGCACUUCGCCUGGUUGCCACGCACCACCUUUGGCUUGACAUUGAAAGUCUUGAGCCAUAGGCCAAAAUGGGGGCGGGUGCAGAGGAAAGCCUCACACACGACGAUAAACGCCGAGAUGUUGAGGAUGAAGUUCGGGGCCAGAUCGUGGAAAGCCAGGUCAUAGUAGAACAUGAGUCCCCAGACGAAUGGGUGGAGAGUAAAUCCCAUUCCACGGAGGAAGUGGGGAAGGAACACUACCCUCUCAUGGGGCCUUGGGGUGGGGAGGAGCUGCCCCUCUUCGGGAAGCCAGUGCGCGAUAUCAUUAGACAAGUAUCCGACCUUCCUCAGUUUUUUGAUGUGUCCCUCUAUGACGGAGGAGACCAUCCACUUGCCUCCCGCUCCGGACAUGGCUGGAGAAGGUUGAGGUGGGUAAUGCAGACUUGGGCGCUGGAGCUCGAGUGCGCGGAAAAUGGAUAGGCAAAGGAGGAAGAACGCGUAGGUAAAAGGGUGGAUCCUUAUCCCCUUAUAUGGGCGGAUGCGACUGUGCGUCCCCACCAGCUUGAUAAAACUUGCUUAUCUCCCAAGCGCCAUAAUCAAUGGCGCGGUUGGGUUACCCAUGUCCAUAUUGAUGAGAAUCCCGUAAAUAAAGGGGACAUGAUCUCUGCUUUGACAAGACAUGCCAAGGAAACCGCCUCGCAUAACACACUGAGGUAGGACAAUAAAACGAUUCGAAUAACGGCUUGGCCGUGGUGUGAUGUCAUGCUACGAAAUACGUUAGCUUAUUAGAUUUGUGUAAAUAUUAUUCUCUCUAUGGCAAUAUAUGGAAACUUAUUUUGCAGAGCCAAACACUAUACUGUGUUCGAAAUCUUCUAUGAAGUACUUGGAGGAGGAACCCGCCUUGCAAUGUCGAAGACAAUCUGCGCGCCGGACUCGUCGACAUUGAAGCCUGGUUCAGGGGCUACUGAGGGAGUCCUGGAUUAGGGGGUGUUCGGAUAGCCGAACUAUACCUUCAGCCGGACUCCUGGACUAAGAAGAUACAAGAUUGAAGACUUCGUCCCGUGUUUGGAAGGGACUUUCCUUGGCGUGGAAGGCAAGCUUGGCGAUACGGAUAUGUAGAUCUCCAACCAUUGUAACCAACUCUAUGUAACCCUAGCCCUCUCCAGUGUCUAUAUAAACCGGAGGGUUUUAGUCCGUAGGACGAACAACAGAACAACAAUCAUACAUAGGCUAGCUUCUAGGGUUUAGCCUCCUUGAUCUCGUGGUAGAUCUACUCUUGUACUACCCAUAUCAUCAAUAUUAAUCAAGCAGGAGUAGGGUUUUACCUCCAUCGAGAGGGCCCAAACCUGGGUAAAAACAUCGUGUCCCUUGUCUCCUGUUACCAUCCGCCUAGACGCACAGUUCGGGACCCCCUACCCGAGAUCCCCCGGUUUUGACACCGACAGUCGUCAUCAUCAACCAUCCUCUAUCACCAAUUUCAUAAUGCUCACCGCCGUGCGUGAGUAAUUCCAUCAUAGUCUUGCUGGACGGUGAUGGGUUGGAUGAGAUUUAUCAUGUAAUCAAGUUAGUUUUGUUAGGGUUUGAUCCCUAGUAUCCACUAUGUUCCGAGAUUGAUGUUGCUAUGACUUUGCUAUGCUUAAUGCUUGUCACUAGGGCCCGGGUGCCAUGAUUUCAGAUAUGAACCUGUUAUGUUUUCAUGAAUAUAUGUGAGUUCUUGAUCCUAUCUUGCAAGUCUAUAGUCACCUAUUGUGAGUUAUGAUCCGACAACCCCGAAGUGACAAUAAUCGGGAUACUUCUCGGUGAUGACCAUAGUCUGGGGAGUUCAUGUAUUCACUAUGUGCUAAUGCUUUGUUCCGGUUCUCUAUUAAAAGGAGGCCUUAAUAUCCCUUAGUUUCCAAUAGGACCCCGCUGCCACGGGAGGGUAGGACAAAAGAUGUCAUGCAAGUACUUUUCCAUAAGCAUGUAUGACUAUAUUCGGAAUACAUGCCUACAUUACAUUGAUGAAUUGGAGCUAGUUCUGUGUCACACUAUGUUAUGACUGUUACAUGAUGAACUGCAUCCGGCAUAAUUAUCCAUCACUGAUCCGGUACCUACGAGCUUUCCAUAUACUGGUUCUCGCUUAUUUACUUUUCCGCUGCCACUGUUACAAUCACUACAAAAUACCAAAAAUAUUAAUUUUGCUGUCUUUACUUUUGCUGCCGUUACCACCACUAUCAUAUUACUGUGCUACUAAACACUUUGCUGCAGAUACUAAGUUUCCAGGUGUGGUUGAAUUGAGAACUCAGCUGCUAAUACUUGAGAAUAUUCUUUGGCUCCCCUUGUGUCAAAUCAAUAAAUUUGGGUUGAAUACUCAACCCUCGAAAACUGUUGCGAUCCCCUAUACUUGUGGGUUAUCAAGACCUUUUUUGGCGCCGUUGCCGGGGAGCAUAGCUCUAAUCUUUGAGUCACUUGGGAUUUAUAUCUGCUAGACGCUAUGAAGAACUUGAAAGACGCUAAGAGAACAAUUUAUCCCUCAACUACGAGGGGAGGUAAGGAACUGCCAUCUAGCUCUGCACUUGAUUCACCUUCUGUUAUGAGUAAACUUGCGACACCUAAACCUACUUCUGCUAUUCGUUCUGAUAUGUCGCAUGUUAUUGAUGAUGCCACUUCUACUAUGCAUGAUACUUAUGAUGAAACUGCUUCUAUGCCUGAUACUACUGUGCCCCUUAGUGAAUUUCUUGAUGAACAAAUUGCUAGGGCCAGAGAGAAAGAAAUUGUUGAAUCUGAAUAUAAUGAUGAGAGUGAUGAUGAAGAUAUUUCUAUUAUUCCUGAGGGUUAUGUUUUUGAUAUGGAAUCUUCUGCCGCUCUUUUAGCUUGCAAAGAUAGAUAUGAGCUCAAGAGGUUAUUAGCUAAAUGGAACAAAGAAUCACUUAGAGAUAAAAUGAAACCUGACCCUGCUUUUGCUACUCCACCUAUUUGUGUUCCCGAUAAGGAUUAUGAAUUCUCUAUUGAUCCAGAUAUAAUUACUUUGGUUGAAUCUGAUCCUUUCCAUGGUUAUGAAUCUGAAACUGUUGUGCCACAUCUUACUAAAUUAAAUGAUAUAGCCACCCUGUUUACUAAUGAUGAGAAAUUGCGCAACUUCUAUAUACUUAAAAUAUUUCCAUUCUCAUUAAAGGGUGAUGCUAAGAUAUGGUUCAAUUCUCUUGAUCCUGGUUGUGUGCGUAGUCCACAUGAUAUGAUUUAUUACUUCUCUGCUAAAUAUUUCCCUGUUCAUAAGAAACAAGCUGCUUUAAAGGAAAUAUACAACUUUGUGCAAAUUAAAGAAGAGAGUCUCCCACAAGCUUGGGGGAGGCUUCUCAAGUUACUUAAUGCUCUGCCUGAUCAUCCUCUUAAGAAACCCGAAAUACUUGAUAUCUUUUAUAAUGGACUAACCGAUGCUUCCAGAGAUUACCUAGAUAGUUGUGUUGGUUCUAUUUUCAGGGAAAGAACACCGGAUGAAGCUGAAAUUCUAUUGAAUAAUAUGUUGACAAAUGAAAAUAAUUGGGAACCUCCUGAGCCAGCUCCUGAGCCAGUUCUUGCUCCAAUUACUGAGCCUAUUCCUAAACCAACUCCGAAGAAGAGAGGUGUUCUAUUUCUUAGUCCCGAAGAUAUGCAAGAGGCAAAGAAACCUAUGAAAGAGAAAGGUAUUAAAGCUGAAGAUGUUAAGAAUUUACCUCCUAUUGAAGAAAUACAUGGUCUUAAUUCACCACCUGUUGAAGAAAUAUAUGAUCUUAAUCCUUUAUUCAUUGAAGAACCUCCUGAUCCCGAUAUCCCGACAUAGGUAGUAAAGGUAAAUUCUCUCUAUAGAUUUGAUGAAGGUCAUAUCCCUCACUAUAAGUCUGCUAGACAAUGCUUAGAAGAGUUUGAUAAUUUCAUUGUCAAACAAGAAAACUUCAAUGCUUAUUUUGGUAGACAAUUGAAAUAUGAUUCCGAUAUGAUUAGACGCUUGGGUGAUUAUAUGGCUAAUACUAAAGGUGAACUUAAACUUGUUGGCAAACAUGCUUCUAUGGUUACCACUCAAGUAGAACAAGUACUUAAAGCUCAAAAAGAAAUGCUUGAUGAAAUGAAUAGUAAGAAAAAUGAUUAUGCUGUUAGAGUGGCUACUAGAACUGGUAGAAUGACUCAGGAACCUUUGUAUCCUGAAGGCCACUCUAAGAGAAUCGAGCAAGAUUCUCAGAGAAAUAAUAUUGAUGUUCCUAGUUCUUCUAAAAAGAAGAAAAAGAAAAAUGGUAGAACUGUGCAAACUUCUAGUGAACCUAUUGCUGAACCACCUGAUAAUCCAAAAGAUAUAUCCAUGUUUAAUGCUGAAACACAAUCUGGUAAUGAACAUGAACCUAGUGAAAAUGUUAAUGAUGAUGUUCAUGAUGAUGCUCAACCUAGUAAUGAUAAUGAUGUAGAAGUUGAACCUGUUGUUGAUCUUGAUAACCCACAAUCAAAGAAUCAACUUUAUGAUAACAGAGACUUUGUUGCUAUGAAACAUGGUAAAGAAAGAGAACCAUGGGUUCAGAAACCCAUGCCUUUUCCUCCCAAACCAUCCAAGAAAAAGGAUGAUGAGGAUUUUGAGCGCUUUGCUAAAAUGAUUAGACCUAUCUUUUUGCGUAUGCGAUUGACUGAUGUGCUCAAAACAAAUCCUUAUGCUAAAUAUAUGAAGGAUAUCAUUACUAAUAAAAGAAAGAUACCGGAAGCUGAAAUUUCCACCAUGCUUGCUAAUUAUACUUUUAAGGGUGGAAUACCAAAGAAACUUGGAGAUCCCGGAGUACCUACUAUACCUUGCUCCAUUAAAAGAAAUUAUAUUAAAACUGCUUUAUGUGAUCUUGGAGCCGGUGUUAGUGUUAUGCCUCUCUCUUUAUAUCGUAGACUUGACUUGAAUAAGUUGACACCUACUGAAAUAUCUUUGCAAAUGGCUGAUAAAUUAAUUGCUAUACCUGUCGGUAUUUGUGAGGAUGUGCCUGUUGUGGUUGCAAACGUUACUAUUUUAACGGACUUUGUUAUUCUUGAUAUUCCCGGGGAUGAUAGUAUGUCUAUUGUUCUUGGAAGGCCUUUCCUUAACACUACAGGGGCUGUUAUUGAUUGCAACAAAGGCAAUGCCACUUUUCAUGUUAAUGGUAAUGAGCAUAAGGUACACUUUCCGAGGAAACAACCUCAAGUUCAUAGUAUCAACUCUAUUGGAAAAAUUCCAUCGAUUAUAUUUGGAGGUUUUGAAUUUCCUCUUCCUCCUGUCAAGAAGAAAUAUGAUAUACUUAUUAUUGGGGAUGUGCAUAUUCCCGUUGAGGUAACCUAGUGUUAUUCGAAAUUUCUCCGGUUUCAUGAUUAUCAGAAUGAGUUUGUUAACAAGACUUGAUCAACCUUGUUAGUGGAUUCCUUUUGAUGAGCAUGAGAUGGAUGAAACUAGAAGCACAACCUUCUGUACCCUCUCUAUAUUUUCUGUUAUUUAGUAGAAAUAAAGUAAAAAUAGUAUUUUUCUGUCUGUUUCCUAGCUUAUCCAUGCAAUAUAAAAAUAUCCCAAAAAUAAAAGUCCUCAGAAUGCCAUGCCAAUUUAAUAUGAUUUUUUCGGGAAUAUUUGAGGAUUUACUAUGCAAAAAUUACCGCGGGGGGAGCUGCCACCUCGCCAUGAGGGUGGAGGGCGCGCCCUACCCCCCUGGGCGCCCCCCUGCCUCAUGGGCCCACGGUGGCCCUCCACCACUUAUCCCAGCACCCAUCUUCUUCCUCUGCCUCACACAAACCCGAAAAACCAACUCAAGCACGAGUUCCAGCCACUUUUGCUGUGAUUUUUGAUCUCCUUGCUCAAAGCACCUCUCACAAAACUGCUUCGGGAGAUUGUUCCUUGGUAUGUGACUCCUCCAUCGGUCCAAUUAGUUUUUGUUCUAGUGCUUUAUUCUUUGCAAAUUUGUGCUGCAUAGGUGACCAUGUUCUUGAGCUUGCAUGUCAAAUUCGUAUGGUUCCAAGUAGUUCUAAUGCUUGAUAUAGGCUCUAGGCACUUGUAGGAGUAGUUGCUAUCAGUUUUAUUGAAGUUGGUUCACUUUUGUUUGAAGUUACUAAAAAUUUCAGAUUAUUCCAGAAAAAAUGAAGAGACUUUUGAGGGGCUCAUCGAGCCGAAGCUCAAAGGAGAAACAAAAUGAAGAAGCACAGAGGCCCAAAUAUAAUUUGCCUCAUACCGUGGAGAUCCGGCCGUGUGAAUGGCCUUCUGAUAAUUUCUUGACACAGGCCAGGAUUUAUGAGGAUUUCUAUUCAUUGAUAGAGAAUGCUGGCCUCACCGACUUCAUCCGCGACCAACGUCCACAGUAUCUCUUACUCACAAAUACUUUUGUGCAAAACUUCUACUUUUACCCUAAGGAAUCACCUCCUGCAGUAGAGUUUCAUUUAUAUGACGUUGUGAAGAAAAUGCCAUUGUGUGAAUUUUGCGCAGUAUGCAACAUACCCCCUGAGGGUAUCUUAGAGGAACCACCCCGUAAAGAGGUGGAACCAUUUGUUAACCUUUUCUCUAUGGGAGAAACCAGGAAGGUUUCUGAUGCAAGAAUAACUGGCAUACAUUUUCCUGUAUUGCGCUAUUUUGCCUUAUUUGCUAGUCGAUGCUUGAUUGGUCGCGGGAACUAUGGGAACCUUAGUGUUCCUGAUAUUAUUAUUUUGUUCCAUGGUUUAUACUGCGACAACAUUGUUAGCAUGGGCCGAAUUGUUGCUAGACGGUUAAGUCUUAACCGUACUAAGGGUCCCAUCUUUGGAGGCAUUUAUGCUUCGCGCCUUGAUGCACAUUUUAACAUAGCUAUUAGGCAUUAUGAGAAAGAAGAAAAAUUGCUGCCUAGUGCUUAUCUAGAUUAUAAGAGUAUGAUGGCACAUGAUUUUCUUGUUAAGGGCAGGGAUGGAGAGCUCAAGUAUAAAUUAUUCUUUGAUAAACGUCAUCCUAAAACUAUUACGUUGCCUGCUCCUUCUUUGUUUAAGUUUGUAGGACCCUAUCUCAUUACGUGGGCUGUCGUUCAAGCUUACAAAAAAUCCUGCACCAGCCCUGGAACCGGAACCACAAGAUGAGCCUCCACGAUAGUCUGUUUAUUCUUGGGAUCCAGAGAUGACUGUCAGUCAAUGGCAGUCAGAGUCUUCCUCAUCACAGUAUGAUCCCAACUAUUCUUCGUCGCAGUAUGACCCCAGCUACACAUACGGGUACCCGCCAGGCUAUCCCUGGCAAUAGACCAACUUAGGCCAAAAGCCUAAGCUUGGGGGAGUACGUAUUUCUCACCGACAUUACAUUUAUGUUCACACACACUCAUUGCUAGAUGUCGGUGCUCAUACUCUUUCACUGUAAUAUCCAUGCUAGUUUAUUUUCUUUUUUCCUGCUUUCUUCUUGUGUGUUUGUUAAACCUUAAGAAAAACCAAAAAAUUAGUAGUAGUUUACUUUUCUGCUGCAGUAGUAGUAAGUAAAAAGAAAACCCAAAAAUAUUUCUCGUUCUUCUUUUGCUUGUUGGUAGCUUUCCCAUGUAAAUAGUUUUUAUUUCUUUUCUUUUCUUUGGGGGUCGAUAGGAGAAGACCAUGAUUAAAUUGUUGAAGUGGCUCUUAUAUGCAUUAUUGUUGAUUUAACCAAGAGUCCAUAUUGCCUUGUCUUCUCCUGUUUAUUGAAUGCUCACAGAUUCCAGCUUAGUCCAAUGCACGUGCACUCUUAUUAUUUUUCACAUCAUUCGGUUGUGCAAGUGAAUGGCAAUUAUGAUGAUAUAUGAUGGACUGACUGAGAUGGGAAAAACUGGUAUGAACUCGACCUCUUUUGUUUUUGUAAAUAUGAUGAGUCCAUCGUUCUUGAUUAAGCUUGUUAUGAAUAAACAUGUUUGCAAUGACGAUUAGAGAUCAUAGUUGCUUGUGCCAUGCUUGAUUAGCUAUGAGUUAUAAUGGUUUACCUUGCGUGCCAACAUGCUAUUGAGAUGAUUAUGAUGUGGUAUGAUGGGGUGGUAUCCUCCUUUGAAUGAUUUAAGUGACUUGACUUGGCACAUGUUCAUGCAUGUAGUUGAAACAAAUCAACAUAGCCUUCAUGAUAUUUAUGUUCAUGGUGGAUUAUAUCCUACUCAUGCUUGCAUCCAAUGUUUAUUAAUUUUAAUGCAUGUACAUGGCUAUUGUCGUUCUCUAGUUGGUCGCUUCCCAGUCUUUUGCUAGCCUUCACUUGUACUAAGCGGGAAUACUGCUUGUGCAUCCAAUCCCUUAAACCCCAAAGUUAUUCUAGAUGAGUCCACUAUACCUUCCUAUAUGCGGUAUCUACCUGCCGUUCCAAGUAAAUUUGUAUGUGCCAAACUCUAAACCUUCAAAUAAACAUUCUGUUUUGUAUGCUCGAAUAGCUCAUGUGUCAACCAAGGCUGCCCUUAUCUUCCAUGUUAGGCGGGUUAUUCUCAAGAGGAGUGGACUCCGCUCCUCACUCACGAGAAAAUGGCGGGUCACCGGGAUGCCCAGUCCCAUGCUUUAUGCAAACUAAAUCAAAAUUUAGUUGCAAACAAAACCUCCCCUGGGACCUGAUGUAUGUUGGAGGCACUCGUUGUUUCGAGCAAGCCAUGGAUUGAUGCUUGUUGGUGGAGGGGGAGUAUAAACUUUACCAUUCUAUUUGGGAACCGCCUAUAAUGUGUGUAACAUGGAAGAUAUCGCCAUCUCUUAGUUGCUACGUUGACAAUGAAAGUAUACCGCUCAAAAUACAAUUUAUCUCUAUUUCAAAACCGAGCUCUGGCACCUCUACAAAUCCCUUCUUCCCUCUGCGAAGGGCCUAUCUAUUUACUUUUAUGUUGAGUCAUCACCCUCUUAUUAAAAAGCACUAGCUGGAGAGCACAGCUGUCAUUUGCAUUCAUCACUAUUAAUCUAUAUUGGGUGUGACUAUGAUUGGAUCUCUUUUACCAUGAAUUACAAUGUCUAGUCAGUCCUUGAUCUUUAAAGGUGCUCUGCAUUUUUGUUUUGUGGUCUCAGAAAGGGCUAGCGAGAUACCAUCUUGUUAUAUCAUAUUAUGAUUGUUUUGAGAAAGUGUUGUCAUCCGAGAUUUAUUAUUGUGGCUUGCUAGUUGAUUAUGCUAUUGAUACGAGUAAUUAUGAGACCUGAGAAUUAUUGCAAAUGUGGUUAGUUAUGAUCUUUGCUGAAAGAUUGAAUGCUGGCUUGACAUAAUUAGAACAACAAGAGCAAACAAAGUUUGUAAAAGUUUUUCUUUCUUUCUUUCAGUUUGUGAACUGAAUUGCUUGAGGACAAGCAAGGGUUUAAGCUUGGGGGAGUUGAUACGUCUCCGUCGUAUCUACUUUUCCAAACACUUUUGCCCUUGUUUUGGACUCUAACUAGUAUGAUUUGAAUGGAACUAACCCGGAUUGACGCUGUUUUUAGCAGAAUUGCCAUGAUGUUGUUUCAUGUGUGGAAAACAAAAGUUCUCAGAAUGACCUGAAACUCCACGGGAUGUCUUAUAAAAAAUAAUAAAAAAUCCUCGCCGAAGAUGAAGAUCAAGGGGCCCACACCCUGUCCACGAGGGUGGGGGGCGCCCCCCCUAGGGCGCGCCCCCCUACCUCAUGGUCCCCCUAGAAACCUUCCGACGCCAACUCCAACUCUAUAUAUUGGCUUUCAGGGAGAAAAAAAUAGGAGAGAAGAAAUCAUCACGUUUUACGAUACGGAGCCGCCACCAAGCCCUAAAACCUCUCGGGAGGGCUGAUCUGGAGUCCGUUCGGGGCUCCGGAGAGGGUGAUUCAUCGCCAUCGUCAUUGUCAACCAUCCUCCAUCACCAAUUUCAUGAUGCUCACCGCCGUGCGUGAGUAAUUCCAUCGUAGGCUUGCUGGACAGUGAUGGGUUGGAUGAGAUUUAUCAUGUAAUUGAGUUAGUUUUGUUAGGGUUUGAUCCCUAGUAUCCACUAUGUUCUGAGAUUGAUGUUGCUAUGACUUUGCUAUGCUUAAUGCUUGUCACUAGGGCCCGAGUGCCAUGAUUUCAGAUCUAAACCUAUUAUGUUUUCAUGAAUAUAUGUGAGUUCUUGAUCCUAUCUUGCAAGUCUAUAGUCACCUAUUAUGAGUUAUGAUCCGACAACCCCGAAGUGACAAUAAUCGGGAUACUUCUCGGUGAUGACCAUAGUUUGAGGAGUUCAUGUAUUCACUAUGUGCUAAUGCUUUGUUCCGGUUCUCUAUUAAAAGGAGGCCUUAAUAUCCCUUAGUUUCCAAUAGGACCCCGCUGCCACAGGAGGGUAGGACAAAAGAUGUCAUGCAAGUUCUUUUCCAUAAGCACGUAUGACUAUAUUCGGAAUACAUGCCUACAUUACAUUGAUGAAUUGGAGCUAGUUCUGUGUCACCCUAUGUUAUGACUGUUACAUGAUGAACCGCAUCCGGCAUAAUUAUCCAUCACUGAUCCGGUGCCUACAAGCUUUCCAUAUACUGGUUCUCGCUUAUUUACUUUUCUGCUGCCACUGUUACAAUCACUACAAAAUACCAAAAAUAUUACUUUUGUUGUCUUUACUUUUGCUGCCGUUACCACCACUAUCAUAUUACUGUACUACUAAACACUUUGCUGCAGAUACUAAGUUUCCAAGUGUGGUUGAAUUGACAACUCAGCUUCUAAUACUUGAGAAUAUUCUUUGUCUCCCCUUGUGUUGAAUCAAUAAAUUUGGGUUGAAUACUCUACCCUCGAAAACUGUUGCGAUCCCCUAUACUUGUGGGUUAUCGAGGUACUCCAGUGUGCAGAAAUUGCUCUUCGGCCUCCUUAUGGCCUCGAGGAAGCUGCGUCAUUUCUUCCAAGCCCACGAGAUCACCGUCAUCACCCGCCUCCCGUUGCAACGGAUACUGCACAACCCAGAUGUGACCGGAAGGAUUGUGGAAUGGGCCUUGGAGUUGUCGAGUGUCGGUGUCAAAACCGGCGGAUCUCGGGUAGGGGGUCCCGAACUAUGCGUCUAAGGUGGAUGGUAACAGGAGGCGGGGGACACGAUGUUUACCCAGGUUCGGGCCCUCUCUAUGGAGGUAAUACCAUACUUCCUGCUUGAUUGAUCUUGAUGAUAUGAGUAUUACAAGAGUUGAUCUACCACGAGAUCAUAGAGGCUAAACCCUAGAAGCUAGCCUAUGGUAUGAUUGUUCUCGUCCUACGGACUAAACCCUCCGGUUUAUAUAGACACCGUAGGGGGCUAGGGUUACACAGAGUCGGUUACAAUGGGAGGAGAUCUACAUAUCUGUAUCGCCAAGCUUGCCUUCCACGCCAAGGAGAAUCCCAUCCGGACACGAGACAAAGUCUUCAAUCUUGUAUCUUCAUAGUCCAACAGUCCAGCCAAAGGAUAUAGUCCGGCUGUCCGGAUACCCCCUAAUCCAGGACUCCCUCAGUAGCCCCUGAACCAGGCUUCAAUAACGACAAGUCCAGCGCGCAGAUUGUCUUCGGCAUUGCAAGGCGGGUUCCUUCUCCGAAUACUUCAUAGAAGAUUUUGAACACAAGGAUAGUGUCCGGCUCUGUAAAACAAGUUCCACAUACCACCGUAGAGAGAAUAACAUUUCCGAUCUGCUGACAUAUUUGAUAUCAUGACAUCACGCCAUGGCCUGGUUAUUAUCGAACCGUUUUUCUCAACCAGCCUUGGCGCAUAUCGCGAGGCAGUUUCCUUGGCACGUCUUGUUGAAGCAGAGAUCAUGUCCCCUUAUCACGGGAUUCUCAUCAAUACGGGCGUGGGUAACUCAACCAUGCCAUCAAUCACGGUGCUUGGGGAAUAAGCGAGUUAACUAGGCUAGUGGGGGCGUAUAGUUUCAUCCGCCCUUAUAAAGGGAUAAGAGUUUGUCUUUUUCACCCACGCCUUCUUCCUCUUCGCCUAUCCAUCCUCGCGCACUCGAGAUCCAACGCCCAAGUUCGCACCUUUCUCCUCACACCGCCCCAAUCAUGUCCGGAGCGGGAGGAAAGUGGAUGACAUCCUCCGUUAUGGAGGAGAAUAUCAAGAAGCUGCGUGGAGCCGGAUACUUGGACGCGGACAUCGCGCACCGGCUGCCAAACGCGGGGCAGAUCGUCCCUACUCCAGAGCCCCACGAGAGGGUAGUUUUUCUAACCCACUUUGUCCGCAGACUGGGAUUUCCCCUCCACCCGUUCGUUUGCGACCUCAUGUUCUACUACGGGCUGGACUUUCAUGAUCUGGCCCCGAACUUUAUCCUCAACAUCUCGGCGUUUAUCGUCGUGUGCGAGGCCUUCCUCCGCAUCCGGCCCCACUUUGGCCUGUGGCUGAAGACCUUCAAUGUCAAGCCAAAGGUUGUAGGCAGCCAGCAGGCGGAAUGCGGAGGCGCCAUGGUGGGAAAAAUGCCCAAUGUCACAUGGCUCGAGGGCUCCUACGUGGAGACCAUAAAGUGGUGGCAAUUGGGGUGGUUCUACAUCACCGAGCCGCGCGACCCCAAAUGGGUGGCGGCCCCCAAGUUCCGAUCCGGAAUCCCUAUGCGGCUCACCUCCUGGAAAGAGAAGGGCCUGCCCUGGGGUAACCCGGUAGAGCUAACCGGACUCCAGACCUGCAUCAAGAACAUGAUGAACAGGAAAAUCAAGCUUGUCAACGUGGUCCAGGUCAUGCUCUUCCGCCGGAUCCUCCCGUGUCAACAAUGGGCGUUCAAUCUAUGGGAGUUCGACCCGGCCUGGCACCAAACUCUGCGCGAGAUCUUCGACACGACGCACAAGGAUGUCUGGAAGGUGCUGUUCAAGGGCGCCGAGGUUCCCCAAAAUAUUACCGUAUAGACAGUAGCCCCUGAUGCUCUGUUAGGCGUUCGCGAAGAAAAGCCGAAUAGAGGAUCGAAUAAUAACUGCAGGAGUCUAAUCCAAAUAUGUCUAUAUACGUAUGCAGGCUUUAGUGCUGGCCGCUGCCGCACAUACUGCGGAGAUCGCCACACUGAAGCAGAACCUCGAGCGGUCCGAGGAAGAACUCGGCCUUGCCAAAAAGUGGCUCGAGGAGAACAAACAUAAGCAAUACCGUGUCUUCAUAAAAAGGUUUUGGUUGUAAGAUAACAAGAUCAUCAUGGAUGUACCAGGGUCCACAACCGAAGUGGCGACCCUGAAGUAGUUGCUCACCGAGGCCGAAACAAAGCAUCCAAGGAGCGCACUGAGCGAGAAAAACAAGAGGCCCGAGCAGGCGAGGUGCAGCAAGAGCUUCAAGAACUCAUGAAGAAGCAUGAGUCCUUGGAGCGCGACUCGAAGACGCGAGAGUCCGAGCUUGCCAAGGCCCUCGAAAGUGCAAAAAAUGCCAAGGCCGAAGCCCAAAAGGCCCUCCAGGAAAUUGAGGCGGUGAAGAAGAUAGCGGCGGGUAAGGCAUUCAUUAUGCAAAGUAGGCAUGCGAAAGAAAAUUUCCUUUUACUUACUCGAGUUCGGAUCUCUCCAGGAGCGUUCGCAGAUUUGCCCCGCAGUGUGUCUGAGGCCGCGGAGUUCUACCGGGACGAGGAGGGAAGCUCGACGGAGAAGUUGUUCUGGUCUCAGUACACUGGGACCGAACACCCGAUGCCCGUGACCGACCAGCUGAAGCAACUGGUCGAGCUCCACAAGGCGGCCGAACAGGCCAUGAGGGGCCUUAUAGGCCGGAUGUGGCCUAGCGAUUCCCUUCCCAACAGCUACUUCGGCCUGGUGAGGCGACUUGUGGAUGCCUGCCCACGGCUGGAAGUCAUAAAGUGGUCCGUCUGCAUCGAGGGUGCCCGUAGGGCUUUUGGCCGUGCAAAGGUGCACUGGGCCAAGAUGGACGCCGAGAAGCUGGUGAAGGAUGGGCCGCCACAGGGCAAGGAGCAUCGCCACCCUGAAAUGUAUUAUGAGGGUGUCCUGAAGGGUGCCCAUCUUGUGGCGGACGUGUGCGAAGGAUGUAAUUUUUGAAUGAACUUGCUCGUGUUAUCCUGUAUUAUGAAAACUAGUUCAUUUGCGCUAUGCAAUGCUUUUCGAAUUUAAAAUAUUACCUUUUGUGCGGCCGUUUAUAAAAUCUGAGAGUUGCUAGUCGUCGGCUUCAGCCCCCAUGCAACUAGUGCUGGGGUGUUCCGGAUAAAUCUGGGCACUCUUUUUCCCAUUUAAGGGUCCUUCGAGGGAGGUGCUCAGCACAGUGAACCAAGCAAUCGGACUAUAAUGGUUUAUUGCUCUCACUUAGCCAUAGAAGUCUACAAUUUUAAAUUUUGGUGAAGCCCCUAGUGUUCGGAAAGCCGAAGUUGGGGCACUAUACACGCCUAAGCCGGACAAGGUCGGCUCCUCGCCCGAAGUGGAAAAAGUCUUUAGGGACUUGAGACCUUUCGAACAGCGACCAACUCUCGCCUCAUCAUGACAGUCAGUUUUAGCUUUCUCUACUGAGGUGCUCGGCCGGAAGAACCGGGGCACAAUCGCAGUAGUUCUCCCAGUGCUACCUUAGCCGAUAUAGCGGAACGUAAGGUACCAAAACAUGGGAGCCGGGCAAACACAACUAUUGACCCAAGACAUGAUUCGGAGCUGAUGCGUAUAAUGCUAUAAGUUCAGGGUGCCGCACUGUCAAAAGUGUUCGGACUUCUCACGCCGAAUUAUGGGGUAUACGGAAGCCCCUGGCGUAUUGGCCAUACCAGAGUGUACGCGUGCUGAUUGUCACAGAUGAACAUAUAUAUAUAAGAAUAUAAAAUUCAAUAAGAGACUGAUGAUAUGCAUUGUUUAUUUAAGAAAUGUGUUGAUUCAUACUGAUACAAGCAGUGCGAUAAGCAAAAAAUGGGAAUAUUUGACAUGUCCCGUCCAAGGGCAAGCUGUGAGCUGGUAUUUAAAACAGGUAUUUCACUCAUUAUUAGAGACCACCUAGGGAUUCCAUUGCACGACGUAGCUUCCUGCCUCCUUGGGUGUUGUAUCAUGUGUCCGGCUAUCGUACUGCCGGAUAGGGCUUCCAGAGAGUAGAGUCCUGGAAGGGAGAGAAUGAUAGAGGUGGUAAGCCCCUAGUGCGGUUGAGCCGCAUUGUGGGACAUGCCGUGAUCGUGCCCUCGCCGACACCCAUGGUAUUUUCAAUGCGUAAUUAUGUACGCACGGGACAGAUUUCGCCGUUGUACUGGGACAAGGGCGGGGGCUGAAUCGCUAGGCGAGCUCUGAGUGUGCCAGGCUAUCCUGUUGUAGGUUACUCCAGACACGCUUGACGGUGUCCGGAGGCUUGAUCGCCGAACUGGUGGAUUGCCUCAAAAGGCUGCUUUGUGCUUCUGCUGCGAGGGUCGCAGUGUGCUCCUCUGUACGGAGCGAGCGCUCUAUGUUUCCAUUGACUGUGAUAACCCCCUAGGUCCUGGCAUCUGGAGCUUGAGGUAUGCGUAAUGCGGUACCGCAUUGAAUCUUGCAAAUGCGGUGCACCCAAGCAGUGCGUGAUAGCCGCUGCGGAACAGGACGAUAUCGAAGAUUAGCUCCUCGCUUCAGAAGUUGUCCGGAGAUCCGAAGACCACUCCCAGUGUGAUUGAGCCCAUACAAUGGGCCUCUACACCUGGGAUAACGCCUUUAAAGGUCAUUUUGGUGGGUUUGAUCCUCGAGGGGUCUAUACCCAUUUUUCGCACUGUAUCCUGAUAAAGCAGGUUCAGGCUGCUGCCGCCGUCCAUAAGGAAUCGAGUGAGGUGAAAUCCGUCGAUGAUUGGGUCUAAGACCAAUGCGGCAGAUCCACCAUGACGGAUACUCGGGGGGUGGUCCCUGCGAUCGAAGGUGAUCGAACAAGAGGACCAUGGGUUGAACUUUGGGGCGACGGGCUCCAUCGCAUAUACGUCCCUUAGUGCACGCUUCCGCUCCCUCUUGGGGAUGUGGGUUGCGUAUAUCAUGUUCACCAUCCUUACUUGUUGGGGGAACCUCUUUUGUCCUCCUGUGUUCGGCGGCCGGGGCUCCUUCUCGUCAUCGCUGUGCAGCCCCUUGUCCAUAUAUUCGGUGUUUAACUUGCCGGCCUGCUUGAACACCCAGCAUUCUCUAUUGGUGUGAUUGGCUGGUUUGUCAGGGGUGCUAUCGGGGAUAUACCCCGUGGCAUAAACCGGCCGGAAGUAUAACCCGGCCGGACUUGGCGGUUUACUUGAGUCCCGGUGAGACUUGACGAUUCAUUGGUGACCCAUUUGGACCUGGUGGUUUAUGAUUCAUCGGUAAUCCAGCAGGCGGGUCAGAGGAGCGACAGGACCCAGUGGCCCAACGGGCGGUUCAUGAAGGCCGGUUCAUACUAUGGUGGGCCGGUUUAAGAGGAAAUGCAUGAGGAACAUUAUCUUACAAAGAGCUAAGACCUGGACUUGUAUCCGGUUUGUAUUAAGAUAGACUAGUCCUAAUCCUAGUAGGACCCUACAUGUAACCCGCCCCUCCAACAUAUAUAAGGAGGGGCAGGGCUCCCCAAAGAGAGCGAGGGACAAGUUUCGCAAGAUGGCAAGUUCCGCAAGUUGGACAAGUUAGAUUUAGACAAUAGCUCUCGAGAUAGAGCACUCUUGUAACCGUGAUCAUCAUCAUCAUCAAUAUCAAUGAAGCAGGAUGUAGGCUUUUACCUCCACCGUGAGGGGCCGAACCUGGGUAAAACAUCGCGUCUCUCGUCCCGCUCAACCCCUCUCAAGCUACCACAUAGAUGCGUUGGCCUCGCGACUAAGUCCUGACACUAAGGACAUCUGCCGUGACAGUUCCACGACAGUUGGCGCCCACCGUGGGGCCUGCGCACGAUGGUGUUAAGUUCUUGAAGGGAUCUAUAUCAAGGAUCGAGAAGUUCACAAAUUUUUGGAUGAAGGACCGGUUUGGAAGGAUCUACAUUGUCUCGAUGGAAAGCAACCCGGACGACAUAUACAAGUUUUUGAGAAGAAAGAAAUUUAGGGUUUUGCAGAAUCAGUACACCGCACCCGUCUUUGGCGAUCCAUCAAAUCUAAUCAAAAGAUCAGUGUUUGCUACGACAUCACCGCAAGUCGCUGAGUUUGACAGGAGAUCAGAGGAUUUUCUUUGUUUGGGCGGUGUGUUGUACGAUGCGGAAUCGGUCCAAAAUGCAAGGUUUUCGCCAAGAAACAGAAUCUCUGUUGCGGUCGACGUGAGGAUCGAGACAGGUCACCUGCCUCGCGUCGUCAAUGCUACGGGCGAGCCUUACCGUCGCCACUCCGAGUCACCUACCGCUACUGCUCCCGUCCUCAACUGCAUCAUCAUUACAAGCCUCAGAGUGUAGCCGGGGCCUUAGCUGCCUGGGAGUCCCGAUCCAGAGGUAAGGAGACCACGACAAGGAUUCCAGCGGGAGUCCACCGAGUUGACCGUCACCCGGAAACGAACGAAGACACGGCCUCCGCUGAUGCACCACCACUACUGCGGCCAGAUUGACCACAGCCGCGCCUGGCUGAUUCCGCUGCCCCCGCGGCCGCGUCAGGCCACUUUUGCCUGUGCCGAGCUGCCAGUGUGCUUCACCUCCUCCGAGCCGCCAGUGCACCUUGCUGCCACCGACGACCUCGCCCCGAGCCGGCUGUUCCACCUCCCGCCGUGCUUCACUCCCAAAUUUAUUGAUGGAUAUUACAUAUGGAUCAUCUGCUAUACGAACAAAUCAGGUGCUAUUUUUCUAAACUUUUACUGGUAUAAUUAAGUAUCAUCCAAAGCUUUUUCCACGGUAUGCUGUGCUAUACACAGGUCAACGGACUCAUGGCCAAGGUUUGGUCCGGUCCUCGUGCACCGGCGUUGGAGGCAAUGUAUACAUCUGCACCGCCCGUGCUGGGCGUUUAAAGACCUGGAGAAUAACCCGGAGGGUUUCUGCUUGAACCCCCGGGACCACAUUGAGUCACCAGACACGUAAACCGCCUCUGUCGCGAUGAACAUAUCAUCUGUUGUCCGAACAAAAAACAUUAGGUGAUAUCCAUCUAAAUCUAGUUUCUUGGUAUAUGUUCUUUUUAUCAAGGGAACAAUUACUUUGGACCGGAUAUUAUGAUAUGCACGACAAUUAUUCAUUAUAAAACAUGGUUUAAACCAUGGGUACGGAGUACGCACUGGCAACGUCCUGCCCGGUGGUCGUCCGUGCCACAUUACAUGGUGAAUGGACGCGUACAAGCUGCUGCCCGUACAGCCCGGUCUACAUCGAUUAGCCGGGACUGCGCCUGUGAUUGACUCGCCCGUCCGCUCUCGCGGCCGGUUUACGAACACUGCGGCCGACUCUCCCGUCCGCACCGGCGUACAAUGCCGCAGCCGACUUAUCUGUCUGAGCCGCCUCUGAUGCUGCGGUCGUCUUUGUCGUCCGUCUCUCGCGGCCUGGUCUACGUCAACAUACUGGGCCGCACUUGUCUGGAUGAACUAUUUAUUGACUAUGAGCAAGUCACUACUUGGGAAGCCCGGUUUUCUUCCAACAAAUUGGAGGUAAAUUAUCAUAUAUUAUCAGCCGCCAUCUACACUGGAUGGUUCAAUGGGUAGGCGCACAAGUCGCCGCCACUACAGUUUGGUUAACUUCAAAUCGCCAGUUGGAAGGAACCAUUGGCCGAGUUGCUGACACGGCUCAUAUGGGAUCAUAUACAACCCGCCGCAGUCACCUCAACCUUCUAUGGAUUCACAUCGUGCUAUCAACACCAAUGAUAUACAAGGUAUGCCGGUUUAUAUCACGGUCAAAUAUGGAGAGUCUCAAGCCAACUCCUCGAGUCACCUUUGAGACUCGGGGGCUACGAUGACAUGACUCAGCGAUCUUGCCAGUUUCAGCAAAUUUAAGAACCCCAGGACGAUGGAGGGAAAGAUAACCUAGUCCUGGAGGCUACUAUUAUAUUGAUGAAAAUUUAAAGGCCGUCAGAAAAUUUCCGGUUUAGAAAGUAUAUGACAGUUACAAAAUCCCGGCUCAAUGAAGAAAAUCCGGGUCAUUAGAAAGGAUUCCGGUUUAAAAUCCGGCUCAAGGGAAGUCAGUCUGACUGUAGCUCUCAAAUAUCCGGUUUACAGUCCGGUUCAAGGGAAAUCUGUUCUCCCACAAAGCUCUGAAGCGCUCAAAUCCGGUUUAACAAUGUCCGGUUCAAAAAGGAAUUAACUUCUCGCAAGUUCGAGUUUAAAAGCCGUCAGAAAAUUUUCUGGCUAAAAAUGAAGAUUCCAGUUUAAAAUCCGGUUCAAGGGAAAGAUGUCUCCCACAAAGCUUUGAAGCUCUUAAUAUCCGGUUCAAGAUCCCGGUUCAAGAAGAAUUUAUCUCUUGCAAAAGUUAAAAAUUGCCAAAGAGGACCUGCUGCCAUGAUGCGCGGUUCAAGCAUGGGUAUCCCGCCUUACUGGGCUGACAUAUUAUUGAUCACAUGGGGGCUUCUGCUUCAUAAAGCGGGGUCUCUGUUCUUUUACAUCAUGUGUGGUUACACAGAGUUGUUCUAAAGCGGCCUCCGGUUUACCCCUUGAAAAUUUUAUAAACAUCACUUGGGGGCUUGGUCGUGUCCGAACCAAUGCAAUACCUCUUGAUAGGCGAGAGCCACCAGAUCACUUGGGGACUUGGUCACGUCUGAACCAGUCAUGCCUCUUGAUUGGCCUAAGGCCACAGAAUCACUUGGGGGCUUGGUCGAACCCGAACCAUUGCCAUGCCACUUGAUCGGCAUAAAUGCCACGGUUUCAUUUGGGGACCUGGCUGACUUGAACCAUAGCUACACCUAUCGGGAGCUUGGUCGUGUUCGACCAUGGUAAAGCCAUCUGAUCAGCUCAAAUAAGCCUCUUUUUGCAAAUGGUUUUAUCAUUGCCUUUGCUUCAAUAUUUUCCUUGAUAAUUGUUUCUUUUAUUUUUGUUGCGUUUUUAAACCGACAAAGUUUUAAACCGGCCCAAACUGUCAAUUACAAAUUGAUGGAACACGGUCAAAUCUUAAUCUAGAGAUUGUUGGGGAUAUAAUUAUUUACGUAAGCCGCAGGAGGGGCCGGGUUACGCAAAGAGAAGGCCAUCUGAAGCCCAAGACCAAGAUGUGAAGAUGGCGGUUCAGUAAAGGGUCUAAAGACCCACAGACGAUUUAGGGCCCAUGGUGAUAAACCGUCAUGAGGGCGCGACUUGUAUUGUAAGGUAGAAAUAACUAGUCACCGAGCCAGACACUGUUUAUGAGCCGGCCGGGACUCUGUAAGCCGUAGGGCGUCGACCCGUGUAUAUAAGGGGACGACCCGCUGGCGGCUUAGCGGGAGCAGAAACAAGAGAUCGAGAACCGGGCAUAGCGUAUCUCGCUCCCUGGUCAUCGAAACCUCAAGCAAUUCCAACCCAACUAGACGUAGGCCUUCCUUCACCGUAAGGGGCUGAACUAGUAUAAACCUCGCGCAUCCUUUGUCCCGAUUAAGCCCUUUAAGCUUCCUAGUUGCGAUGGCUCCACGAUCAAGUCCUUGCAAGAGGACAUCUGCCGUGACAAUUGCACGACAGUUGGCGCCCACCAUGGGGCCAGCGCACGGUGGAUUUGAGUUCUUAAAGGGCAGCUUCGAAGGGCUCAAGGGAUAUGAAGUUGGCCGGAUGACCAAGAGUCGUCGCGGCAAGAUCUACAUCGAUGACGAAGGCUGGGGCCCCGAUGCCGGCUCAAUUGAGUACGGCUACCGGGUCCCCUUUGGCGGAAUUCACGUCUUCAUCGGCCGGAUUGGUGAGCCGGGCCCUGAGCCGGACAGCUGCACCGACCUCGUCGAGACGGCUCAGCGUGCAAAACCCGCCCGAGCUCAACCUGCCGUGAAGCGUGCCUUUGUGGGUUGCAUCCACGGAGGUGAACUUCCUGAAGGAUCUAAAGGUGAUGGUGAGCCGGCCGUCCUCUCUGACGGUGAUUCAUCUGCUGGCUCAACAGAUUCGCUGUAUCAAGUUCAAGAUGGUGUGCUUGGGGGCUAUUCCGAUGGCAACACUAUUCCGGACCUCUCAGAGUCGCCAAACUAGGCAGGAGUAUUCAUGGCUAGUACUCAACCCGGCCAAAAUUCUACGGCCUCAGCGGCGAUAACGUAUGAAUUAGGAGCAGCCGGGGCAGGAGGCCCCGUGCACUCACCGGCUCAGGUGCUGAUGGAUCUCAUGGAUAAGCUUACGGCUUUGUUAACUGUUACAGUCAUCCCUGCGAACCAAUCUGAGCAUGAGGCAGAGGUGGCACAGGUUUGCUACGAGAUCGCCCGAGUCAAGGAAACCUUAGCAGCUGAGGAUGCUAGAUUAGCAGCAGAGCGGGCGGCUUUGGACGUACGGGCGCAACAACUUCAGGCAGAGGCCUUGCAGCUCACGUUGAGCUUAAACGCAUCUAAUGAGGUAAUGAGGAGGAGACAUCAGAAAACUUAGUCCUGUUUACCUCAGAAUUAUGAUCCUCAAAAUCUCUUUGCUACACCCGGGGCCAGCCCAAGUAACCCGCCAGGUGCGAAUCAGCUUAUUACAUCCGGAGUGGGAGGUCCAGUCCAACCUCAGGGGAUGGCACCUCCUCACGGCAAUAUGGCGCCACCCAAUUACGUACCAAUACCAUAGGGUCACUUCUCCAACCCCAUGGAGAACUUAAUUGCAGCCUCAGCAUGUUUGGCAGCUCUCCCAGUAGAUGGGGAUGAUCCGACAGCAGUGGAAACCCGGAAGAUCAGAGAACUUGUCCAAACAGCCCUGGCUCAGCAAGAGACCUACUCCUGCAGCCGGGAUAGGAUUCACUCGACUCCUCCACCCUGGUUAGCCCCGCCUCAUCGAAAUCAGAGCCCAAGUUACAGUAGACACAUGGAGUCAGAGGCCUUGUCAAGUAACGCUCAGCGCCGGAACCAGCCCGGCGGGUAUAACCUGGUUCAGGAUCGGAUAUGUCAGGAGGACAAGUGGGCGGCUCAGCUAGCGGCUCAGCUAGUAGCCCAACAGAACUCACCGGCUUACCCGACGACUUCCGUUGAGGCAGGAGUUGCUACUAGAACCGGAGGAGUUCCUUGUCUGGUACCGGCUCUACGUAAUGUACGUCUGCGCAAGGAUUUCAAGGGACCUCGGAAGGUGCCGAAUUAUACGGCCGAUUUACAGCCUGGGGCGUGGAUUGAAAGUUACGAGAUGGCUAUGGAGCUGCUGGAGGUUAGUGAUGAAGCGAUGGCUAAAUAUUUCACCAUGAUGUUGGACGGAACGGCCCGUUCUUGGUUAAAGGGUUUGCCACCCAACUCCAUUAGUUCAUGGGCGGAGCUAAAGGCCCGUUUCAUCCAGAACUUCAAGGAUACUUGCAAGCAGUCUAUGUCAAUUGUGGAUCUGACAAAUUGUAAGCAGGAAGAAGGUGAAUCUACUACUCAUUGGGUGCGCCGGGUCAAAGAUAUAAUACGCUCGUCUGAUAAGAUGGAUGCUGGCUCAGCAGUUCUCAUGCUGGAGAAGAAUUGCCGCUUUGAGCCUCUGAGACAGAAGCUAGGGCACCUUAAGCGUGAUUGCAAUUAUAUGGGGACGCUGAUGGCGGCUUUAGUCAAGUAUGCCGAUUCUAAUAGUACCAAGGACCCCGCGUCUGAUGAUGAAAAGAUGAGGAAGGGAAAGAAGAACGGUAAUGGAAAAGGUCAGCAGCAUAACCCGGCAAGUCAAGGAGGCAAUAAGCGUAAGGCGGAUGGUAACCCGAAAUUUGUGGCCAAUGCACAAGGUAACAAUCAGAAGCGCAAAGGGAAGCCACCCCAGUUUGGUGGGUCAGGACCGUCUCUUGAGCAACUACUCAAUGAGCCCUACCCGAAACACGGCACCCGGGAACGACCAGCGACUCAUUUAUGGAAGGAUUGCGCAAUCAUGAAAGCUUUCAAGAAUUCUAAUACGUUUGAUGGCAAUCAAGGCCCAAGCGGUGGCUCAGGAGCCGACGGCUUUCAUGGCCCGGGCGGUGGUUCAGGAUCCGGUUUUCAGGGAAACCAGGGUGGUUAUAAUCAACAGCAGUCUGGUCAAGGAGGUCAGCAGCAGCAGCAAUCAGGUUAUCAGAGCCAUCCAAAAUAGUUAAACAGUGGGCAGUAUCACGUAUUCACCACAAGUUUGUGUAAACGUGAUCAGAAAGUUCAUAAGAGGGCUGUGAAUUCUGUUGAACCGGCUGUCCCUCGUUACUUGAGGUGGUCGGAAUAGCCUAUUGUCUGGAGCAGGGAGGAUCACCCUCCCUGGGUUGAUAAUCCGGGUCGACUGGCCCUAGUGGUGGCACCGCAGGUUGGUGAGUAUAAAUUUACUAAGGUGCUCAUGGAUGGAGGUAGCAGCAUCAACAUCCUCUAUUACGAGACCUUUCGGCGCAUGGGCUUAACUGACAAGAAUUUAAAGACUUCCAACACUGUCUUCCAUGGCGUGGUGCCCGGUAAGUCAGUGUAUCUUGUGGGCAAGAUUGAGCUAGAGGUGGCCUUCGGAGACGAGCAUGAUUCUAGGGCGGAAAAGUUAACUUUUAAAGUGGUCAAAAUCAAGAGUCCAUAUCACGCUUUGUUCGGGCGGCCGGCUUAUGCCAAAUUCAUGGCGCGGCCGUCUUAUGUUUAUUUACAGCUCAAGAUGCCGGGUUACAAGGGUACCAUCACUGUGCAUGGAAGCCGAAAGGUGGCCCUGGAAUGUGAGGAAGGUGAUGCGGCUUAUGCCGAGUCUGUCUGUGUAGCAGAGUAGCUCAAAUUUUAUCAAGAUAACAUUGACCCGGCGGAUAUGACCUCCCUCAAGAAGCCGACUACGGAGCAUGACCCGGCCAUGAAGUUUAAAUCGGCUGCAGAGACUAAGCUUAUUGAUUUUACCUCGGGCGAUUCAUCUAAGCAAUUCAGCAUCAGUGCCAACUUGGAUCCUAAAUAGGAAAGCGUGUUCAUCGAGUUCAUCCGUGAGAACCGGGACAUCUUUGCGUGGAAGCCUUCUGACAUGCCGGGUGUACCGAGAGAACUCGCUGAGCACACUCUUAAUAUUGAUCCAAAGUAUAAGCCGGUCAGGCAGUUUCUGUAGCGAUUCAAUGAGGAACGACGAAAAGCUAUAGGAGAAGAGGUCACCCGGCUCUUGGUGGCUGGGUUCAUUGUCGAAGUUUUUUACCCAGAGUGGUUGGCUAACCCGGUACUCGUACUCAAGAAAAAUGCCACCUGGCGGAUGUGUGUGGAUUACACGGACUUAAAUAAGGCUUGUCUGGCUGAUCCUUUUGCCCUCCCCUGUAUUGAUCAAAUCAUUGAUGCUACGGCAGGUUGUGCGCGUUUGAGCCUUUUGGAUGCUUAUUCUGGUUAUCAUCAGAUCAAGAUGGCAGUUAAGGACCAGGAGAAGACGGCUUUCAUCAUCCCGUUUGGAGCCUUCUGCUAUGUGUCUAUGCCUUUUGGGCUCAAGAGUGCCCAGGCAACUUAUCAACGGUGUGUACAGAAUUGUCUCCACAAUCAGAUUGGGCGCAAUGUUCAUGCCUAUGUGGAUGACAUAGUAGUGAAAUCCAAAGAGGCGGAAACCUUGAUAUCUGAUCUCAGAGAAACCUUUGACAAUCUCUGGGUUUACAAAAUGAUGCUUAAUCCGGAGAAGUGUGUAUUUGGUGUGCCUGCAGGCAAGCUUUUGGGAUUCUUGGUCUCAAACAGGGGCAUCGUGGCUAAUCCGGAGAAGAUUAAGGCAAUCACUUCUUUGGCUAAACUGGCAUGUAUUAAUGAUGUUCAGCGAUUGGCGGGUCGAGUUGCCGCUUUAAGCCGGUUCAUAAGCCGGUUAGGUGAGAAGGCCCUACCGCUGUACCAAUUAAUGAAGAAGGCAGACACCUUUGUCUGGAGUGAUGCUGCUAAUGCUGCUUUUGAGGAUUUGAAGAGGCGGUUAUCUGAGCCGCCAGUUCUUGCGGCUCCCAUUGACAAAGAGCCUUUGCUGUUAUAUGUGGCUGCUAAUUCACGAGCCGUCAGUGUGGCAAUUGUGGUAGAGCGCAAGGAGGCUGGUAAGGAACAUCCGGUUCAACGGCCGGUUUAUUAUGUCAGUGAGGUACUCAUCGAGUCAAAACAAAGAUAUCCUCAUUGGUAGAAACUUGUUUACGGGGUGUUCAUGGCAAGCCGGAAGCUGAAGCAGUACUUCCAAGGUCACCCUAUCACUGUGGUAAGUUCUGCCCCCUUGGGAGACAUUAUUUAGAACAGAGAGGCUACAGGACGAGUCGCCAAAUGGGCCAUCGAGCUCGGGCCUCAUGGUCUGAAGUACGUACCGCGUACUGCCAUUAAGUCUCAAGCUUUGUUGGAUUUCAUCAAGAUUGGACAGAGCUACAGGCACCUGAGGAGAAGCCCGAUAACACUUAUUGGAUUAUUCACUUUGAUGGGUCCAGACAGUUGGAAGGCUCGGGGGCUGGAGUUGUAUUAACUUCCCCUUGAGGUGACAAAUUUUGUUAUGUGCUCCGGCUUAUGUUUCCUUGCACCAACAAUGCAGCUGAGUACGAGGCCCUGCUCCAUGGUCUCCGGAUGGCCAAAGAGAUGAACUUGAGCCGGGUAAGAUGCUUAGGAGACUCAGACCUUGUGGCUCAACAGGUGUCAGGCAAGUGGGACUCUAAAGAUCCCCUCAUGGCGGCUUACCGUCGUGAAGUCGAUGUUGUGGCUGAAUAUUUCAAGGGUUACGUAGUGGAACACAUUGAUCGAAGAAAGAAUGAGGCGGCUGAUGCCUUAAGCCGGCUGGGGUCUCAGCGUAAGCCGGUGCCGCCUAACACCUUUCUUGAUGUGUUGCAUAAUCCUUCUGUUAAGUUACCUACAGAAGAAGAUCUGGCAAUACCAGACCCGGAGGCACAGCUGGUGGCAGCUAUCCACAUUAUCCCGGAUUGGACAAUGCCUUAUUUGGCUUACAUGACCCGAGGAGAGUUGCCUGAAGACGAGACCUUGGCAAGACAGAUCGUCUGGCAGUCUAAGUCCAUGACAAUUGUCAAUGGCGAGUUACAUCAUUAUAGCAUCACUGGCGCGAUUCAACGUUGCAUGUCACCUAUAGAGGGUCAGGAGAUCCUUCGUGAGAUUCAUGAAGGCAAUUGUGGUCAUCACGCCGGCUCAAAAUCUCUUGUGGCCAAAGCUUUCCGUCAUGGGUUUUAUUGGCUGACAGCUCAUGCUGAUGCAGAAGACCUGGUCAGUAAAUGUGACGGAUGUCAGAAAUUCUCACGACGAGCCCAUGUGCCAGCUCAAGAAUUGAGGAUGAUUCCAAUUACCUGGCCAUUUGCAGUAUGGGGGCUUGAUAUGGUCGGGCCUUUCAAAAGAUCUAAGGAUAAAAAGACUCACCUCUUGGUGGCGGUUGACAAGUUCACAAAGUGGGUGGAGGCGGAGCCAGUUAUAAGUGUGAUGCAGCCACAGCAGUCCAGUUUAUGAAAAAGGUGAUUUUUCGCUUUGGUUUUCCACACAGCAUCAUAACUGAUAAUGGUACUAACCUUUCCAAAGGAGCUAUGGAAGAGUUCUAUCAACGAGAGCAUAUUCGGCUUGACGUUUCAGUUGUAGCUCACCCUCAAUCAAAUGGUCAAGCAGAACGAGCCAAUCAAGAAAUUUUGAAGGGUAUCAAGCCCCGGCUCUUGGUCCCCUUACAGCGGACGCUGGGUUGUUGGGUGGAGGAGUUACCUUCUGUACUCUGGAGCAUCAAUACUACACCUAAUAGAUCUACGGGUUACACGCCUUUCUUUAUGGUGUAUGGAGCAGAGGCGGUACUGCCAAGUGACAUCCGUCACGAUUCACCCCAUGUGGCGGCUUAUGUUGAGGAGGACAAUGAAAAAGCUCGGCAAGAUGCACUUGACCUGUUGGAUGAAGAGCGAGACUUGGCAAUAGCCCGUUCGGCGAUUUACCAGCAAGACCUGCGCCGCUACCACAGCCGCCGGGUUAAGUCCAGAACCUUUCAGGAAGGCGACUUAGUGCUCCGAUCAUCCAGGAUCAAUCUAACAUGCACAAGCUAUCCCCUCCUUGGGAAGGACCCUUUGUGGUCAGCAAGAAUCUGAACAAUGGAUCAUACUACCUUAUCAACGUUCGGGAACACAAAGACUCACGUAAGUCGGAGGAGGAGACCCGUUGGCCAUGGAAUAUCGCUCAUCUUCGGCCUUAUUAUACUUGAGCCGUCGGCUCUCAUGUGCAUAUACUUAUACUAUGUAUAUUAUAUAAAGCAAUAAAGCAGGACCUCUAUCCUUUUUCCACUCCCAAAAAGGUUUAUGUGUUUUCCUUGUCAGGUGGUGGAGAUGACCAAGGAGAAGCGGAUCAUAUCUGAAUCCGGCUUUCCUUUGGUCCGGCUUAUGAUCAUAUCUGAAUCUAGCCGUGAUCACUUGGGGGCUUCCUGUUCAAACAUAGGUCGUAUUCGAACCAAAGAGAACAUAGCUGUCGAUACUCACUUGAUCGGCAUACUGCCAAACCCACUUGGGGGCUUCUUGAUCAUAUCUAAAUCAUAGCUUAACUCCUUUUGGGUCUGACGUGGAUCGUAUUCGAAUCAGCGUCAUUAAACAACUCUUAUGGUCACUUGGGGGCUUCCUGUUCAAACAUAGGUCGUAUUCGAACCAAAGAGAACAUAGCUGUCGAUACCCACUUGAUCGGCAUCGCCACAACCACUUGGGGCUAACAGAUCGUAUCCGAAUCUUAGCUCCACCCCUUUGGAACGGGUCACUGAUCAUAUUCGAAUCAGAAACCCUUGAAUUUUGUUCAUCAUAUUUUACAAGUGCCAACAUUAGAUAUCUUGUGACCCUCUUGAAGGUACAAUGGAAUAUAUUACAAUCUUCCAGAAUUAAUAUUAGUUACAUUAGGUUGUUAAGAACCAGGUGAACUUGUAUGUGCCAAUUUUCAGGAGUUAAGUUUACCCUUAGGGGUUGGUUUAUAUAAGCCGGAAAAACAGCUGUAAGCACUACAGGGCAAUGCAAGGUAUUUCUGCAAAGGGCAUAACAGAUUCAUAUAAAGUAUAUAGUGACGGCAGCUUAUGCAAGUACUAAAGGCCAUAAGCAUACGCAAAGGCAUAGCAAAACUCAAGGUAUUUUUUACUCUAUUACAAGACUCUCCGAGUCUGAAUGAUGCGGCAUUGUUUUUCUACAACUACAUAAGCAGGUGGCGCCUGAUAAUCUACUGUUGGGGUUGAUUUCAAGUCUCUGGGUUAUCCUUCUCCGCCUCUCCGCCGGCUGCUUUGUCCUGGAAGGAUGAUGAGGCCCAGUCAAUGCCACUCAAAGCCUCAAACUCAGCUUCAUCAUCUAUUAAACCAGCUGGGUCGACUUCAGGAGCAAAGGUGUGCUUACGGGUUGGAGGGAUCAAGCUGACGUUGUCAUAAUGCGGCGUGGGGAUUCUCCGAUUCUCCUUGUCAUAACCCGGCUGACACAUGGAGAGGUCAGUGUCGGUCCCAAUAAGAGUAGCCACCGGACGUAUAUCUUUCACACAGGCGGUGAAAUCUUUAUCAUUAAACACGGUGCCAUCUUCCUUUAAACUUGGAUACCCAAGAGCAAUAUCAGCAGGGUCUAGUUCUGGAAGCCACGCCUUGGCCCGGCUCAAUGCGGCUAUGGCUCCGGCUCUUGCAGAUGCUCGUCUUAACUCUUGGAUCCUCUGAGGUAGCACAACAAGCCGCUUCAGCACAUCUUGCAGGAGAUAGGGAACAUCGUUUGAUAAAGACACAACGACCAAGGCACGUUGUAACCCGGUGUAGAGCUGUUCCACCAGAGUAUAAACCGCCUUCAGCUUGAUCACCAUGUUCUGCUUGAGAUUUGUGCUCCUGGGGCCUUCGUUAUUAAGCAUAAGAUGAGUCAGAGGAAACAACUGAAAUGGUCAUUCAAGGAGUUUUGCAGUGUUUAAGAUUUGAGUAAGUCACUCACCAAAGAUUGCUGAGACCAUUCGAGAUAUCUGGCGCUUUAAGUCGGACAGUUCGGCCGUUGCUUCCGCCAGCGAUGCCUCUGUUGUCUCGGCCCGGGUCACCAGUGCGGCCUUUUCAUCAGCCCAAAUUUUCUUCUCCGAUUCAAAAUUUUGCUUUAGCUUCUCUUGUUCAGAGAUGCUAAAUUCAAAUUUGGAGUUAGCCUUUUGAGUUUCAGUCUCUUGGGCUGCCACGCGGUUCUUCAGGUCAACAAUUUCCGAUUCAGAUUGACUUAUCAUGACCUGCAUUGCACCAGAUAACACUCAAGAUUACGGUAAAUAGUGUUAAGUCCCAAGCACAUUGUAAGCAAAGGUAUUUGGCACUUGGGGGCUAAUGUAUCCUGGAGAAUUUUCAAUUACUACUCCGGUUCAUGGAAAUUAAAGUCCCAAACACUUUGCAAGCAAAGAUGUUUAGCACUUGGGGGCUAAUGUGUAUCGCAAGUGUUACCGGGUUAAAAGUCUUUUUCCUAAGCCGGAUAAGCAGUGCUAGGCAAUUUUCACAAGUCUACAGCAUAUUUACUUAUAAGCAAUAGACUUGGGGGCUAGUACAGUAAGUAUGGUUAAAGAAAGCUAGCAUAAGUCAUACCUCAGAUUUCUGAUGUAUCUGCUUCACCAUGUCAAUUUCCAGGUCACAGCUGCUAUGUACUUGAUUGAUAUAGCCGGAGACGAUCUCUCUAAUACUCAAAUGAGUAUAGUCAGUGACGUCCAGCUUGGCCUUUCGGCGUUCUACCAACUCCUCUUUAGAACACUUGGCAAGUACAGAUGGUUGUGCCGGUUCAACAAACUGAGUUUUGAGGAUCUCAACUUCCGGAUCACUUGCUUUGGCGGGGCUAGGAGCCUCCGGGUUACCAGACUUGUUGAAGAUUUGCUCAGUAGGCAGGUUAGAGGAAGAUAUAGGAGCGUCAUGAGAUGGUUGAGGCGGCGGCUCGUGAGCAGGGGCAUCAGGAGCAGCUGUGCCCAGCUCUGGUUCAGUCACAACCGUCUCUUGGGGCGGCUUAUUCUUUUUGCCCUUUUGCUGGGCUUUACUUGCACACUGCGGAGAAAGUAGACAGGUUAAAUACGAAAAGUAUGAGUAAAAUAAAGGCAUAAGGUACAACAAGUUUAUAUUACCCGGGAGCAGUUUUGAAGGUUGGCAUGUUGGACUGCAUAGACUCACCAGAGGAAGGUGAAAUAUCCUGAUAAUUGGAGUCAGAAGAAUUGAGAGGAUAACGAAUGAAACCCGCCAAAGGAAAAAGAAGGUGUGAAUCGGAGGUAACCUCAGCUUGGCGUUUCCGGGUCACAUCAGGUAAGCCGGAGGAGAGUUCCGCGUCUUUGCUGGUCCGGGUCUGCCUCCAGCUCUCAUAUAUCUGUCGCUUCAAAAGAAAGUCAGGAUCUUGGUAAGCCAAAGGAUGUGAAAAUCUUACUUUCCAGGUUACUCUUUGAAUUUUCUAACGCGGCUGAAGCUCGGAGUCGGAGGAGAUUAUAAUUACCUCUUCCUUAAUGAGUUGGCUGUUGCCCGUGUCUUCCUGAAAGAAGGUUAGUAUCAAUAAGGUAGUGAUACAGGAGAAAGGGAAAUUCAAAGGUUACCUCUUCCUCAUUAUCAUCAGUAUCAUCAAGCUGAAACAGCUCAGAGGCGCUUGGCUUCCUCUUCCUUGAGGUGGUAGGCUUGGUGGUUUUCUUUUCGGCUCUCUUGGCCGCCCUGGCUUUCUUGGCUGCCUCAUGAUCAUAUUGGGUUUUCCAGAAGUUAUCAUUUGCCUGUAAAAGGUUAUAACGGGUUAUGCGUAAGAAUACAGCCUAACAUGAUAAAAAAAGAGAUAAUAAUAACCCGACGGCUGGAAACUUACUGUAGGGGCCGGGUUCUUCUGGCAAAAAGGUGGUAAGCCAAAGGCGUUACUAUUCACUGUGCCCUCCUUCAACAAGGACUGAGUUGUAGCUUCCACUAUGUCAUCUGGUAAGUCGUCAGGGCUAUGACACUGAGGGUCAUCUUUCUCGCCUGAAUAAUUACACAUUAAGCCGGGGCGGCGGCUUAAUGGAAUUAUUCUCCAAGCAACCCAGACUCGGACCAGGUCAAUGCCAUCUAAGCCGUUCCCUAAAAGAGAUUUUAUCUUCUUGAUUUUGGGGUGAGUGGCAGACGUUCACUAGCUGUCAACUUAUUCGGCAGCGGGUGAGUAGGUUCAAGGCGCAUUGCACGGAAGCCAGGCAGUGGGUUUUCACCAGCUGGAGAAGUGUCCUGGCAGUAGAACCACGUUUGAUUCCAGUCCUUUGGAUGACUUGGCAGUUCAGCAUAAGGGAAAAAGCAGUCUCUUCGUCGCUGAAUCGAGAUGCCACCAAGUUCUAGACUGGGUCCAUUGGCGCGUUCAUUCUACCGGUUCAAAUAGAACAACUCCCUGAACAAAAGUAGGUUGGGUUCUUCUCCAAGGUAGACCCCACAUAAAACUUGAAAGUUGCAGAUAUUUGACACCGAAUUGGGCCCGAUGUCUUGAGGUCUUAAGUCAAAGAAGUGCAAAACGUCUCUAAAGAAUUUUGAACCAGGAGGAGCAAAUCCCCGGCUCAUGUGAUCGGUGAAAAUGAUCACUUCCCCUUCCUUGGGUUGAGGUUUCUCUUCAGACGGGUCAGGAGCACGAUAAGACAUGACAUCCUUCUUGGGCAGAUGGCCAGACUUUACAAACUCAGACAUUUUGCUCUCUGUAACAAUGGAUGGGACCCAGUUGCAGGUAAUCGGAAGCUUAACAGCUUUGGGUGCCAUUGGAUAAAUUGAAGCCAACAACAAGAUAAAGGAAAUUUUCCGGUUCAUUAUAACCCGGAGAAUAAGCAUUAUUGGGUUAUCUGAGAUGGCGGCUUAAGAAGGGGACUAAUGACAUACAGGUAACUAUGUGAUAAUAAUUAGCAGCUGCAGGUACUAAAGAUGAUUAAGGUUUUCUUAAGUCGCCAUAAGCAAGCGGGGCUGACAACCGGUAUUAUUUUAAACCGGUCACAUGAAUUAUUAUGGAUGAAGCAGAGUCAACAGAGGUUCUGAGAAACAGUGUUUUUUGGUUACGUGUGGAACAAACAGGUUUCACAAGUUGCAAUCAUUAUUUUGGAUCAAACGAGGUUCUGAGAAAGAAAAUAUUUCUAGACCUAAAAACAGUACAGAGAAGAUCAUAUACUUGCGGAGGGUUUCCAAAACAAGGGAAAUGAGAUCUGUUCUUAUACAGGAUAAGCACGAAUAUUUUCCGCAACACUUUUAUGUUUCUUCUAUAAUCUAAACAAAGGCAUUGGAGGUGAAAUUAAUGGAGGUCUGCGUCGGGCGGUGAUGAACACCGACGAACUCAAGAUGAUUUCAAGACAGAUCUGAGAAAGGGGAAAAUAGGAACUUACAGAUGCGGAAGAGCUGCGGAGGGUCGCCGUCGCUUUCUGGUCGGAAUCAGGGUGAUGCAGCGGCCUGAGUCGGUGAAGACGAGGAGUUCAACGGUGGCGGCGGUGGAGCUUGAGCAGCAAAGGAAGAAGUGUGAGGAGGAAGACGACUGAAGGAAAUGGAGAAGUCCUAGGUCGCAUCUAUUUAUAAGGAGGGGCCGACCAAGACGGCGCAAGAAACGAGGAGACCAAAGCAUCAUUAUCCAGCGGCCCCGACGCCUCAAUUCUCGGAAUGGUCAGUAAAGGCAAAGAUUCGUUGGAGGAUAUGAUGGAUUAAAAUAUGAAUUAUAUUGAAGAUGACGUCAUAGAGAUUUGACCCGGAUCCGGAUGAUGACGUCACGGCAGGUUAGAAUUUCCAUGCAAAACAGAAGACUAAGGGCUAGUUUAUAAGGUUUUUAAAGAUUGACAUGAACUGGUUCAAAUCAAUCUGGGGCCUAAUGUUGGGGAUAUAAUUAUUUACGUAAGCCGCCCAUGAGGGGCCGGGUUACGCAAAGAGAAGACCAUCUAAAGCCCAAGACCAAGAUGUGAAGAUGGCGGUUCAGUAAAGGGUCGAAAGGCCCACAGACGAUUUAGGGCCCAUGGUGAUAAACCGUCAUGAGGGCGCGACUUGUAUUGUAAGGUAGAAAUAACUAGUCAUCGAGCCAGACACUGUUUAUGAGCCGGCCGGGACUCUGUAAGCCGUAGGGCGUCGACCCGUGUAUAUAAGGGGACGACCCGCUGGCGGCUUAGGGGGAGAAGAAACAAGAGAUCGAGAACCGGGCAUAGCGUAUCUCGCUCCCUGGUCAUCGAAACCUCAAGCAAUUCCAACCCAACUAGACGUAGGCCUUCCUUCACCGUAAGGGGCUGAACUAGUAUAAACCUCGCGUAUCCUUUGUCCCGAUUAACCCCUUUAAGCUUCCUAGUUGCGAUGGCUCCACGAUCAAGUCCUUGCAAGAGGACAUCUGCCGUGACAAUUCCACGACAGAGACUAUCUGCCCGGUUUGAUUUUCUGUUACCAUCCUAUUAUGGAGUAAACCGGUGUUUAUCAACCCGGCUCGCUUUCAACUACAAGUUGUCAGUACACAAUCAAAUUAUAACCCGGAGACUAUCAGCCAUGUCUGGUUUGACUACGAGUCGCCAGUAUUAUAUAUGGUUAAACCGGUAUUUAUCACAACCCGGUACGGUUUUAUCAUAAACCGACACAAUAUGGAAGGAGUUAUCAGUACUCAAGAUUGGGAUUAUCACCCUUACUACAAAAAGUUGGUAAAACCAACAAUGUGAUUCAAUGUCAUAGGUAUGAUAUAUUUCAUAUUUGAUUAUUUUUUAGUACAGCCUUGGUUAUAAACCCGGGUUAUAUGUUGGGCGUUAUGACCCGUCCGGCGGUAAACCGCCAGGACACUUUAAACUUGUUGUAUCCAGAAACAGGUUGAAUAAAGUAUGACGAUAAAUUAUCUGGUGUUUAUUAAACCGGCCUGGCUUUUGACUAUAUGUCGCCAGUAUGAUGAUAAAUUAUCCGGUGUUUAUUAAACCGGCCUGGCUUUCGACUAUAAGUCGCCAGUAUAUAUUUGGAUUGCGCCUUUGGAAUCAUGUGCUUAUAAAUCAUUGGGUUAUAUUAUUCAAAUAGCCAAGUUUGGCUGAAUUUUCAUUAUGAUGUUGAAUGAAUAAGGUUUUCAUACCGGAUUAUGUAAUCUUGAAUAGCCAACAUGGCUGGAUUUUAUUAUGGUUAUUAAUAACCGGUGUUAUUGAGGUUUUCAAAGUCGCUUUAGCGCAAUGUCUAUUAUAUUAUCAAUGCAUAUGGUUUAUUUUACAAUUGAAGGAAUAGUCCCGAGUCGCUGCAGGCUCACGACCCGACACUUGGGGGCUACAUUAUUCAACUGAAGGUUAUAUCAAAUAUGCAAGUUUCAUGUCGCUGCAAGCAUGCACCAUGACACUUGGGGGCUAAUGCAAAGUCAUUUUUAUUAGUCUUAUUGAAGACCCGACUCAUCAUAUUAUAAUGAGCCGGCCCUUGGGGGCUACCAAUUGCUCCUGUCAACAAUUCAAGGUACACACGUUUUCAUCUAUUAUUGAAGGAUCCACUGCUCAGUUGGUAAAGCACAAAGCUCUCAACCUUGUGAAUAUGGGUUCAAGCCCCAUGAUGGGAGUUACAUAAUAUAAUGUUAUUCUCAAUGAAGUAUAUAUAAAGUCCCAGCUCAAUAUUAUCUUACUGAGCCGGCCCUUGGAGGCUACACGUUGCUGUUAAAGUCUACAUGAUCAUAUUUUCAAAGUCCCUGCUCAUUAUAUACAUAAUGACCCGGCCCUUGGGGGCUACACUGGUUGAUGGUUUUUAUGAGCAUCAGGAAAUUACAAGUCCCAGGUUGCUGCAAGCAUGACAACCCGGCACUUGGGGGCUACAUAUAUGGAGUAUUCAGUUUAUAUGAUUGAGAUGAACUAAUCGGAUUUCCUCAAGGUUGAAACAUUUAUUGGAGCAAGCCUUAAGUUAUCACUAUGUUCUCCUCUUAAGACUUGGGGGGCUACAGGUAUUAUGUAUAUAAAGGAGGAACAUCUUCAUUUUAUCAGUUUUGAGCAAAUCAGGAAGAUCAAUUACAUGACCUGGUGUCGACAACAAUUAUGACCCGGCGCCAUCAAUAUUUAUAAACUGGCCAUUUUGGUAAUAUUAAACCGGCAAGUUUUACAUCUUCAAACCGGCUGAAUAUCAGAUAAGUAUUUCCAGACCCAUAUUUCUUAAACCGGCGCUUUGGGAGCUGAGUCAAAGGAGUUAUUCUUCACAAUAUUUCUCGGUGACAAACCAAUGUCGGCAAAUUGAUUAUGAAGCUGGUCUGUUGACCCGGAUUUCCCAGAAGGAGGAAAUAACAAGGACUUAAGGACGAUCAGGUACUGGUUUACAAAGAAUUCUUAACCCGGAGCAUAACCUGUCAAAUUUGUUCUUGUGUUUAUUUUGCAGCAUAAGUUUACCAUGGAUAAAUCCAAGCUAAACUUGGGGGCCAAUGUCGGGGAUAUACCCCGCGGCGUAAACCGGCCGGAAGUAUAACCCGGCCUGACAUGGCAGUUUACUUGAGGCCCGGUGAGACUUGACGAUUCACUAGUUCAUUGGUAAUCUUGUAGGCGGGUCAGAGGAGCGACAAGACCCGGUGGCCCAACGGGCGGUUCAUGAAGGCCGGUUCAUACUAUGGUGGGCCGGUUUAAGAGGAAAGGCAUGAGGAACAUUAUCUUACAAAGAGCUAAGACCUGGAAUUGUAUCCGGUUUGUAUUAAGAUAGACUAGUCCUAAUCCUAAUAGGACUCUACAUGUAACCCGCCCCUCCAACAUAUAUAAGGAGGGGCAGGGCUCCCCAAAGAGAGAGAGGGACAAGUUCCGCAAGAUGGACAAGUUCCGCAAGUUGGACAAGUUAGGUUUAGACAAUAGCUCUCGAGAUAGAGCACUCUUGUAACCGUGAUCAUCAUCAUCAAUAUCAAUGAAGCAGGAUGUAGGCUUUUACCUCCACCGUGAGUGGCCGAACCUGGGUAAAACAUCGCGUCUCUCGUCCCGCUCAACCCCUCUCAAGCUACCACAUAGAUGCGUUGGCCUCGUGACUAAGUCCUGACACUAAGGACAUCUGCCGUGACAAUUCCACGACAGGUGCCGUGUAUUUGGCACGAGCGAUCGAGUAUGCGGUCCAGACUGGACGGGCCCGGAGUGCUUCUUCUGAAUGGCUUUUUCCGUUGACCGGGUUUUGAGCCUCUGAAUCCGGCAUUGACUGCCGUAUCCUCGGCGUUAUCACUGUUAUUGCGGCGUUUAUAUUUGUUGCAACGUGGCAUGCUGUUACUAUCCUUGGUAUCCGAAGUGCCAAGGUUCCUUGAUAUGUUGUUGCUGCGAGCCAGCUAGCUAUCCUCUCCCUUGCAAAAGCGGGUCAUGAGUGUCGUGAGGGCUGCCAUUGAUUUCGACUUUUCUUGGCCGAGCUGCCGGGCGAGCCACUCGUCACGGAUGUUGUGCUUAAAUGCCGCUAAGGCCUCUGCAACCGAACAGUCGACAAUUUGAUUCUUCUUGGUUAAAAACCGAGUCCAGAAUUUCCUGGCCGAUUCCCCUGGCUGCUGAAUUAUGUGGCUCAGGUCAUCAGCAUCUGGUGGUCGCACAUAAGUGCCCUGGAAGUUGUCGAGGAAUGAGUCUUCCAGAUCCUCCCAACAACCGACGGAGUCUACUGGCAAGCUAUUUAACCAAUGCCGAGCUGGUCCUCUAAGUUUUAACGGGAGGUACUUGAUGGCAUGUAGAUCGUCGCCGCGAGCCAUGUGGAUGUGGAGGAGGAAGUCCUCGAUCCAUACCGCAGGAUCUGUUGUACCAUCGUAUGAUUCGAUAUUUACGGGUUUAAAACCCUCUGGGAAUUCAUGAUCCAUUACUUUGUCACUGGAGCAUAGGGGGUGUGCGGCGCCUUUGUGAUGGGCUAUAUCGUGGUGCAGCUCGUAUGAGUCUUGCAUGUUGUAUUCGGCCCGGCCGGAUUUACUUUUACUAUAUCCGGUGUGACAGUCACUGUCCCGCGUAGGGGCGCGCCCUCGUGAUCCAUAGAUUGAUCUUGCGUGUUUUGCCUUGUCUUCCAAUACGUCUCGCAGGUCUCGCGUGUUUCCCAUUGCCUUGGUAUGUUUCUUUGAGUGGCGACGGGGUGCGGGCUGAACUUCUGGCUGAAAUACCUCUCUGUCUCGGCCAUGAGGUGGUCGAUCAGUUGCGUCGUACGCUGGUGAUGUAUGUUUUAAUGCUUCCUCCUCAAGUCGGGGUAGCAACCUGCGCUUUGGGUGACCCUUGGAGGGGCGUUCGAGUUUGUAUUCCUCGGCCGCAAGGACUUCAGUCCAUCUAUCUGCUAGCAAGUCCUGAUCAGCUCGAAGUUGUUGCUAUUUUUUCUUCAGGCUAUUCGCUGUGGCUAUAAGCCGGCGCUUGAAGCACUCUUGCUCGACGGGAUCCUCAGGUACGACAAAUUCUUCGUCUUCGAGGCUCACUUCGUCUUCGGAUGGAGGCAUGUAAUUGUCCUCCUCUCCCUCUGCCGCUCAUUCCCAAGGGCUGGCUUGUUCAUCCUCCGGCUCUGGAUCCUAUUGGAGGGGAUUGUCAUCGUCUUCGGCACUGUCCGGAGUACUGUUAUCUCCUGUGCCGGUAUCACCGCUUUUGCUGUGGUGAGACUUAGAGCGGCACCGCUGACGUUGGGGCUUAGGUUGCUUCUUGGAGGGGUCAUCCUCCGCUGUCUUGUCGCCAUUGCCUUCUUUGGGUGUAUCCACCAUGUAUAUAUCAUAUGAUGAGGUGGUGGUCUAGUGCCCCGUGGGCAGUGGUUCCUGUUUGUCUCCUUCAUCAUUGUCCAUACCAUCGAUCUCUUCAGAGUUGAAGUCGAGCAUGUCGGUUAGAUCAUCGACAGUGGCUACUAAGUGGGUGGUGGGUGGGGCGUGAAUUUCUUCAUCGUCCGCAUCCCAUUCUAGCCAGACAUAGUUCGGCCAAGGUUCUCCUGACAAAGAGAGAGACCUUAACGAGUUUAGUACAUCACCGAAGGGCGAGUGCUGAAAGAUAUCCACGGAGGUGAACUCCAUGACCGGCGCCCAGUCGGAUUCGACAGGCACGGGCGCAGGCGGUUCAGACUCUGUGGCCGGAGACGAGUCUAUAGAUCCGGCGUCACGACUCUCGUGAGGGGUAGGGUCAGUAUCCGGCUCUAUCGUCGCUGAGAGUGCGGCCUCCAUGGAGGGGUCUAUCCGCCCAUCCUCAGAUGGCGCAUUCUGUUCCGGAUUGAAGGCCGGAGUUGUUGCUGGUGCGAUCUCCUGAACAUCGUCUGACGGUAGAGCUAAAUCGUGCUCGUCGUGAUCGUGCGGCGCACCUGGCAUGGGCUCGAAUCCGUCGAAGAUCAAGUCCCCGCGGAUGUCAGCCGUGUAGUUCAAGUUUCCGAACUUGACCUGGUGGCCAGGGGGUAGCUUUCGAUCUGCUCCAGAUGGCCAAGCGAGUUGGCCCGCAGUGCGGAGCUGCCGAAUACGAAUAUCUGUCCGGGGAGGAAAACCUCACCCUGGACCGCAUCGCUACCGAUGAUCGAAGGAGCCAUCAGGCCUUGUGGUGACGACACAGCAGAACUCUCAAUGAAAGCACCAAUGUCGGUGUCAAAACCGGCGGAUCUCGGGUAGGGGGUCCCGAACUGUGCGUCUAAGGAGGAUGGUAACAGGAGGCGGGGGACACGAUGUUUACCCAGGUUCGGGCCCUCUCUAUGGAGGUAAUACCCUACUUCCUGCUUGAUUGAUCUUGAUUAUAUGAGUAUUACAAGAGUUGAUCUACCACGAGAUCGUAGAGGCUAAACCCUAGAAGCUAGCCUAUGGUAUGAUUGUUCUUGUCAUACGGACUAAACCCUCCGGUUUAUAUAGACACCGGAGGGGGCUAGGGUUACACAGAGUCGGUUACAAUGGGAGGAGAUCUACAUAUCCGUAUCGCCAAGCUUGCCUUCCACGCCAAGGAGAGUCCCAUCCGGACACAAGACGAAGUCUUCAAUCUUGUAUCUUCAUAGUCCAACAGUCCGGCCAAAGGAUAUAGUCUGGUUGUCCAGAUACCCCCUAAUCCAGGACUCCCUCAUCGAGCUUUGGGUUGAAGUUUGAAAGUACCUUGAUGAUCGAGAGCAGAGUCCUGGCGGAGUUCAUUGCAGAAUGGACCUCAAUGCCCGACGAAGAAAUUUAGGAGACCACUCUCCCCGGCAAGGAAGCAAGCCGUGACUGGAUCAUGUAUUUUGAUGGGGCUUUCUUGCUGCAAGGCGCCGGUGCCAGUGUGCUGCUUGUCGCACCCACCGGAGAGCACCUCAAGUAUGUGAUCCAGAUGCACUUUCCCAGGGAGAUGUCCACAAACAACACUGUUGAAUAUGAGGGGCCUCUUGCCGGUCUCAGGAUUGCAGCGGACCUCGAGUGAAAAAGCUCAUCGUCAGGGGUGAUUCACAGCUUGUCGUCAGACAAGUUAACAAGGAUUAUCAGAGUCCGUUGAUGGAGGCCUACGUAGAUUAGGUGAGGAAACUGGAGGAGCGCUUCGACGGUAUACAAGCGGAGCACGUUCCUCGAGCGGAGAACGACAUCACUGACUACCUAUCAAAGCGUCCUGCAUUCAAGCUGCCUGUGGAACCAGGUACCUUUUUGCUUCGGUCAACUCAACCAUUCGUCGAGCCAUCAACAGAGCAGAACAAGCGGAGGGAGUCAGGCCCCGGCAAGUGCUUUCCUACCGAGCCCCCGGGGGCUGUCGGCAAGGGUGUUGCCGCGGAUCCUGAGCCCGCCAAGGGACAGCUGGCUCUGGCAGGGCACCAAGCCCUGGCCGUAGAGACGGCUGCCCCCAUGGCGGAAGAAAUGCCUUUGGUCCUUGCCGUCGAGCCCCAGGCUCCAGCAUGGGCACAACAUACUGUCCGUUUCCUCCAGACAGGGGAACUUCCUAAGGAGCAGGAAGAAGCAGAGAGAGUAGCCCGUCGGUCUGCCUUAUACCAGUUCAUCGAUGAUGUCCUGUAUAGAAGAAGGUCGAACGGUGUGAAAUUUAAGUGCAUCCCCCGGGAGGAAGGACUAGAGCUGUUGGCGGAGAUACAUGGAGGUAUAUGUGGCUCCCACAUAGGGUUAAGGGCCCUUGCCGGCAAGGCAUUCCGGCAAUGCUUCUUCUGGCCCACCGCCCUCUAGGAUGCAACGGCACUAGUAACAAAGUGUGAAGCGUGUCAGUUCCAUUCAAGGAAGCUUCAUCAACCAGAUCAAACCCUUCAAACAAUCCCUCUCUCCUAGCCAUUUUCGGUCUGGGGGCUCGACAUACUGGGCCCCUUCCCCCGUGCUGUCGGGGGCUUUGAGUACUUAUACGUAGCAAUCGACAAGUUCACAAAGUGGCCGGAGGUGGAACCGGUGAGGAAGGUGAUAGCACAGUCAGCCGUCAAGUUCUUCAAGGGACUAGUCUGUCGUUUUGGUGUGCCAAACAGAGUCAUCACCGAUAAUGACACACACUUCACAAGCCACACCUUCAUGCAAUACAUUCAAGACCUCGGCAGCAAGGUCUGUUUUGCUUCUGUGGCACACCCUCGGAGCAACGGCCAAGCGGAGAGGGCAAAUGCUGAAGUGUUGCGAGGCCUGAGAACGAAGAAUUUUGACAAGCUGCACAAGAGCGGAAGGCGCUGGUUUAAUGAGUUGCCGGCGGUUCUUUGGUCGAUCAGGACAACGCCAAAUCGAGCCACCGGCCAGACACCCUUUUCCCUAGUAUAUGGGGCAGAAGCAGUUCUCCCCAUGGAACUCAUGUACGGGUCACCUUGAGUGCUCGCUUAUGAUGAGCUUGAGCAAGAGCCGUUGCGGCAAGAUGACGCAAUGCUCCUUGAGGAAGAUCAUCUUCGAGCGGCUAUGAGAGCCGCAUGCUACCAGCAGGCCUUGCGCCGCUACCAUAGCCGCAAGGUCCAUGCCCGAAGCAUUGAUGAAGACGACCUUGUUCUUCGGCGCGUUCAGUCGGCCAAGAAUUCCAACAAGUUGACGCCGAAGUGGGAAGGCCCUUAUCGGGUAAUACAAGUCACCAGGCCUGGUGCAGUCCGCCUGGAGACUGAAGAUGCUGUCCCAGUGAGCAACUCCUGGAACAUCGAGCAUCUUCGCAAGUUUUACCCAUAAGGCGCGGCUUGCCGGGCCUCUCGGCAAGCCACCUUUUGUAUAAGCUUUGCCGGAAAGGCAUGUAACUCUCUGUACAAAGCCAGGCGCAGACCCUGAGCAUAAAUAAACGAAGCGUUGGCGCCCUAAGUUAUAGCGUGCAUGCUAGGUUGAGUCUCUCCCUCGGUUAGGGUUGAUAGUGCUUAGCGGGGACUAACCCCAAGCCUAGAGGUCGAGUAUGCGUCUUUCUUUCUCCUUUGGUUCGCAGGACAUGUGGACACUUCUCCUGAGUCGCUUGGGAGAAAGUGGACGGAUCGGUGCUCCGACCCCGGCAAGCCAGGAUUGCCGGGGGGCUGAAGACGCAAGGAUCCAACCACGACAAGCAAAGGUUGUCGGGGGCUGCGAAUUCAGAUAAGUCUUUCAUUCCCCUGUUAUGCAUUUUCGUAUGGGACUGAGACGUGUGAAACCUCGCUUAUUUUCUUAAAACCACCGUGCUCCCCUUUUCCCAUGCCCAAGAGCUAUCCCCUCGGUCGGAACUUGGUCGUAGUCGUGGUGGCAAGAGAAACAGAUGAGGGGCCUAACUCUACAUAGCCCCUGCCUUCGCCGAGAGCGUGAGAAUGGUUUGCUGAAGUGGGGGAACGGCAAGGCCUGUUGCCGGGCGACAAUGUUUAUAUUAAAAAUAACAAGGAUUCGUCCUUGGCAUGGGCCUCGCUCACGCACAAAGAGCCUGGCAAAUACCCUUUUUCAUUAAAAACGUCCCGUACAGGUACAGUUCGUAUGAAAUAAAAAACAUGAGCAAGGGGAUUACAAGUUUCAAAUCUAACAAAUGCCCACAGGCUUACAAACUGAAAAAAGAUAAGGUGCCCAUAAUCCCUUUCUUGUCCCUCUCCUCAGGAAAUGGAACAAGAUAACGGAAGGGCAGAAAGAGCGCCUAGGCGAGGCACGAGCAACAGAAGGCACCAGGAGAACAUCCCGGCGGCCAUCCCAGGGAGAGGCUGGUGAUGAUGAUGACGGGAGAAGAGCUGGAAAACGAGGCGGUAGGACCGGCAAUACGCGACGAAGGCAUGGGUGCCCGCAUACUCCGACUUGACGGCCCGCCACCCGCCUUCUUCGGGCCUCCUACGCCAGCCGCCCAAGGAGGCGACCCCGAGAAGUUCAAGGGACCCGGUGCAGAUGCUGCUACUGCUGACACCACCCCGGGACGGCGGGUCUGACACCUAGUCGGACCCGUCAUCCUCCCGCCUACUACCCUCGUCGUCGCUGUCGUUGUCCUCCUCGUCGCUCUCGCUCGAGGAGGAAUCUUCAUCGUCGAAGGAGCUCUCCACGCAGCACUUCAGGUGAGUGCCAAGAUCUCCGAAGACCAUGACGAAGAGCAGGCCGCCCUCCAUUAACUUGAAGUAGAGGACGAGCCCCACCGUCAGACUGUGGAUGCGGGCGAAUGUCUUCCAUCCGCUACGGAGAUACAUGACAUGAGGAGCGGGGAAGUUGACGUCGACCCGCGUGCCACCAGUCCCGUAGCCCCUCAUGUGCAACAUGAGGGUCUAGGGCGGAUCGAGCUCCAUCUCCUCUGCGAAAGGGGUGGGAAGACGGAUACGAUGAUGCGUUGGCCGGCACAGCCUGAUGAAGAACUCGUGGGGCCGGUCCCCGACGUGGCCCUCCACCGCGGGGGGCACCGCUGGCAGAGGCACGGCCACUGUGCCACCUCGUCGCCCUCUCCCCCGACCGCCGCGACGACCUCAGCCAUGCCCCCUCCCCCUUCCUCUUGUGGCUGGCUCCACCACCACGGGCUCAUGGGAAGGAGGGACGCAUUGAUAAGCAGCGACCCUUGCCGCCACCAUCGAAGGCUCAGCACCUCCUCUCGCCAUGGCAGGUGGAAGAAAGAAGCAAAGAUGAAGGAGGAUGAGUGCUGGAAGGAUGCAGGACGACACCCUCCCUCCCCCUCCUUAUAAAGGAGCGAGGUCGAGGCUCAGCCGCCCCACUCAGCCAAUCCAGCCGUCGGAGCUGCAGGGAAUCAGGACCGACCCGCCGCCCCAAUCAGCGACGGCCCGGUUUCCCGGCUCCGCCGCCCGCCACUUGCAUGAAGGACGCGUGGCAAACAUGCAGGGUCGAAAGGACGGGUGAGGCGACCAUUCCCCGCUUCGUGAUCGAGGUGGGGGGGCUUGGGCGCCUUGAAGACUGCGACUCGGGUCCAUCCAGUAAAUGAGCGGCGCCUCCACGCCUACCUCUUUUUAUGGGAAAGGCGCGAGCCGCCUCUUUACUGCGAUGUGAUGCAUGCGUGCGGGAACCGCCCCAUGCAUGCCACCCAUGUCACACACGCCCCCCCCCCCCACGUCGCGCGUUCAACGCGGGUCAUGGGGAAGCACAGCGGACGAAAAGUUACUGCGGUAAAAUAUGCCCCGCCUGCCCGUGCAACGUUUUGGGCCUGGCCCAACAACGUGUCACGCUUAUGUGUGGCCCAGGCCCAGGGGCUCCUCUCGGUGUACAAAAUUAGGGGCUCUCCUUUUGACCCCUUUACUUGUGCACGGGCAGUCAGAGCCACGCGCCGCGGCCGCACGUAGCAGGGCAAAGGAGGGAAGCCGGAGAGAAGCCGAAUCCCAACACAAGACGAUCAAGGCAACGCCAAGACCAGAAACACAAGACAGCAAAGGGGCGAGGUGGAGUCCCCCGACAACACACUUGCCGGGGCGGCCUCCGCGGCCCCAGCAAGAGCCUUACCGGGGCAACUUGCCCAAACACCAAUAGAGCGAACCACCCUUGAGCCCACAGGUUCCAACCCAACCAACCACAAUUGGGCCAGGGCUCGGGAGGCACCUCUGUGGUGGCAUGCAAAUCUUUAUCUAGACCACGGACAUAUGAGAUCAGAUGAGGACCAGAAGACGGCGACCCUCGGCGGGAUCCUUGCCGAGGAAAUCCACAAGACCCUCGGCAAGAUCCUUGCCGGGGACGACUGCGCGCCACAGCAAGACCCUUGCCGGGUCCCCGGCAAGGCCUUCACCGAGGACAUCAGCGGGGCCACUGCCAGGCCCGCACCAGCCAAGUUUCCAUCGCCGUUCGCGUGCAGCUGCCAGCCCAACCAGCUAGGCUGGCACCUACGUGGUGACAUGCAGCUUCCAGGCCAGGUCAGCAAGCUCCUGCAUGGCGGCAUGCAGAUCUUUGUGAAGACCCUACCACCGCGCCACCUCAGCUGCCUGCCUGCCUACAUGGCGUUGCAUGCACCGCUGGCCUGGGUGCGUGUCGAAGCGAGGAGGAGCGGCGACGGACGAUACGAGCCUCGCUCCCAUCCCCGAUAAAGCUAGGGGACACCUCAGUAGUGCAUUAAAUGCGUCUUGUCCUGUAAUACGGGCGAUAAGCUCGCAGUAAUGUGUGCCUUUCCACCUCAUGUGUGCCACUGUGGCAGCCCCUUUCGACUAUAAAAGGAGGCCCAUGGCGUACUGUAGGGGGAUUCAGCUCUUUUGAACGACGCAGCCACCAUAGCUAGUUGGAGAGCUCAAGAGCACUCAAUACAUCCACCAAAGCAGGACUAGGGUUUUACGCAUCCUCGCGGCCCGAACCUGGGUACACUACAAAAAAAUACACUUCCGUGAUGAUACGUGUUUGUCGCAGUAGGUCGCGUUUUUUGUCAUGCAUGUACAUCCAUGACGAUUUUAGGACAGAAUCAAGAUAGUCAUACCUGUGCUAUCGUAGAAGUGUUCCAUGACAUUACCAAAAUUAUCAUCACGGAAAUGUCCACUUCCAUGACGAUAAAUCACGCGUCACAGAAGUGCUUUCGUCAAGGAUGAUCGAUACGUGGCAUCCACCGUAACGGAACGUCGUUAAGCUAUCGGGUCGGAUUUUGGAUCCGAUAAUCCAUUAACAGCCCUGACCAAUGGGAAAUUUCCACAUGUAAAAUUUUGAUCGGCCGAAGGGAACACUUGUCAGCUUGUCAGUGGGCCAGAUGUUGCCCAUCCAUUGGAGGAGACAUGCCUAUGAGACGUCGACACGUGGCUGGGCCCAACAGAGGCCCAUAUAGGUUAAAAAGGCCGGUCCAGUCAAAGGCCCGUAGAACUUAAUCAGGUACUAGUGGGCCACCCAAUAACGGCCUGCUUAAUAAAGGCCCAUUUACGGCCCGAAGCCAGAUCUGGCCCGUUAAUUGUUUGUCCAAUAUUUGGGCCCAUUUACGGCCCAAAGCGAGAUCUGACCCGUUAAUUGUUCGCCCAAUAUUUGGGCCCAUUUGCGGCCCGAAGCCAGAUCUGGCCCGUUAAUUGUUCGCUGAAUAUUUGGGCCCAACUACAGCCCAGUGACUUUCGGCCUGUUAGAGGCCUGAUGUAGACAUGGGCCCAUUUUAGCCCGGUGUGACUUUCGGCCUGGGAAUGGCAUGUGCUGCCCAUUGGCCAUAUAUGGUCCGACGAGACAUCGGGCCCACUAACGGCCCGUGCUAAAGGUGGCAAUAGUUAAGCCCAACGUGACUUUGGGCCUGUUAAAGGCCUGUCGCGUAAUUCGGCCCGUUGAUGCCUGUGCUAAACUUUCGGCCUCUUAAAGGCCCAUGAUAUCAGUGGGCCAACUAAGGCCCAAGAUAUGUUAAGGCCUGGUAACGGCCCGUGAGCUAACUGGGCCCAAAACGGCCCGGUCUACAUUUCGGCCUGCUGAAGGCCCGUCGACGACUAGUGAAAAUUGAGGCCCAACAUGCAUUUUGGCCUGCUAAAGGCCCGUGGUUUCAUCUCGGCCGUAACAGGCCAGUACAAUAUUCAGCCUGUUAAUGGCCCAACGCUACCUGGGCCAAACUAAGCGUUGGGUCGACAAAAGGCCCAACUAAAAUAUAGGCCAGUGUAAGUUUGGGCCUGGCGCAAUGUGUGAAGGCCCCAAUCAUUCGGGCCCAAGAAAGACGGAGGCCGGCCCAAUUGUGGCCCGCUAAAAACCUGGCCCGUUAGAGUCGAAUGUUUCGGUCUGGUCGACUACAUAUGAUUUUUUUUAAAUAGCGAAUGAUGGCAGUAACUAGUAGGAAUUAAGAGCAAACCUACUCUAUACAAUAAAGAAAUUACGGCAUAGUAACUAUGAAUAAACCUACACUAUACAAUAAAGGAUUUAAGGUAUAUUACAUCCACUGGGCAUCGAAGUUCGCCACCAGUGAUCAUAAAGCGCAACGAAGAAGCAGAUUACAAAAACUGGGCACCAUUGAAGCGUAACAAAAUAAUACUGAACCGAGACCACUUCCAAGACAGUUCAAGAAAGGUUAGCCUUGCGGGGGAACUGCUGCGCAAGCUGUUGAGCAAGGCUGUGAGAACGGCCUAGCAUGUUGGUCAUAGCUUCCAGGUGUAGCUGUUUAGCGAUGAGGUUCUCAUUGGUGUUCUCCGCAAUCUUUCUUAGAGAUAGGACUUCAAGUCGAAGUUGAGUUGCAGAAUGCCUUUCUGCUAGAACUUGGGACUGAAGAAGUCGAACUGAUUCAGACAAAGAAUUCUGUGAGCUUGUCUGACUAUUAGUCUCAAGUAACUUGAACACUGCAUCAAGACAAGACUUUGGGGUUGUCUCGCUAUCUUCAAGAUGUUUUGCCUUCUUUGCUGCAAUAUAUGUUGGGUUUGUCUCACAACCUUCAGCAGACUUGUGCAUGCCAUCAGGCAUAUCACCCUGAAACAAAGCAGAGAGAUGAUAGGUUUUGCACGUGUAUAAACAAAGAUGAUAACUAUUCUGUCAAUUCUAUACAAUUUCAAAUUAGAAAAUAAAGAGUAAGCUCAAAAUAUCAAUAGCAUAAUUUGGCAUUUUUCAUAAUGCGGGGAGCUUCACCACACUACUGGAUUACCAUGUCAACAUAACAAACAUAGAUGAAGGGCAAAGAAAAUCAUUGUAUCUAUUUUGGAUAAUGUGCAUGGCAUGUUGUUCAUAUCAUCAGCCACAUCAGUAAGAUAAAACAGGAGAUGACAAGGUGCAAACGUGGCCUACUUCACCACACACUAGAUUAUAGAUCCACAAAAACAACCAUACAUAUAGGGAGUAUUAAGUAAUGUGCACGGUAUGAAUAAGGAAUUUGGUUUUACAAGUAAAACUUAGAACUUACAGUUCUUACAAACAUGCAUUUUGGUAGAAACAGCAAACUAAACAGCGGUAAACGAUAGGGAGUAUGAGCAAAUUAAACAGCAGUUGAGGAUAAAGGCUUUAGAAGGACUGACUUACAUUAACAGUUAACACCGGCUUUAUAAUGCCCUUCUCCAUGUCAAGGGAAGGAUAACUCAAGAAUUUCGGCACAUAAUCUUCUUCAUAAGCAUUGCAUGUACUCUACAUUUUGUAGAGAGUAAUUAUAGAUAUGAUAAUACUGGAAGGGAUAGAGGAUAAUGAAGAUAAGAUGCAGAUUGAUGCUACAUAAUCAACUACCAAUCCCUGGAAGUACAAGCGUUGCAGGACAAAAUGUACUGACAAGAGCAAUGGGCUACACUUCUGCACUGGCAUUGUCUGUGUAUUCUACUUGUUGGUAAGAUUAAAUAUAGAUCUGAUCUUUCUUAGUAAAUGGUGGGCAAGGGAGAUAAGAUGUAGAAUGCUACAAAAUGAACCAAUCCCUCUUCCCAUAAUACAAGAGUGUUUUGAACACUGGUGUACUGUACAAAACGUUCUUAUAUUAUGGGACGGAGGGAGUAGCUGUUAAUGUAAGUACAGUGAUAGACCGCGUUCAGUCCUUACAAGAGGACUGCAGAGCUAAACCUCUUCAAAAGCAUUGUGUUGAUUCUAAAUUUAUGUAAGAGUCCAUACGAAUCUUAUAAUGUCCACCAAAUGGACGAUUACGAGGCUAACAUGUGCAGUGAUGCUACAUAAUCAAACAACUACGAAAGUAAGUAUGGUCAUACAGGGAAAGAGGUACUCACAAGAGCAAUGCAGUGUGCAGUAUAGUUGCGAGAUUAUGUGGUCCCUUGAGAAUGAAUGUUCUUCUGCUAACAGUUUUCAUACAAGUGAGACAUUAAGGAAAAUGCAGAAAUGUAGUUCAAAUUGUGAUGAGAUAUCAUAGACAGUACCUUACGCUGCAACCAAGACCAAUGUGUAACAAGAUUAUUCCAGUCACCGUCGGAUAAAUGUAGCACCGGAGACUUUACAGAAAUUUCGUUCAGAGGCUUGCCAUCGAAGUGUGCUUGCCUCAGGUAGGAACGAUACUUCAUCAACAAGUGCUUGAAAAGCGCAACCAACCCUUGCUCGUCGUCACAAUCCAGUUUGCUCCUCACCUAUUUAAAAGAAUGAAAUCUUGUGUCUUCUGUUAGCAGAAACAUAUGCAGUAAUGACCAUGAAUAACAUUAGUACAUUACUUACGCGUAAGUUGCGAGGAAGACUGGAAAUUGUUCUGUGUCUACGGUAUAAUCUUUCCAUGAAGGAAAGAUGCGCACAAAGUUCCUGACAACAACAUAAGCUUCGUCUUCUAAACUGGGAAUAAAUGGAACAGGGGUCCUAUUUGCUGCAAUUGGGGCUCUCUCUGGUUCGAAAAUGGAUUUGGCAACUGGAUUUGGUGUACUCUUUGCUGGAAUGGGGGUUUUGCAUCGUACAGCUGGUGCUAUGUCAACUGGCAUAAUGAUACUGUUUGCUGCAGUUGGGGUCUGCUGAGUUGGGGCAUCAAAAAUGACCAGUGUAGUAGGGCUAGAGUCUGCUAGAGUUGGGGUAUUUUGUGGGUCGGGUGAUAUUGCAACUACGCCUAAUGGGAUAUUUGAUUUAUCAGGUGCCACUACCUUUUCCAAAUACUUUGCUUGUGCUCCUCCACGAUCAGCAAUCGCCCUCUUCCUUUUGAACGUCUGAUACACAAGAACAACAUUUGAAUGGAUAAAUAUGGUAUGAUGACAGAUGGAAUAUGUACUGAAAAUGGAUAGGCAGGGCGUAUUCACAUACACGAUGUGUAAACUAAGCUAAUGGCAAUUCAACAAAGUAGAAGCAAUGCAAAGCAUUAGUUGCAAGAUAUGUGCGAGCAAUGUCACCUUGGAAAGUUAGAGCAAGUACAUUGAUGGGUGAAUAAGAUAGGGCAUCUUCCUCUGACUCCUCCACUCGGGAGCUACAUUGACUUAGGUCUACCUCUAGCUCAGAAUCACUGUUAGGAUCAUAUUCUGAGCAUGAAUCUGUAGGUGGCUGGAAAGUGUGCACCUAGUUUGAGUCAUCCAGGUUGGCCCAUGCUAGUUUUGUUCGUCCCAAUGCACGAGCAGGCAAUGUAAAAAAUGAAGAAAAAUGUUUCAAUUUGGAUGGGCCAAUAACAUAAGUGCAAGGCAGGCCCUAUAGUAGGCUUGCGGCCCAAACAAGCGCCUCCCAUAUCGAUCGACAGCAGGAAAAAUCCCAAUUCAUUCGCUCCAGCCUCCAGUCUGGUUCGCUCCUAACCUAGCCGCCGCUGGACAAACUGACACAGCACUUCCUCGCGCCCUCAUCGGAGGGCGGUCACCAGGCUUCAAGCGAACGGAAGGACAAGAAGAUGAAGAUCCAACCCUGGGUGUAGCCUGCAUGGGAGGCAGCGGCGGCAGCACGGGCAUGGCAUCAAGCUUGCGCAAACGGACAGUCGUAGCUUGCAAGAGUAGCAUGCGCAACGAGCAGGUACAUCACACCCCUGAUUAUAUCUAAUUCAACUCUUCAAUUUCUAGCCAAUAGUUAAACCUGACGAUGUUGUAAAACUGCUUGUAUGUAGGGAAUCUAUGAGAAAAUGAAACCAAUUUCUACUUAUUUUAUAACUCCCCCAAUCAAUACUGAACUGGCUGAAUCUGAUGUAUCUAAUCAAGUUUCCGGUGCAAACAUACUAGCUCAUGUUGUUCUUGAGCCUGAAGUGUCUAAUGAACAGACUGCUAAUGAAGGAUUUGAUGCAAACAUUUUACAUGCUCCUUGCUCCUGGUGAUGAACAUAUAGUGUCUAAUGAGGGAUCUAAUGCAAGCAUUUUGCAAGCUCAUUGAAGGAUUUAGUGUCUAAUGAUGAUCUACUAUGUUGAGAGAGACAGAGAUUUGCAGGCCUUGAUGACAGGCAAAUUAUAGUGCAUUUUCAUAGCUUGAGAAAACGUCGAGGCCAUCUACUAGAAAGUCCCCGUAUCAUGACAACAUAGCAUAAAUACUUCUCUAAUAUGUUGUUUGAAACUAUUGGCAUACUUGUGCAGGAUAGAUAUAUUUAUAUGCAGUUUGCGCACUAGUUAUACGUGCAAUUACACUUCGAUAUUUUCAGCCAGAGAACGAAUAAUUCAAGCAGGUACAGACCAGGUUUGCAGUCCUUGUACACCAUGUUGCAUUUUGUGUUUUUUGGUGCUUGCAUCAUUUAGUGUUUAUAAUCUGAACUACUUUGGAUCAUUAGCUGGUUUUCAAAGUGCAUGUAGCUUCACAUUUCUCUAGUUAUGUUGAUUUCCGGAGUGCAAGUGCCUUCAUAUUUUUUAAGUUAAAUGUUGGCCCCUGGUAACUUGAAUUCAUGGAUCAGCCACUGCACACAAAUCAUACACGAAUGCCAGUAUGAAUUAAAUGAAAUGCAGGGACUUACGCUAGCUCAUUGUACAGGCUCACUGCAGCUCUGCUUGCACUUGGGAGGUUCCAUGUACAAGUACAUGUUACCACUUGCUUGGAUGUGCAGGCCUUGUGCUCCUUGCAUCCCCCUCUGCAUUUUUGACACGGUGAAUGGUUGAUCAAAUAAGAGGAAUCGACCUUGAUGUUGUACCGAAGGACAGAUACUUACAAGGUUAUACGGGUGUGUAGGAUGUGUACCAGAUCCCGUAGCACCAUCAUGCUUCGCUAAAAAAUGGAUUUGCUUGUUUCAGAUGAUAUCUCCAGAAGAAAUAAGAGUUAAAGUCAGACUUGCAUAGGCGUGUAAGCUAAGAGAGCAAUGAAAGGAUAUCCAAACAUCGUCGGAAUAGUGCACAAGGGAGUGAUGUGUGGAUACCUAGUUCGGGACGGCGUUUGGGCAUGCUCGCCUAGCUAGAGUGCAGGUCACUUUAGAGCCGUUGAGGGUGAUGCGCUGGCGUUGGCUGGCCGCGCACGGAUGCAGAUCUUGAGUGGCAGCGGAGCGCUACGAUGCGGUGGACGAGACCGUUGGUGAAGCCCCAAUGGCCUCGGGGGCGGAGGUGCGACGAUGUGCUCGGUGAAGUAGCCCGAGUGAGCUGGGAGACGGCGUCGGUGAAGCGCACUUGAUGCGGUGGAAAUCGGUGUCUGUGAGGCAUGUCGAUUGCGGCGACCGACGUUGUCGGUGGACCACCCAGUGUGGUGGACGAGGGCGUACAUGAGGUAGAUCCGGUGCGGUGGUGAAGCGCGACCGUCGUCUUCGUUGUCGUCAUCCAGCACAGAUGUGGGGAACGGUGGGGAAAGAGAUGAGACAAGGGGCGAUUCGAGGGUUGGCGGCGAAUUAGGGAUUUGAGCAAUAUGGGCACGGAAGCGGACGGUGGAGAAGAUAGAUUUUGCAGGGCUAGAAUUGGGGCCGCCAGAUAUUUCAAUCUGAAACAUGGAAGUGCAAACUUAUAUUGUCGUCGUCCUUUUGGGGGGAGUGGGGUGGGUGGCUGGGUGCUAUGCGUCCGUCCGACACACGCGACCACCCCGACAGGACUAUGCUUCGGUGCCUUAAGGCACCUGCCUUUGUGUCCAUGACAUGUCGGCCCAACAGGUGGUUGGCCCACAUGUUAGUGACCCAAAGGCAGUUGCCUUUAAGGCACCGAAGCAGCGUCCACCCCGACACGACCCUAGUCUGCCUGGUGCGCCUACAUUUGAGAAUGCAAACGAAUCUUCUUUCAUUUGCAAACGAAUCUGUAUGUAUUACCAUGCCCGUGUUUUCCUUGCAAUAAUUAGUCAUUCGAAAUGAGAUACUCCAUCCGUUCACUUUUGUAAGUCAUUUCAGACAACUUAAAAUGAACUAUUUUGCACAUUGUCUGAAAUGUCUUCAAGGUCUUAUAAAAGUGAACAGAGGGAGUACUAUAAAUUAAUUAAUGAGGAGUUAUUUGAAAAAAAAUCGAAACGGUACCCACGCUAACGUGGAUUAGAGUGUGUGUCACAUAAUUAGUUAUUCGAAUUAGAGUGUGUGUCACGUAGUUAGUUAUUUGAAUUAGAGUGUGUGUCAAGUAGCAAUCUCCAAUUCUAACGUGGAUUUCACAUUUCAUUGUAUCCACGCUACUUUUUUAAUACAAAUUCAUAUGUAUAUGAUGAACACCAUGGUAGUGAGAAAACUUUUGGAUCGAUUCAAACAUAUGACCUAAAAAAUAGCACAACAAACUAAGUCAAUGUCAACUUUUUGAAACUUAUUAUGGCACGAAUUCGAAAUAAUUACCCGUAUGCCUGGUCCUCGGUUCAAAUCUUACAAUGUACACCGAAUUGAAACAUCGAUAUUAAGUCUCAUAGUAUGUACAUUCAAAUGUUGUUUUUAGCCCCCCCCCCACCGCACAAAUGCUACAUACUUCUUGUAUCGGUCAAUCUUCCUCUCCUAACCACCUUAGGAAGCUAUCGGUUUCCAACACACGUUCAUUCUUUCUCUCCAUGUUUCGAUCUCUAAGUCUCUCAACUACACAAUACCUUUUUCCACUCUGUUACCAAAUGUAUUUACCUCACACACCCGCCAUUGCACCCCAUGCCGAGCUCUCUCUCCCCCCCCUCUCCCUCUCACUCUCUCGCGCUAAAUACAUGCAUUGCCUAUCUAGCCCCCCAACCUCUCGUGCGCACGCACGCACGUUGUAUAUCUAGGUCACUCCCUCGAGACUGUCUCACUCUUUCUUCCGCACGGCGGGCCACACUCGCUCAAUCUCGCUCUCUUUAUCUAAGUCUCAUUUAACCUUGUUUUCUUUCACACACAAAUGAUAUAUCUCCCUGUUCGGGCCUCGAUUGACACACUCUAUACUCUCUCAUGCAGAUUGUCUAUCUAGGUCAGUCCACCCAAGCCACUGCCACUCUUUCGACCUCAUGGUGGGCCACGCUCACUCAAUCUCUCUCUCUCUCUCUCUCUCUCUCUCCGUAUGUCUCGAUUGACCUCGCUCUUUCUCGGACAAAAACGAUAUAUCACCAUGUUUGAGCCCAAUUUGACCUAUUCACAUUGUAUACUCUCCCACGCACAUCAUCUAUCUAGGUCACUCUCUCCAACCCGUCUCACUCUUUCAAUCGCACGGCGAUGCUAUGUGAUCGGUUGACCUUGCUUACUCCCACGCACAAAAUAUAUCUACACGUCUGUGACUGGAUCAUCUCUCAAGCUCUAUCUUACAGCCCUCACCCUUGCCAAAAAGCUCAAUCGGACAAUAUCUCUCCAGAGCAUAUAUAUUUGUUCAAUGAAUGUCGGACCACACUCACUUUGUCUCUCUAUCUAUAUGCCUCUCGAUUGACCUCGCUUUCUCACACCAUAUCUUCCACGCAUUGAAGCUAUUAUCUCUCCAUCCCUCGCAAAGUCGGAGUUAUCUACAUUGCGAGGGGCACUCCAACCUUGGAUUAAUUUGUGUAGGCAUUUAUUCCGGUCGGUUUAGAUUAUAUUUUCGUAGCAUUCGGCCCACAACUACUCCAAACACCAUUGCAACCCACGCAACUCUCCUAGAUGAUUUCCCUCUGGCUCGGUCAUCGCUCUCUCACACGUCCUUUCUCGCCUUCAACGUUGCACCAUGGUAUUAUUGAAAAAACUAUGUUGUUCUCUUUAAUUAUUAUAAAUAAGCUACAAAACUACACACCGAUAGUCCACUUGGAAUGGAACAAAUACCCACAAAUUAAAGUGCUACAAACUACACACUGAGGGGACCACAUGUCAUGAAACAAAUUUGGACCCAUAUACAAAUUAAAAAAAAUAAAGGACAAGGAUCAAACAUGCGACCGGGCCUUCAAGCCGCACGUCAAUAGGCAACAUACGUAGAAUAGCAAUGUUUGUUGUACCCCCUUUGUUCACAUAAUGUUUUUAUAUUACCACAGCCUAAUUAAUGGAUAACAUGUAAUAUUAUUUUUAGUACUAUUCGCCUUCACUUACUGGUGGGUUCCAUGUGUGCUCUCUCUCUCUCUCCUCCCCAUCUGCGUUUAGACGCAUGGCCAAACAGGAAGAACUCGCGGGCGAUGUUGCCGUUGACCAUAUCUAGACGCGUUCACAAGUCAUGGCACCAGUUUCACGUACUAGCAGCACUAGUCAGUGUGUACGUGCAAUGCACGUUAAUUUGGAAGUAUAUUAAGUGCAUGCGGAUAUUAACUACUAGGAUAUUAUUUGUGUGUUGUCAUGUGAUUAGCAUUAUUUUUGGCAUGAAAUUAACUGCACGCUAAACAUGUUGAGCACUCGACAUUGAAGCAGUCUAGGUCGUUGGAUUACAAGGAAUACAUGUGGCUUGAUGACAUUUUAUAUUUAAUUUGAUACGGCUCUAGCAGAACAUUCAAUCGAUCAAACCAUACAUUUCGUUCAGUCUGACUCCGACUUUAAAUUAUACGACGAUCGAUAUAAAAUAAACGGAAGUGAUAAACGUUCGGAUUUUAAGCAUGGCAACCCGAACGUUUUUCAUGGCAAAUUUAGAUUACGCGGCGGCGGCGGGGGUGUCUCGCGAUGGGAAGCGGCUCCUCUGUCGUGCUCUGUGUGUCUUCGGGCCACUGACCGACAGCAACGGCGGUGUCUUGCAUCGUUGUUGGCGUACUACUGGACGUUGGCCUAGCUUCAAGGAAGGCCAAAAUGUUCUGGACUUCGGAGCGAGUCAACUGGCGGGAGGAGUCGACUGGCGUUGGUGCAAGGAAGCGGUCGAUGGCGGCCAUCCAUGCCGCUGAGGGGGGCACUGGCACCCGCGCGGGGACAUGCGCUGUCAACGGUGCGACGGAGACAUUCGUGUGCACGGGCACCGGCAUGGGCGCGCACGUCAGUGCACGCGCAGGCGCAUGCGCUGGUAGGUGCACGGGCACCGGCACGGGCGUGCGCGUUAGUGCACACGCAGGCGCAUGCGCUGGUAGGUGCACGGGCGCGUAAAAGUCGGCGGGACCUCGUGGAACCCCGUGGGAUCAAGCUCGGUGACAAUGUGCGGCUCCCAGCCCAUCAAUGCCACGGGGAUGGGCGCUGGCGCAGUCGGGGCGACGGGAGCCGGAACGGGAGCGGGGACAGGCGCGGCGUCUUCCCGCAAGGCCAGUUCAAGCUUGUCCCAAAGCGCCUUAUGUUCGUGAGACUCUGGCUGGGUGUCUUCCUCAGGAAACUGGAAUGGCAGACCAUCGUAAUGCGGCAUGGCGUACGUUUAGGUCAGGCUAGUUGGAGGUAGACGACGAGAGAAUCGGAGAGGAAGAGAGAGGAUUGUAGCGAUACCGGGUAGUGCGAGGUUGAUUUUAAACUGCGGCGCCAGCGACAUUAUAAGUGGGAGCAGUUGGGACGACGGUGGGCGGUGGAGCCUGGUCAAAGGGCUCGCCUCCCGGUGAGCCUGCACAGCUGUCUGCUCGCACGCCUCCCUGAUAGCCGGUGCAGCGAUCUACUCGCACGCCUCCCGUCGACUCACACGCUUGCUCGGACGGCACCUGUCGAUGAGAAGCGGGGACUCGUGGAGGCACGUAAACGCCCACGGUUUCAAUAGUGAAAGCGUUCGCCUUAACGUAACAGGUCUUUGUUACAAAAUACCUUGGCUCUUCAUUUGUGCAACUUGUCAUAAGCAGCUUGUCUCAAAUUGAAGAAAAAACUUACGAAGUAAUAUUUGUGCCAUAUCACAUGACCAUGCUUAGUUUCAAGAAUUUAUGCUCACUUUUGGAUUUUCUGAAAUUUAAGAUCCAGGAUUCGAAACAAUAUCAUAACCUGCAUCAUGCAAUAAUUUUUCAAGCCGUACAUCUGUCCUGUUGUAUUUCUUAAGAAAGGAUUUGGUCAAACAUUUUACUUAGUUAGACUUCAGACAAGUUAUAUAUGCAGAGUAAAAGGAUAAUCCCUCCGUACCAGUGCAUUGCCUGAGAUAUUAACUCAAGUACUAGGCACAAACAAACGGGCUCAAUUCUGUGCUCAUCCUGGUGUAGUAGUAGUAGUAGUAGUAGUAGGCAAUGCAGUUGACAGGUAACCUUAACGAGCGGUGACCGAGGGAAUUGAACCGUGCUCGGCACGGUAGGUAACGUUGUCUAGUUACUAAAGCAUCCCUCCGUUGUUCAUCGGUAGUCAUUAUGGACCGGGGACAUGAGGGGAAUUUCCUAGGGCUGGAAUUCUGGCCGCCAGAUAUUUCGACUUGAAACGCUGAGGCUCGACUGGUUGGGGUUGCCUAAUGUGCGUACCACGCACGCCACCGAAGGACACGAGCCCGGUUUUUUUAGGAUCAACACGAGCCAAGGUUUGGCUGGUACGGCGUUGGGUCCUACCAUUCGAGAAUAUGAAAGGAACCUUUUAAAUUGCCGAACGAAUCUAUGUGUAUUACAAUACCUGUAUUUUCCUUGCAAAUACUAAUCUCAAUGUGGUAAUUGAUUUAUGACGAGUGAUUGAAUUAGAGUGAGUUUGUGAUAUAGUGAUCUCAACGUGGAUUUCACAUUUCAUGGUAUCCCUAGUAAGUUUUCCAAUGCAAAUUCAAAUUUGAAAGAUGAACAAUAUGGAGGUGAGAAAACUUUGUAUAUAUCAAGCAUAUGACCACACACACAUAGAGAGAGAGAGACACACACACGCACGAACACAACAAGAAUCCAAUAAGUAUAGUGCAUCUAUUUUUCCAAACCAUGCAUGUAUGACACGAAUUCAAAAAUACUCCUUCUAUUCCUAAAUAUUAGUCUUUUAGAGAGUUCAACAAGUGACUACAUACGGAGCAAAAUAAGUGAAUCUAGACUAUAAAAUAUGUCUAUAUACAUCCGUAUGUGCCAGUCCAUUUGAAGCCUCUAAAAAGACUAAUAUUUAGGAACGAAGGGAGUAAAAUGUAAGACAUCCAUGGUCCUCGGUUCAAUAUUUAAAAUGAACAUGAAACUUAAACAUGAAUAUUAAGUCUAGUACUACAAUACAUGCAAAUGUUGUGUUUAGGCGGAGCUAUGAUUGUUGGGGGUCAACCCCUCGACCUUAGAUAAAAUUGUGGAGCUUUGUUUAGGGUUGUUUAGAUUAUAUUUGUCCCCACCCUCCCAACCACCGAUUGGUUGUGCAUCCCCCACCCCUCCUCCCCGGGAGAAUAUCAUGUGCCCCCAUACCUUAGAUGCUAUAUGCCGAUAUGAGUUGCUUGGAGCUUGUAGAUCUGAGAUAUAGCAGCUCACAUGAUGUGUACUAAUAUUUUUGCAGGAAACCUUGAUGAGUUUGAGAAUUUCACACAAUUUGUACAAAAACUACUUAGAUGCCCUUUGAUCCCAUAUCCAACGACCUCAAAGCUCGUAUCACCGUAGCAUCUAAGAUGAAGGAGGACAUCGUAUUCUCCUGUAUGUAAGAAUAUCAUGUGCUACCACACCUUAGAUGCCUUGGUGAUACAAGCUCUUCGGAGGCAUUGGAUUUGUGACCCAACACCUCCUCGGUGGUUCGAAUGGUUUUUUGCAGAAAAGCCCCAAAAGAGUUCGGCCACUGCUUACAAGCACAAAGACUGCUCAGAUGCCAUUGGAUCUCAGAUCGAACGACCUCCAAGCUCAUAUCACCGUAGCAUCCAAGCUACGAUAGCACCUUAUGUUUUCUCGCACGGGAGAGUAUGAGGUGCUCCUACACCGUAGAUUCUUCACUGAGAUCUAAUGGUCCAGAGUAGGAGGUUUGAAUGUUUUUGCAAUAUACGGCUGAUAGAGUUUGCGAAAUGCGCAGAAAGUACAAGUACUACGCAUGUGCCAUCUGAUCACUGAUCAUACGACCUAGAUGCUCAUAUCACCGUAGCGGGUAAUUAAGCUACGGGGAGCACCUAAUAUGAGAACCGGGGAGCCGUUGGAUCGAAGAUGCAGUGGCACACACGAGGCCUGAAUGUUUUAUUUGCAAAAAAACCUUUGGAGAGUUUGGAAAUUGCGAAUAAUUGCAAAGACUACUCCCAAGCCAUUGGAUCUCACUUCCAAUGGUGUAAAAACUCGUAUCACCAUAGUAUCUCAGCUGCGGGGUGGAUGUGAUAUUCUAUGCCACUUUAAUUUUUGUUCAUAAACUUGCAAAAUACGUGUAACUCGUGUCGUUACUUGUCUAACCGCGCAAAGUGUUUGUUCAAAAAAACCAUCCUACACUGAAAUAUCAGAACAACACACGGGGGUCCCACUUGUCAUUAAUCAAAUUUGGACCUAAAACUAACAAAUCUGAAAGACGAGAUUCGAAGUGGCAACCUAGACUACAAAGUGUAAGUCGAUAGCCUGAAAAAACGAAUGGUUGUUGGCUUUGUCCCAUAACUUGAUUUUAUACAGUACUUGCGUUGAGUAGAGUAGAGGGAGUGCCUCAUCAACAUGUGCAUGACCGUUGUCUCACUUACUGGUGGGUCCCAGGUUUGCGAUCUCAAUCUCUCUUCUCUCAAUCGUCUAACCUUUGCACGGGCACACACAAAGAGCGGCGCUAGCUUGCCGUGGUGUUAUUACAACUAAAAAAACUUGGAAAAUAGAAGAAUCGCCUAGAACAAGAGACGUUGUGGCUGGUCGAGACGGAGCUAACCACAUCUAUCCUCCGUGCCAUGUUUGCAUGAUGAAGCUGUGUGGCUUGUGGGGUGUUCUCGACCGACUGGCUAGGUCCCAAGGUCAAACCAUAGGUACUACGUCUGAUACAGUAUAUUUUUACAUGCACAUUUUUCCUCCGUGCCGAGAUGUGGCACACCCUACCGCACGGUUUUGGGGUCCUCCCGGGUGGUGCACGCAUAUAUUCUUCCUGACGUGGGACGCCCUACCGCGCGUUUUCUGGGUCCUCCUCGGUCGUAGCGCCGAAGCAAGUAAAUGAGUCGUCAAAUCAUGAAAGACCACCUUUCCCGCCGAGUACAUCAGUGAAGCACGGUGUCUAGCUAGUUGGGCUAGUUCGAUCGAUUAGCUAGGCCGCCGCUACAUUUGUUUUUUCACCCCUUUUUUUAUCUACUUGUCGGCAGGUAAAUUUAAAUAUCCACCACGGCAUUGCUCUGGUGUUUGGGUGUGGCAGGAUUUUUAAUUUUUUGAUUGAUGGGAGCAGACGUGGCAGGAUUUUUAAUUUUUUGAUUGACGGGAGCAGGCACGGUAGAAAUUAGUCGUGAUGACUCCGCCUGUAAAAACCCACUGCUCCCUGAUGUGAGAAGUCGUCGACUGGUGUUUUACCGUGGUGAAAACCAAAAGAUUCCCCGCUCCCUCCGCCUUCCCGUAGAUUGCAUUGCCUUUCAGCCAUUUCGCCCCCUUUGCUUCCUCUCCCCAUUGCUUCUACCUGGUGCCAUGGCGGCGCAGCAGAUCACGGAGUCUGAGGUGAGGCUCCUGACAUAGGAGCUCCAUGCCAAGGAUGCGGAGCUUAGGGCCAAGGACGUGGAGCUCCGUGAGCCCAAGCAGGAGAGGAGUAACAUGCUCCUCCGUUAUGUGCGGGAGUUCACGGAGCUUCAAAAGCGGCAGGCGUCCACCACAAAGAUGCUCGAGGUGUCGGCGGUGUUGCUGCAGAAAGCGGGAGAUACGAUAGGCCGUCAGGGGAGCCGGCUAGAGCACAAGCGGGCCGAUUGUGACGAGGUCCAGGAUCACCUCAGCCACUUGGUGAACCAAGUUGCCAUGCACGUGUUGCGGCUGUGCGAUGCCUACUGUCGUGCCAGCGUGACGAUGCCGGCCGUCGGGCUAAACCCGUUCGACCACCCGGUCGACUUCAACAAGCUGCGGCUUCCUGACCUGGUCUCCUUCUUCACCUAUAUAUCCGAGGAGCUGAGCCGUCUCUGCGUGAUUGUGGGGGCUGAGCUAGACAAGGAGGGUUUGCAGGCUGCCGUCGCCAUUGCCGGGCGAAUCCUUUCAGGGCUCCAUCACCGGAAUCCAUUCGUGCCAUUGGACGCCGUCUUUGAUGAGCUGGCUCCCGUCGACCGGGAGCGGGCGCUGCGGGAGGUUGCACCCUGCAUCACCAACGUCCUGCGCCUCGAGAAGCAAAGGGACUUCGGUGGUGUUUAGAUACCCUCUGCAUGGGCAUGUCCAUGUCUCGGCACAACAUGACCGUUGGAUCAAACUCAGACGAUGCAGAUCACUCACUGUAGCACAAAGCGUGUGGGUGUGUUUGGUUGCAUUCUCAUCUCAAUAUAGUUGUUUCUUCUUCGUGUAUUUUUGUCAACAUACUAGUGUGGACUCAUGCACCCUUCAUGCACUCUCCCAAACACCCAAAAGUGGGUCGAGAAGGGAACUUUUGCUCCCAUCCCGUGCACCCUUCAUACACCCUGCCUAACACUAUUCGUGCUUCAUAUGUUUCAUGUUUCGUGGAGUACUGUAGCACCGUACUCUCCAUGCGCUAUGGACCUAGUUCUAUUAACAUUGAUCUCACCAUACAUUCUCGACCAGACAGUCGAAAAAGCGGUACUAUGUUACAUAUAGGAGUAGUUGACAUGCGCACAACAUCAUUUGUUAUCUUCAUAUCUUACUACACUAGCAACAGGAUUGUGUAGUACUGACGUAUGAACCACUGCACAUGCCUAGUAGUAGGAGCACUGUGUAUGUUCAAGUGGCUGCCGUGUUUCGCACUCGUCCGUCGUAAGAGUGGAAACGCUUGCUGUAAUCAUUUUUUUCUUCAGAAAAAUAGUGGACACGCUCUACCGUGCGGAUCCUCCUCCAGCCAUGCACUAAAUUACUCACUUUCGCCGACGUGUGGGACAGGCAGCACCUGGGUCCACCAGCCAUGCACUAAAUUACUCCAUAGUAGAGUGAUGGUAGACUACCCCGAUCGAACCGCCGCAGUAAUGCCCAAUGAGCCGUCAAAUCACAAAACCCCCUCCUUUCCAGCAGUAAGUUGGAUGGACGAAGCAACCAUCAUUUCACUCUUCUCUCUCAGCUUCCUCUCUUGAGGAAAACCCCCAGUCGCUUCGCUUCUCCCACAUCUCGUUCCUCAUUUCACUCUUCUCUCUCAGCUUCCUCUCUUGGAUGGACGCCGGAGCACCGGCCGACGUGAUGUCUAUGGCUCUGGACAAAACCGUCGAGGCUCAUGGUACGAAGAAGCGCAAGCACCCCGCCGAGACUACCGCAGACAAUCUCAAAGCCAUCGCCCUGUCCAAGCCCCCCUCUCAGGGAUCCCUCAUUAAGCAAGUCCAGGUAAUGUCUCUUGUUGAUGAUAUUUUUCUCGAUCUUGAUCGUGUUUUUUCAUCUAGCACACAGUACUAGUACUGGUAGUACAACUUUCUGGGUGAUCUUGCAUGUGAUUUUAGUGUGCCAAAUGACGGUUCUAAAUUCCUCUCUUGACAAAAACAUGCGAGAGGUUGACACCGAUUUCUUAUAGAUUACUUUCAACUACUCCCUCUGUCUCAAAUUUCUUGUCUAAGAUUUGUCUAGAUACGGAUGUAUCUAAAACUAAAAUGUGACUUGAUACAUCCGUAUCUAGACAAAUCUAAGACAAGAAUUUUGGGACGGAGGGAGUACUUUAUGAACAUCAAUGCUACCUUUUAAGAGGGUAUAUUUGCCUUAGUAACUUGUGUUAUGGAUAUUGCAUGUAAUCCCUCUGCUCUCAUGCCUUUGAAGACAUGUUCUAGUGUCUUUGUCACUCAUUUCUGUGCGUAUAUGUAGUCAUAUAUGGAGUAUAAUAUCGAAAAUCAUCUUAUAUUUCUGAACGGAGGUAGUAAUAAAAUAUGGUUUCUGUUUGAAUUAGAACUAGGUCCGCGGUGGAGAUGAAGUUCUCAAAGUCAUGCCGUGUGAACUGGAAGACCUGAUGAUGAGUUCUACUGCUGAACUAUCCAGCUGUUGUGUCCUUGUCACCAUGUGUCCUGAACUAGUGUUUUCCUGUAGCAUUGUUGUCAGGCGUGUUCUCGAGGUUGUACUUGACCACAACAAUUUCCUGGCUGUGCCUUCAAAUAAGAAGGGUGUGGUUCUUGUAAAGCUUCCCAAAAAAUCUGAUGCGGCCUGUCUUCAUCAUCAUCUUUAUGAGUGGAAAGAACACUCUGUUAGGUUCUCCAAGGCUGACAAGAUGGUGAUGGUGCAUGUAGACAUCUCACACGAAGUCCAUGGCCUAGUCAGUUAUGCGGGGUUCAUCCCGUAGGUCGGUGGCAAGAAAUAGUCUGCAGAGUUUAGUUAGUACAACUUUGCUUGUCUGUAGUAAGUACUAUUGUCCAGUACUUGAUUUGUGUUUGUGAACCCUAUAUUGUUUAUUAGUACUACCGCUUUUGGUGUGUGGUCAGUCCUGAGAACGGUCUAUGUUAAUGUUUGUCCACUCAAUUCAGUCUGUAUAUUUUGAAGUAUCCAUAUCAUAUUUUUUGUGAGGACGGUUUAUCAAUUAUGGUUACACUCCAAUAUGUAUGCAUUGGAGGGUUUAUCGCACCCACCAGGAUUUCCAGUCCCAUGGAUGUUCGGUCCAUACGAUUUGUCACGACCUUUGGACUGUCCUGCUUGUGGGAGUAGGCGGGUCCCCUGCAUGCCACGCGUAGUUGGACGGUCAAUCUUCUGUUUAGUACUUCAACAUAGUGAUUUCCUGGUAAGGAUUCACUCGUGUCAUAUCAAGUAAAUCUUAUUGAUUUACUGUCUAAAUCUUAUUGAUUUAAUGUCAUGUUUUCUUUCUUUUCCUGUAAUUUUACGAUGCAGGUUUUGCCAUGUGACAUUCAUCACAGAAUAAACCGUUUGGUUUGCUCUAUGAUGGCUAUUUUUGUAGGUUUCACUUCUUAUGUCGUGUCAGUAACGAAGGCACUGUCCCUCACUUAUAUUACUGGAAAAAAUUGGAUCAGUUUGUUGUCUGAGUACAAGUCGAAUCCCUAUGAUGAACUGCAGUUUGGUUUAACAAAAACGCCACAAUUAGUCCUUCUCGCGUUUAAAAGAAAUGAAGAAAAAAAUUUGAUCAUAAUCAUGGAUCCUAGUCAAGUUAGAAAGCUGAUCAUAGCAGAUCAGACACGAUCGCCAUUGUCUCGCACAGAUCGAGCACUGUUAGUUGCUCUAGCACUGAUAGCAGCAGCAGCUCAGUCUGAUCCAGCUGAGGAUUAGCCACCGACCGCGUCAUCGGAUCAGACUGAUCUACCGGAGGAUCGGGCAUCGACACCGGCACCUGCUCCGACACCGGCACCAGCUCUACAAGGAGCACCAUCUCCGGCAGUAGCAGUGGCUUUGGCACCUACACCAACACUUGCACUUGCAUUUGCUUCGGCCCAUGCAGUUGCACCGGUAAUAGACUGGGCUGUAGUUCGCACUUCAUAUACCAAAGUCCUUACAAAAACCGGCAUGUCCACCUUCUUGGUAAGCAUUGGCGGCCCAAGUGCUUCGUUCUUUUUUCUUUCCAUGUUGUUUCACAUGAUUCACUGUGUUGAUCUAACUGUUUGGGUAUGUCUUCUUGUUUGCAAACAGAGAAUUCCUAGAGCAACGAUGGAGUUGUUCAACAAUCCGGGCGACCGCGGCCAAGUUUCUCUUACCAUGCGUAGCCUUGCUAUGAAUGAACCUGCUCAAUAUACCGUAAGUACAAAGGAUGGUCGCAUGAUGAUUGAUGCUAAAGGAUUGUCAAGGUUCAAAUCUAAAUCAUAUCUUGCGGUAGGGGAUGAUGUCAAAAUCGAACUUUCUCGGCAAGGAGAGCUGGUCCAAAUCAACUUUGAAAUUCUUCAGUAGCAGCACGCAACUGCCGAACUGAUCUAUCCUCCGAGAGAUUUUGAUGUAAUAAUCUGGCAUGGUGAAACAAGUGUCCUGUGUGUAUAAGUAGUAUGACAGUAUUAUUUAUCACAUGGUAUAUCGUUGAUAGAAUUGCAACUCUGUUUGCUGGUUAGGAACUGUCGUUCGAUUUCAUUCCAACAGCUGCCGUGCUUUAUUCAAUUUUGUGUAUUCGCCUUGCGACAGCAUCUAAAACCAGCGUCGUAUCGAUCGCUUGCAAUAUAAAAAGCGCUGAGGUAGAACACAUGUGCCCCCAAACAUGUAGGGUCGGCCUGCGGCCCAAAGUCCAGAACCCUGAGCCUAUCUGAGUAUUAUAUUCUCAGUUGAACCCCCAUAAAAAAAGUUGAACCCCCAUAAUGCUCGUGCGUUGUAGAAGGAGUAUAUUUCUCGGCAAGGUGAGCCUGUGAUAUAAAAAAUAUGUAUGUGUAACUAGUUACUCCUGUCUUUCUACUUCCUUUCGCUGAUAUGUGGGGCAACCAGCAACGGGGUCCACGUGCCAUAUGCACAAAUUAGAGUACACAACUUCACGGUAGACACACCCCGGUCGUAGCGCCGCAGUAAUGCCCAAUGAGCCGUCAAAUCACAAUCCCCCUUUCCAGCUUUAGCAGUAAGCUGGACGGACGAAGCGGCAAUAUUUCACUGGGUCUGAAUCCCCUUCUCCCUCGUCUGCUUGUUCAGAGAAAACCCCCUCUCGGCGAUUGCAUAGGGUUUUCUCAUGGAGAACCAGGUACGAAUUCUUCAUCCAUCCCCGAUAAAUCCAAGUCCCUUGGUCGCAGGUAAUCCUAGGAUGGCAGCCGCCGCCGUUGAUGCAUUUUUCUUCCUACUGAAUCUAGUGUGUUUCAUUUGCAGUGCCCAAAGUGCGAUUACCCUACAGGUUUCUGCGCCCUCGGCGAGACUCCACACUUGUUCCUUCUCACCCUAACACAGCAUUUUGAAACGCACACAGUAUGUUCCUAGAAUCCUCUUUUCUAUCCGGGAGGGUGGGGUUUUUUUUAACAUGUUGUGUUCUCAUAUUAUUUUUCCUGCAGUGUAUUAUUUGCUCUGCCAGAACACAUGUACUCAAGAUGCUCAGCCUUGCCAUAACUGAAUACACUAGUUUAAUGGUCACAGUGAAGACAAGCCAUGGAUAUAAGUUCUGAGUUGGGUUCAUGAACCAAGAAGAUCGCUGCUUUUUUUAUGGCCGAACUUGGAUAAACUUUCUCUAGUGUUACAAACAGAAAGUUGGCACACGAAUGUUGAUGGAAAUAGCAGAACCUGGUCUCAUCUUCACUGUGAUCUUCCACCCUGACGUCGUUCCAAUUGUUCAUCCAUGUUAGUUUUGUAUCUGGUUCUUGCUUGUUGCCUCGAUUACUUCUUAAUCCACCUAUUCUGUCUAACUAAUCACAAUUUAACUUUAGAAGUAGCAACGAAUCUCUCACGAAGAUGCUACUUCUAACUAAUAUUUUCUUAUAUUUGGUGGCAUGUGUAGGUUUUUUAGAGUUAAGCAGUCUGCCCGUUUGUUACUCUGUAAUAACUCGGCUGUUACUAAUGGCACUGAAGUUGACUGGAUCGACAUCCACAAGUUCCUACACUUUAUUGAUCGUCUUGAGGUCCUUGUGGGGCGUUUCAAUGGUGGAAGGCCAUGUGGGAUAUGUGUGCCACUGCUGCACUCGUUGAACAGGUCCAACUGUGUUGAGAAACUUAUGGUACGAGCUGUUUUGUGUUAUAUAUGUUGUUCAUAAACUAUUGCUUAUACACAGUUUUAUAGUUGUGAUCUUCUUGAAACAGGAACUGCCGAGUUCUAUUGUUCCUAUACAGAUGCCUGACCAUGGUCGGGUCAGACUUGUGCUUGGUCACAACAGGAUGUUUAUGUUGACCUACUCAAUUCCCCUUGGAGGUGAAAAGAUACUUAUUCAUGGGUGGUCUCAAAUAAUGAAGGCCCGUCCAUCUUGGAGAAUAGGACAGAAGAUUAUGUUCAUGCUUUUCCAUGGCUCAAAGGCGAAUAAUCUGUUUAUUGACCACAUUGCGAGAUGAAGCCGCUUUCAGAAGGUUGUGGAUGUGCGGGGUGGCGCCUGGGCCUUGUCCUGGGACUUGGUGGCCACACCCUUGGUUAACAAUAGGAAAAGUAGCGCUGUUCGAGGCGUGCUUUGUACGGUUGAACUUGUAUAAGUACUCAUACUGUUUUCAGCUUUGGUUGUUAAGUGCGCCUGCUGGUUUCAGUUAAGGUUGUUAACUACUCCUGCUGCUUUUACAGUCUAUCGUGUUUCUUCAGUCCUGUCUUCCUCCAGCCGCCAAAACCAAACCAGCGCCGGCGGGGCCGCCUGCUUCCACCUCCCACGGCUGGUUGUGCCUCAGCGCACGCAUCGCCGCCCCACUAUCUCCUAAAUUGUUAACGCCGACGUCCUCCGUGCGCUUUGGUGCGCUCACCGUGGCGCCGCCCUGUCGCGUUGUCAACAUGGUCAACAAACAACAGGAAUCGGCAGAAGUACGUGGAGAGGAUGACAGUAGGGGCCCACCACAUCAGCGUAUGGAAAAAUAAAAUGCUUCCUCCUAGUGUUUUCCUGACAUCUGGGACCCACGACAUUGUGAGCGUAUAUAGUCAAUAGACAAGAGAACAGCACAAGAUCGGCUGACACCUGGGACGUAGCUACUCGAGCAGUAUUUUUUUUGUUUCGUAUUGUUGAGACAGAGCAGGGUUUGAACUGGGCUGUGGCCCGUCUAGCUCAGGCUUAUAUUUUAUGUUCACCAUGUGACCAGCCCAGCUAUUUUUUCUUUGUGAAAAUGAGCCCAAUUUAUUUUUUCUGAAGAAUACCCAAUCCAGGCCUACUUAUUUUUCUACGCCCUAAUGGGCUGCAACUCUUUCAAGACGCCUGCAAAUCUUGAAAGUAAUAUGAAAUGGGUUGUAAAUAUAAAAACAGAUGACAAAUUGGCAAUUACUUUAUAAUUUCUGAAUUUUUUCACAUUUUCAUAUUCCUAUUUCACUGGGCAUUAACCUAAUUUAAAUAUAUCUUCAAAGUACUUUAAAUCUGGCUCGACAUUUCGGUAUUAAAAAUAGUUUGGAACCCACAGAAAUAUGCGAAAUUGGCCCUGGCCAACCAAAAAAACGACUGCAAUAAAUUGCAUAAGAAGUUGCCAUGAGCUAAAUAUAAAUUAUUAAAAAAAGAGGGAGUGGUCUGACUUGUGGGCCUGUUUAGUUGACGCGUAUGCAAGAUUUUUUUUAGUUAUUAUAUACGUCAACAAAUGAUUCUAGCAGACAUAACCGUUGGAUGUCAAUCCAACGGCCGUCGUGUUUCUUCAAUCUCUGAUCUUCUUGCUCCAGCCGCCAAAGCAGCGCCGGCGGGACCGCCUACUCCCGCCUCCCAUGGCCGGCUGUGCUGCCACGCAGGCCUCAGCGCCCCUACUACUCCCACGGCUGGCCUGGGCAUCCCUCUACUCACCCACACCCCAUGUUAUUCUGCGGCGACGGCAGCCUCACACCGCAGCCGAACCGGUGAACCCUCGUACUCCUCUCCGCGCGGGCUUCCACUACCGCGUCUUCCCCGACUCCACGUUGUCCCCUUCCUAGGCCUCGCCGUCGUCCACCGCCGUGGUGCUCUUAGCGCGGCGUGGUCAAUGUGGUCAACGACCGACUUCCAUCGGAAGAGUACUGUGCGUGGAGAGGCUGACAGUUGGGUCCACGGCAGCCGCAUGGAAGUGCCUCCUUAUUACGCGGAAAAUAAUUAUUCCUCCACCUGAGAGCAGGGACCCAUCAGACGGGCCACCAGUAUUUCGCGAAAAAAUAUGUUUCCCCCUGACUGCUGGGACCCACAGGAUGGGCCACCGUAUUUCGUGAAAAAAACGUCCCCCCCGCUGUCAGCUCGGACCCACCGGAAGUGCCUCCUUAUUACGCACAAAAAAAUGAAUACCCCCUGUUAGCUGGGACCCACCUUGGUGGGAGGCUGACUUGUGGGCCUACUAAGUUGACUGGGACGGAGGCCUUUGUCAACUUUAGUCAAUAUAUGAACGAUUCUAGCUCCAGUGACCGUACAAUGUCCAUCCAACGGCCAUAGUGCUUCUUCAACCUCUGGUCUUCUUCCUCCAGACGCCCAAAGCAACGCCGGUCGUGCCGCCUCCUCCUGCCGGCUAUGAUGCCGCGGUGACCUCACCGCCCCCUACUACUCCCACCACUGGCCAGGCCAUCCCUCUACGCACCCACACCCCCUGUUAUUCUAUAGCGACGGCAGCCUCACACCGCAGCCGAACGAGUGAACCCUCAUACUCCUCUACGCGUGGGCAUCCACUGUCGCGUCUUCCCCAGCUCCGCGUCGUCCCCUCCCUAGGCCUCGCCGUCGUCCACCGCCCUGGUGCUCUCGACGCGGUGUGGUCAACAUGGUCAAGGAAUGGCUUUCAUCGAACAUGGACUGUACGUGGAGAGGCUGACAGUUGGGUCCACGGCUGUAGCAAGGAAGUGCCUCCUUAUUACGCGCAAAAUAAUUAUUCCUCCACCUGACAGUGGGGACCACCGGACGGGCCAUCGUAUUUCGCGAAAAAAAUGUUUCCCCCUGACUGCUGGGACCCUCCAGCUACAUCUUCACAUGCAAGGAAGUGCGUCCGAAAAAAAACAAUUCGCCCCCCUGACUGAUGGGUCCCACCAGCUACAUCUUCGCACGCAAGGAAGUGCAUCCAGAAAAAAAAAUGAUUCGCCCCCCUUACUGCUGGGACCCACCAGCUACAUCUUCGCACACAAGGAAGUGCGUCUGGGCAAAAAAACAAAACGAUUCCCCCUCCUGACUGCUGGGACCCAGCAGCUACACCUUCGCAUGCAAGGAAGUGUGUCCGGGCAAAAAAAACAAAACGAUUUGCCCCCCUAACUGCUGGGACCCACCAGCUACAUCUUCGCAGGCAAGGAAGUGCCUGACAGUCGGGACCCACUGUCACAUCCCUAGAUGCUGGUAGUGCUCUAGGCUAGCUUCAUGUGUGCAUCAUGUCUAUAUUUUCGAAACUUGAAUUGAGGAAAAUUGGAAGCCUCAAAACCCUAAAUAAAAGUAGGGCAAAAACCCUAAAAAUCUCAUUCAUUGUUCCAAAAUGCUCUUCUUAAAUGUUUGAUAAUUCUUGGCAAGGGUUCUGGUCCCAACCAAAAUAUUGAACAUUUUUAAGGAAUUAUUUUUGGGCCUUUGGAUUUAAUUCAUUAGCUAUUUGAAUUUGAAUUAUAUUCAUAUAAUUAGAAUAUAAUUUCAAAUACCCCUGAAAUAUUUUAUAAGCUUUUGGAAAAGUCCAUCUAGCAAUAUAAAAUAUUCAGAGGAGUUUUUGGCAUUGUUUGAAUUAUUUUAAAUUCAAAACAGUGGCAAAAUAAAUUAAAUAAAACAAAACAGAGAAAAAUAAAAAGAGCAAAAGCCUACCUGGCGCUCACCUGGUAGCCAAACCGGCCCAGCAGUGCAGCUGGCCGGCCCAGCCCGCCACCGCUACCCCCUGUCGCCUUCCUUUGCCAGGAGGACGGGCACGCGCCCGGCGCGCGCGGCCACGCGCCCCGGCCACCUCCUGCUUCUCCGGCCACCUCCUGCUUCCCCGGCCCCUCCUAGACGACGCCACGGAGCGCCACGCAGCCCUGGCUCUCUCUCACUCUCUCCCUCGCCUCAUCCUCUCCUCUGCUCUCUCUCCCUCUCUGCCCGAGCGGAGCUCGUCGCCACUGACGCCAUUCGCCGUGGCCACAGCCACCCCCUCGCUCCCUCUCCACACCCCUGAGCUCCGUCCCGACCCCAUGGAGCUGCACACCGACGCACGCGAUCAGAGGAGGCCCCAGUCGACCGGAGCGUCGUCGUCUUCAUCUUCGGUGCCCGGAGAUCGCCGCCGUAAAUUCGCGUCGUCCAGAGCUUCCCCGACCUCGUCGUCGACUCUGCUAGUCCCGACGUGAGCCACUCUUCUUUUUCCCCCUGGAAUCCCCGUCGUUCCCCUCCCCUAGCUAGCUUCCCCACCUCGGCCGAGAGCUUCUCGCCACCGGCCAUGGCGUGGCCGUGGCCACAGCCACCGCAGCUCCCUCCCGAGCCCACCAUCGUGCUCAGCACGAUCGCAUGAACCCGUAGACACCCACAACGCCUCCUGCCGUGCUCCCUAACACCGACCCCGAGCUCGCCCGAGCUCCGGCCGCCGCCGAGGUCGACGCCGUGCUCAACUCCGGCCACCUCGCGGCCUCCCCCCCGUUCCUUUGGAUGCGGAGGAGCAAGAGCUUCCCCCUAGUGCCCUCAGCGCGCCAAACCACCGCUCGUAGCGCCAAACCCGCCACCACCCGAACUCCGGCGGCCGCAGCCGAGCUCGCCGUCGUCGGUACCGGCCAUCACCGGCACGGCCACCACCACCGUUCGAUGCGCACGAGUCCCAGCUCGCCGUAGAACCCAACCGCACCCUAAACUGUGCCAUGUAGCGCGAAGCCGAUGCGUUUCCGCCGCUCCGUUGGUCGUCGCCGGCGAAACUCCGGCAGGAGCUGACGUGGCUCCGUCAUUAGGAGCUAACCCAGCUGGUUAAUCAACCUACAGACACUGACAGUGGGCCCCACCCCUGGUCAAACCCCAGCCAGCACUGGGUUUGACCGGGAUUAGUUCCUGUGUCACUGACGUGUGGCCCCCACACGUCAGGUUUGACCUGGACCCGCCCUGUUGACCUGAUGACAUCAGGGUGAGGUCAUGCUGACGCAAUAUUCCUUUUCUGGAAUUUAGUUUAUUUUAUAAUAAUCAGGAAAUUCCAGAAAAUUGUAUAAACUACAAUAAAUCAUAGAAAAUUAACCGUAACUCCAAAUUAAAUGUUUUAUAUAUGAAAAAUUAUCAGAAAAAUUCAAGGAAUCCAUCUGUACCAUUUUCAUGCAUGUUUGAACAAUGUUUGUCCUCUGUUUUGGACAAACAAAUAAAGGGCAUUUAAAUAACCAUAUAUGGAGCUGGAAUUUGAAUCAUGUAUUCAAACCAACUUCAUUUAAAUCAUAGCUAAGUGCAUUAGCCCAAAACACAGCAUAUUGCCAUGUCAUAGCAUGCAUCAUAUUGUGCAUUGCAGUGAUCGUGUUUCUUCUGUGUUUGCCGGUGUUGUUCCCCCUCGGUAGACGCUAUACCGAUGAUGUGAUCGUUGACACUAAUGAAGACUCAAUGCUAUCUUCAGAAGUGCCAGGCAAGCAAAACCCCCCUUGUUCAUUCCGAUAAAAUCCCCCUCUCUCGCUCCUGCUCUCUUUUACUGCAUUAGGACAACAACGACAUAUUUGUUACUUGCUACGGUAGCUAAACCCUUUAUCCUUUGCAUGACCUGUCAUUGCCACAGUAAAUAGAUGAAACCCACUAGCAUGAGUAGGAGUUGUUUGAGCCCUGAUGUGCCUACUCAUUCAUGCUUGUUUGUCAUGCCUGCUACUGCUUAGAGUUGAGUCAGGUCUGAUUCAUCGGGGAUGAAUCAGAGGCGUGUGAACAUGUCCUACUGGGUGUGAGCUAAGUGUGUGAACACGAUUUGGUAAAGGUAGCGGUGAGAGGCCAUGUAGGAGUACAUGGUGGGUUGUCUCAUUGCAGCCGUCCUCAGGAACUGAGUUCUGUGUUUGUGAUCCAUGAACAGUUACUACCACACAUUGGGUUCCGGUAACUCGACCACUCUCGACUUAUUAAUCAACAUGAUCUCUGUCCAGGAGUUGCAACUAGUUUCUGGUGUUUGUAGGUAGUGUUAGUAGUCUACCAAGUGGCACCCGGUACAGGUGGGCUUGGGACAGACUAGGCACAGUGGCCCGGUGUACCAAGUGGCACCCGGUUGGUGGGCUUGGGAACCUUGCUGACACCGUUUGGGGCCGUAAGAGACACCCCGGCCAGAUCUCCUUGCGGAUGGAACCCGAAUAGGCGAUAAACCUGGACUAGAGACUUGUUCGGUUAGUCAGGUCGUGGCCGACUCCCUCGCCCGGCUUCCGCUUGAAGGUUGCCGAGGUACAUGACGUGUACAGGGCGAUAAGUCGUGAAAGCGUGUGUGAAGAAGUACACCCCUGCAGGGUUAUCAUUAUCUAUUCGAAUAGCCGGAUUCAUCGGAUAUGGAAACUUGGACCCCUUGUACAGUUCAUAGACAAGUGAAAGUGGAUACCCUAAAAUACGCAAGAUAAGCAUGAGUGCUAUGGAUGGCGUUCUCGUAGGGAGACGGGAGCAGAUCCAUAGUGGUGUAUUGAUAUGGUGAAUAUGUGGACUCGUGUGCGCCACCUCAAAAGAGUUACUUGCAGUCGUAGUUCAGGUUAGCCACCGAGUCAAAGCUGGCUUGCUGCAGUUAAACUCCACCACCCCCUUUGUUGAUAAUGAUGCAUAUGUAGAUAGAUCUGAUGUAAGUCUUGCUGGGUACAUUUGUACUCACGUUGCUUAAUUUAUGUUUUUUGCAGAGAGACUUCAGUCUCACUAGUAGUUCCACGUGGACUUCGACGUUUAGCUUGUUACCUCAGCUACGAUCUUGUGCCCUCGGCAGGAUCUGGUAGAUAGUCAGGCUUCUCAGCCUUUUUCAUUUAUAGUUGUCUGUACUCAGACAUGUUAAGCUUCCGCUUGUGCUUUGAUUUGUAUGCUCUGAUUGUUGGGUCAUGAGACCCAUGUUUGUAUUAUCUCGCUCCUCGGAGCCUAUUGAAUAAAUACUUGAGUUGUAGAGUCAUGUUGUGAUGCCAUGUUGUAUUUGCACAAAUCGAGCAUAUUGUGUGUAUGUUAUUGAAAUGCUUGGUAUGUGUGGGCUCUGACUAUCUAGUUGUUUAUCCUUAGUAGUCUCUCUUACCGGGAAAUGUCUCCUAGUGUUUCCACUGAGCCAUGGUAGCUUGCUACUGCUCCGGAACACUUAGGCUGGCCGGCAUGUGUCCUUCUUCGUUCCUGUGUCUGUCCUUUCGGGGAAAUGUCACGCGAUGAAUACCGGAGUCCUGUUAGCCCGCUACAGCCCGGUUCACCGGAGUCCUGCUAGCCCAGUGCUACAGCCUGGAUUCACUCGCUGAUGACCGACACGUUCGAUGCUGGGUCAUGGAUGCCUGUCCCUGUAAGUUUGUGCCACUUUGGGUUUACGACUAGCCAUGUCAGCCCAGAUUCUUUGUCAUAUGGAUGCUAGCGACACUAUCAUAUACGUGAGCCAAAAGGCGCAAACGGUCCCAGGCCAGGUAAGGUGGCACCCGUGGGAAUACCGUGCGUGAGGCCGCAAAGUGAUAUGAUGUGUUACAUGCUAGAUCGGUGUGGCAUUGAGUCGGGGUCCUGACAGCAUUGGUAUCAGAGCUUGACUGCCUGUAGGAUUACCAAGCCAAACUGGUCGAAGUUCAGUCUAGAAAUUCUUUAGUUAUAUAAGGGAAUUGAUUGUGGGAUGGAACGUAAGGCUCUUUUUACUCCUUAUACCUCAUGGCCUUCUGAUCUGAGUCAUCAUCUUAUUUUUCCUACGGGGGUUAAGAACUAGGCCUUCUCCUCUUUCUAUCAGGAUCACGUGUUACUAAUCCGUAGACUUACAAGAUUGUUGGAUUUAAGCUUGAGUUCAGUUUCUACUACUUCCGUAUGUUAAUUGUUGAUCUCGAAACCUUGAUAUUGUGCACCGAGUGGUUAUGCCACCAUUUUUGUGAAUGUCUCAAAUCUUUUCUGAGCAUUUACAGCCGUUAUGCUGUCCGAGUCAUCCCAGGUUUCUAAAUAGUCUGAUGCAUUUGCAAAAUCCUUUCCCUCUGGUUACGAUGUUCCUUUAUGCUAGCUCAAUCACACUAAUUGUUGAGUUGAGGUAUUCUAUUGCUUUGACAUUUAUGUUGGAGUUAUUAUUACGACCCUAGGUGUCUCAGGGGAUCAUCUAGUAGUCUAGCCAUGUUUUGUGUCCCAGUGUGAUGAUUCUGGCUUUUAUUCUCGAAAGCAUCCCAUGAUGCCACUUAGUAGUAGGUAUUCUACUCCUUGGGUUUUGAACCCGAGAUUCACCCCACUUACUUCAUGUUGAUAGUAAUUGCUAGCUCCCUUAGGUUAUUAGUAACCUUUGCGAUAGUCCUUGAAGUCCGUGGUAUCUUCUUCUUCCAAAUACCAUGAACUACUUAUGGCGGAAGUUCCUCGUUGAACUGAACGAUCACAACCAGAGUGCUCUUGAUGAGUUCUCCAUUAUAUAUUGUGGCUCUGCCAGUUCUACCUUUCUGCAUGGGUUAUCCGGAAGAAAUAUGUUGAACUUUGUUCGACAUGCUAAACCAUGCAUCCACAACUCAGAAAAUCGUAUGUUCCUUUGAGUUGUCCAUCUUUAGUUGUUUUCUGGCCCUUGUAUAUCAACUGAUAUUCAGGAGUAGUUAUGCAUCCGUGUUCAUCGUUGCCACUACUCUUGUGGUCUGUCAAGCCAUUCCAUUCAGGAUGAAUAGGGGAAACAAACUCCAGAACCUCAUCCAUAUCUAGGAUUGGGUCAAAGCAAUUGCAUUCCGCAGAUCAAGUUGCAAUCCAGCUUCUGGUCUGUUCUACCUUGAAGUAUUACCAUCUUUAUAUCAGGAAUGUCAUGGGAAUUGCACACCAUCUUAUAAAUUCUUGACGCAGUAAUACUUCUUAUCAUCAUUGAUAAUUUCUCGGUUUCCGUGUCAUUAUAACCGGGAUACCGACAAAUGAAUUGUGAUGUGUGAAAUCAAUACUCCCAGCAACUAGUUGCUUGGUAGUAAAUGGACAAUAUUCUCAUUCUUAGCAUGUUGGUUUUGAAUCACCAUUCUAAGAUAGAUUGUGCUACCUAGUCCAUAUUUCCUGGUGCACUCUUUGGUUGUUGAGUUAGGAUUUUGUCAAGUCCUCGCUCAUUUGAUCAUAUCAUCUUGCCCUGAAAAGCAAGAUUGUUCUCGAGCUUAGUAACAUACCGGUGGUUCAUGAUAUUUCGAAUUUCUUCUCGGAAGUAUCACCAGGUUGUCGCCUGACCGCUAUGUUGAUCUCGUGAUCAAGUUGGCUUAUUCCUGUAAACCACUAUUCUCCAAGAAUCCGUGUUGGAUACCCCUGAGCUAGUUGGUUAAACUAGACAACAACUUGGAGAAUUGGAAGAUAAAAGCUUGCCUAACUUAGUUCGUUCCAAAGGGAUAUUCUUGUGUAGUGUGUGUUGAAGAAAGAUGAUAUCUUCAUCAAUUGGUCCCUGUGAUCAGUUGCUGGACCUAUUGUCUUAUCAAUCCUUUGAUUUGAGUGUGGGCUAUCGUCAAAUCAAAUCAGAACCAACGAUAUUCGUAAUGUUGUCUUACUCGUGGUUGAUCCCUCGAGCAUACACCAUUAUAUCUUUUGGGUCUGACCAAUGCUAUCACCGUGUUCACUUAACUAUGGAAUCCCUUUUAAAAGGAAAACCGGAUGAAUUGUUGUUGAGCCCAUCGACAACAUCCUGGUCUUCUCCAUAAUUUUGCUGAACAUUAAGCUAGUGUUGGAAACUUUUGAAAGCAUCUGUUCAUGCUAACUCAUGAAGCAUAUGCUGGAUGAAAGAAGUGACUUUCUUUGAUUCACGUGUAUUUGAUGUAAGUUGCCGCCGUGGGUUUGAGCAAGGUUUGUUUUGUUUCCUCUGGAAUCGUCCCAAGUCAGUCAUGCAGGUGCAAAGUAUACUAUGGUUUGGUAGAUUAAUUACCUCCACUCCAUGUGUGUUCCGUAGCACCCCAAGCCACUGACUGAUUUGUUCUAGGAGAAGGAGUUCUUUUUAAGAGCUAACCCGGGCUUAAUCAAGAACUUUGAUAUCCUCGAUGAUGGUUCCCAACCAGAACUCGGUAGUGUUUUAUUAUAAGACUACCAUGUGGUCAUGCUUGUCUGGGACAACAUGUUCACAUGUUUGUAGCAGAACCAACUCAUGUUUUGGAGCUUGCUAUCGCAGUUCGUCCCUCGAGAAUCUUGCAACAUCAUCUCGUCGAUUUGUGUUGCAAACUUUCAUUUUUCUUCCUAGCCUCGAUGAGUCUGGAAUAUCCUGACACCAACCAGAUCUGAAUCUCAGGCAGAUAUGAUGGUUGGAACAUUUUCCCAAGAACUAUGAUACUGAUCCCUCGAUAACUGGUAAAGUGGAUGUCGUGGCCAGCACCACCUAGCCGAAGGACCUAUUAUUGUAGUAUCUUGAUUGAAGAAGUUGGCCACCUUCCCAUAAGGACUUCGUAGGAUUUACUCCCUAGUUGUGCCUUGUGAUUUUUGUGUUCCGAAGUCCGACCUUUUACUUGAUGUUCUAGAUACCAAACCAUGGGAUGGGAUACACGAGCACAUCAAGGACAACAUUAGAGGCGGAGUGCUAAAUGUCUCUCGGUCGAUCAUCCAGCUUUUAUUUCCUUGGCCCCGCCAAGGGUGAAAUCUGAGAAAGUGUUAUCUUCCUUUGCAUCUGCAUCAUCCAUCAUCAUUCAUCAUGGUAGUACGUUGUGUUGCCAGGAUCCUUGACACGGAUGUUGGUAAAAUCUUGAUUAUUAUGGAAAUGCUCAAGUUCUUGAGAGCACGCGCAAGUGCCAGGUUUGAUCGUCGGCAUUAACUGUAUAGUGCUCUCAGUUUCCUCGAAAAUGCUAUGACCUUUUCAAACAGUGAAUUCACCCUUUAUUGUUGGGUUCUUCCCCAGUUACCAGAAUCAUUCCCAGCAUUUGCAUUUUGUUCCCAGCUUGCACCACCAAUGUGCCAUUCUACCAUGGGUCUCUUCCAUUUCCGGUGGUAAGCAAAUUCAUCCAUUACGUUGUCUUCAACAAGGUAAUCCACAUCAUCCAAGUCCGAGUAUGCCAUUCUACCGAACCCCUCCAAACGAUCGCUCGAGAUUUGCCUUAGGCUGGUAUAAAGAGUUUCAAUGGUCUCGGAAUCAAAAGUAAUUCUUUUUGCCACUUAAGGUAAUAAUCUACGAAUCACCCUCCUCCAGGAUGUUUCGUCGUGGUAUCAUGGCAACUCAACUCCUCGUUACGUUGCCAAUCAAUUACCACCUUCUUAAGCGUGAAAUUGUUGUCUACCUAGUGAACCUUUGUCAUCUGCUUCACUCCAUUCACAUGGAUGUAUGUUUAGUGUCUCAACCCGAGAGAUGGUUCUAUGUCUCAUUCCGUGAGUUGUUCGACCUUCGAGAAGUUUGAUCCUUCUAGAGUUUCCCUUUCCUCUUCUUGUCAUGAUUAGCUAAAGUUCUCGAAGCAAGACAUCAAGACAAUGAUGGUGAUCGAAUCAACGCUCUUAUGAAGUGCACCCUGGAUCGUGAAGAUUAUACUAGUUUGCGUUUCCCCUUCAUCUUACCCUACGCUUGAAUCUCGGGACGAGAUUUUUGUUUAGUAGGGGUGAGUUGUCACAUCCCUAGCUGCUGGUAGUGCUCUAGGCUAGCUUCAUGUGUGCAUCAUGUCUAUAUUUUCGAAACUUGAAUUGAGGAAAAUUGGAAGCCUCAAAACCCUAAAUAAAAGUAGGGCAAAAACCCUAAAAAUCUCAUUCAUUGUUCCAAAAUGCUCUUCUUAAAUGUUUGAUAAUUCUUGGCAAGGGUUCUGGUCCCAACCAAAAUAUUGAACAUUUUUAAGGAAUUAUUUUUGGGACUUUGGAUUUAAUUCAUUAGCUAUUUGAAUUUGAAUUAUAUUCAUAUAAUUAGAAUAUAAUUUCAAAUACCCCUGAAAUAUUUUAUAAGCUUUUGGAAAAGUCCAUCUAGCAAUAUAAAAUAUUCAGAGGAGUUUUUGGCAUUGUUUGAAUUAUUUUAAAUUCAAAACAGUGGCAAAAUAAAUUAAAUGAAACAAAACAGAGAAAAAUAAAAAGAGCAAAAGCCUACCUGGCGCUCACCUGGUAGCCAAACCGGCCCAGCACUGCAGCUGGCCGGCCCAGCCCGCCACCGCUACCCCUUGUCGCCUUCCUCCUUUGCCAGGAGGACGGGCACGCGCCCGGCGCGCGCGGCCACGCGCCCCGGCCACCUCCUGCUUCUCCGGCCACCUCCUGCUUCCCCGGCCCCUCCUAGACGAUGCCACGGAGCGCCACGCAGCCCUGGCUCUCUCUCACUCUCUCCCUCGCCUCAUCCUCUCCUCUGCUCUCUCUCCCUCUCUGCCCGAGCGGAGCUCGUCGCCACCGACGCCGUUCGCCGCGGCCACAGCCACCCCCUCGCUCCCUCUCCACACCCCUGAGCUCCGUCCCGACCCCAUGGAGCUGCACACCGACGCACGCGACCAGAGGAGGCCCCAGUCGACCGGAGCAUCGUCGUCUUCAUCUCCGGUGCCCGGAGAUCGCCGCCGUAAAUUCGCGUCGUCCAGAGCUUCCCCGACCUCGUCGUCGACUCUGCUAGUCCCGACGUGAGCCACUCUUGUUUUUCCCCCUGGAAUCCCCGUCGUUCCCCUCCCCUAGCUAGCUUCCCCACCUCGGCCGAGAGCUUCUCGCCGCCGGCCAUGGCGUGGCCGUGGCCACAGCCACCGCAGCUCCCUCCCGAGCCCACCAUCGUGCUCAGCACGAUCGCAUGAACCCGUAGACACCCACAACGCCUCCUGCCGUGCUCCCUAACACGGACCCCGAGCUCGCCCGAGCUCCGGCCACCGCCGAGGUCGACGCCGUGCUCAACUCCGGCCACCUCGCGGCCUCCCGCCCGUUCCUUUGGAUGCGGAGGAGCAAGAGCUUCUCCCUAGUGCCCUCAGCGCGCCAAACCACCGCUCGUAGCGCCAAACCCGCCACCACCCGAACUCCGGCGGCCGCAGCCGAGCUCGCCGUCGUCGGUACCGGCCAUCACCGGCACGGCCACCACCACCGUUCGAUGCGCACGAGUCCCAGCUCGCUGUAGAACCCAACCGCACCCUAAACUGUGCCCUGUAGCGCGAACCCGAUGCGUUUCCGCCGCUCCGUUGGUCGUCGCCGGCGAAACUCCGGCAGGAGCUGACGUGGCUCCAUCAUUAGGAGCUAACCCAGCUGGUUAAUCAACCUACAGACACUGACAGUGGGCCCCACCCCUGGUCAAACCCCAGCCAGCGCUGGGUUUGACCGGGUUUAGUUCCUGUGUCACUGACGUGUGGCCCCCACACGUCAGGUUUGACCUGGACCCGCCCUGUUGACCUGAUGACAUCAGGGUGAGGUCAUGCUGACGCAAUAUUCCUUUUCUGGAAUUUAGUUUAUUUUAUAAUAAUCAGGAAAUUCCAGAAAAUUGUAUAAACUUCAAUAAAUCAUAGAAAAUUAACCGUAACUCCAAAUUAAAUGUUUUAUAUAUGAAAAAUUAUCAGAAAAAAUCAAGGAAUCCAUCUGUACCAUUUUCAUGCAUGUUUGAACAAUGUUUGUCCUCUGUUUUGGACAAACAAAUAAAGGGCAUUUAAAUAACCAUAUAUGGAGCUGGAAUUUGAAUCAUGUAUUCAAACCAACUUCAUUUAAAUCAUAGCUAAGUGCAUUAGCCCAAAACACAGCAUAUUGCCAUGUCAUAGCAUGCAUCAUAUUGUGCAUUGCAUUGAUCGUGUUUCUUCUGUGUUUGCCGGUGUUGUUCCCCCUCGGUAGACGCUGUACCGAUGAUGUGAUCGUUGACACUAAUGAAGACUCAAUGCUAUCUUCAGAAGUGCCAGGCAAGCAAAACCCCCCUUGUUCAUUCCGAUAAAAUCCCCCUCUGUCGCUCCUGCUCUCUUUUACUGCAUUAGGACAACAACGACAUAUUUGUUACUUGCUGCGGUAGCUAAACCCUUUAUCCUUUGCAUGACCUGUCAUUGCCACAGUAAAUAGAUGAAACCCACUAGCAUGAGUAGGAGUUGUUUGAGCCCUGAUGUGCCUACUCAUUCAUGCUUGUUUGUCAUGCCUGCUACUGCUUAGAGUUGAGUCAGGUCUGAUUCAUCGGGGAUGAAUCAGAGGCGUGUGAACAUGUCCUACUGGGUGUGAGCUAAGUGUGUGAACACGAUUUGGUAAAGGUAGCGGUGAGAGGCCAUGUAGGAGUACAUGGUGGGUUGUCUCAUUGCAGCCGUCCUCAGGAACUGAGUUCUGUGUUUGUGAUCCAUGAACAGUUACUACCACACAUUGGGUUCCGGUAACUCGACCCCUCUCGACUUAUUAAUCAACAUGAUCUCUGUCCAGGAGUUGCAACUAGUUUCUGGUGUUUGUAGGUAGUGUUAGUAGUCUACCAAGUGGCACCCGGUACAGGUGGGCUUGGGACAGACUAGGCACAGUGGCCCGGUGUACCAAGUGGCACCCGGUUGGUGGGCUUGGGAACCCUGCUCACACCGUUUGGGGCUGUAAGCGACACCCCGGCCGGAUCUCCUUGCGGAUGGAACCCGAAUAGGCGAUAAACCUGGACUAGAGACUUGUUCGGUUAGUCAGGUCGUGGCCGACUCCCUCGCCCGGCUUCCGCUUGAAGGUUGCCGAGGUACAUGACGUGUACAGGGCGAUAAGUGGCGAAAGCGUGUGUGAAGAAGUACACCCCUGCAGGGUUAUCAUUAUCUAUUCGAAUAGCCGGAUUCCUCGGAUAUGGAAACUUGGACCCCUUGUACAGUUCAUAGACAAGUGAAAGUGGAUACCCUAAAAUACGCAAGAUAAGUGUGAGUGCUAUGGAUGGCGUUCUCGUAGGGAGACGGGAGCAGAUCCAUAGUGGUGUAUUGAUAUGGUGAAUAUGUGGACUCGUGUGCGCCACCUCAAAAGAGUUACUUGCAGUCGUAGUUCAGGUUAGCCACCGAGUCAAAGCUGGCUUGCUGCAGUUAAACUCCACCACCCCCUUUGUUGAUAAUGAUGCAUAUGUAGAUAGAUCUGAUGUAAGUCUUGCUGGGUACAUUUGUACUCACGUUGCUUAAUUUAUGUUUUUUGCAGAGAGACUUCAGUCUCACUAGUAGUUCCACGUGGACUUCGACGUUUAGCUUGUUACCUCAGCUAUGAUCUUGUGCCCUCGGCAGGAUCUGGUAGAUAGUCAGGCUUCUCAGCCUUUUUCAUUUAUAGUUGUCUGUACUCAGACAUGUUAAGCUUCCGCUUGUGCUUUGAUUUGUAUGCUCUGAUUGUUGGGUCAUGAGACCCAUGUUUGUAUUAUCUCGCUCCUCGGAGCCUAUUGAAUAAAUACUUGAGUUGUAGAGUCAUGUUGUGAUGCCAUGUUGUAUUUGCACAUAUCGAGCAUAUUGUGUGUAUGUUAUUGAAAUGCUUGGUAUGUGUGGGCUCUGACUAUCUAGUUGUUUAUCCUUAGUAGUCUCUCUUACCGGCAAAUGUCUCCUAGUGUUUCCACUGAGCCAUGGUAGCUUGCUACUGCUCCGGAACACUUAGGCUGGCCGGCAUGUGUCCUUCUUCGUUCCUGUGUCUGUCCUUUCGGGGAAAUGUCACGCGAUGAAUACCGGAGUCCUGUUAGCCCGCUACAGCCCGGUUCACCGGAGUCCUGCUAGCCCAGUGCUACAGCCUGGAUUCACUCGCUGAUGACCGACACGUUCGAUGCUGGGUCAUGGAUGUCUGUCCCUGUAAGUUUGUGCCACUUUGGGUUUACGACUAGCCAUGUCAGCCCGGAUUCUUUUUCAUAUGGAUGCUAGCGACACUAUCAUAUACGUGAGCCAAAAGGCGCAAACGGUCCCAGACCAGGUAAGGUGGCACCCGUGGGAAUACCAUGCGUGAGGCCGCAAAGUGAUAUGAUGUGUUACAUGCUAGAUCGGUGUGGCAUUGAGUCGGGGUCCUGACACCCACCUGGUCGAAGCGUACGUAGUGUUGUCAUUCUGGUCGCGAGCGUGUACGUACAUAUAUACUGGUCAAUGUAGAGGCGUGCACGUGUCGUUGUAGAGGCGCGCACGUAGCAUGUACACGUACGUACAGCGGCUAGGGUGCAAGAAAGAAAAUACGGCCACGUACGUACAUACGAGCAGGGUCUCGAACGCCUACUCGUCAAUACGUAUGGCCAGGGCUCGUGUACAUGGCUAGGUCAGAACGGAGAAACAGUGUCGUCGUCGUGUUCAUGGGGAGGCAACGGAAUGCGUUGUGUUCAUGGGGAGGCAACGCAAUGCUCGUGUUCAUCGGGAGGCAACGAAAUGCGUGGGAGCCAACCGGCUGGGUCGGAACAGAAUGCGUGGUCGUGUUCAUCGGAAGGGCUUGGACGGAACAGGCAAUGGAAACGAGGCCUGGCGUACCGCAAAACGGAGGAAACGGCUUUGUGUUCGACCGGCCACGUUCGAAAUGGGAUCCUGUUCAUCGGGAGGGGCCUGGCGUACUGCAAAACGGAGGAAACAGACCUCAUACGGUCAAAACGAGGGUCUUGUUGAUUGGGAGGGGUGUGGCGUACCGCAAAACAGAGGAAACGGACUUGUGUUGGAGCGCUACGGUCGAAACGGGGGUCAUGUUGAUCGGGAGGGGUGUGGCGUACCGCAAAACGGGACUCCACGGGAUACUAUUAAUCUCCACCGUCGACCUCCUACAGCCUCCACGGGCUACCGUCGACCUGCUCUAGCCUCCAUAGGCUCCUGUUCAUCCAGCCUCCACCGCGCGCUACUCCACCGGCUACUGUUCAACCACCCCUCCACCGUCUACUAUUCAUCCAGCCCUCCACACCACGGGGUCCUGUUCAACCACCCCUCCAUAGGCACCCCUCCAUCGUCUACUGUUCAUCCAGCCCCCCACACCCCAGGGUCCUGUUCAUCCAGAGGCAACGCCACCGCUAACUGUUCAUCCAACCCCCCCCCCAUAAUGCUCACUAUUCAUCCAAUCCCUCGGCUUCAGUUAGCAACAGUAGCGAAGGAAUCGCUCGAUCGGGUUCAGUUAACAACCAUCGAUCGAUCGCUCGGGUUCAGUAACGCGUAGCCUGCAGUGCAAUCGCUCGGGUUCAGUUAGAGCCCAACGUCUCGCUCGGAUUCAGUUAGAGCCAACGCCUCGCACACACUCACGUACGUGUAUGAGAGAAACACGCAUCACUCGGCCCCCGACCUCCCACCAUAACCGGGACUCCCCGAAAUUUCCCUCCCCCUCGCUUCUACCAUGGUUUUUUGUCAUGGAUGGCCCAAAGAAUGUCAUGCAGUUGCGUCUCCGGCCCGCCCAGGACAAAAAGCCCAUUUUCUAUCAUGAUUUUUUGUCAUAGAAGUAGGAGCCCACCACAUCUAUGAUGAUACUGCGUUUUGUCACAAUUAUCGUCAUAGAAGUGUCAUAUGUAUGACAGAAAAAAAUUCGUUCAGCCCAAAAUGUCACGGAUGUGUCUUUUUUUUUGUUGUGGUACGAUCCUCGUGCUGACUAUUAUCCCUGCUCUUCUCACAACCUUGCGCCCCGGCAACCGUAUUAGGGAUUCUCGUGAUCCGAUAGGUGUCGUUUCCCACCGACACCGACGAUCGAAUCUCGUGCAAGUAACAUACCGAUGACAAAGGGAAAAAUGUAUGUUGUUAUGCGGUUUGACCGAUAAAGAUCUUCGGAGAAUAUGUAGGAACCAAUAUGAGCAUCCAUGUUCCGCUAUUGGGAAUUGACCCGAGACGUGUCUCGGUCAUGUCUACAUAGUUCUCAAACUCGUAGGGUCCGCACGCUUAAAGUUCUGUGACGAUCGGUAUUAUGAGUUUAUAUGUUUUGAUGUACCGAAGGUAGUUUGGAGUCCCGGAUAUGAUCACGGACAUGACGAGGAGUCUCAAAAUGGUCGAGACAUAAAUAUUGAUAUGUUGGAAGCCUAUAUUUGGACGUCGGAAGAGUUCCAGGUGAAAUCGGGAUUUUACCAGAGUGCCGGAGGGGUUACCGGAAGCCCCCGGGGGUUAAUGGGCCUAGUUGGGCCCUAGUGGAGAGAUAGAUGGGCCGGCCAGGGCAGGCCGCGCACCCCCUCCCCCUCUGGUCCGAAUUGGACUAGGAAGGGGGGGGCCUUUCCUUCUCCUUCUCCCCCUUCCUUUCCCCCUCCUAGUAAGAGUAGGAAAGAGGGGAGUCCUACUCCUACUAGGAGGAGGACUCCUCCUCCUGGCGCGCCCUACAGGGCCGGCCAGCCUCCCCCUUGCUCCUUUAUAUACGGGGGCAGGGGGGCACCCUAGAACACACAAGUUGAUCAUUCAUCUCUCCCAGCCGUGUGCGGUGCCCCCUUCCACCAUAAUCCACCUCGGCCAUAUCGUAGCGGUGCUUAGGCGAAACCCUGCGACGGUAGCUUCAUCAACAUCGUCACCACGCCGUCGUGCUGACAAAACUCUCCCUCGAGCUCUACUGGAUCGUGAGUUCAUGGGAUGUCACCGAGCUGAACGUGUGCUGAACGCGGAGGUGUCUUACGUUCGGUACUGACUAUUGGUCGAUCGUGAAGAUGUACGACUACAUCAACCGCGUUGUCAUAAUGCUUCCGCUUAACGGUCUACAAGGGUAUGUGGACGACACUCUCCCCUCUCGUUGUUAUGCAUCACCAUGAUCUUGCGUGUGUGUAGGAUUUUUUUUUUGAAAUUACUACGUUCCCCAACAAUGCACUUAUGAUUGGAACUCUAGCAAGCAUCCGCAACUACUAAAGAUCAUUAAGGUAAAACCCAACCAUAGCAUUAAAGUAUCAAGUCCUCUUUAUUCCCAUACACCAUGACCCACUUAUCUGUGUUUAUGUUUCAGUCACUCAUGCAACGCACACAAUAAGCAAACCAUGAACAUAUUGCAAAUCCUACAGCGGGGAUCCCUCACGCUUGUGCGACACGGAGAUCACCAUAGGACAGCACCAACAAUAAAACAUGCAACUCAAACCAAUCACGGUCAUCAAUUAACCCAUAGGACAAAACAGAUCUACUCAAACAUCAUAUGAUAGCCAUACAUCAUUGGGAAAUAAUAAAUAGCAUUGAGCACCAUGUUUAAGUAGAGAUUACAGUGGGUAAAAGAGGGGUUACACCGCUGCAUAGAGGGGGGAAGAGUUGGUGAUGAGGGCGGUGAAGUUGAUGGUGUAGAUUGCAGUGAUGAUGAUGGCCCCGGCGGCGCUCCGGUGCAACCGAAAGUGAGGGGGAGAGAGCCCCCUCCUUCUUCUUAUUCCUUGUCCUUCUGCCUAGAUGGGAGAAGGUUUUCCCCUCUGGUCCAUGGUCUCCAUGGCAUGGGAGGGGUGAGAGCCCCUCCGAGAUUGGAUCUGUCUCUCUGUUUCCGCACGCUCGAUUCUGGCCUUUCACCAUUUCUUAUAUUCCCGAAGAUCCGUAACUCUGAUUGGAUCGAAAUUUUAACACGUUUUUUAUCUGGAUAUAAGCUUUCUUGCGACGAAAGAAGGGCAGCAACCGCCUUACGGGGUGUCCACGAGGUCCAGGGGCGCAGCCCCUGCCUCGUGGCCCCUAGGGCAUCGUCUCGUGUUGAUUCCACUUCCCAAAAUUCACAUAUAUUCCAGAAAAACCCUUCGUCAGUUUUUAUCCCGUUUGGACUCUGUUUGAUAUGGAUUUUCUGUGAAACAAAAAACAUGCAACAAACAGGAACUGGCACUGGGCACUGGAUUAAUAUGUUAGUCCCAAAAAUAGUAUAAAAAGUUGCCAAAAGUAUAUGGAAGUUGUGUAAUGUUGGCAUGUAAUGCUGGGCACUGGGCCUUUUUUUUAUGGGCUUCUUUGGCCUCUUUUUUUAUUUGGGCUUCUUUUGGCCUCUUCUAUUUUGAUAACCUCACCUGAGACAAUGCUCUAAUAAUGAUGAUCAUCACACUUUUAUUUACUUACACCUCAAUACUACAACAAAGAUAUGACUCUAUAUGAAUGCCUCCGGCGGUGUACCGGGAUGUGCAAUGAUCUAGCGUAGCAAAGAUAUCAAAAACGGAUAAGCCAUGAAAAUAUCAUGCUAGCUAUCUUAUGAUCAUGCAAAGCAAUAUGACAAUGAAUGCUCAAGUCAUGUAUAUGAUGCUGAUGGAAGUUGCAUGGCAAUAUAUCUCAGAAUGGCUAUGGAACUGCCAUGAUAGGUAGGUAUGGUGGCUGUUUUGAGGAAUAUAUAAGGAGGCUUGUGUGUGACAGAGCGUAUCAUAUCACGGGGUUUGGAUGCACCGGCAAAGUUUGCACCAACUCUCGAGGUGAGAAAGGGCAAUGCACGGUACCGAAGAGGCUAGCAAUGAUGGAAGGGUGAGAGUGCGUAUAAUCCAUGGACUCAACAUUAGUCAUAAAGAACUCACAUACUUAUUGCAAAAGUCUAUUAGCUAUCGAAACAAAGUAGUAUGCGCAUGCACCUAGGGGGAUAGACUGGUAGGAAAAGACCAUCGCUCGUCCCCGACCGCCAAUCAUAAGGAAGACAAUAAAUAAAUAAAUCAUGCUCUGACUUCAUUACAUAACAGUUCACCAUACGUGCAUGCUACGGGAAUCACAAACUUCAACACAAGUAUUUCUACAAUCCAUAACUACUCACUAGCAUGACUCUAAUAUCACCAUCUUUACAUCACAAAACUAUUGCCAGGAAUCAAACAUAUCAUAUUCAGUGAUCUACAAGUUUUAUGUAGGAUUUUAUGACUAACCAUGUGAAUGACCAAUUCAUGUCAUCUCUCUAAAUAGAUAUAAGUGAAGCAAGAGAGUUUAAUUAUUUCUACAAAAGAUAUGCUGUAACGCCCCAGAUGUAACUUUCCAUAUUUGUAACUCCAACUCUUGCCAUUUCCGGCUAUGUGAUAUGAUAUUUCCUUCGUGGUUGGGUUUUGUCUUUCAUUUUUGCAUUUUGUUCAUGUCAUGCAUCUCAUCUCAUAGCAUCAUGCGCAUUGCAUCUGCAUGUUUUCAUAAAACUUGCAUCAGUUCGUAGUUGUCGCAUUACCCCUCGCUUUUGUUGACCAUUCCGAGACCAACCUUGUUCUUCGUUUUUCCCUCUUGCCUAAACCGGAGUCUCUCUGUAAAGUGCACAGAGCCCCUCGCUUGCUCGGCCGAAACCUCUCCCAAACCUGACCCGCUCAGUCACCACCGUUGCAUACAGUUCAUCCCCAAACAUCUAUAAAACAUCUCCAUUUUCUUAACUAUAAAACAUCUCCAUUUUCUUAAUAGGACACCUUAGCCUAUUUUAUCUCGACCAUCCAAUUUUAAUCGGAUGAUCCAAACUUCCCUCUUUUCCUUAUAUAUAGUCCAACCUCAUACCUAAUCUAGAGAAACCCUAAAUUUUAGGAGGAUUGUCCCCCACCGCCGCGCCUUUUCCCGACCCCCACGACCUCCUUCGGCCCCGUUCCUGUCGAAGGCCGCCGUCGUCGCUCUGGUUCGGCGUGACCAGCUCAUCUGCCUCGCGUCUCGUCCUCAUUGCAGGGAGGAGGAACGCUCGCGCCCAGCCCGUCUUCGAGCCAAGCCGCCGCGCUGGAGAUUUUUCACUGUCCAGCAGGUCCCGCUGACCAUCCCCUGAUCUUUUUCCUCUCCAUCUCCCUUUGUUUCUCCUGUACGUCUCUCACCUCGCUCUCCCGACAUCGUUUUUCCCAAGGAAUUAGGAGCUCAAGCCCCUCCAUGGCCGCGCCCGACCUGCGCGACCCCGUCGGCCGGAUUUGCUCGAGCUUGUCGUCCCCUGCGCCUCAAGUUCCUCCUGCUGGAGCCCCAAGUCCACCUCUACCCCGCGCCAAGUCCUCUGCCCGCGCAGCUGCGCGACGCCCUCUGCUUCACCCUGCGUUGACUGCCUGCAUCGCGUAGCCCAGCGCCUCCCUAGCCCACUGCGCAGUCGGCCCAGCCUCUCCCCGAGCCGGCCUGAUGGCCCAUGGUGAGCCCCAUGGAUCCAGCGCCCAGCCAGUUUCAGCCCAGUUCAUGUUUUUAUCCAGUUAUGCGAAUUUGUCUAAUUUCCAGAUAAACCUGUUUUGCAGAAAACCCCCUAGACAUCAUGCAUAUAGUAACUCCACAACCGUGCAUCGGAUUAAAAUGAUGUAAACAUGUAAACUACUUAGAAUUCUGUCUAGUUUCAUACUAUGCCACUUUCAUCCAUGUUAAAAAUGUUUAAAUUGCGGUUUGAGUAAUUUUUCUCAAAUGCCAUGCUAAAAUGAUUUAUUUCAUAACUAAAUAACCGUAGCUCCAUUUUAAAUAAACUUUAUAGGUAAAUGGGGUAGAAAAUGCAUAGAUUAAGAUGAUGCACUUUAUUUUACUGUUUAACAACAUUAAAAUAUGUUUUAGGGCAGAACAGUAGCAAAUUCGAAAUAUGCAUAUGAGGAUUUUCCGGAAUUGUUGUUUGUUGUUCCGGCCUCAUUUAAACUUGCCUAGAUAGGUAGUUUUAUUGUGCUUCACCCCUUGCCAUGUUUAAUAAUAUUUAAUAUAGUUGGGUACAUAAUCGGGAGAGAACUCAAUAAAUGCAUGUGGUGUUUCGUCAAUAUGCAACUCGUUGCAUAUUGAACUCCACUUAAUUUGUAGUAUUGUUUGUUGCACUUUGCCAUGCGAGGCCUCAUUAAACCAGACAUGCAUCAUACUUGAUAGUUCAUCAUGCCAUGUUUAUGCUUGUGUGUUUACCAUGUUGUUUGCUUCUUUCUGGUUUGCUUCUCUCGUUAGCUUCGGUUUCGUUCUGGAGUUGUGAGGAUUUGUUCGACUACGUCCGUUUGUCUUCUUCAUGGACUCGUUCUUCUUCCCUGCGGGAUUUCAGGCAAGAUGACCAUACCCUCAAAAUCACUUCUAUCUUUGCUUCCUAGUUGUUCGCUCUAUUGCUAUGUCACGCUACCUACCACUUGUUGUAUCAUGCCUCCCAUUUUGCCAUGUCAAGCCUCUAACCCACCUUCCUAGCAAACCGUUGUUUGGCUAUGUUACCGCUUUGCUCAGCCCCUCUUAUAGCGUUGCUAGUUGCAGGUGAAGUUGAAGCUGGUUCCAUGUUGGAACAUGGAUAUGUUGGGAUAUCACAAUAUCUCUUAUUUAAAUUAAUUCAUCUAUAUACUUGGUAAAGGGUGGAAGGCUCGGCCUUAUGCCUAGUGUUUUGUUCCACUCUUACCGCCCUAGUUUCCGUCAUAUCGGUGUUAUGUUCCUUGAUUUUGCGUUCCUUACGCGGUUGGGGAUUUAUGGGACCCCCUCGACGGUUCGCUUUGAAUAUAACUCCUCCAGCAAGGCCCAACCUUGGUUUUAACAUUUGCCACCUAAGCCUUUUUCCCUUGGGUUCUACAGACUCAAGGGUCAUCUUUAUUUUAACCCCCCGGGCCAGUGUUCCUCUGAGUGCUCGUCCAAACCGGGCGAUGUCCGGCGCCCCCUGGGCAAGCAGGGUCUAUGCCAACCCGACGUCUUGCCCAUCUGGUGUGCCCUGAGAACGAGAUAAGUGCGACUCCUAUCGGGAUUUGUCGGCACAUCGGGUGGCUUUGCUGGUCUUCGUUUACCAUUGCCGAAAAGUCUUGUAACCGGGAUUCCGAGCCUGAUCUGGUCUUUCCGGGAAAGGAAUAUCCUUCGUUGACCAUGAGAGCUUGUGAUGGGCUAAGUUGGGACACCCCUGCAGGGUAUUAUCUUUCGAAAGCCGUGCCUACGGUUAUGUGGAAGAUGGGAAUUUGUUAAUGUCCGGUUGUAGAGAACUUGACGCUUGACUUAAUUAAAAAGCAUCAACCGCAUGUGUAGCCGUGAUGGUCUCUUUUCGGCGGAGUCUGGGAAGUGAACACGGUUUGGGUUAUGUAUGAACGUAAGCAGUUUCAGGAUCACUUCUUGAUCACUAGUAGCUUCUCGUCCAUUGCGUUGCUUCUCUUCUCGCUCUUAUUUGUGUAUGUUAGCCACCAUAUUUGCUUAGUGCUUGCUGGAGCUCCACCUCAUUACCCCAUCCUACCAAUAAGCUUAAAUAGUCUUCUCGCGGGUUUUGAGACUGCUGAGUCCUCGUGACUCACAGAUACUACCAAAACAAUUGCAGGUGCCGAUGACGCCAGUGCAGGCAAUGCUACCGAACUCAAGUGGGAGUUCGACGAGGAACUUGGUCGUUACUACGUUUUGUUUCUUGAUGAUCAGUAGUGGAGCCUAGUUGAAACGAUCGGGAACCUAGCAUUUAGGGUUAUCUUCUUUUUAUUUGGAUUUGACCGUAGUCGGUCUAUGUGUGUAUCUUGAAUGAUGUAUGAAUUUAUUUAUGUAUUGUGUGAAGUGGCGAUUGUAAGCCAACUCUCUUUAUCCCAUUCUUGUUCAUUACAUGGGAUUGUGUGAAGAUGACCCUUCUUGCGACAAAACCUACAAUGCGGUUAUGCCUCUAAGUCGUGCCUCGACACGUGAGAGAUAUAGCCACAUCAUGGGUGUUACAAGUUGGUAAUCAGAGCCAUCCCCAACUUAGGAGCCCCCUGCUUGAUCGAAUCGCUGGCGUUGUUGAGUCUCAAACUAAAAUAUUUUGAGUCUUAGGAUUAUAUAUAUCGGAGGGUAGGAUUAUUUUUUACUCCUCAGUCCCUUCUGUUGGGGAACGUAGUAAUUUCAAAAAAAUUCCUACGCACACGCAAGACCAUGGUGAUGCAUAGCAACAAGAGGGGAGAGUGUUGUCCACGUACCCUCGUAGACCGAAAGCGGAAGCGUUAGCACAACGCGGUUGAUGUAGUCGUACGUCUUCAUGAUCCGACCGAUCAAGUACCGAACUUACGGCACCUCCAAGUUCAGCACACGUUCAGCCCGAUAACGUCCCUCGAACUCCGAUCCAGCCGAGUGUUGAGGGAGAGUUUCGUCAGCACGACAGCAUGGUGACGAUGUUGAUGUUCUACCGAUGCAGGGCUUCGCCUAAGCACCGCUACAGUAUUAUCGAGGUGGAAUAUGGUGGAGGGGGGCACCGUAGACGGCUAAGAGAUCAAUGAUCAAUUGUUGUGUCUAUGGGGUGCCCCCUGCCCCCGUAUAUAAAGGAGCAAGGGGGGAGGCCGGCCAGCCCUUGCUAGGCGCGCCAGGAGGAGGAGUCCUCCUCCUAGUAGGAGUAGGACUCCCCUCUUUCCUACUCCUACUAGGAGGGGGAAAGGAAGGGGGAGAGGGAGAAGGAAAGGGGGGCGCCGCCCCCCCUCCCCUAGUCCAAUUCGAACCAGAGGGGGAGGGGGCGCACGGCCCAUCCUGGCUGCCCCUCUCUCUCUCCACUAAGGCCCAUAAGGCCCAUUACUUCUCCCGGGGUGGUUCCGGUAACCCUCCCGCACUCUGGUUUUCUCCGAAAUCACCCGGAACACUUCCGGUGUCAGAAUAUAGUCGUCCAAUAUAUCAAUCUUUAUGUCUCGGCCAUUUCGAGACUCCUCGUCAUGUCCGUGAUCACAUCCGGGACUCAGAACAACCUUCGGUACAUCAAAACAUAUAAACUCAUAAUAUAACUGUCAUCGUAACGUUAAGCGUGCGGACCCUACGGGUUCGAGAACUAUGUAGACAUGACCAAGACACGUCUCCGGUCAAUAACAAAUAGCGGAACCUAGAUGCUCAUAUUGGCUCCUACAUAUUCUACGAAGAUCUUUAUCGGUCAGACCGCAUAACAACAUACGUUGUUCCCUUUGUCAUCGGUAUGUUACUUGCCCGAGAUUCGAUCGUCGGUAUCUCAAUACCUAGUUCAAUCUCGUUCCCGGCAAGUCUCUUUACUCGUUCUGUAAUACAUCAUCCUGCAACUAACUCAUUAGUUGCAAUGCUUGCAAGGCUUAAGUGAUGUGCAUUACCGAGAGGGCCCAGAGAUACCUCUCCGACAAUCGGAGUGACAAAUCCUAAUCUCGAAAUACGCCAACCCAACAAGUACCUUCGGAGACACCUGUAGAGCACCUUUAUAAUCACCCAGUUACGUUGUGAUUUUUGGUAGCACCCAAAGUGUUCCUCCGGUAAACGGGAGUUGCAUAAUCUCAUAGUCAUAGGAACAUGUAUAAGUCAUGAAGGAAGCAAUAGCAACAUACUAAAUGAUCGUGUGCUAAGCUAACGGAAUGGGUCAUGUCAAUCACAUCAUUCUCCUAAUGAUGUGAUCCCAUUAAUCAAAUGACAACUCAUGUCUAUGGCUAGGAAACUUAACCAUCUUUGAUCAACGAGCUAGUCUAGUAGAGGCAUACUAGUGACACUCUGUUUGUCUAUGUAUUCACACAUGUAUUGUGUUUCUACUUAAUACAAUUCUAGCAUGAAUAAUAAACAUUUAUCAUGAUAUAAGGAAAUAAAUAAUAACUUUAUUAUUGCCUCUAGGGAAUAUUUCAUUCACCUUCGUCGCUCUGGUGAGGCCUCCUGACGUAGAUGUUUUGUCUUUCCUCUCCUCAAAUUUCACUAAUUUUUUUUAGGAUCACACAGGUAUCUUGGGAUCGUUUCGAUAUUCUUGUGACGAGAACAUUGUUCUUGGUGCCUCCUGACAUUUAGGGGUUGUGGCAGUGUCCCGGGGAGUUGAGCUCCGAGGUGUUGUCGUCACAAUUUUAUCAUUGCAGUUCUGGAAUACCUGAGUUUCGCCGACAUCAAAAAUCUCUUUUAUGCAGUUGUUGGUGAGAUAACCUCGACGCCACCCAGUAAUGGGGCAGGAGUUCAGGAGUAUUGCCAUAACUCAUAUAACGGAUGCUUUUCAAAGGUUGAGGUACACGAUUUCUGGAGUUUUCUUGGUUAUGUGUUGACGUAUGGAUACAGCUGGAUGUAGGGAUUGUUAGUUUGGGUGAGAUAUAUUGCUUCCCCUGUAUCCCCAACACCAGAUUGCAUAACCAGAAAGUUUUGGGAGUUUAAAGGUGGGAAUUCAAGUAGCUCGUAGGAUAUCUUUCCAACAGACACAUGAUACGAUAUGGGGUCUAUCAUAUGUUUGUUCCGUCUUAUUUUGCAAGCCAAUUCUUUGUUUUGUUUUAAGUUGUGGUAUUCGAGUUGCUUCGAAGUCAAAUGUGGAUUCCAUAACUUUUCUAAGUGGUGUUUGCAUAUUCCUAUGUGGAUACUAAUCCUUCUUGAUCACCGAGAUUGCCAUCUUAAUUCUAUUUCCAACCGGCGUGUUUCUUUUCAAGUGCAUCCGAUCAUUCCAACAUUCGCAAGAUCAAUCCUAAGUUUUUCUCAAUGGUGUUCAUUUCAUCUGCCCCAAGUUGCCUUUGUUUUCCCCGCCCUCCUACCCUUUUUUCUUCAAGGACUCAUAUAUCUUAAUCAAGUAUCCAUCUUAUGGAUGUGAAGUUUCUUCAUUCUUUCAUUCAAUGUUCCUAGCCGGCGAUUCUCGCGGAGUUACUAAUAGAGCUUCAAGUUUAUCAAUUCUUCGUCACAUUUUCCUCUCCGGUGGAUUCAAUUCAAGCAUUCUCGAUCCUAUUUUUUUCCUUAUUUCAAAUGCUUUCUCAUGCCGGUGUGCCUCUUAAUCAUCCACUUCUCGCCAUUCAUUUGUUCUGGAGUGCCGAAGGUAUCUCAGAAGAUUUGUGUCUCCAUUAUCAAUUCGUUCAAGCUAUUUCGAGGUUGUUAUCACAUUCAAUCCAUUUAAUUCAACCAGCGCAAUCUCUCUUCCAAGCGACCUUUCUAACGGUGUAUCUUUUGAGUGGGCCCUAACCCACAGGUCUUUUCCCAAGAUCUUACCUGACCCUUCUAAUUUUUUUCGGAGAUAUUUUCAAAUUCAUUUCAAAGUUUGACGUAAGAAUGAGUCAUCAUCAGUCAAAUGUCUUUCUCCAAGAUCUUCCAAAUUCUUUUCAUUUUUGGUUCAACCUUUCUAAUUUUCAUUCCGAAGUGCCUCAACAAUUCAUGGUGAUGUUUCUCAUCAUCAUUCUCUGCAUUUGAAGACCGAAGAAGAGUUUUCCUCUAAAUCAUUCCUCUAAAUCAUAUCUGUUCUCUUAAAGAUUCAUGGGUCUAACUUCUUGUCAUCCUCAUAAUUGUUCUUGAUUGUGAGAAUUCUUUUCAUACCCAUCCGAAGCAUUUCAGGAGUAUUUUUCAGUUUGAUUCUUCGGAGCCCAUCAUCUCAGAAUUAUUCAUUCCAGCUUUCAGCUCUCGUUCUCCAAAAUCUUACCGGUGCAUCGUUCAAAUAUCCUCUAAUCAGUUCAUGAUCUCUUCGUUCUCAUGUAUCUAAAUUCUCUGAAGUAUCUUCAUUUUUUUAUAAUUCUUCCUAGUGUUUCUUUAUCUUUUCUUUGUUCAUUUUCAAUUCAUACGGUAGUUCGUUCAAGAGUUCUCUUCCUUGGUUAUCAUAUCAAUUCAUUCGUUCUUUCCAAUCCUACCGACGGUUCGUUGAAGACCUUCCCAAGUUGAGCAAUAUCUCUCUUCAAUCCUUUUUCAACGAGAAUAAGUAGUAUGCCAAAAUCCGUUGCUUGUCAUCAAUUUAAAUUGGUGAAGGAUACGCAUAACGUAAUUCUUAUUAUUGUUUCAUCCAAGUGAUUAAUUCCUUCUUCCAGAGUUCAUAAUGGUAUCAAUUUAUCAUUUCUAAGUUGUUCAUCUCUUCUUUCCGGAGUUUGUUCAUCAUAUCACAUUCUCGGUUCGAGAUGCUUCAUCUUUUCUUUCCGGAGUUCAAAGUUUCCUCAUUAUAUCAUCCUGAAGCUCCAUCUAAAUCAUUGCAAGACUUCACCUUGUUCUUUCAACUUCUCUUUUCUUUCUAUCAUCCUUUUGUUUAAUGGAGUUCUUCAUGGAGGCUCUGCAUGGUGGUUCAUCAAGGAUUCCUUUCAUUUCUUCAAUCAUUUUUCAAGAUUUCUCUCGAAGUUAAGAUCUGCCAAGCUAUACUCAAAAAAUUAAACAUGGUGUUCAACACAUGUCUUGUUUUGAGGAGUUCAAGCAUUCUUCAUCUUGCAUUCCGAAGUGCAAUUAUUUCUACCUUAUCUUUUGAGAUGGUGAUAUGUCAUUCUUGACAAUUUCUUUCAUGUUUCAUGAUUCUCAAGUUCUCAAGAAUGAGAUAUUUAAACCCAUCAUUUUCUUCCUUGGACUUACCUUAUGUUAGAUUUCACCUAAAGCCUUCCAUUGGGAAUGUUGCUAUAUGUGGUGCUUAUCAAUGAUCCAAAUUUUCUCCUAUCCUCUCGGCGAGAGAAGUUUUCAUCUCUUCGUUGAUCUCAAGCAAGCAAUUGUUUUCAUUAGUGGCAGAAUUUCACCUCAAGUUUUGAGAUGUCUCCAUAAGCCCACGAGGAUUAUAUCCUUUCAUUGUUGGUUUUCCAACAACUCCGCUCUAACCUUCUUGCAAGGGUGCUUUCCAAGAUCAUUUGUGGCAGAAGUUGGCAUUUUCUUCUCCAUUCCUUUAUUCCAAUGAGCUAUCUUCUAUAAUUUCUUCCGGAGGCAUUGUGAUGUUGCUCUCUUCACUCAUCAUCUCGGAUUGUGAGGACCAUGUUCUUUUCGUGCUUAUCCAUUCAAUCGGAGUGUCGUGUCCUCUUUUCAAGUAUCCUCUCAUCUUGUCAAGAUCAUGUUCAAUUCCUUCCAUUUACAGUCGGAGUGCUGCCCAAAUUAUAUCAUUGUUAUUCCUUCUCUAUCUUGUUUUAACUGGAGUGGUUUCAAUAUCUAUCUUGUCACUUAACCACUUAGUUUUUGUCGUAUCCCAUGUUCUUCUUAUCUAACAGAGUGUUUUCAACUUCGUUCAUCUCUGUUGUAUUCUUUUCAAAAAAAUGUUUAACCUCUGAAGGUUCCUUGGUUUCACCCAUUCGUCGAAGAAGCAACUUAGUUUUACCUUUUAUCUUCCUCUUCCGUUUCUCCCCGGUGCCAUCCUAGAUCUCGGGACGAGAUCCUCUUGUAGUGGUGGAGUGUUGUAACGCCCCAGAUGUAACUUUCCAUAUUUGUAACUCCAACUCUUGCCAUUUCCGGCUAUGUGAUAUGAUAUUUCCUUCGUGGUUGGGUUUUGUCUUACGUUUUUGCAUUUUGUUCAUGUCAUGCAUCUCAUCUCAUAGCAUCAUGCGCAUUGCAUCUGCAUGUUUUCAUAAAACUUGCAUCAGCUCGUAGUUGCCGUGUUACCCCUCGCCUUUUGUUGACCGUUCCGAGACCAACCUUGUUCUUCGUUUUUCCCUCUUUCCUAAACCGGAGUCUCUCUGUAAAGUGCACAGACCCCCUCGCUUGCUCGUCCGAAACCUCUCCCGAACCCGACCCGCUCAGUCACCACCGUUGCAUACAGUUCAUCCCCAAACAUCUAUAAAACAUCUCUGUUUUCUUAAUUGGACUCCUUAGCCUAUUUUAUCUCAACCAUCCAAUUUUAAACGGAUGAUCCAAACUUCCCUCUUUUCCCUAUAUAUAGUCCAACCUCAUACCUAAUCUAGAUAAACCCUAAAUUUUUGGAGGAUUGUCCCCCGCCGCCGCGCCUUUUCCCGACCCCCAUGACCUCCUCCGGCCCCAUUCCCGUUGAAGGCCGCCGUCGUCGCUCUGGUUCGGCGUGACCAGCUCAUCUGCCUCGCGUCUCGUCCUCAUUGCAUGGAGGAGGAACGCCCGCGCCCAGCCCGUCUUCGAGCCAAGCCGCCGCGCUGGAGCUUUUUCACUGUCAGCAGGUCCCGCUAACCAUCCCCUGAUCUUUUCCUCUCCAUCUCCCUUCGUUUCUCCUGUACCUCGCCCUCCCGGCGUUGUUUUUCCUAGGGAAUCAAGAGCUCAAGCCCCUCCAUGGCCGCACCCGACCUGCGCGACCCCGCCGGCCGGAUCUGCUCGAGCUCGCCGUCCCCUGCGCCUCAAGUUCCUCCCGCCGAAGCCCUAAGUCCACCUCUGCCCCGCGCCAAGUCCUCUGCUCGCACAGCCGUGUGACGCCCUCUGCUUCACCCUGCGUUGAUUGCAUGCAUCGCGCAGCCCAGCGCCUCCCCAGCCCACUGCGCAGUCGGCCCAGCCUCUCCGCGAGCCAGCCUGAUGGCCCGUGGUGAGCCCCCACGGAUCCAGCGCCCAGCCAGUUUCAGCCCAGUUCAUGUUUUUUUUCCAGUUAUGCGAAUUUGUCUAAUUUCCAGAGAAACCUAUUUUACAGAAAACCCCCUAGACAUCAUGCAUAUAUAAUAACUCCACAACCGUGCAUCGGAUUAAAAUGAUUUAAACAUGUAAACUGCUUAGAAUUCUGUCUAGUUUCAUAAUAUGCCACUUUCAUCCAUGUUAAAAAUGUUUAAAUUGCGGUUUGAGUAAUCAAAUGCCAUGCUAAAAUGAUUUAUUUCAUAACUAAAUAACCGUAGCUCCAUUUUAAAUAAACUUUAUAGGUAAAUGGGGUAGAAAAAUGCAUAGAUUAAGAUGAUGCACUUUAUUUUACUGUUUAACAACAUUAAAAUAUGUUUUAGGGCAGAACAGUAGCAAAUUCGAAAUAUGCAUAUGAGGAUUUUCCGGAAUUGUUGUUUGUUGUCCUGGCCUCAUUUAAACUUGCCUAGAUAGGUAGUUUUAUUGUGCUUCACCCCUUGCCAUGUUUAAUAAUAUUUAAUAUAGUUGGGUACAUAAUCGGGAGAGAACUCAAUAAAUGCAUGUGGUGUUUCGUCAAUAUGCAACUCCUUGCAUAUUGAACUCCACUUAAUUUGUAGUAUUCUUUGUUUCACUUUGCCAUGCCAUGCCUCAUUACACAGGACAUGCAUCAUACUUGAUUGUGCAUCAUGCCAUGUUUAUGCUUGUGUGUUUACCAUGUUGUUUGCUUCUUUCCGAUUUGCUUCUCUUGUUAGCUUCGGUUUCGUUCCGUAGUUUUGAGGAUUCGUUCGACUACGUCUGGUUGUUUUCUUCAUGGACUCGUUCUUCUUCCUUGUGGGACUUCAGGCAAGAUGACCAUACACUCGAAAUCACUUCUAUCUUUGCGUGCUAGUUGUUCGCUCUAUCGCUAUGUCGUGCUACCUACCACUUGUUGUAUCAUGCCUCCCAUUUUGCCAUGUCAAGCCUCUAACCCACCUUCCUAGCAAACCGUUGUUUGGCUAUGUUACCACUUUGCUCAGCCCCUCUUAUAGUGUUGCUAGUUGCAGGUGAAGUUGAAGCUGGUGCCAUGUUGGAACAUGGAUAUGUUGGGAUAUCACAAUAUCUCUUAUUUAAAUUAAUGCAUCUAUAUACUUGGUAAAGGGUGGAAGGCUCAGCCUUAUGCCUGGUGUUUUGUUCCACUCUUGCUGCCCUGGUUUCCGUCAUACCUGUGUUAUGUUCCUUGAUUUUGCGUUCUUUACGCGGUUGGGGAUUUAUGGGACCCCCUUGAUGGUUCGCUUUGAAUAAAACUCCUCUAGCAAGGCCCAACCUUGGUUUUAACAUUGGCCACCUAAGCCUUUUUCCCUUGGGUUCUGCAGACUCAAGGGUCAUCUUUAUUUUAAUCCCCCGGGCCAGUGUUCCUCUGAGUGCUGGUCCAAACCGGGCGAUGUUCGGCGCCCCCUGGGCAACCAAGGUCUAUGCCAACCCGACAUCUUGCCCAUCCGGUGUGCCCUGCGAACGAGAUACAUGCGACUCCUAUCGGGAUUUGUCGGCACAUCGGGUGGCUUUGCUGGUCUUGUUUUACCAUUGUCGAAAAGUCUUGUAACCGGGAUUCCGAGCCUGAUCGGGUCUUCCUGGGAGAAGGAAUAUCCUUCGUUGACCGUGAGAGCUUGUGAUGGGCUAAGUUGGGACACCCCUGCAGGGUAUUAUAUUUCGAAAGCCAUGCCCGCGGUUAUGUGGCAGAUGGGAAUUUGUUACUGUCCAGUUGUAGAGAACUUGAUGCUUAACUUAAUUAAAAAUCAUCAACCGCGUGUGUAGCCGUGAUGGUCUCUUUUCGGCGGAGUCCGGGAAGUGAACACGGUUUGGGUUAUGUAUGAACAUAAGUAGUUUCAGGAUCACUUCUUGAUCACUUCUAGCUUCUCGACCGUUGCGUUUCUCUUCUCGCUCUUAUUUGCGUAUGUUACCCACCAGAUUUGCUUAGUGCUUGCUGCAGCUCCACCUCAUUACUCCAUCCUACCCAUAAGCUUAAAUAGUCUUGAUCUCGCGGUUUUUGAGGUUGCUGAGUCCUCGUGACUCAAAGAUACUACCAAAACAGUUGCAGGUGCCGAUGACGCCAGUGUAGGUGAUGCUACCGAACUCAAGUGGGAGUUCAGCGCGGAACUUGGUCGUUACUAUGUUUCGUUUCUUGAUGAUCAGUAGUGUAGCCCAGUUGGAAUGAUCGGGGACCUAGCAUUUGAGGUUAUCUUCUUUUUAUUUGGAUUUGGCCGUAGUCGGUCUAUGUGUGUAUCUUGAAUGAUGUAUGAAUUUAUUAAUGUAUUGUGUGAAGUGGCUAUUGUAAGACAACUCUCUUUAUCCCAUUCUUGUUCAUUACAUGGGAUUGUGUGAAGAUGACCCUUCUUGCGACAAAACCUACAAUGUGGUUAUGCCUCUAAGUCAUGCCUCGACACGUGAGAGAUAUAGCCGCAUCGUGGGUGUUACAUAUGCCCACGCUCUAACAAAUAUAAGUGAAGCAAAAGUGCAUUCUACAAAUGGAGGUUUUCUAUGUGAAGAGAAACAGGCAAUCCAAACUUCAAAUGAUAUAAGUGAAGCACAUGAAGCAUUCUAUAAAGCCAUACUCAAAAGAUAUAAGUGAAGUGCAAUGAGCAUUCUAUAAAUCAACCAAGGACUAUCCCAUACCAGCAUGGUGCAUAAAAUAAAAGUGAAAACUAAAUGCAAUAGACGCUCCAAGAUUUGGACAUAUCGCAUGAACAAAACGAAUCCGAAAACAUACCAAUACUUGUUGAAGAAGGAUGGGAUGCCUACGGGGGCAUCCCCAAGCUUAGACACUUGAGUCUCCUUGAAUAUUUACUUGGGGUGCCUUGGGCAUCCCCAAGCUUGAGCUUUUGUCUCUCCUCCUUCUCCUCGUAUCGAGACCUCCUCGAUCUUUGAACACUUCAUCCACACAAAACUCAACAGAAAGCUCGGUAAGAUCCGUUAGUAUAAUAAAGCAAAUCACUACUCUAAGUACUGUUGCAAACCAAUUCAUAUUUUGUUUUUUCAUUGUAGCUACUGUAAUAUAACAUUUCCAUGGCUUAAUCCACUGAUAGAAAUUGAUAGUUUCAUCAAAACAAGCAAACUAUGCAUCAAAAACAGAAUCUGUUUUAAACAGGACAGUCUGUAAUAAUCUGAACAUUCACCAUACCUGUGGUACUCCAAAAAUUCUGCCAAAAUUAGGAAAAAUAAAAAAAUGUAUAGAAAGAUAGUGCAAAAAGUUUCAGAACCGUUUGACGUUCCAGUAAAAAAUGUAAAAUCGCGCACUACAGCCAAAGUUUCUGUUCUGCACCGCACAAACCAACAAGUAAUCUAAAACAUCCUAAAGGCAAACCUCGACACAUUAUUUUUAUAAUACAAUGGAAUUGUACAAGGGGAUAAUUAUUUUUGUUGAAAAGUUUCUAUAAUCAAGAUUCACAAAGUUUCCAUGAGCAUGAACAAAUUUCAAGGAGCUCCCGCACUUCAACAAUUCUUGUCUCUCUCACUUUCACUUUCCUUUUUGAAAAGUUCUGGGUUCCCCUCUUUUUUUAAACUAUAUAAAAGCAAUGAACAGAAAUAAAUGACUCUCUAAAACUUCCGGGUUGUCUCCCUGGCAGUGCUUUUUUUAAAGCCAUUAAGCUAGGCAUAUAGUGCUCAAGUAAUGGAUCCACCCGGAUCCCAAGGUAUAUCAAAGCCAAUUUUAGUUAACAAUGAUUUGGCAUUUAGUAGUGAGCACAAAGCAACAUAUAUCAAGCAAUGACGAAGUCUAACUCUCUUCCUAUGCAUCGGCAUGUCAUAAAAGAACAAUUCAUGCACACAAAGUAAAGGCCGAUGCUUAGUAUAAACAGUUUCUUGCAAUUUUAUCAUGUGGGAAACAUAGAGAGGUGGAGAUAUAGUUCCUCUCUCAUAAUAAUUGCAAGUAGGAGCAGCAAGCACAUACUAUAUCUAUCAAAAUCAUCAUGUGUAGUAGUAGAACGCAACCCAUCAAUAUAAUCCUUAAUAAGGGCAAACUUCGCCGAUAUAGUGUAGUCCGGAGAAUUCAAAAAGAUAAUAGGACUAUCAUGCGUGGGUGCAAUAGCAACAAUUUCAUGUUUAACAUAAGGAACUAUAGAAAGUUCAUCUCCGUAAGCAUAAUUCUUAUUGGCAUCUUGGCCACAAGAGUAUCAUCAAAAAGGGAUAUUUCAAAAGAAUCAACGGGAUCAUAACAAUCAUCAUAGCAAUCAUCCUUCGGUAAGCACGAAGGGAAGUUAAACAAUGUAUGAGUUGAAGAAUUACUCUCAUUAGAAGGUGGGCACGGGUGAUCAAUCUGCUCUUCUUCCUAUUGUUAUUUGCUCUCCUCCUCAUCUUCUUCAUCCAAUGAGCUCACAAUGUCAUUAACUUCUUCUUCCAUAGACUCCUACAAAAUAUUAGUCUCUUCUUGGACAAUGGAGACUCUCUCAAUAAAAUCAUCAAUAUCGGAAUUGAAUUCAUAAUUCUCAUAGCAAUAUUUAAGUAUAGCAAAAAUUUCAGGUCUAUAAACUGAAUCAUCAAAAUCUUCAAACUCUUUAAAUAAAGAUUCAAUUUCAUAAGAACCCAUAAAAGCAACGAACUCUUCUAUUUGUUCCACAUCAUAGUAAUCAUAUAUACCAUUAGCAUAAGAAGCUAAGGUUUCAUUAUCAUUAAAUUCACAUGAAAAGGGAAGGUGUGGAGCCUUCAUCCUAGAGCAACAAGUAUAAUCAUAUCUCAAGCAUAGUUGCCGAGCAUACCAAUGCAAUAUAUAAAUUUGAUCCCAUAAUAGUUUCCCGUUUUGAGUCAAGCGAUAAUCCCUAAAGUAUUCACGUUGAUCCAACGUGUCUCCCAUUACAAAGUUGAAUGGGGUUUUCUCAGUAUUAUCAAAGUAGUACAUAAUAUCUUUCACAUAAUGAGCAUCGAGGGUUUUAGGAGGUUCCCCAUCUCCAUGACUAGCAAGUAAACCUAUUUUUUUUUGGUAUUUCGUGUUCCAUAUCCAUAACUAAAGAUAGAGAACAACUUAGAACAGCAAAUAAAAAUUACUUAGUGAUAAAGCAAACAAGCACACACGAGAAUAUUCACCCCACGCUAUAACUCCCCGGCAACGGCGCUAGAAAAAGGUCUUGAUAACCCACAAGUAUAGGGGAUCAAUUGUAGCCUCUUUCGAUAAGUAAGAGUGUCGAACCCAACGAGGAGCUAAAGGUAGAACAAAUAUUCCCUUAAGUUCUAUCGACCACCGAUACAACUCUACGCACGCUUAACGUUUGCUUUACCUAGAACAAAUAUGAAACUAGGAGUACUUUGUAGGUAUUGUUGGAUAGGUUUGCAAGAAUAUAAAGAGCGCGUAAGUAAAUAGUAGGGGCUGUUUAGAUAAAGACACAACUAAAUUAGUUUUAGUAAAGAGCUUUUUGUCACGAGAAAGUUAUUUGUCCCUAGGCAAUCGAUAACUAAACCGGUAAUCAUAAUUGCAAUUUUAUUUGAGGGAGAGGCAUAAGCUAACAUACUUUCUCUUCUUUGAUCAUAUGCACUUAUGAUUGGAACUAUAGCAAGCAUCCGAAACUACUAAAGAUCAUUAAGGUAAAACCCAACCAUAGCAUUAAAGUAUCAAGUCCUCUUUAUUCCCAUACACCAUGACCCACUUAUCCGUGUUUGUGUUUCAGUCACUCACGCAACGCAGACAAUACGCAAACCAUGAACAUAUUGCAAACCCUACAGCAGGGAUCCCUCACGCUUGCAUGACACGGAGAGCACCAUAGGACAGCACCAAUAAUAAAAAAUGCAACUCAAACCAAUCAUGAUCAUCAAUUAACCAAUAGGACAAAACGGAUCUACUCAAACAUCAUAGGAUAGCCAUACAUCAUUGGGAAAUAAUAUAUAGCGUUGAGCACCAUGUUUCAGUAGAGAUUACAGCGGGUAAAAGAGGGGUUACACCGCUGCAUAGAGGGGGGAAGAGUUGGUGAUGAGGGCGGUGAACUUGUUGGUGUAGAUUGCGGUGAUGAUGAUGGCCCCGGCGGCGCUCCGGUGCCACCGGAAGAGAGGGGGAGAGAGCCCCCCUCCUUCUUCUUCUUCCUUGACCUUCUCCCUAGAUGGGAGAAGGGUUUCCCCUCUGGUCCAUGGUCUCCAUGGCAUGGGAGGGGCGAGAGCCCCUCCGAGAUUGGAUCUGUCUCGCUGUCUCUCUCUGUUUAUGCGCGCUCGAUUCUCGCCUUUCACCGUUUCUUAUAUUCCUAGAGAUCCGUAACUCCGAUUGGAUUGAAAUUUGAACACAAUUUUUAUCCAGAUAUAAGCUUUCUUGCGGCGAAAGAAGGGCAACAACCGCCUUACGGGGUGUCCACGAGGGUCAGGGGCGCGCCCCCUGCCUCGUGGCCCCCUCAGGCAUCGUCUUGCGUUGAUUCCACUUCCCAAAAUUCACAUAUAUUCCAAAAAAAUCUCUGACCGUUUUUAUCCCGUUUGGACUCCGUUUUAUAUAGAUUUUCUACAAAACAAAAAACAUGCAACAAACAGGAACUCGCACUGGGCACUGGAUUAAUAUGUUAGUCCCAAAAAUAGUAUAAAAAGUUGCCAAAAGUAUAUGAAAAUUGUGUAAUAUUGGCAUGGAACAAUCAAAAAUUAUAGAUAAGAUGGAGACGUAUCAUAGUGAUACACAUAUUCAUAAUAUUGAAUUGUGGCACUGCCAUUUAGGUCAUAUUGGUGUAAAGCGUAUGAAGAAACUCCAUGCUGAUGGACUUUUGGAAUCACUUGAUUAUGAAUCACUUGAUGCUUACGAACCAUGCCUCAUGGGCAAGAUGACUAAGACUCCGUUCUUCGGAACAAUGGAGCGAGCAACUGACUUAUUGGAAAUAAUACAUACUUAUGUAUGCGGUCCGAUGAGUGUUGAGGCUCCCGGCGGGUAUCGUUAUUUUCUGACCUUCAUAGAUGAUUUAAGCAGAUAUGGGUAUAUCUACUUCAUGAAACAUAAGUCUAAAACAUUUGAAAAGUUCAAAGAAUUUGAGAGUGAAGUGGAAAAUCAUCGUAACAAGAAAAUAAAGUUUCUACGGUCUGAUCGUGGAGGUGAAUAUUUGAGUUAUGAGUUCGGUCUUCAUUUGAAACAAUGUGGAAUAGUUUCUCAACUCACGCCACCUAGAACACCACAGCGUAAUGGUGUGUCCAAACGUCAUAAUCGUACUUUAUUAGAUUUGGUGUGAUCUAUGAUGUCUCUUACCGAUUUACCACUAUCGUUUUGGGGUUAUGCUUUAGAGAUGGCUACAUUCACGUUAAAUAGGGCACCAUCUAAAUCCGUUGAGACGACACCAUAUGAACUGUGGUUUGGCAAGAAACCUAAGCUGUCGUUUCUUAAAGUUUGGGGCUGCGAUGCUUAUGUGAAAAAGCUUCUACUUGAUAUGCUCAAACCCAAAUCGGAGAAAUGUGUCUUCAUAGGAUACCCAAAGGAGACUGUUGGGUAAACCUUCUAGCACAGAUCUGAAGGCAAGAUUUUCGUUGCUAAGAGUGGAUCCUUUCUAGAGAAGGAGUUUCUCUCGAAAGAAGUGAGUGGGAGGAAAGUAGAACUUGAUGAGGUAAUUGUACCUUCUCCCGAAUUGGAAAGUAGUUCAUCACAGAAAUCAGUUCCAGUGAUGCCUACACCAAUUAGUGAGGAAGUUAAUGUUGAUGAUUAUGAAACUUCGGAUCAAGUUACUACCGAACCUCGUAGGUCAACCAGAGUACGUUCCGCACCAGAGUGGUACGGUAAUCCUAUUCUGGAAGUCAUAUUAGUAGACCAUGACGAACCUACGAACUAUGAGGAGGCGAUGACGAGCCUAGAUUCUGCGAAAUCGCUUGAGGCCAUGAAAUCUAAGAUGGGAUCCAUGGAUGAGAACAAAGUGUGGACUUUGGUUGACUUGCCCGAUGAUCGGCAAGCCAUAGAAAAUAAAUGGAUCUUCAAGAAGAAGACUGACGCUGAUGGUAAUGUUACUAUCUACAAAGCUCGAGUUGUUGCGAAAGGUUUUCGACAAGUUCAAGGAGUUGACUAUGAUGAGACCUUCUCACCCGUAGCGAUGCUUAAGUCUAUCUGAAUCAUGUUAGCAAUUGCCGCAUUUUAUCAUUAUGAAAUCUGGCAAAUGGAUGAAAAACUACAUUCCUUAAUGGAUACCUUAAAGAAGAGUUGUAUAUGAUGCAACCAGAAGGUUUUGUCGAUCCUAAAGGUGCUAACAAAGUGUGCAAGCUCCAGCGAUCCAUUUAUGGACUGGUGCAAGCCUCUCAGAGUUGGAAUAUACGCUUUGAUAGUGUGAACAAAGCAUACGGUUUUAUACAGACUUUUGGAGAAGCCUGUAUUUACAAGAAAGUGAGUGGGAGAUCUAUAACAUUUCUAAUAUUAUAUGUAGAUGACAUAUUGUUGAUUGGAAAUGAUACAGAAUUUCUGGAUAGCAUAAAAGGAUACUUGAAUAAGAAUUAUUCAAUGAAAGGCCUCGGUGAAGCUGCUUAUAUAUUGGGCAUCAAGAUCUAUAGAGAUAGAUCAAGACGCCUGAUUGGACUUUCACAAAGAACAUACCUUGAUAAAGUUUUGAAGAAGUUCAAAAUGGAUUAGUCAAAGAAAGGGUUCUUGCCUGUGUUACAAGGUGUGAAGUUGAGUCAGACUCAAUGCCUGACCACUACAGAAGAUAGAGAGAAAAUGAAUGUCAUUCCCUAUGCCUCAGCCAUAGGUUCUAUCAUGUAUGCAAUGUUAUGUACCAGACCUGAUGUGUGCCUUGCUAUAAGUUUAGCAGGGAGGUACCAAAGUAAUCCAGGAGUGGAUCACUGGACAGCGGUCAAGAACAUCCUAAAAUACUUGAAAGGACUAAGGAUAUGUUUCUCGUUUAUGGAGGUGACAAAAAGCUUGUCAUAAAUGGUUACAUCGAUGCAAGCUUUGACACUGAUCCGGAUGACUCUAAGUCACACAUCGGAUACGUAUUUAUAUUGAAUGGUGGAGCUGUCAGUUGGUGUAGUUCCAAGUAGCUGAAGGAAAUAUGCCCUAGAGGCAAUAAUAAAGUUAUUAUUUAUUUCCUUAUAUCAUGAUAAAUGUUUAUUAUUCAUGCUAUAAUUGUAUUAACCGGAAACAUAAUACAUGUGUGAAUACAUAGACAAACAGAGUGUCACUAGUAUGCCUCUACUAGACUAGCUCGUUAAUCAAAGAUGGUUAUGUUUCCUAACCAUGGACAAAGAGUUGUUAUUUGAUUAACGGGAUCACAUCAUUAGGUGAAUGAUCUAAUUGACAUGACCCAUUCCAUUAGCUUACACCCGAUCGUUUAGUAUGUUGCUAUUGCUUUCUUCAUGACUUAUACAUGUUCCUAUGACUAUGAGAUUAUGCAACUCCCGUUUACCGGAGGAACACUUUGUGUGCUACCAAACGUCACAACGUAACUGGGUGAUUAUAAAGGUGCUCUACAGGUGUCUCCAAAGGUACAUGUUGGGUUGGCGUAUUUCAAGAUUAGGAUUUGUCACUCCGAUUGUCGGAGAGGUAUCUCUGGGCCCUCUCGGUAAUGCACAUCACAUAAGCCUUGCAAGCAUUGCAACUAAUGAGUUAGUUGUGAGAUGAUGUAUUACGGAACGAGUAAAGAGACUUGCCGGUAAUGAGAUUGAACUAGGUAUUGAGAUACAGACGAUCGAAUCUCGGGCAAGUAACAUACCGAUGACAAAGGGAACAACGUAUGUUGUUAUGCGGUCUGACCGAUAAAAGAUCUUCAUAGAAUAUGUAGGAACCAAUAUGAGCAUCCAGGUUCCGCUAUUGGUUAUUGACCGGAGACAUGUCUCGGUCAUGUCUACAUUGUUCUUGAACCCGUAUGGUCCGCACGCUUAAGGUUUCGAUGACAGUUAUAUUAUGAGUUUAUGCAUUUUGAUGUACCGAAGUUUGUUCGGAGUCCCGGAUGUGAUCACGGACAUGACGAGGAGUCUUGAAAUGGUCGAGACAUAAAGAUUGAUAUAUUGGAAGCCUAUAUUUGGAUAUCGGAAGUGUUCCGGGUGAAAUCGGGAUUUUACCGGAGUACCGGGAGGUUACCAGAACCCCCCGGGAGGUAUAUGGGCCUUAGUGGGCCUUAGUGGAAGAGAGGAGAGGUGGCCAGGGAUGGGCCGUGCGCCCCUCCCCCCCUAGUCCGAAUAGGACAAGGGAAGGGGGCCGGCACCCCCCUUCCUUCUCUCUCUCCUCUUUCCCCCCUCCCGAAUCCUAUUCCAUCUNNNNNNNNNNNNNNNNNNNNNNNNNNNNNNNNNNNNNNNNNNNNNNNNNNNNNNNNNNNNNNNNNNNNNNNNNNNNNNNNNNNNNNNNNNNNNNNNNNNNNNNNNNNNNNNNNNNNNNNNNNNNNNNNNNNNNNNNNNNNNNNNNNNNNNNNNNNNNNNNNNNNNNNNNNNNNNNNNNNNNNNNNNNNNNNNNNNNNNNNNNNNNNNNNNNNNNNNNNNNNNNNNNNNNNNNNNNNNNNNNNNNNNNNNNNNNNNNNNNNNNNNNNNNNNNNNNNNNNNNNNNNNNNNNNNNNNNNNNNNAGGGAGCACCCCUAGAGACACAAGUUGAUCCACGUGAUCAUAUUCUUAGCCAUGUGCGGUGCCCCCUUCCACCAUAGUCCUCGAUAAUAUUGUAGCGGUGCUUAGGCGAAGCCCUGCGACGGUAGUACAUCAAGAUCGUCACCACGCCAUCGUGCUGACGGAACUCUUCCCCGACACUUUGCUGGAUCGGAGUCCAGGGAUCGUCAUCGAGCUGAACGUGUGCUAGAACUCGGAGGUGCCGUAGUUUCGGUGCUUGAUCGGUCGGGCCGUGAAGACGUACGACUACAUCAACCACGUUGUGCUAACGCUUCCGUUGUCGAUCUACAAGGGUACGUAGAUCACACUCUCCCCUCUCGUUGCUAUGCAUCACCAUGAUCUUGCGUGUGCGUAGGAAAUUUUUUGAAAUUACUACGUUACCCAACAAUGGCAUCAGAGCCUAGGUUUUAUGUGUUGAUGUUAUUUGCACGAGUAGAACACAAGUGAGUUGUGGGCGAUAUAAGUCAUACUGCUUACCAGCAUGUCAUACUUUGGUUCGGCGGUAUUGUUGGACGAAGCGGCCCGGACCGACAUUACGCGUAUGCUUACGCGAGACCGGUUCUCCCGACGUGCUUUGCACAAAGGUGGCUAGCGGGUGACAGUUUCUCCAACUUUAGUUGAACCGAGUGUGGCUACGCCCGGUCCAUGCGAAGGUUAAAACAGCACCAACUUGACAAACUAUCGUUGUGGUUUUGAUGCGUAGGUAAGAUUGGUUCUUGCUUAAGCCCGUAGCAGCCACGUAAAACUUGCAACAACAAAGUAGAUGACGUCUAACUUGUUUUUGCAGGGCAUGUUGUGAUGUGAUAUGGUCAAGACAUGAUGCUAAAUUUUAUUGUAUGAGAUGAUCAUGUUUUGUAACCGAGUUAUCGGCAACUGGCAGGAGCCAUAUGGUUGUCGCUUUAUUGUAUGCAAUGCAAUCGUGCUGUAAUGCUUUACUUUAUCACUAAGUGGUAGCGAUAGUCGUGGAAGCAUAAGAUUGGCGAGACAACAACGAUGCUACGAUGGAGAUCAAGGUGUCGCGCCGGUGGCGAUGGUGAUCAUGACGGUGCUUCUAAGAUGGAGAUCACAAGCACAAGAUGAUGAUGGCCAUGUCAUAUCACUUAUAUUGAUUGCAUGUGAUGUUUAUCUUUUAUGCAUCUUAUCUUGCUUUGAUUGAUGGUAGCAUUAUAAGAUGAUCUCUCACUAAUUAUCAAGAAGUGUUCUCCCUGAGUAUGCACCAUUGCGAAAGUUCUUCGUGCUGAGACACCACGUGAUGAUCGGGUGUGAUAGGCUCUACAUUCAAAUACAACGGGUGCAAAACAGUUGCACAUGCGGAAUACUCAGGUUAUACUUGACGAGCCAAGCAUAUACAGAUAUGGCCUCGGAACACGGAGACCGAAAGGUCGAGCGUGAAUCAUAUAGUAGAUAUGAUCAGCAUAGUGAUGUUCACCAAUGAAGCUACUCCAUCUCACGUGAUGAUCGAACAUGGUUUAGUUGAUUUGGAUCACGUAAUCACUUAGAGGAUUAGAGGGAUGUCUAUCUAAGUGGGAGUUCUUUAAGUAAUAUGAUUAAUUGAACCUAAAUUUAUCAUGAACUUAGUACCUGAUAGUAUCUUGCUUAUUCAUGUUUGAUUGUAGAUAGAUGGCCCGUGCUGUUGUUCCAUUGAAUUUUAAUGCGUUCCUUGAGAAAGCAAAGUUGAAAGAUGAUGGUAGCAAUUUCACGGACUGGGUCCGUAACUUGAGGAUUAUCCUCAUUGCUGCACAGAAGAAUUACGUCCUGGAAGCACCGCUGGGUGCCAGGCCUGCUGCUAGAGCAACACCAGAUGUUAUGAACGUCUGGCAGAGCAAAGCUAAUGACUACUCGAUAGUUUAGUGUGCCAUGCUUUACGGCUUAGAAUCGGGACUUCAACGACGUUUUGAACGUCAUGGAGCAUAUGAGAUGUUCCAGGAGUUGAAGUUAAUAUUUCAAGCAAAUGCCCGGAUUGAGAGAUAUGAAGUCUCCAAUAAAUUCUAUAGCUGCAAGGUGGAGGAGAACAGUUCUGUCAGUGAGCAUAUACUCAAAAUGUCUGGGUAUAAUAAUCACUUGAUUCAAUUGGGAGUUAAUCUUCCAGAUGAUUGCGUCAUUGACAGAAUUCUCCAAUCACUGCCACCAAGCUACAAGAGCUUCGUGAUGAACUAUAAUAUGCAAGGGAUGAAUAAGACUAUUCCCGAGCUCUUCGCAAUGCUGAAAGCUGCGGAGGUAGAAAUCAAAAAGGAGCAUCAAGUGUUGAUGGUCAACAAGACCACUAGUUUCAAGAAAAAGGGCAAAGGGAAGAAGAAGGGGAACUUCAAAAAGAACAGCAAGCAAGUUGCUGCUCAAGAGAAAAAACCCAAACCUGGACCUAAGCCUGAAAUUGAGUGCUUCUACUGCAAGCAGACUGGUCACUGGAAGCGGAACUGCCUCAAAUAUUUGGCGGAUAAGAAGGAUGGCAAGGUGAACAAAGGUAUAUGUGAUAUACAUGUUAUUGAUGUGUACCUUACUAAUGCUCGCAGUAGCACCUGGGUAUUUGAUACUGGUUCUGUUGCUAAUAUUUGCAACUCGAAACAGGGACUACGGAUUAAGCGAAGAUUGGCUAAGGACGAGGUGACGAUGCGCGUGGGAAAUGGUUCCAAAGUCGAUGUGAUCGCAGUCGGCACGCUACCUCUACAUCUACCUUCGGGAUUAAUAUUAGACCUAAAUAAUUGUUAUUUGGUGCCAGCGUUAAGCAUGAACAUUAUAUCUGGAUCUUGUUUGAUGCGAGACGGUUAUUCAUUUAAAUCAGAGAAUAAUGGUUGUUCUAUUUACAUGAGUAAUAUCUUUUAUGGUCAUGCACCCUUAAAGAGUGGUCUAUUCUUAUUAAAUCUCGAUAGUAGUGACACACAUAUUCAUAGUGUUGAAACCAAAAGAUGCAGAGUUGAUAAUGAUAGUGCAAAUUAUUUGUGGCACUGCCGUUUAGGUCAUAUCGGUAUAAAGCGCAUGAAGAAACUCCAUACUGAUGGGCUUUUGGAACCACUUGAUUAUGAAUCACUUGGUACUUGCGAACCGUGCCUUAUGGGUAAAAUGACAAAAACACCGUUCUCCGGUACUAUGGAGAGAGCAACAGAUUUGCUAGAAAUCAUACAUACAGAUGUAUGUGGUCCGAUGAAUGUUGAGGCUCGUGGCGGAUAUCGUUAUUUUCUCACCUUCACAGAUGACUUAAGUAGAUAUUGGUAUAUCUACUUAAUGAAACACAAGUCUGAAACGUUUGAAAGGUUCAAAGAAUUUCAGAGUGAAGUUGAAAAUCAUCGUAACAAGCAAAUAAAAUUCCUACGAUCUGAUCGUGGAGGAGAAUAUUUGAGUUACGAGUUUGAUGUACAUUUGAAACAAUGUGGAAUAGUUUCGCAACUCACGCCACCCGGAACACCACAGCGUAAUGGUGUGUCCGAACGUCGUAAUUGUACUUUACUAGAUAUGGUACGAUCUAUGAUGUCUCUUACUGAUUUACCGCUAUCAUUUUGGGGAUACGCUCUAGAGACGGCCGCAUUCACGUUAAAUAGGGCACCAUCAAAAUCCGUUGAGACGACGCCUUAUGAACUGUGGUUUGGCAAGAAACCAAAGUUGUCAUUUCUGAAAGUUUGGGGCUGCGAUGCUUAUGUGAAAAAGCUUCAACCUGAUAAGCUCGAACCCAAAUUGGAAAAAUGUGUCUUCAUAGGAUAUCCAAAGGAAACUAUUGGAUACACCUUCUAUCAUAGAUCCGAAGGCAAGACUUUUGUUGCUAAAUUCGGAAACUUUCUGGAGAAGGAGUUUCUCUCGAAAGAAGUGAGUGGGAGGAAAGUAGAACUUGACGAGGUAACUGUACCUACUCCCUUAUUGGGAAGUAGUACAUCACAGAAACCUGUUUCUGUGACACCUACACCAAUUAGUGAGGAAGCUAAUGAUGAUGAUCAUGAAACUUCAGAACAAGAUACUACUGAACCUCGUAGAUCAACCAGAGUAAGAUCCGCACCAGAGUGGUACGGUAACCCUGUUCUGGAAGUCAUGCUACUAGAUCAUGAUGAACCUACGAACUAUGAAGAAGCGAUGGUGAGCCCAGAUUCUGCAAAAUGGCUUGAAGCCAUGAAAUCUGAGAUGGGAUCCAUGUAUGAGAACAAAGUAUGGACUUUGGUUGACUUUCCCAAUGAUCGGCAAGCAAUUGAGAAUAAAUGGAUCUUCAAGAAGAAGACGGACGCUGACGGUAAUAUUACUGUCUACAAAGCUCGACUUGUCGCAAAAGGUUUUCGGCAAGUUCAAGGGAUUGACUACGAUGAGACCUUCUCACCCGUAGCGAAGCUUAAGUUUGUCCGAAUCAUGUUAGCAAUUGCCGCAUUUUAUGAUUAUGAAAUUUGGCAGAUGGGUGUCAAAACUGCAUUCCUGAAUGGAUUUCUGGAAGAAGAGUUAUAUAUGAUGCAACCAGAAGGUUUUGUCGAUCCAAAGGGAGCUAACAAAGUGUGCAAGCUCCAGCGAUCCAUUUAUGGACUGGUGCAAGCCUUUCGGAGUUGGAAUAAAUGCUUUGAUAGUGUGAUCAAAGCAUUUGGUUUUGUACAGACUUUUGGAGAAGCAUGUAUUUACAAGAAAGUGAGUGGGAGCUCUGUAGCAUUUCUGAUAUUAUAUUGGAUGACAUAUUACUAAUUGGAAAUGAUAUAGAAUUUCUGGAUAGCAUAAAGGGAUACUUGAAUAAGAGUUUUUCAAUGAAAGACCUCGGUGAAGCUACUUACAUAUUAGGCAUUAAGAUCUAUAGAGAUAGAUCAAGACGCUUAAUUGGACUUUCACAAAGCACAUACCUAGACAAAGUUUUGAAGAAGUUCAAAAUGGAUCAAGCAAAGAAAGGGUUCUUGCCUGUGUUACAAGGUAUGAAGUUGAGUCAGACUCAAUGCCCGACCACUGCAGAAGAUAGAGAGAAAAUGAAAGAUGUUCCCUAUGCUUCAGCCAUAGGCUCUAUCAUGUAUGCAAUGUUGUGUACCAGACCUGAUGUGUGCCUUACUAUAAGUCUAGCAGGGAGGUACCAAAGUAAUCCAGGAGUGGAUCACUAGACAGCGGUCAAGAACAUCCUGAAAUACCUGAAAAGGACUAAGGAUAUGUUUCUCGUUUAUGGAGGUGACAAAGAGCUAAUCGUAAGUGGUUACGUCGAUGCGAGCUUUGACACUGAACCGAAUGAUUCUAAAUCGCAAACCGGAUACGUAUUUACAUUAAACGGUGGAGCUGUCAGUUGGUGCAGUUCUAAACAAAGUGUCGUGGCGGGAUCUACGUGUGAAGCGGAAUACAUAGCUGCUUCGGAAGCAGCAAAUGAAGGAGUCUGGAUGAAGGAGUUCAUAUCCGAUCUAGGUGUUAUACCUAGUGUAUCGGGUCCAAUGAAAAUCUUUUGUGACAAUACUGGUGCAAUUGCCUUGGCAAAGGAAUCCAGAUUUCACAAGAGAACCAAGCACAUCAAGAGACGCUUCAAUUCCAUCCGGGAUCUAGUCCAGGUGGGAGACAUAGAGAUUUGCAAGAUACAUACGGAUCUGAAUGUAGCAGAUCCGUUGACUAAGCCUCUUCCAUGAGCAAAUCAUUAUCAGCACCAAGGCUCCAUGGGUGUUAGAAUCAUUACUAUAUAAUAUAGAUUAUUGACUCUAGUGCAAGUGGGAUACUGAAGGAAAUAUGCCCUAGAGGCAGUAAUAAAGUUAUUAUUUAUUUCCUUAUAUCAUGAUAAAUGUUUAUUAUUCAUGCUAGAAUUGUAUUAACCAGAAACAUAAUACAUGUGUGAAUACAUAGACAAACAGAGUGUCACUAGUAUGCCUCUACUAGACUAGCUCGUUAAUCAAAGAUGGUUAUGUUUCCUAACCAUGGACAAAGAGUAGUUAUUUGAUUAAUGGGAUCACAUCAUUAGGUGAAUGAUCUGAUUGACAUGACCCAUUCCAUUAGCUUACACCCGAUCGUUUAGUAUGUUGCUAUUGCUUUCUUCAUGACUUAGACAUGUUCCUAUGACUAUGAGAUUAUGCAACUCCCGUUUACCGGAGGAAAACUUUGUGUGCUACCAAACGUCACAACAUAACUGGGUGAUUAUAAAGGUGCUCUACAGGUGUCUCCAAAGGUACAUGUUGGGUUGGCGUAUUUCGAGAUUAGGAUUUGUCACUCCGAUUGUCGGAGAGGUAUCUCUGGGCCCUCUCGGUAAUGCACAUCACAUAAGCCUUGCAAGCAUUGCAACUAAUGAGUUAGUUGUGAGAUGAUGUAUUACGGAACGAGUAAAGAGACUUGCCGGUAACGAGAUUGAACUAGGUAUUGAGAUACCGACGAUCGAAUCUCGGGCAAGUAACAUACCGAUGACAAAGGGAACAACGUAUGUUGUUAUGCGGUCUGACCGAUAAAAGAUCUUCGUAGAAUAUGUAGGAACCAAUAUGAGCAUCCAGGUUCCGCUAUUGGUUAUUGACCGGAGACAUGUCUCGGUCAUGUCUACAUUGUUCUCAAACCCGUAUGGUCCGCACGCUUAAGGUUUCGAUGACAAUUAUAUUAUGAGUUUAUGCAUUUUGAUGUACUGAAGUUUGUUCGGAGUCCCAGAUGUGAUCACGGACAUGACGAGGAGUCUUGAAAUGGUCGAGACAUAAAGAUUGAUAUAUUGGAAGCCUAUAUUUGGAUAUCGGAAGUGUUCCGGGUGAAAUCGGGAUUUUACCGGAGUACCGGGAGGUUACCGGAACCCCCCGGGGAGGUAUAUGGGCCUUAGUGGGCCUUAGUGGAAGAGAGGAGAGGUGGCCAGGGCUGGGCCGUGCGACCCUCCCCCCCUAGUCCGAAUAGGACAAGGGGAGGGGGCCGGCAUCCCCCUUCCUUCUCUCUCUCCUCUUUCCCCUCUCCCGAAUCCUAUUCCAACUAGGAAAGAGGGGAAUCCUACUCCCGGAGGGAGUAGGACUCCUCCUGGCGCGCCCUCUCCUGGCCGGUCGCACCCCCCCCCCCUUGAUCCUUUAUAUACGGAGGCAGGGAGCACCCCUAGAGACACAAGUUGAUCCACGUGAUCAUAUUCUUAGCCGUGUGCGGUGCCCCCUUCCACCAUAGUCCUCGAUAAUAUUGCAGCGGUGCUUAGGCGAAGCCCUGCGACGGUAGUACAUCAAGAUCGUCACCACGCCGUCGUGCUGACGGAACUCUUCCCCGACACUUUGCUGGAUCGGAGUCCGGGGAUCGUCAUCGAGCUGAAUGUGUGCUAGAACUCGGAGGUGCCGUAGUUUCGGUGCUUGAUCGGUCGGGCCGUGAAGACGUACGACUACAUCAACCACGUUGUGCUAACGCUUCCGUUGUCGAUCUACAAGGGUACUAGAUCACACUCUCCCCUCUCGUUGCUAUGCAUCACCAUGAUCUUGCGUGUGCGUAGGAAAUUUUUUGAAAUUACUACGUUACCCAACAGUAGCUGCUUCGGAAGCAGCAAAUGAAGGAGUCUGGAUGAAGCAGUUCAUAUCCGAUCUAGGUGUAAUACCUAGUGCAUCGGGUCCAAUGAAAAUCUUUUGUUACAAUACUAGAGCAAUAGCCUUGGCGAAGGAAUCUAGAUUUCACAAGAGAACCAAACACAUCAAGAGACGCUUCAAUUCCAUCUGCGAUCUAGUCAAGGAGGGAGACAUAGAGAUUUGCAAAAUACAUACAGAUCUGAAUGUUGCAGACCAGUUGACUAAGCCUCUUCCACGAGCAAAACAUGAUCAGCACCAAGACUCCAUGGGUGUUAGAAUCAUUACUAUGUAAUCUAGAUUAUUGACUCUAGUGCAAGUGGGAGACUGAAGGAAAUAUGCCCUAGAGGCAAUAAUAGAGUUGUUAUUUAUAUUUCCUUAUAUCAUGAUAAAUGUUUAUUAUUCAUGCUAGAAUUGUAUUAACUGGAAACUUAGUACAUGUGUGAAUACAUAGACAAAACAGAGUGUCCCUAGUAUGCCUCUACUUGACUAGCUCGUUGAUCAAAGAUGGUUAUGUUUCCUGACCAUAGACAUGUAUUGUUAUUUGAUGAACGGGAUCACAUCAUUAGAGAAUUAUGUGAUGGACAAGACCCAUUCGUUAGCUUAGCAUGAUGAUCGUUUAGUUUUAUUGCUAUUGCUUUCUUCAUAACUUAUACAUGUUCCUCUGACUAUGAGAUUAUGCAUCUCCUGAAUAUCGGAAGAACACCUUGUGUGCUAUCAAAUGUUACAAUGUAACUAGGUUAUUAUAAAGAUGCUCUACAUGUGUCUCUGAAGGUGUUUGCUGGGUUGGCAUAGAUCAAGAUUAGGAUUCGUCACUCCGUGUAUCCGAGAGGUGUCUCUGGGCCCUCUUUGUAAUGCACAUCACUAUAAGCCUUGCAAGCAAUGUGAUUAAUGAGUUAGUUGCAGGAUGAUGCAUUACGGAACGAGUAAAGAGACUUGCCGGUAAUGAGAUUGAACUAGGUAUGAUGAUACCGACGAUCGAAUCUCGGGCAAGUAACAUACCGAUGACAAAGGGAACAACGUAUGCUGUUAUGCGAUUUGACCGAUAAAGAUCUUCAUAGAAUAUGUAGGAUACCAUAUGAGAAUCCAGGUUCCGCUAUUGGUUAUUGACCGAAGAUGUGUCUCGGUCAUGUCUACAUAGUUCUCGAACCCGUAGGGUCCGCACGCUUAACGUUCGAUGAUGAUUUGUAUUAUGAGUUAUGUGAUUUAAUGACCAAAGAUUGUUUAGAGUCCGGAUGAGAUCACGGAGAUGACGAGGAGUCUCGAAAUGGCCGAGAGGUAAAGAUUGAUAUAUUGGAAGGUUAUAUAUGGACAUUGAAAUGGUUCCGAUAAGGUUCCGGGAUUUAUCGGAGUACCGGGAGGCUAUCGAAACCCCCCGGGAAGUUAAUGGGCCCUAUUGGGCUUUAGUGGAGAGAGGGAAGAAGGGCCAUGAGGUGGCGCACACCUCCCCUUGCCCAAACCGAAUUGGACAAGGGGUGGAUGCGCGACCCCCCCUUUCCUUCUCCCUCUCCCUCCUUUCCCCUUUCCCCUCUCCGUAAGAUGGAAGGAGGGGGGCCGAAUCCUACUAGGAACGGAGUCCUAGUAGGACUCCCCCCUCAUGGCGCGCCCCCCUUGGGCCGGCUUAUACGUCAAUUUAGUAUCAUGCUUUUAUAUUGAUAUUUAUUGCAUUAUGGGUUGUUAUUACAUGUUAUGCCACAAUACUUAUGUCUAUUCUCUCUUAUUUUACAAGGUUUACAUGAAGAGGGAGAAUGCCGGCAGCUGGAAUUCUGGGCUGGAAAGGGAGCAAAUAUUAGAGACCUAUUCUGCACAACUCCAAAAGUCCUAAAACUUCACGGAAGUCAUUUUUGGAAUUUAUAAAAAAUACUGAGCGAAGAAAAUACCAGAGGGGGCCCACACCCUGGCCACGAGGGUGGGGGCGCGCCCUACCCUCCUGGGCGCGCCCCCUGUCUCGUGGGCCCCCUGGCAGGCCUCCGGUGCCCAUCUUUGGCUAUAUGGUGUCUUCUACCCUGGAAAAAAUCAUAAGCAAGCUUUCGGGAAGAAACUCCACCGCCACGAGGUGGAACCUUGGCGGAACCAAUCUAGGGCUCCGGCAGAGCUGUUCUGCCGGGGAAACUUCCCUCCGGGAGGGGGAAAUCAUCGCCAUCGUCAUCACCAACGAUCCUCUCAUCGGGAGGGGGUCAAUCUCCAUCAACAUCUUCACCAGCACCAUCUCCUCUCAAACCCUAGUUCAUCUCUUGUAUCCAAUCUUUGUCCCAAAUCCUCAGAUUGGUACCUGUGGGUUGCUAGUAGUGUUGAUUACUCCUUGUAGUUGAUGCUAGUUGGUUUAUUUUGUGGAAGCUCAUAUGUUCAGAUCCAUUAUGCAUAUUAAUACCCCUCUGAUUAUGAACAUGAAUAUGAUUUGUGAGUAGUUACGUUUGUUCCUGAGGACAUGGGAGAAGUCUUGUUAUUAGUAGUCAUGUGAAUUUGGUAUUCAUUCGAUAUUUUGAUGAGAUGUAUGUUGUCUUUCCUCUAGUGUUGUUAUGUGAACGUCGACUACAUGACCCUUCACCGUUGUUUGGGCUUAGAGGAAGGCAUUGGGAAGUAAUAAGUAGAUGAUGGGUUGCUAGAGUGACAGAAGCUUGAACCCUAGUUUAUGAGUUGCUUCGUAAGGGGCUGAUUUGGAUCCAUAUGUUUCAUGAUAUGGUUAGGUUUACCUUAAUACUUCUUUUGUAGUUGCGGAUGCUUGCAAUAGGGGUUAAUCAUAAGUGGGAUGCUUGUCCAAGAAAGGACAGUACCCAAGCACCGGUCCACCCACAUACCAGAUUAUUAAAGUAACGAACGCGAAUCAUAUGAGCGUGAUGAAAACUAGCUUGACGAUAAUUCCCAUGUGUCCUCGGGAGCGCUUUUCUCUAUAUAAGAGUUUGUCCAGCCUUGUCCUUUGCUACAAAAAGGAUUGGGCCAUCUUGUUGCACCCUAUUUACUUUCAUUACUUGUUACUUGUUGCCAAUUACCUUAUCACAAAACUAUUUGUUACCGAUAAUUUCAGUGCUUGCAGAGAAUACCUUGCUGAAAACCGCUUAUCAUUUCCUUCUGCUCCUCGUUGGGUUCGACACUCUUACUUAUUGAAAGGACUACGAUAGAUCCCCUAUACUUGUGGGUCAUCACCGGCCUCCUCCUCCCCCCUCCUUUAUAUACGUGGGCAGGGAGGCACCCCAAAGCACAACAAACAAUCUUUUAGCCGUGUGCGGUGCCCCCUCCACAGUUUAACACCUCGGUCAUAUCGUCGUAGUGCUUAGGCGAAGCCCUACGCCGAUAACUUCAUCAUCACCAUCACCAUGCCGCCGUGCUGACGAAAUUCUCCCUCGUCCUCAACUGGAUCAAGAGCUCGAGGGACGUCAUCGUGAUGAACGUGUGCUGAACACGGAGGUGUCGUACGUUCGAUACUUGGAUCGGUUGGAUCAUGAAGACGUUCGACUACAUCAACCGCGUUACUAAAUGCUUCCGCUUUCGGUCUACGAGGGUACGUGGACACACUCUCCCAUCUUGUUGCUAUGCAUCUCCUAGAUAGAUCUUGUGUGAUCGUAGGAAUUUUUUUGAAAUACUGUGUUCCCCAACAAAUACCGCCGAAUCAAAAUAAUACGUUGGUGGUAAGAAAUAUGACUAUCACCGCCCACAACUCUUUGUGUUCUACUCAUGCAUAUCAUCUACGCAUAGACCUGGCUCAGAUGCCACUGUUGGGAAACGUUGCAUGAAAAACAAAAAAAUUCUACGCACACGCAAGAUCUAUCAAGGGGAUGCAUAGGAACGAGAGGGGAGAGUAUGUCUAUGUACCCUCAUAGACCGUAAGCGGAAGCAUUUGACAACGCGAUUGAUGUAGUCAAACUUCUUUGCGUUCCAACCGAGCGAGCACCGAACAUAUGGCACCUCCGCGUUCAGCACACGUUCAGCUCGAUGAUGUCCUCCGCGUUCUUGAUCCAGCAAUACGGCGAGGUAGUGGAUGAGUUCUGGCAGCACGACGACGUGGUGACGGUGAUGGUGAAGUGAUCUCCGCAGGGCUUCGCCUAAGCACUACGAAAAUAUGACCGAGGGUGUAAACGAUGGAGGGGGCGCCGCGCACGGCUAAGCAAUUGUCUAGGGUGUGCUAGCCCCCCCCCCCACUUAUAUAUAGGUGGAGGGAGAGGGGAUAUGCCAAGGGUCACCCCAAGUAGGUCCGAAUCCUACUUGGGCUCUUGCCCUUGGCUGCACCCCCCUGCCAUGUUUGUCGGAAGGUGGAAGGAAAGGGGGAGAGGAAGGAAGGGGGAGGCCAAAUUCCCCCCACCUUUCCUGUCCCACUAGGGAGGCUGCCAUGGGGGGCGCGCUAGCACCUUGUGGGCUGGUGUUCUCCCCUCUUAUGGCCCAAUAGGCCCACUAACCUCCCGGGGGUGUCCGGUACCCCCUCCGGUACUCCGAUGAUCACCCGGUACAGUUCGAAACACAUCCGGUGUCUGAAUACCAUCGUCCUAUAUAUCAAUCUUUACCUCUAGACCAUUUAGAGACUCCUCGUCAUGCCCCUGAUCACAUCCGUGACUUCGAACAACAUUCGGUCACCAUAUCAUAUAACUCAUAUAACACUAUAUUGUGAACGAACGUUAAGCGUGCGGACCCUGUGGGUUCGAGAACUAUGUAGAAAUGACAGAGAAACCUCUUCGGUCAAUAACCAAUUGUGGAACCUGUAUGCCCAUAUUGGCUCCUAUAUAUUCUACGAAGAUCUUUAUCGGUUGAACCGCUAUGACAACAUACGUAAUUCCCUUUGUCCAUCGGUAUGUUACUUGCCCGAGAUUCGAUCGUGGUAUCUUCAUACCUAGUUCAAUAUCGUUACCGGCAAGUCUCUUUACUCGUUCUGUAAUACAUCAUCUUGCAACUAACUCAUUAUUCACUUUGCUUGCAAGGCUUCUUAUGAUGUGUAUUACCGAGAGGGCCCAAAGACACCUCUCCGAUACUCGGAGUGACAAAUCCUAAUCUCGAUCUAUGCCAACUCAACAAACAUCUUUGGAGAUACCUGUAGAGCAUCUUUAUGAUCAUCCAGUUACGUUGUGAUGUUUGAUAGCACACACGGUAUUCCUUCGGUAUCCGAGAGUUGCAUAAUCUCAUAGUCGGAGGAAUAUGUAUUUAACAUGAAGAAAGCAAUAGCAAUAAACUGAACGAUCAAUAUGCUAAGCUAACAGAUGGGUCUUGUCCAUCACAUCAUUCUCCUAAUGAUGUGAUCCCGUUAUCAAAUGGCAACGCAUGUCUAUGGUUAGGAAACCUUAACCAUCUUUGAUCAACGAGCUAGUCUAGUAGAGGCUUACUGGGGACACGGUAUUUGUUUAUGUAUUCACACAUGUACUUCAGUUUCCGAUCAAUACAAUUCUGGCAUGAAUAAUAAACCUUUAUCAUGAAUAAGAAAAUAUAAAAUAAUAAUUUUAUUAUUGCCUCUAGGGCAUAUUUCCUUCAAGAAAAGCCCAGCUCCACGAAAUUGAAGAGCAAGAGUUUAGCCAAGUUACAGUUCAAAUUGCCACCACAAAAGUAAACAUUCCACCACCGCACCCCAUGUCGCUACCAGUGCUUCUCUCCUACCUUCCCUGAAUCGGUACGAUGUACCCCCUCGCCUGCUCAUCUCUCUCCCUCGACAUAUCCCCUCGCCCGCUGCUAACCCUAGCUAGCGCCCAAAGUGAUGUCGAACAUGCCAGGACUCGCCGCACAUGUCACACCGGGAGAAGCUACCGCUCGAGCCGAACGCUCGCUGAUCGCCAGGAAGAGACCGAAGCUAGUGAGGGAAGCCAAAGUUGCGGAUUUGGAGAAGCUGAGAGGGUUCCAAACAUGCCCUUAGUAUUUCCUGCCGAACUCGUAUGUGGGACCUAGCCAAUAAAACCACCCCAUGGGAGGAAGGAUGUGAAGUCGACAAUAGUGCUAAGAAUCAGGUAACCAUAUUUUUUAUGCGCUCUAGGCAAAGUUUGUGAAGUCGAUGAAUUUCAAUGGGUUGCAAGACCUAUAUUUUGGUAAGAAAAAAUUUGGUGUAAUUUCAAAACGAUUCAUAUUGUUCUUAAAGAAUAAUGUUCACUUGCUAUCGUAGGUCCUAUUGAAAUGGUGGAAAGCCUUCUUUCCUACGCAUGGACCAUUUUUUGUUUGAAUCAUUUGACUAUCGACAAGUAUUUGAAAGAAAUUUGAAGGCCAAUUUCCCCCAAAAAAUUCACAAAAUCAAAAUUCCAGUGAGGUGGAAAACUCUUUUACAAAACCAGGGAACCCCUAGAUAGAGUAGCAAUCAAGCGCUAAGCCGGAACGUGCUUUGAGAAAUCAUUAUGCAUGAAGAGAGUGUGCCUUUGAUUGAUUAUUCAACUGUUGAACUAUCAAUCCUAACUAGUCACCGGUCCGUGGCCUGAAACUAGACCGAUGCUCUUUCCUUCGUGUUCUUUCGCAUCGACUUGAUCUAGUAUAUGACACCACAUCAAGGUAUAUAUGAUCUCCGCCCAAAGAAUUUUAGCAACACAGCUACUCUCUCUAAUUCAAAUUAAUUAUCACUUUUUAAUACAAAGUUGUAUUAAAGCAGCGACAAUUAACAUGGAUCGAAGGAAGAACAUAAUCAUUUUAUGAGUGAACGAAGAUAAAUACGAUAUAUAUUAAUUCAUCCAGUAGUAUGUAGCUGUGUACCAAAGCGCAAUACGCGCGUCAACUGAUCAGAACAUAACCCGUACAUGGCAUCCCUGCAAAAAAAAAAACCCGUACAUGGCACAUCAUCAGCUAAUUAAAAUAUACGACUGCAGAGUUCCGGUCCAGCCAGCAGACGCCGCGGGCGCGCAGCUCAGCAGAAGAGGUACCCAACGGCGGCGGCGACGAGCGUCCCGACGGCGAAGGCCGGGAUGGUCGUGGCGGCUCCGGCGUCCGGACUGGGAGCCGGCCCCUCGGCAGCCAUGGCCACGCCCAUCAUGGACGAGGCCACGACGGCGGCGGCGGCGAGGAUCCUGAGCUUGAGGGUGGCCGCCAUUUCCGCUAGCUAGCUUCUCGGUCGAUCGACGCUUGGGAAUCCAGUCGAAGACGCGUAUGCAUUAAGCGAAGGACAGGAAGCUAGCGAGCUGGACGGCUUGGGAUGGGAAGGAAGAGAUGGACACGUCGAGUAUAUAUAGCUGCCAUUGGUAGGGCUUUGGCGUGCUGUGUUGUGGAAGGCUAGCCAUGAAAUGGAGGAUCAUUGGCUGGAGCCGCUGCUUUCGGUCUGUCGGUCUUUCCCAGGCUGUGCGAUGCGAGUGGGCAUUUCUUUAGGCUUUGCUGUGAUCGCCGAAUGGGUGAUUGAGGGUGCGCAAUGAUUAGUCGUUGUGGUUUGCUGCUUCUGAUUGUUAUUUUGUUGGCAACUGCCAACUGGUACGUAUAGUUAUCAUCGAUGGUUCAUGUCUCGGCGCUCGUUUUUUGAAAAAGAAAUUUAUUAAUGAAAAAGCAGAACUCCUGCUGGUUGCUUGAAAAAAAAGGUGAUCUACAAGUGCACUGCUUGUUGCCGUGGUAGGGAAGCAUUGCCAUGGCUUCCCGAGCGAAUGCAUUGCAUUGUAGAAAAGUUACAUAACAUAUACAUCAUAUUGGUAAUACUGAAAUUCUAAUUGUAAAAUAAAAUACACCCUCUAUCCACUAAUGUAAGAUAUUUUGCCUAUUCGACGUCUUACAUUAGUGAACAUAAAUAGAAGUAAUUACUAAUUAAAUAGUCUAUAUACAAAUUUUGGACAUGAUGGAUACCAUCGCGAACUCAGAGAACACUUGCUUAUCCACCUUGUCACAUGGCAUUGCAGUCCCUUCCCAUGAUCUAUCCUCGCCUCCCCGUUCAUACCACGUUGACCUCAACCUAAGAGCUCUCAUGUAAGUUGAGAUAACUCUGAUUGUCAGCUCUGUAAAUCUCUUUGGUGCACAUAUUUUUUUAGUUUACAAUGCACCUCCCUCUGUUCAUUCCCUCGUCUACAUUCCACAAAAAGGUUUUGCCCCGGCAUAUCGAUUUUCUUAAUCAUCCCAGAGUUGGCGACAAAGCUUGUUAGGAAAUAAGUUACAACUAAAGUUUACACAAUUUUGGUAAGUGCCAAAUGCUCAGGUAUUGAUAGUAAUUUUCCUUUUCGGCCCUUCAGUAUGUGUACCACCUUUUUAGUCAAUGGUUGUUUUCUNNNNNNNNNNNNNNNNNNNNNNNNNNNNNNNNNNNNNNNNNNNNNNNNNNNNNNNNNNNNNNNNNNNNNNNNNNNNNNNNNNNNNNNNNNNNNNNNNNNNNNNNNNNNNNNNNNNNNNNNNNNNNNNNNNNNNNNNNNNNNNNNNNNNNNNNNNNNNNNNNNNNNNNNNNNNNNNNNNNNNNNNNNNNNNNNNNNNNNNNNNNNNNNNNNNNNNNNNNNNNNNNGGGGAGGUGGAGUCCCACCUGUCUAUUGAUCUCAAUUCAAAAGAAAUUGAGCCGGUUUAUGUGAGAAAUUGAGUCAAAAAACAUGAUCCAAUUUAUGAGGGAAACUAGAUCGAAUACCUUCACAACCCCCCGGGGCAAUACAUCUUGUUGAAGCAAGAACAUAGAAGAAAAAAUACAAGUACAAAGAUACAACACCAUGCAAAGAUCACCCUGUUGUACAUCAGAUGAAUCAAGGAGGUCGUAUUUGCAGCACAAGUGAUGUCAUAAGCACGUACAUGGCACCACUAGCUUCAGAGAGGGGUACGCCGAGGCAUUACAUCAUACUAAGAGACAACAGAGCAAACUUCAAAGUAGACACAGACGAGCUCCACUAAGUUACCAUUGUAGCAACCCCGAUGGUGAGACCACGAAUAGUGACGUCAAUGAGUUGGGGCAUCACCUAGCAUGUCCAUCCAACACUCAAGUAAGCGGGGAAUUACACAUGACAUAUUUUUUCUUAAAAAACUUAAGUUUGAAAAAAAAUUGUGUAGUGUUGAAAAUGUCGGUGCAACUUUUACAAAAUGUUGAUAGCAUUUGAAAAAACUUUUCAAGACGUAUUUGGAAAAAAAUGUUCAACACAUAUUCAAACAACAAUUAAAAAAAGUGAUUGAAAAAAUGUUAAUCAUGAAUUUCAAAAAUGUUAAAUGUGUAUGGAUUCUAAUGUAUAUGAAAAAUGUACGCGUAUGAAAAAGAGUAGACAUCAAAACACACAUAUGAAGAAAAAAAUCGUGUAUUUACUAAAUGAUAAACGUGUAUAGAAAAAUGUUUCUUACGAUGUAGGGGCUCACGCAGUCGUUCUCCCCUAAAAAAUUAGGGUUCCUCCCACGUCUGUUACUUUUUCUCCUAUUGCAACGCAGGGUUUCCUUUGCUAGUUACACAAAUAUAAUCUUUACGGUUAUGCUAAAUUUGAUAAUUUUUUAGCGGAAUCCUAAAUUCAAUUUUUCGGACUGGCUUUCCUUCAAAGUCGAUUUUUAAAACUACAACCCUAUUUUAGUGUGCAAUUAGGUGAAAAUGUUAGAUAUAGAAACAUAAGAUCUAUAAGCAGCAAAAGAUAUAAAAACAUCUUUUGAAAUUACAGACGUGAUUUUUUGAAAUUUCCUGAAAAUUAUGAUUAUGAAAAAUGUUCUAAAUAUUUAUUGAAAAUGCAAAUAAAAUUUUAAAUUUAAACAAUUUCUGAACAUGUGCAUUUUGAUACCAAAUUUGUGUUUCCUAAUUCCAAAAUUAUUUGGAAAUGUGAACAAACUUUGGAGAACAAACAAAUUUUUGAAUAAUUCAACAUUUUCUGAAAAUCUAAUAUCUUUUGAAAUUCCGAACAUUUAUUGGAAAUGCGAUUUUUGAAAAUUGUGAACAAAUUUUGGAAAAUGAAAACAUUUUCUGAAAAUCUGUUUUCUUAUUUGCCAACAAUUUUUAAGUUUCAUUUUUUUAAAUGUGAACGUAAUUUUUUAAAACAUGAACAAUUUUUAAUGUCCCCAAACAUUUUAUGAUAAUAUGUUUGUUUUUAAACAAGAAUACUUUUUAAAUUUAUGAGUUUCGAGAAAAGAAGGAAAAGGUAAAACAAACCAAUAAUACAAAAAAAGAAAAACAUUAAAAAACUGAAAAAAUUAACUUCUAGAAUGUUCCUAAAACCUGUGAAAAGCCGAACAUGUAAACUUAAAAUGCGCUGCACUACGCUGGAUACACAGGGACGGCCGAUCCCCANNNNNNNNNNNNNNNNNNNNNNNNNNNNNNNNNNNNNNNNNNNNNNNNNNNNNNNNNNNNNNNNNNNNNNNNNNNNNNNNNNNNNNNNNNNNNNNNNNNNNNNNNNNNNNNNNNNNNNNNNNNNNNNNNNNNNNNNNNNNNNNNNNNNNNNNNNNNNNNNNNNNNNNNNNNNNNNNNNNNNNNNNNNNNNNNNNNNNNNNNNNNNNNNNNNNNNNNNNNNNNNNNNNNNNNNNNNNNNNNNNNNNNNNNNNNNNNNNNNNNNNNNNNNNNNNNNNNNNNNCACACACACACAUCCUUACUCUUUUUGGGCUAUAGUUACGCAUGUUAUCUCGCAUACUACAGUUGGGCAAGCCUCCCAUGUUACAUUGCAGCCCAAGUCGUAAGUAGUUGGACACAAAAACACAUGUGCUUUUGUCUUAGUGUCCCUUGCUAAACAUCAAGAUAAUCCAUGGCUAAAGCAUGCUCUUAGGGCCUGUUCGGAUCUUCUCGCUCUCAAAUUCGUGAACUCAGUGCACUAAGCUGCUCCUAAUAUGGGAGUUCCGCGGAACUAAAUUCGAGAAGUCGAGCCCUCCCCUCAUGUAAAAAAGAGAAGACAGAAAAGCCCAACUCCACGAAAAUGAAGAGCAAGAGUUUAGCCAAGUUACAGUUCAAAUUGCCGCCACGAAAGUAAACAUUUCACCACCGAACCCCAUAUCGCUACAAGUGCUUCUCUCCUACCUCCCCUGAAUUGGUACGAUGUACCCCCUCGCCUGCUCAUCUCUCUCCCUCGACAUAUCCCCUCGUCUGCUGCUAACCCUAGCUAGCGCCCAAAGUGAUGUCGAACAUGCCAAGACUCCGCUAGCUGGGUUGCCAGCCCAUGGCACACCAGGAGAAGCUGCCGCUCGAGCCAAACGCUCGUUGAUCGCGAGGAAGAGACCGAAGCUAGUGAGGGAAGCCAAAGUUGCGGUUUUGGAGAAGCUAGUAGAGGUUCCAAACAUGCCCUUAGUAUUUCUGCCAAACUCGUAUGUGGGACCUAGCCAAUAAAACCACCCCAUGGGAGGAAGGAUGUGAAGUCGACAAUAGUGCUAAGAGUCAGGUAACCAUAUUUUCGAUGCGCUAUAGGCAAAGUUUGUGAAGUCGAUGAAUUUCGACGGGUGGCGAGGUCUAUAUUUUUGUCAAAAAACUUGGUGUAAUUUCAAAACGAUUCAUAUUGUUCUCAAGGAAUAAUGUUCACUUGCUAUCGUAGGUCCUACUGAAAUGGUGGAAAGCCUUCUUUCUUACGCAUGGACCAUUUUUUGUUUGAAUCAUUUGAUUAUCGGCAAGCAUUCAAUGUACCCCAAAAAUUUCACGAAAUCAAAAUUCCAGUGCGGUGCAAAACUCUUUUUAAAAACCAGACAACCCCUGGACAGAGUAGCAAUCAAGUGCUAAGCGGGGACGUGCUUUGGGAAAUCAUCAUUCAUGAAGAGUGUGACUUUGAUUGAUUAUUCAACUGUGGAAUUAUCAAGUCCUAACUAGUCACCGGUCCGCGACCUGAAGCUAGACCGAUGAUUUGUCCUUCGUGUUCUUUCGCAUCGACUUGAUCUAGUAUAUGACAUCACAUCAAGGUAUAUAUGAUCUCAGCCCAUAGAGUUUUUGCAACACAGGUACUGUCUCUGAUUCAAAUUAAUUAUCGCUUUUUAAUACAAAGUUGUAUUAAAGCAGUGGCAAUUAAUAUGGAUCGAAGGAAGAAUAUAAUCAUUUUAUGAGAAUGAAGAUAAAUAUGAUAUGUAUUAAUUCAUCCAGUAGUAUGUAGCUGUGUACCAAAGCGUAAUACGCGCGUCAACUGAUCAGAACAUAACCCUGACACGGCACAUCAUCAGCUAACUAAAAUAUACGACUGCGGAGUGCCGGUCCAGCCAGCAGACGCCGCGGGUGCGCAGCUCAGCAGAAGAGGUACCCAACGGCGGCGGUGACGAGCGUCCCGACGGCGAAGGCCGGGAUGGUCGAGGCGGCUCCGGCGUCCGGGCUGGGAGCCGGCCCCUCGGCAGCCAUGGCCACGCCCAUCAUGGACGAGGCCACGACGGCGGCGGCGGCGAGGAUCCUGAGCUUGAGGGUGGCCGCCAUUUUCGCUAGGAGCUAGCUUCUCGGUCGGUCGAUGCCUGGGAAUUACUCGAAGACGUUUAAGCACUAAGAACAGGAAGGUAGGGCAGUGGGUUUGGGAUGGGAAGGAAGAGCGGGACACGUCGGGUAUAUAUAGCCGCCAUUGGUAGGGCUUUGGCGUGCUGUCUUGUGGAAGGCUAGCCAUGAAAUGGAGGAUCAUUGGCUGGAGCUGCUGCUUUCGGUCUGUCCGCCUUUCACAGGCUGUGCGAGGGGGCAGUUGUUUAGGCUUUGCUGUGAUCGCCGAUGGGUGAUUGAGGGUGCGCAAUGAUUAGUCGUUGUGGUUUGUUGCUUCGUUAUUUUGUUGGGUUGGGCACUGCCAACUGGUACGUAUAGUUAUCAUCUAUGGUUCAUGUCUCGGACUCUCGUUUUUUGAAGAAUUUUUUUAAUGAAAAAGCAGAAAUCCUGCUGGUUGCUUGAAAAAAAGACGAUCUACCUUUUUCUUCAACAAAACUUUCGAUCUAUUCAUUAACUGUCAAGGUAGUAUAAAGAAAACAGUAAAAAAAAAUACAUCCAGAUCCGUAGACCACCUAGCUACGACUACAAUCACUGAAACGAGCUAAAAGCGCGCCACCGUCUUAGCCUCUCCCUCAACGAAGCCGGGCAAACCUUGUUGUAGUAAACAGUCGGGAAAUCGUCGUGCUAAGGCCUCAUAGGACCAGCGCACCAGAACAGUAACCACCGCUGAUGAAGGGAAGCAUAGAUCAGAAGGAUCCAACCUGUAGACACACAAACACAGGCGAACGAAGAUGGUAUCCACAUGGAUCCACCGAAGACAAACGUCGAUCGAAUCUCGCGAGAUCCGCCAAAGAUAAACCUUCACACGCCAUCCAAUGAUGCUAGAAAAAGAAAAAGAUGAUCUACUACAAGAGCACUGCUUGUUGCCGUGACAGGGAAGUACUGAGCCCAUGCAUUGCAUCGUAGAAAAGUUGCAUGACAUAUACAUCAUAUUGGUAUACUGAAAUUCUAAUUGUAAAAAUAAUAAAAUGCAUCCUCUGUCCACCAUUGUAAGAUGUUUUGCCUAUUCGACGUCUUACAUUAGUGAACACAGGUAGCAAUAAUUACUAAUUAAAUACUUUGUAUACAUAUUUUGGACAUGAUGGAUGAGUAAUUUUAAGAUGCUUCCUCUUACCCCCUCUUUUUACAUGGGAGGUAAAAAGGUAGAAGUUAAUCAGACCACUACUUAAUCAAAUCAAUGACUCAGAUAUACUAUAUACUCUCCUUUUAUGUGAAAAUGAAAUAUAAGUCGGAGCAUGCUAAAAUUUGCCAUGUAAAUUUCCUUGAGAACACUUACUUAUCCACCUUGUCCGGUGGCAUUGCAGUUCCUUCUCAUGGUGUAUCCUCGCCUCCCCAUUCAUACCACGUUGACCUCAACCUAAGAGCUCUCAUAUAAGUUGAGAUAACUUUGAUUCUCAGCCCUGUAAAUCUCUUUGGCAUGCAUAUUUUUUUAGUUUACAAUGCACCUCCCUUCGUUCGUUCCCUCGUCUACAUUCCACAAAAAGGUUUUGUCCCGGCAUAUCGAUUUUCUUAAUCAUCCAGGAGUUGGCAGCAAAGCUUAUUAGCAAAUAAGUUGCAAGUAAAGUUUACACAAUGUUGAUAAGUGCCAAAUGCUUAUGUAUGGUUAGUAAUUUUCCUUUUCAACCCUUCUGUGUACCACCUUUUUAGCCAGUGCUUGUUUUCUAAAUUGAGAGGGGGGGUCCCACCUGUAUAUUGAUGUCAAUUGAAAAGAAGUUGAGCCGGUUUAUGUGAAAAAAUGGGUAAAAAGCAUGAUCCAGUUUAUAAGGGAAACUAGAUCGAAUGCCUUAUCAACCCCCGGGGCAAUACAUCUUAUGCUGAACCAAGAACAUAAAAAGCAGAGAGAGAAAGUACAGAGAUACAACACCAUGCAAAGAUCACCCUUCAGAUGAAUCAAGGAGGUCGUUGUUGUAGCACAAGUGAUGUCAUAGCAAGUAUUCCCUCCGUUCCUAAAUAUAAGUCUUUUUAGAGAUUUCAGUAUGACUACAUACAUACAUACAUAGAAUGGGUCUAUUAUGAUAACACCCCUUAAGACCUUAUUCUAAUAACAGUAGCCUUAUUCUGCUAACACCCCAGCGCACCUUCGAAACGCAGACGAAAAACCAACCCCACCGGCCCACCCCACCCACCACUCUCUCUUCUCCGCCUUCCUCCCCCGAUCCCCUCCACCUCCCCCGAUCCCCUCCAGCUUCCUCCCAGUCAACACCCCACGCCCAGAUCCGCACACUCCGGCGACCUCCUCNNNNNNNNNNNNNNNNNNNNNNNNNNNNNNNNNNNNNNNNNNNNNNNNNNNNNNNNNNNNNNNNNNNNNNNNNNNNNNNNNNNNNNNNNNNNNNNNNNNNNNNNNNNNNNNNNNNNNNNNNNNNNNNNNNNNNNNNNNNNNNNNNNNNNNNNNNNNNNNNNNNNNNNNNNNNNNNNNNNNNNNNNNNNNNNNNNNNNNNNNNNNNNNNNNNNNNNNNNNNNNNNNNNNNNNNNNNNNNNNNNNNNNNNNNNNNNNNNNNNNNNNNNNNNNNNNNNNNNNNNNNNNNNNNNNNNNNNNNNNNNNNNNCCCCCGCGCCGCUGCACCACCAUCGCUGCCACUUCCUCAGAACCGCCGCCGCCGAACGGGGUCAGGGCCGUGCCCCCCACCCCGCACCUCCUACCUCCCACCGCACGCCCCUUCCGGCCAUCGACCCACUCCGCCGCCAGCUUGGGCUCGCGUCGCCCCUGCUCGGCAUCGCACAUUCGCCACGCCCGGAUUCGGCCUCGUCCCUGAUCUGGAUCGAGCAGCCGUCGCGAUGACGGGUUCCGCUACUCCGGCUUGUGAUCGACAGCCAAGGCACACCUCCUCCCCCUGCACAGCUGAAACGCCCCUUCCUCCACCAUUCCUCCAUCUUGCAGUUCAGCGGUGGCGGGAGUUCAACUCGGCUCCUCUCUGUUGUUCCCUCGACUAAUUCCCAACGCCUCCUCUGUUUUGCAGGUCUGGUAGCACUCCCUGUGUCGACGACGAAGAUGAAACUACGACAGUGCAGCUCACUCCCUCAGGUGUUUUUUUAAAUGCAGCUCGCUUUGUCCACAUCGUCGGUGCUUCGGCGGUCGACCUGCAAUUCGCCCAUCCCCUUGGUGGUCCAGUGGCUACCAAGGACUGCACCCAUUGUCAACACAAAGAAAAGUUGAUGCACUAUAUAUGCCUCUGCCAUCCUCUGUGAAAGGGCAUUUCCCUACUUUAUGUUUUGGAUGAUGAUGACAACUCUUUGUGGUCUAAUCGUGUGCUAUAUGUUUCAGGUUCUCGAUGCUUAGGCUUACAUCGGAUUGCUAUUGCCUCUCGAAGGAAAAGAUGGAAGACGUGUCCUCUACGCUUUUAUUUUCUUUGGUCGUAGAGUACCCGUACUAUCAAGAGGGAAUCCUCAUUAGGAAGCUCUGGGAGAAUCAGUUCACGUACACUUUUCUCACCCUCUCUUUGCCUUCCUCAGGUGUGUGUGUGAGAGAGAGAGUUUUCCUUGCCUCUUCCCCUCUUUCCUGCUCACUGUUUCUGCCCAGCGGUUGUACCGCUCUCUGGAGCGGUUGUAUCGUUGGGUCUUGUCGCUCACCAGCUUUGCUCGAGUGGUUGUACCGCUGCCUCCGGGCGGUGGUACCGCCACCAUGCUCUGCAACAGCUGGGGCGGUGGUUCCGUCCAUGCACCGCUCAAGUGCCGCUCUCGCUUCUGGUUUGAUGCGGUUCUUGGGCGGUAGUGGCCCAGUUGGUCCGAUCGUUCCACGAUGACCGGUACCACCGGUGGUCCGAGCGGUUCUUCCGCUCAGAACUUAGCCGCCCAAGAGCUCAAGGCCAUGCGGUUGUUCCGGCCAGGCACCGCCCAAGUACCGGUCAAGCUCCUGUUUUGAUGCGGUGGUUGAGCGGUAGCCAGGCGGUUAGUCCGGUUAUUUUUCUUAGCCGGUACUACCGCCCGCCUGUCCGGUUGUACCGCUUGGUAGGGUUCUGCAGUUACACCAUGAGUCCCGGUUGUACCGGGACGAGGACCGGUUGUACCGCUGCAGUGCAAAAAACGCAGUAACGGUUGGAAAUGUGGGUGUCUAUUUAAGGGAGCUUCUCCCACCUACCACUCCCACCUUUGACCUCUCUCACUCCACCAUUAAUGCCCUUCAAGCUCUCUUGCCCGAUCUCUCUCUCUCUAGCCACUCAAACUUGUUGAUUUGCUAGGGAUUGAAGGAGGAGACCUAGAUCUACACUUCCACCAAAGGAUAUUUGCUUCCCCCAUACUUUCUUGUGUGGAUUUUGUUACUCUUGGGUGUUUGAGCACCCUAGACGGUUGAGGUCACCUCGGAGCCAUAUUCCAUUGUGGUGAAGCUUCGUGGUUUUUGUUGGGAGCCUCCAAUUAAGUUGUGGAGAGAUCCCCAACCUUGUUUGUAAAGGUUUGGUCGCCGCCUUCAAGGGCACCAAUAGUGGAAUCACGGCAUCUCGCAUUGUGUGAGGGCGUGAGGAGAAUACGGUGGCCCUAGUGGCUUCUUGGGGAGCAUUAUGCCUCCACACCGCUCCAACGGAGACGUACUUCCUCUCAAAGGGAAGGAACUUCGUCAACACAUCCUCGUCCCCACCGUCUCCACUCUUGGUUAUCUCAUGCCUUUAUUUGAGCAAGCUUACUUGUUUCAUAUCUCUUGCUUGCUUGUGUAUCUAUCCUCGUUGCAUCAUAUAGGUUGCUCACCUAGUUGCAAUCUAGACAACCUACUUUGAUGCAAAGUUUAAAUUGUUAAAGAAAAGCUAAAAAUUGUUAGUUGCCUAUUCACCCCCCCCCCCUCUAGUCAACCAUAUCGAUCCUUUCAAUUGGUAUCAGAGCCUCGUCUCUUUAUUAAGGACUUUACCGUCCAAAGAGUAUGGUUGAUACCGUAGACGGUGUGGAGGAACACUCCAGUGUGAAUCCGAUCUCGUCUAUGGGAGAUGGGGGAACUUCGGUCUCUCGUGAGGAGUUCAAUGUGGCCUUGGAGACAUUGAAAACCUCCAUGAUGACCGAAGUCGAAAGCAUGUUUACUAAAUUUCUUGAGGGGCUUAAACUAUCCACCGCAUCGUUGAAAGUGGGUGAUCCCGCCAACAAGGUGACGGAUACUAUCCCCGACAAGGGGGAAGCUAGUGGUGAAAAGGCUCCUUCUUCUAGUGGCAAGAAUGGCACCGGCAUCUUUGCCCAUGUGGAACCACCACUUGUUUAUGGUGGACCGGUUCCUUCCACUUGAAUCAUGCCGGUCCUCCCCCUAAGGUUAUGAAAAAUGAGGAUUUUGAUUCUUGGGUUUACCGCUUUAAACGUCAUUUAAAUCAUGUGAACACUAACCUUUGGAGAAUCAUUGAAGAAGGUUUCUAUCCACAUGAUUCAAGCAACUUCACUCCUCGAGAAGCCGCGGACAAUCAAUUCAAUGAGAAUACUCUCUUCAUCAUUCAAGAUGCAAUUCCACCAGAAGACCUACCUCAUCUUCCUCCUUUCGCCUUGGCCAAAUAUGCAUGGCAUUGUGUCGUGUCUCUCUAUCGGGGAAGAGCAAGCAUUCAACGCUCCAACUAUGAAGUGGUACAAGAUGAGGCCGAUGAGUUUGCAAUGAAGGAAGAUGAAGAACCUCGUGAGCUCUAUCGGAGAGUAACCAAACUCGCGGUCUCACUACGAGAUCACGGGAGCAAGGACAUGGAUGACAAUUGGAUCAAGCGCAAAUCCCUCAAGGCAAUGAUGCCCUAUCACAAGGCCAUGUCCUCCGUCAUUCGUCAAAGACCGGACUUCCACACUUUGACCUCAAGCGAAGUGUUGGAUGAGUUUGUGGCCAUGAACAUUUUGGACAAGACCGCCGACAAUGCGGUGCUCCGUUCUUAAUGGGCAAAGAAGCCUAACCUUGCAUUGAAGGCCAAGCUCAUCGUGGAAGACGAAGAAGAGGAAGAAGAGGAGAGCAACCCCGAAGAUACGAAGUAUGCAUAUCAUGAACACAUGGCACUUGCUUCAAGGCAAUUUUGGAGCAAGAAAAACUCGAGGCCAAACUUUAGCAAAAACAACUCGAGUGGUACAAGGGGCAAGCAACGUGUAAGGACUUCCUACAAUUGCGGCAACGUGAGUCAUUUCGUUGCGGAAUGCCCGUAUGAGAAGAGGGAAGACAAUAGUGGCAAGCUCAUCCGAAAGGACAAGGCCAAGUCGUUUCCCAACAAGAACAACUUCUCCAAGAAGACUCCUCCCAAGGCUUUGGUUGCGCAAGAAGAGUACAAUGAGGGUGAUGACGAUGAUGAGGAUGAUGAGUCGGUUGCCAUGGCCUCCGUUGCCAUUGCAACAACGUCACGGGUGUCUCUCUUCGACUCACCCAACGAGAGCAUCACCGCCAAGUGCCUCAUGGCUAAAGCCACCAACAAGGUAACCUCCAACAUCAAAACUACCAUCAUUAAUCAUCCUUCCCCGACGGAUUGCAUUAAUGAACUUGAGGGAGCUAAUGUGGAGGCUAACGAGUUUGAGGCCUUUAUGGGCAAACUCAAGGGAAAAUCCAAGAAGCACUUUUUUGCUCUCUUGGAACAACUUGGUGAAGCGAAUGACAUGAUCGAGGCUCACGAGGACACCAUCUCUAAGAUGGAAGGGCAUAGUCGUGACUAUGCCGAUGAGAUCUCGGAUCUUUCCAAUGCUCUUGAGGAAGAACGUGGUCUUCGUUUGGCUCUUGAGGAGUCACACAAUGUUGAUCAUGCUAAGUUAAAGAAAGAUUAUGAUCAUGUCCUCAUUGUUUCUCGUGUGCUAAAUUCCGAGAAGGCCAAACUCGGGGUUGAUCUUGCUAGACUCAAAGAGGAGUUUGAUAUACUUGACAAGGCCCACAAGGCCUUGAAGGGUAUUCACGCUAGUCUCAAGGAGUCUCAUGAUCAACUCCAAGUGAAGCUAACUAAGGAGAAAGCAACUUUUCCUCAUAUGGUUUUAAUUGAUAAUGCAAAUGCUACUAACCCGUGUUGUGAGCAUAUACAUCUUGUUGAGGAAAAUGCUAAGUUGAAGGAGCAACUUGAGAGAGGUCUUGUGACUUGCAUAUGAGGCAAGAAGAACCUCAACGAUCUCUUGAUCAACCAAAAGGGAGUUGUGGCCAAGGAAGGGGUUGGGUACGUGCCCGACUCCAAGAACAAGAAGAAGAAUGACAAGACCAAACGACCUCCUCCUCUCAUGCAAACCUUUGUGAGGGAGGGAGGGAGUGCCCCCAAGGAGAAGAAGAAGAACAAUGUCAAGAAGGGAAAUGUCACCCCUCCCAACAAAGCCGGCGAUUUUAAUCCUUCUUAUGUGUUAUGCCGUGCUAGUGAUGGGCAUGUUUAUGCCAAAUUUGUUGGUUCUCUUCAUGAAUACAUUGAAUGGUCUAUUUGGGUUCCUAAGACCCUUGUUACUAACAUCAAAGGACCCAUUACAAAAUGGGUACCUAAAACCAAGCAUUGAUCUCUUGUAGGUGUUUGCUUCCGGUGGUGGAUCAUGGUUGCUCGAUAGCGGAGCUACAAAUCAUAUGACCGGAAGCAAGGACUUGGUGGUGGACGUGCACAAGGUUCCAUCUAUGCCCACCAAUGUCGAGUGGGGUGACGCCUCAUCUUCUAAGGUAUUGGGACUUGGCAAGGUGGUCAUCUCUCAUGAUCUCACGAUCGAGAAGGUCAUGCUUGUUGAGUCCCUUGCAUGCAAUUUACUUUUCGUUCAUCAACUUGUAAUCAUGGGCUUUGCCACUUUCUUUGAUAUUGAUACCGUGGCCCUCUUGUGGAGCAAGACUCUUAAAGUAGCCUUUGUUGGGCAUGUCGAGAACGGUCUAUAUGUGAUUAACUUUUUGGAGCGACCCACUAAGACCACGACAUGCCUAAUGGCUAAAGUUGAUGUGGGAUGGCUUUGGCAUCGCCGUUUAGCCCAUGUCAAUAUGAGAUCUUUGCAAAGUCUCCUCAAGGGGGACCAUGUCCGUGGACUAACGAAUGUUAGUUCUGCUAAAGAUCGUGCUUGCAGUGCCUGUAUCGAAGGAAAGCUACAUGAGAAGGCUCACCCUCCCACGACUAUCAUUUAUUCAAAGAGGCCUUUGGAGCUCCUUCACAUGGAUCUCUUUGGGUCUCCAUCCUUCGAUAGUCUUGGAGGUAGGAAGUAUUUCUUGGUGAUUGUGGAUGACUACUCAAGGUACAUGUGGGUGUAUUUCUUCAAGAGGAAGAGCGAGACCCAACAAACCGUCAUUGACUUUGCAAAUGAAGCACAACGUCAACACAAUGCAAAGAUCUUGACAAUAAGAAGUGACAACGGCACCGAGUUCAAGAAAUACACCUUGGAUGAAUUUCUUAGUGAUGAGUGAAUCAAGCAUCAAUAUUAUGCACCAUACACCCCUCAACAAAACGGUGUUGCAGAGAGGAAGAACCGGACGUUGAUGGAUGCGGCAAGGACCAUGAUGGUGGAGUUCAAGUCUCCGUACAACUUUUGGGCCGAAGCCAUCAACACCGCGUGUCAUGCAUCCAAUCAGCUCUACCUCCGCAAGGGCUUGAACAAGACUCCAUAUGAGAUACUCAUCGAUAACAAGCCCAACCUCAAGUACUUCCGGGUAUUCGGGUGUAAGUGUUUCAUUCUCAAGAAAGGUGUUCGGUUGUCUAAAUUUGAGGCUAGAGCUCAUGAGGGCAUAUUUGUUGGUUAUGCUACAAACUCUCAUGCUUACCGUGUCCUCAAUAAAUCCACGGGACUUAUUGAGGAGACGUGUAACAUGGAGUUUGAUGAGAAUAACGGCUUCCAAGUGGAGCAAAGUGGCACUUGUGAUGUAGGUGAUGAAAUUCCUCCUCAAUCCAUAAGAAGAAUGGGUGUUGGUUUUAUCCUACCCAUUGAGGAACCCCUUGUGGCCGAAGGAGAAGGACAAUGCUCCACUCAAGUGGAGCCAUCACCAACCCAAGGCCCACACGCUUCCGAAGAACAAAGUGAAGGCCCUCAACCUCAUGAACAAGACCAAGGGCAAGAUCAUACUCAAGACGGUGUUGACACACCAAGUGAUGCCCAAGGUCAAGUUCUCUCCCCCGAGCAAGUUCAAGAUCAAGAACAAGUUCAUGACGACGCUCAAGAUGAUCAAGUAACUGCUCCUCAACUCACCACCGAGGAGGAAUUAGAGCGUCGUGCCGCCAAGAUUGCAUCCAAGCUCUCCACCAAGGAUCAUCUCAUGACGAAUGUGCUUGGAAGCUUAAGAAAGGGGGUAAGCACUCGUAGACAAUUAGCAAAUUAUUGUGAGCAUCACGCGUUUGUCUCUUGUGCGGAACCCCACAAGGUCUAUGAGGCGCUAGAAGAUCCGGAUUGGCUCAAUUCCAUGCAUGAAGAACUCAACAACUUCGAGCGCAACAAAGUGUGGAGAUUGGUGCCAAGGCCAACGGGGAACCACAAUGUCAUUGGAACCAAGUGGAUAUUCAAGAACAAGCAAGAUGCCCAUGGGAUUAUCAUUCGCAACAAAGCUUGUUUGGUAGCACAAGGCUACUCCCAAGUCGAGGGUAUCGACUACGGUGAAACCUUUGCUCCCGUUGCUCGUCUUGAAUCCAUUUGCAUGUUAAUUGCAUAUGCUUCUCAUCAUAACUUUAAGUUACAACAAAUGGAUGUGAAGAGUGCUUUUCUUAAUGGUCCCAUUAAUGAAUUGGUUUACGUCAAGCAACCCCCUGGGUUCGAGGAUCCCUACUUUCCCGAUCAUGUGUAUCAACUCGAUAAGGCGCUCUAUGGCCUUAAACAAGCCCCACGUGCGUGGUAUGACCACCUUACCGAGUUGUUACAAGACCGUGGUUUUGAAGUUGGGCUAAUCGACCCCACUCUUUUUACUAAGAAGGUCAAAGGGGAGUUGUUUGUUUGCCAAUUAUAUGUUGAUUAUAUUAUCUUUGGUUCUCCUAACAAAGCUUUCAAUGAGGAAUUUGCCGCUCUCAUGACCUCAAAGUUCGAGAUGUCCUUCAUGGGAGAGUUGAAGUUCUUUCUAGGGUUCAAAGUGAAGCAAAGAAGAGAAGGAACCUUCAUCAAUCAAUCCAAAUACACUCAAGACAUGCUCAAGAGAUUCAAGCUAAGUGACGUCAAGCCGGCUUCCACUCCAAUGCCCACCAAGUGCCAACUUGACUUAGAUCCCAAUGGUAAAGUGGUGGAUCAAAAGGUAUAUCGUUCCAUGAUUGGAUCCUUGCUUUACCUUUGUGCAUCUAGACCGGACAUCAUGUUGAGUGUGGGAAUUUGUGCACGGUUUCAAGACGCACCUAAGGAAAGUCACUAUGUGGCGGUCAAACGAAUCUUUCGAUAUUUGGCUCAUACCCCAAACUUUGGCCUAUGGUACCCUAGAGGAUCAAACUUCAAGCUUGUAGGGUACUCAGAUUCUGAUUGGGCGGGAGACAAAGUGGAUAGAAAGUCCACUUCCAGAGGGUGCCAAUUCCUUGGUUGCUCUUUGGUAAGUUGGUCUUCCAAAAAGCAAAGUUGUGUGUCUCUCUCGUCCACUGAGGCGGAGUAUGUUGCCGCCGGUAGUUGUUGUGCUCAACUCCUAUGGAUGAGGCAAACUUUAAAGGAUUACGGUGUCACUUGUGACAAAGUGCCUCUUUGGUGUGACAAUGAAAGUGCCAUCAAGAUCUCUCUCAAUCCGGUGCAACAUUUCAAGACGAAGCAUAUUGAGAUCCGGUAUCACUUCAUCCGGGAUCACAUUAGACGAGGAGAGAUCGAGCUCAACUAUGUCAACACUUAUGACAACCUUGCAGAUAUUUUCACGAAGCCCUUGGAUGAAGCAAGAUUUUGCGAGUUAAGGCAUGAGCUAAAUAUCAUUGAUUCGAGCAAUGUGGCUUGAACCCUUGCACACCCUACCAUGCUCAAUUUGUUGUCUAGUUUAGGUGUAGGCAUGGACAUAGGGGGGUGUUGUUCUCUCAAUGAACUCUCCCUCCCCCCAUUAUGCAUAAAUUGAUUGUGUCUUUGACAUUAGCCAUUUUUUAUGGUACUUGUGCUUCAAAGACGAGUUUUGGUCAUGGACCCAAGGAUAAUUCUUCGCGGUGCCAUACCAAUUGACUCAAACAUAGGUGGCCUCGGCCACCGUCCUCUCUUCGGGAGGUUGGAGUUAGCCUUGUUGUUCUCGUGUUGUUUUCUCUUCUUCUAUCUUUGAUCUUUGUGUUAGGUUCUCCUAGGGUGUUGUUUCUCUCCUGUUUUGUGCCCCUUCUUCCUCCCUUCGGAUUGCACUCAUUUGAUCUUGGCUUGGGCUUAGGUGGUCGGGCGGUACAACCGGUACCACGAGCGGUUCUACCGCUGGUACCGGGUUGUGCCAUCCCAAGGGUCUCCGUUCGGUGCUUGGGCGGUUCCACCGCACAAACCCAUGGUAACCCACGUCCGGUACUACCCGUUGAUGCCGUGCGGUACUACCGCUGCCUCCCAGGAACCGGAAGUACCGCCUCCAUCCACCGGUCUGUACCAGACGAGCGGUACAACCGCUCCCCUAAGCGGUUCUACCGGGGCAUGUGUAUGGGCCUAUAUAUACUCGACGGGACUGAAGGGUUGUCUUUUUCCCUUCGUCCUCGUUCCUCUUAUUUUUUUGCCCUAGCCGCCGGCCAUCUCUACCCCUGCCCCGGAGUGCGUCUCGCGCUUCGGAUCCUUGGCUCUCCGUGGAUUCUCUCCGUGGAGGCCUCCCGAUCUCUUCCCAUGGAUGGUGGUAAUGCCUCAUGUUCUUUGCCUCUAGAUUUUUUAGGGUUCUUCCUUGUCUAGGGCUUUACUUAUCUUUCCGCGUUUAGUGUUCGAUCGAUGGCUUAGAAGAGUUCUUUGUUAGCCUCCUGUCUUGUUUGCAGCACUUAGAAUUCGGAAUAUUACUUGUGUGAUUCGUAUGCCUCGGUUAGAUCUAUCUUCCCUGGUAGUGCCACUGUCAGCGGUUCUACUGCCCCUACGGGCGGUACAACCGCUGGAGCGGUACUACCGGCGGAAGAUCCGGUACAACCGGAGUAUAUCAACCACUAAGCACUGUUCUAUCUUCUCUGUUGUUGCAACUUGUUCCUUUUCUACUAGUGGGUGCAAUCCUCUCAUCCUUGUUGGGUUUUUGUGUGUUCUUUUCGUGUGUGUGUGUGUUCAGGUGGCUCUAGUUCUCGCUCUGCUCCUUGCAAGACUAAGAAGAGGGCACGAAGGACCUUGCGCCCGGUUGUGUCUGAUGAUGAAGCAUAAGUUGUGAUUCCCACCAAGCCCACUCGCCGUGAAAAGUCUGCAGCUGCUAAGCAACAUGUGGUUAUGCCGUUGCAUCGUUGGAAAGCCAAGGAUUGGGAAGCCUUCCGCUCAAAGAAUCCGUAUGAGGUUCCCAUUGCUCCCCGUUGGACCACUGUUCAGUUCCGGAAUGAAAUGCAAGUGCGGAUUGUUCAUGAACUCUUUGAGCACAACAAGAAUAGAUAUGCCAAGCAGUGGACAAUUGAUUUUGAUCAUUGGAGAAACAACAUGGAGUAUUUUGGUGAGGCGCUAGCUCUCUGCGAGGAGUUUGAUCUUGUCAAGAUCAUGUCAGUCAACUGUGACUUUGAUGUUCAACUUAUCAAUCAGUUCUAUGCCACGGUUCAUUUUGGGGAAGAUGAUGCGCGCACUCUCACCUUCAUGUGUCACGAUGAAUUGUUUCACGUUCCCUGGAGGGCUUUCUGCAAUGCUAUUGGGUACGAGGAUACCGGUCUGGAAGGAAGGGGUGGCAUUCGCCCUCAUGAUUUUCCUGAGUCCAUGCCUAAGGAGAAGCUUGCCCCUCUGUACAUUCGGGGCCGUGGGAUUAUUGGAGAAUCCAAGGAUUUGGAGAAGGUAUAUGACAUCAUGCACCGAGUGUUCCGCAAUGUGCUCUUGCCCAAGGUGGACAAUCAAGAUGAGAUUCAUGGCUAUCUGGUUGAUUUGAUGGUUGCUAUGAAGACCAUGGUGGGGACAGGGGCAACGUUUGAUGUGUCAAAUUGGCUGUGGCAUGAGAUGUACAACAUGGUCAUCUACCGUAAAGUCCCAAUCUACGCUCCGUUUAUCAUGUGCUUUCUGAACUCUGUGUGGGCUGUUCGUCGUCCUGGGGAGCUCCUCACUUCUCCAGACAACCUCACUGUUCAUGAGGUCAAGCUCCUUAAGAAGAAGAAGCAUGCCGAGCCUCGCUUCCCUGAACAUGCUCCUGAGGAUGUCUAUGCUACUUCUGACGAUGAGGACUUUGAGCUGGAGCCAGGGGCCAGGCCUUCAUGGGUGGCCAAACUUACUGCCAAGGUGAAGAAGACCUUUUGUCUCCAGGCUGACAUCCAGAAGAAGAUGUAUGAGGCACAUGUCAAUGAGAAGCUUGCACGGCGUCGCCAAAUUGCAAUGAUGAAGCACCUCAACAUGCAGGUUCAGAGUGGCUCUGAGAAGAGCAUCACCCUAGAGGAGCGUUGGAUCUCUACCCAUAGCACCUGGACUGAUGAUGAAGCCCCUCCCCGGCAAUCAUCCUCGUUUGCAGCAGCUGACAAUGCCAUGGAAGAAUCUGAUCACGACGACGAUGACGACUCUGAUGAUGAAGAUCCAGAUGCAACCGAGGAGUCAGAGGAGGACGCCUGAGCUUUGGGUCGCUAGCUUCGCUCUUUUCCUUUUUGGUGUCUUGAUGCCAAAGGGGGAGAGGGUUCUAUAGGUCUCGGGGAUUUGCUUGGGUUUUUCUCUUGUUCUCGUGUUUUGUGUUUGUUUGUGGACUUGUUUCGUUCCGUGCUGUGUACCUUUCCAUUCGUAGGUCUUUAUCGUUAUUAUUGCCUCUAAGGAUUAUAUUGUCUAUCCUUUUGAGCUCAGAGUGAUGAGUCUAUAAAAUCUAGGGGGAGUCUAGUCCUGAAAGUGUGCCCAUGCUUUCUAACAGCUAGUACUUGUUGGGGCACACAUUCAGGGGGAGUUCCGUCUAGAUUUCAUUGACUUAUCUCUUGCAAAUCGUGUUGUUGUCAUCAUCCACCAAAAAGGGGGAGAUUGAAAGGGCAUUUCCCUACUUUAUGUUUUGGAUGAUGAUGACAACCCUUUGUGGUCUAAUCGUGUGCUAUAUGUUUCAGGUUCUCGAUGCUUAGGCUUACAUCGGAUUGCUAUUGCCUCUCGAAGGAAAAGAUCGAAGACGUGUCCUCUACGCUUUUAUUUUCUUUGGUCGUAGAGUACCCGUACUAUCAAGAGGGAAUCCUCAUUAGGAAGCUCUGGGGGAAUCAGUUCACGUACACUUUUCUCACCCUCUCUUUGCCUUCCUCAGGUGUGUGUGUGAGAGAGAGUUUUCCUUGCCUCUUCCCCUCUUUCCUGCUCACUGUUUCUGCCCAGCGGUUGUACCGCUCUCUGGAGCGGUUGUACCACUGGGUCUUGUCGCUCACCAGCUUUGCUCGAGCGGUUGUACCGCUGCCUCCGGGCGGUGGUACCGCCACCAUGCUCUGCAACAGUUGGGGCGGUGGUUCCGUCCAUGCACCGCUCAAGUACCGCUCUCGCUUCUGGUUUGAUGCGGUUCUUGGGCGGUAGUGGCCCGGUUGGUCCGGUCGUUCCAUGAUGACCGGUACCACCGGUGGUCCGAGCGGUUCUUCCGCUCAGAACUUAGCCGCCCAAGAGCUCAAGGCCAUGCGGUUGUUCCGGCCAGGCACCGCCCAAGUACCGGUCAAGCUCCUGUUUUGAUGCGGUGGUUGAGCGGUAGCCAGGCGGUUAGUCCGGUUAUUUUUCUUAGCCGGUACUACCGCCCGCCUGUCCGGUUGUACCGCUUGGUAGGGUUCUGCAGUUACACAUGAGUCCCGGUUGUACCGGGACGAGGACCGGUUGUACCGCUGCAGUGCAAAAAAUGCAGUAACGGUUGGAAAUGUGGGUGUCUAUUUAAGGGAGCUUCUCCCACCUACCACUCCCAUCUUUGACCUCUCUCACUCCACCAUUAAUGCCCUUCAAGCUCUCUUGCCCGAUCUCUCUCUCUAGCCACUCAAACUUGUUGAUUUGCUAGGGAUUGAAGGAGGAGACCUAGAUCUACACUUCCACCAAAGGAUAUUUGCUUCCCCGAUACUUUCUUGUGUGGAUUUUGUUACUCUUGGGUGUUUGAGCACACUAGACGGUUGAGUUCACCUCGGAGCCAUAUUCCAUUGUGGUGAAGCUUCGUGGUUUUUGUUGGGAGCCUCCAAUUAAGUUGUGGAGAGAGCCCCAACCUUGUUUGUAAAGGUUCGGUCGCCGCCUUCAAGGGCACCAAUAGUGGAAUCACGGCAUCUCGCAUUGUGUGAGGGCGUGAGGAGAAUACGGUGGCCCUAGUGGCUUCUUGGGGAGCAUUGUGCCUCCACAUCGCUCUAACGGAGACGUACUUCCUCUCAAAGGGAAGGAACUUCGGCAACACAUCCUCGUCCCCACCGUCUCCACUCUUGGUUAUCUCGUGCCUUUAUUUGAGCAAGCUUACUCGUUUCAUAUCUCUUGCUUGCUUGUGUAUCUAUCCUCGUUGCAUCAUAUAGGUUGCUCACCUAGUUGCAUAUCUAGACAACCUACUUUGAUGCAAAGUUUAAAUUGUUAAAGAAAAGCUAAAAAUUGUUAGUUGCCUAUUCACCCCCCCCCCUCUCUAGUCAACCAUAUCGAUCCUUUCACUUUGCAGAUCACCAGCGAUGCACUACAUGCCGUAGUUCAUUUUGCUUGAUGUUGAAAUUGAUCGGCGCUGAAGGUCCCGUGCAGUCCGGCGUGGCGCAAGCAUGCAGUACGGGCGGCGAAGAGGUUUCUCAUGUAGUUCCUGUAGGCGGUGUGUGUAAUUUGUUUGCCGUCCAUGUGCCUGGGUCGUGGCUCACUUCCAUCGAUGCAAAGUUGAAUUGCACUCGUUUUUGCGCGGCGUUGUGUGUUUCGAAAAAGUAAAUUGCAUCAACACUUGCAGUGCACUUUGCCGUCGCGUGCGGUUCACCACACUCGGUCUCGCUGUUGAGAUGAAAUUAUCAAAGAAAAUGUUAGCAAAAAUAAUGAUAAUAUGCAGUUCUCUUUGUCGACAUUGCAAUCCGUUUUUACAUCUGAAAUAGUGUAGUUUUCUGUCUGAUGCAGUUUACUUCGUAGAUUUGGGUGUCACAAAAAGCAAAGUGCAAAAACGACAAAAGAAAUCAUGCAGUCGGCUUGCCCAUGUUUUUACAUUCUCAAAUGAAUGGGUAUAUAUGUUCUGAAGCUCACUUUGUUCUCCCAUGUGGUUCACUAUAAAACUCCUCCGUGGUUUACUAUAUCAAUACAACACCUGCAGUGUGUUUGGUCUUCAGAUGUGGUUCACUUUUGAGAGUGAUGCUGUUCGCUUGCGCACAAUGUGGAAGUGCGAUUCUUUUAGCAAAACAACAAAGAUAGUAAUGAGGUUCACUUAGAUAUAUGUCGCGGUUCACUUGCCUCCUCUCUGCGGUCCACUCUCGUUCACAAAAGUUUUGAAAAAAUGACAACAAAAACUCGCCUGAGAAACAUUUACGUUCAACAAAAGAAACAAGCGGUUCAUUUGCCCUUCCGAUGCAGUGCGGGUUUCAGUCUGAAGCAGUGCAGUUUUCUGUCUAAUGCAGUACAUACGACGAUUUGGGUGUCGCGAAAAAACAGAGUGUCCGCAUUUCGUUAAAAUCAAAAUUGCUCUUAAACCGUAAGGAAUCAGAAAGAGUGUUCUACAUGAAAAAGUUGUGUCUCAGCGAUAUCUUUCCAGCAGCGUAACGUUUGAAUCAUUUUGACAAGCGGUUUGUAAAAAACUCAUGAAAAACGACCGCUGCCACUCGUCAUCCGCCGCACUAUUUUCAAAAUUAACUUAAAACCGUAAGGAAUCUCAAAAUCAUUUCUACAUAUGAAAGUUGCGCCUUGUCCAUAGCUUUCCAUCGACGUAUUACACGCCUCGUCGACAAACGGUUCAAAAACUAGAGCAAAAACAGUACCGAAAAUUGCAAAAAAUUCAAAAAAAAACAGAAUUCCACGAUUUAGUAAAUUCGAAAUUGCUCUUAAACCGUAACGAAUUAGAGAAAAUAAUAGAUAUGAAUAAGAUGUGCCUCGAUGAUAUCUUUCCAAUGGCGUAUCAUUUGCCUUAUUCCGAUGAGCGGUUUAGAAAAAAUCACAAAAAUACGCUCGCUGCCACUCGUCAUCCAUCGCACCAUUUUUGAAACUGCUCUUAAACCGUGAGGAAUCUCAAAAAGUGUUCAACAUGGCGAAGUUACGCCUAAUCCAUAGCUUUCCAACGGUAUAUCAUACGCCACGUUCUGAUAAAUGGUUAAAAAAUUAGAGCAAAAACAGUACCGAAAAAAUACUGCGUACAGUUUUUUACGACACGAAGUUCACUAGUCUCUGUAAUGCAGUGCUCUUGCUAAAGAAAAUGCAGUGCCCUCGCGUUGAGCAUGCAGUGCGGAAGUGUUAUCAGAAUAGUUAUUCUGAUAAUUAUUUUAAAGUGUAGAUUCACUCAUUUUGCUUCAUAUGUAGUCCAUAUUGAAAUCUCUUAAAAGACAUAUAUUUAGAAACGAAGGAAGUACAUGGCAUCACUAGCUUAAGAGAGGGAUCAAAGUACACGAGCUCCACUAGGUUACCAUUGCAGCAACCAAGAGGGUUAGACCACCAGUAGUGAUGUCAAGGAGUUGUGCUAUCACCUUGCAUGUCCAUCCAACACUCAAGGAAGAGGGGGAAUUACCCAUGACAUUUUUUUUAAACUCUUCAAUUUGAAAAAAAAAUGUUUGUGUAGUUUUGAAAAUGUUGGUGCAAUUUUUAAAAAUAAUUUGAUAGUAUUUGGAAAAAUAUAUUUCAAGACGUAUUUGAAAAAUAUUCAACACAUUUUCAAACAACAAUGUUAAAAAAAUGUGAUUGAAAAAAUGUUAAUCAGGCAUUUAAAAAUGUUAAAUAUGUAAAAAAUGUUUCUAUUGUAUAUGAAAAAUAUACAUGUAUGAGAAAAAGUAGAAAUCAAAACAUACAUAUGAAAGAAAUAUUAAUCAUGUAUUUACAAAAUGUUAGACGUGUAAAGAAAGGCGUUUCUGAUGUAUAAAUAAUGUACAAGGUGUACGGAAACAAGUAGACAUCAGAAGUAUAUAGUAAAAAAUGUUAAUCAUGUAUUUGAAAAUGUCAACCGUACAUAUAAAAGAUGUUCCUGAUGUAUAAGAAAAAUGUACAACGUGUAUUAGAAAAUCAUGUAUUUGAAAAAUAUUAACUAUAUUUUAAAAAUGUUUUAAAUGUAUACAAAAAAUGGCGGCGGCGUGGGCGGCAGCAGAGGAGGAAGCCAUCCGCACCCGCACUGUGAAGAAACGACGGCGGAUGAACACACGCGCCCUCGCCUGAGAGCAGAAUCGGGCGCUCCAUGCCAUGGUCGGACUGCCAUCGAAGGACGAAAAAGAGGACAACGACGACGACGAGCAGAUCCGGCUCCAUUCCUAGUGCGUCUUCGACCGGUACUUCCGCGAGAAGAAUGGCAAGGGCACCAGGAAGGGCAAGGGCAGUCGUGGAUGAUCUUCACCAUAGCCAAACAUGUCAAAUUUUGGUAGUCCGAUGACAUGUUAGUAGUGAUGGAGUAGUCGGACGAUGUGUGUAAUGCAUCGACGUAGUUGCAUGAGUUUGUACGAAUUUGAGAUAUGAUAAUUGAGAUGUCCGGUUUUGAGAAGGCAAAUUUGAGACUUGACAGAUCAGUGUUCGCGGACGCGCCCAGGCGCGUCUGCGGGUGUUUGAGAGACCGGAUUUGUAAAGUUCGACUGUAGAUGCUCUUACCUCUAUAUGAUAGGGCGCAUCCGCGGACGUUUGAGAGACCGAAUUUGCAAAGUCGUAGAUGCCCUUACCUCUCCGUGAGAGCCUACUUGAGUUUUUUUGUGUGCAUACACGAUCUCAACUCUCACGAACUCUGUUGACUGUGGAUACACCUCUGUUACGAACCAUGUCACAGCCAGGACAGUGUUUUUUAAAACGAGGCAAAAGAUUUGUCAUUUUUAUUGAUUAAGAAAAAAAGAAUUGCAUGUUAAUUAACGGGAACCCGGGCGAAAACCGUUACAACACACCUAUAAAAUAGGGCACUCCGGCUGACCUGGCACCCACAAAACCACAAACACUAUCGAGGAGAGGACGCCAUCGAGGUUGCCUGCAAUGUCACCCGUCAUCACCUCUCCCCGAGCAGGCGACUCUGACUACGCCACUGAUGACCCAUCAAGACCCUUCCGAACGAGCGACGCCCAAGGACCUCACCGGCCACAACCAAACAAUCGGCCGAGACGUCGAUGACCGGCAGCUCGGAUUUUGUUGAUGCGCUGCGCAGGAGAAAGUUGCAAGCCUCGCACCAACCUAGUCCAUCGCAUCUCUGGAGAGCAUUGUCCACUGAAGUCGCCCUCAUGGAGUUAUCGUUGCCGUCGGGGCCCCGCCACGCGCAUCUCCAACUUCUCUGUCACAGCGAGAAACAAACAAAGGCACACCCAUUGACACAUCAGACCAUCGACAUCAGAAGGACCGGCCGCGACCUAGCUCCGCACGCCACCAUCGUCGCCGCCGCACAAGUCACGACGCCAACCACUCGCAUCACCGGUUGGGCACCAGCUAACCUUGAUGUCGUGGACGUCCAGCCCAGAAAAGCGUGAAAGGGAACAAAUUUUGAAGACAAUGCCCCAAGGAAGGAAGCGACGCUAAAACAACGACGUCGCCCGACCCUGCGACAGGGCCAUAGGCUUUCACUCGAAGAUGAACCCCGGAGGUGGACAAGGCGAAAGAGCUCUGCGACGACCCCUCAGGAAGGUAUAACGACGCCCACAGGCGCCGCGUCGUCGGCGUCGGCAGCAGCCACGCAGGCUGUCACCCGGAGCAACAAGCCUCCACACCCCACCACAACCAGCCACCGGCAAGGACAACCUGCAGCUGAUCCGUAGACACGUUGGCCCGCACACCUCCGGCGCCACCACCACGCCAGAUCCAUCCACCUCGCCGCCGGCAGGCACCGACGAGUCGUACUGGCCAAGACGACCAAAUCAGGCGCCCCCAACUGCAGCGCCAUCGCAGAGGCCACCAAAGGCCGGCGAGCAGCAGGCCCGCGAGAGGAGGAGCCACCAAAAGGCCGGAAGGGGGGCCUCCACCCCGCCCCGUCUCACCGACAGGACCACUGGGGCGCAGCCCAGGAGCCCAACGGUGCCGUCACCGCGACCGCCACCCACCGGUGAUGCAACCUUGGAGAACCCAGCCACCGACGCCGAUGCGGCACCCCGUAGAAGAGGGCGGAGCCUCCCUCCAUCAGUCGAUUUACGAGCCGCAGAUCAAAGGGCCAGAACAGCUAGAGAUACAAACAACAUUGAUUUAUUAGUUGUUGAUCCCCUGUGCUCUUUUCUUCUCGAAAAAAAUGCCAUGGGAUCAUGUGCGCUCCCCUUAGUUUUUUUUAGCAAAGUGCUCCCUCGGGCUGGCCAUAGUGAUGGUAUCUUAGGCGGUAUCACGCUGAUGAGAGGAUUAGAGUACAUAGAUAGAUACCGAAUCAUAAUAAAUGUUAUACUAAUGUGUGUCAUGCAUGAUAAUAAAUAAGAUAAUGUAUGAUAAUAAUAUAUGAUACUAUGCAUUAUGAGAUAGUAUCCCCACUAUGAGUAGCCUUAGCUGAGACCAUCAUAAUUUUGAUCGACAAGAUGAAUCAGGCAGAGAUGGACUUUUGGGCCCUUCGGACGGCACAACCUCUAAAAAUCAAAUAUCCUAGUAUUACACAAAUAUAAUCUUUAUGGUUAUGUAGGGAUGUAAACGGCAUAUAACAGCGCCCCUAAGUCUCAUUUAGUUAAUUUUAGCUAGCUUGAUAGUUCAUUUCAAUGAAAUAUAAACUUUAUUGAAGGGUUAGAUCAUAAGUGGGCUUAAACGGUCCCAGUUUACAUCCCUACAGUUAUGCUAAAUUCAAAUUUUGGGACAAGCUUUCCGUCUAAGUCGAUUUUCUAAACUACAACUAUAUUUAGUGUGCAAUUAGGUGAAAAUGUCAUAUAUAACAACAUAAGAGCUAUAAGCAGCAAUGGGUAUGAAAAGAUUUUUUGAAAUUACAAUCCUUUUUUAUUUAAUUAAAAUUUUGAUUUUUAAUCUCUAAAUAUUUUUGGAAAAACACAGACACAUUUUGAAAUUCUAAACAAUUUUGAAGAUGUGGCAUUUUUUAAAUUUUUGAAAAAUUUCCAAAAUGCCAAAAAUUACUUGAAAUUGUGAAGAAACUUUAAAGCAUGAAUAAAUUUUAAAUAUUUAACAUUUUUUGAAAUUUAUGAACAAUUUUUGAAAAAAUCUUGUUUUUGGAAAUGUGAACAAUUUUAAAAAUUAGUGAAUACUUUUGCAAUUCUAAACAUUUUUUGAAACAAUGAUUUUUCAAAAAAAAUUGGAAAUCAUGAACAUUUUUUGGAAAUCUGAGUUUUUUUCAUAAAAAAAACAAUCAUUUUUUUACAAAUUUGUGAUUUUUAAAACACGGACAACUUUUUAAAUGUCACCAAACACUUUUGAUAUUUAUGAAUUUUAACAAAGAUAAAAUAAAGGACAAAAAAAUAAAAAACGGAACGACAAAAGAAACCAAAGCCUCGAGAAUGUUCCUAAAACUAGGGAAAAAACAGACAGGAAAGCCUAUAAAUGCCGCACUGUGCUGGAUAGACAUGGGCCGGCCCUUCCCCGAGCACUCUUGUGAGAAUGUCCAGUUAUUUGCAGCAAUNNNNNNNNNNNNNNNNNNNNNNNNNNNNNNNNNNNNNNNNNNNNNNNNNNNNNNNNNNNNNNNNNNNNNNNNNNNNNNNNNNNNNNNNNNNNNNNNNNNNNNNNNNNNNNNNNNNNNNNNNNNNNNNNNNNNNNNNNNNNNNNNNNNNNNNNNNNNNNNNNNNNNNNNNNNNNNNNNNNNNNNNNNAUGGGCUAUCACUACGCGUCUCAUCUCACAUACUGCAGUUGGGCAAGGCCCCCCAUGCUACAUUGAGGUCCAACUAGUAAGUAGCAGGACACAAAAACACAUGUGCUUUUGUUUUCUUGUUCCUUGUUGAACAUCCCACCAUAAUGAGGGAUAAUCCAUGACUAAAGCAUGCUCUUAGGGCCUGUUUGGAUCCUCUUCAGUUUUCAAAUUCAUGAAUUUAGCGCUCGAACCGCACUGAAUGUGUGAGCUCUGUGGAACCAAAUUCAAAAAGCUGAGCCCUCCCUCGAUGUAAAAAGGAGAAGACUAGAAAGCCCGACUUCACGAAAACGAAGAGCAAGAGUUGAGCAAAUUUAUGGUCGAAUUGCCACCACACAAGUAAACGUUUCAGUGCCACACCUGAAUCGCUACAAGAGAUUCUCUCCUACCUCCCCUGAAUCGGUACCCGUAACCCCUCACCCGUUGCUAACCCUAGCCAUCGCUGAAAGUGUUGCCAAACAUGCCAGAACUCCCCCUAGCUGGGCUGCCAGCCCAAGGCGCACCGGGAGAAGCUGUCACUCGAGCUGAACGCUCGCUGAUCAUCAGGAGGAGCCCGAAGCUAGCGAGGGAAGUCAGAGUUGCGGGUUUGGAGAAACUAGGAGAGGUUCAAAACAUGCCCCUAGUCUUUCCUGCCAAACUCGUAUGCGAGACCUAGCCAAUAAAACCAAGUCAGAUAGUAUUGCUAAGAGUCAGAUAACCAUAUUUUCGAUAACCUCUAGGCAAAGUUUGUGAAGUCAAUGAAUUUCGAUGGGUGUCAAGGCCUAUAUUUUGGUCACAAAAUUGGCCUAAUUUCAAAAUCAUCCAUUCAUAUUAUUCUUAAAUAAUAAUGUUCACUUGCUACCGUAGGUCCUAUCACAAUUGUGAUUUGAAAGAAAUUUGAAGGCCAAUUCCCAUCAUCCAUUCAUAUUGUUCUUAAAUAGUAGUGUUCACUUGCUACCGUAGGUCCUAUCACAAUUGUGAUUUGAAAGAAAUUUGAAGGCCAAUACCCAUUAUCCGUUCAUGUUGUUCUUAAAUAGUAAUGUUCACUUGCUACCGUAGGUCCUAUCACAAUUGUGAUUUCAAAGAAAUUUGAAGGCCAAUUCCCAUCAUCCGUUCAUAUUGUUCUUAAAUNNNNNNNNNNNNNNNNNNNNNNNNNNNNNNNNNNNNNNNNNNNNNNNNNNNNNNNNNNNNNNNNNNNNNNNNNNNNNNNNNNNNNNNNNNNNNNNNNNNNNNNNNNNNNNNNNNNNNNNNNNNNNNNNNNNNNNNNNNNNNNNNNNNNNNNNNNNNNNNNNNNNNNNNNNNNNNNNNNNNNNNNNNNNNNNNNNNNNNNNNNNNNNNNNNNNNNNNNNNNNNNNNNNNNNNNNNNNNNNNNNNNNNNNNNNNNNNNNNNNNNNNNNNNNNNNNNNNNNNNNNNNNNNNNNNNNNNNNNNNNNNNNNNNNNNNNNNNNNNNNNNNNNNNNNNNNNNNNNNNNNNNNNNNNNNNNNNNNNNNNNNNNNNNNNNNNNNNNNNNNNNNNNNNNNNNNNNNNNNNNNNNNNNNNNNNNNNNNNNNNNNNNNNNNNNNNNNNNNNNNNNNNNNNNNNNNNNNNNNNNNNNNNNNNNNNNNNNAAACUCUUUUACAAAAACCAGAGAACCCUUGGAUAGAAUAGCAAUCAAGCGCUAAUAUGGGACGUGCUUUGAGAAAUCAUCAUUCGUGAAGAGAGUGUGACUUUGAUUGAUCAUUCAACUAUGGAAUGAGCAAGUCCUAACUAGUCGCCGUUCCGCGGCCUCAAACUUGAUCAUUGCUCUGUCCUCCCUCCUGUUCUUUCGUAUCGACUUGAUCUAGUAUCUUGAUGACAUCACAUCAAGGUAUAUAUGAUCUCAGCCCAAAGAGUUUUAGCAAAAUAGGUACUCUCUCCAAUGGAGAAUUAAUUGUCGCUACUUUCAUAUAAAUAUAAAGUUAUAUUAAAGCAACGAUAAUUAAUAUAAAUCAGAGAGAGUACAUAAUCAUUUUACCAGUGAACGAAGGUAAAUAUGAUAUAUGUAUUAAUUCAUAGUAUGUAGCUGUGUACGAGUAAAUUGCACAAAACCACCAAUUUGAAGACUAGGUUUGCAAAAAACACUACGCUACACUUUUGUUGCAAAAAACACCAUGUCUUCUGUAAUCGUUUUGCAAAAACCACUGAUCGGCGGCUUUGUCUCGGUUAAGCGUGUUUAUGACAGAUGGGCCCACCAGUCAGGCUGACGUGGCACAACUUAACACCUCGCAGGUAACGGUGAUGGAUGGUAACGUUGUCAGCAUGUGUGGAGCCAUGUGGGGUCCACCUGUCAUUGAAAGAAAAAAGAAAAAAUGCCUUGUUUUUGCCUUAUUUUUUUAGAACCACUUUGCCUUAUCUUCACCACCGGACUUGGCCGGGGCAGAGGCCCGCUGCCCAUCCCGCCCUCGGCUAGGGCAGGGCCGCCGUAGCCAUUGUCGCGCGGAGCUCGUCCCGCCCCCGGCCAAGGCAGGGGCCGCCAUCGCCAUGGUCGCCCGAAGGUCAAGCCCGCCUCCCCUCUUCUCCUUCAGCUUUCCCCUCCCAGAUCCCCAAUGGACUCCCACGCCCGCCUCCUCAGAUCCUCCCCCAGGCGGCCCCGUAGUUUCUUGUGCAGCCACUCGCUCAGCGAGGCGCUGCGGGAGGCCCACGACGAGAUGGAGGCGGCCGCCGGUGGCUGUGAUGGCCGCGCCGCCCAGGCGGAGCUAGCCGUCUUCCGAUGCGCGUGACGGCGCCGGCCCCCGUGCUGCUGCAGCGGAUGCUGAGCGUGUUCGAGGAGGAACAGGAGGACGCCCCGCUCUGCCAUCUUAUGCUCUUGAGAGACAUCACCUGCGGCAUGCGGAGCUCGCCGGCGUCGAAGCAAGUGCACCUCCCGAGGAACAGCUACGCAGCUCUGUUUCAGUACAGGGGAGAAUAGCAAGCAAAAAUAAAAGGCAGGUAUUUUUUUCUUUCAAUGACAGGUGUACCCCACAUGGCUCCACACAUGAUGACAACGUUACCAUCCAUCGCCGUUACCUGCUAGGUGUUAAGCUGUGCCACGUCAGCCUGACUGGCGGGCCCAUCUAUCAUAAACACAUUUAACCGAGACAAAGCCGCCGAUCAAUGGUUUUUACAAAACGAUUACAAAAGACAUGGUGUUUUUUGCAACAAAAGUAUAAUGUAGUGUUUUCUACAAACCUAGCCUUCAAACUAGUGAUUUUAUGCAAUUUACUCAGCUGUGUACCAACGCCCAAUACGCGCGUCAAGCAUAACCUGUACAUGGCACAUCAUCAGCUAAUUAAAAUAGUGACCAAUAAGGCGGGAACACGACUGCAGAGUGCCGGUCCAGCCAGCAGACGCCGCCGGCGCGCAGCUCAGCAGAAGAGGUACCCAACGGCGGCGGCGACGAGCGUCCCGACGGCGAAGGACGGGGUGGUCGCCGCGGCUCCGGUGGCCGGGCCGGGAGCCGGCGCCUCGGCAGCCAUGGCCACGCCCACCACGGACGAGGCCACGACGGCGGCGGCGAGGAUCGUGAGCUUGAGGGUGGCCGCCAUUUCCGCUAGCUAGCUUCUUGGUCGGUCGAUGCCUGGGAAUUACUCGAAGACGUGUAAGCACUAAGAACAGGAAGGUAGGGUGGGUUUGGGAAUUGGGAU